AAUGUCCUGAGCUUAAGCGGAUGUUUCUCUCCCAUAUGGACAAUUUAAGCAAAAUAUGGAGUGACAAUCCUCAAGAAACUCUCACUUUUGACAAUUUAUGGAAAGUGCAAGUUCAAAAUUGUAGGAGCCUUGAAAUCGUGUUUCCGCAUUGGGUGGCUACAAGUCUAACCCAACUUAAGGAACUUCAAGUGGAGUCUUGUGGGAUUGAGGAAAUAGUUGCUAGUGGGAAUGAGACUCCACAUUCCAAUACCACUCAAGAUCUUUUCCCAAAACUAACCUUUCUAGUGUUACAUGAUAUGCCACAACUCAAGAACUUCUGCACCAACUUGCCCACUUUGAAAUGGCCAAUCUUGAAGGAACUGCGAGUGACUCAUUGUGAUAAAGCGAACAUGAUGUCUCUUGUAGCAUCUAUGAGCAAUUGGGCUCAAAAAUAUUAUCAACGGGCUUUUAGACCAAGAAGCACACUCUUUAUUUGAAAUGGUAUGAUUUCAGUUGCUCUCCCUUGGUUUCUAUUUUGUUCUUUAAAGCACUCACUGAUCUCAUAUCCACUACAUAAUCAAGCCACGUUAUAUUGCUAUAGAAAACAUGAUCUCCCUUACUUAUUAGUUUGUUGACAACAUUAAAAUAUUUCUAAUAUCUUAAGUAUACUUUUCAUUUGUGGACAACCAUAAGAUAUUUCAUUACCUAUAAUUACAAAAAUAAUUAUAGAUUUUUGUUGAAGGCGCAAUAUAUUCCUAAUCUAGUCUAGUGGUGCUCCUUGGGGAAAUCAUUGAAAAUUUGACAUGAGGUCCACUUCAUUGUUGACACGUGUUGCACAUUUGAACUUUUUUUCUCCAUUUCAUCAUCUAAAAACUCUAUAAAAAAAAAUCAAUACAAACAAUUUUAACAAAGAUAAGAUUAGUACCUUAUGCACUAUUUUCUUUUGUAUUCCUUAAUUGAUCUCGUCUUAUACAUAGUCAUUCUGUUGUAUUACUUUAGACAACCUAAAACUCCUUACCUACGAGUUUGAAGAUAACGUAAUAUAUUUUAUUAUAUCUUAGGCACACUUUUAAGUUUGUGGACCCAUACGUUUCAGUAAUAUCAUCCGUGCAUCCCAUUACAUAAGUUUCCAAAGAUGACUAAUUUUAGUUGACAAGAUAAGAUAUUUCUAAUAAAAGAUGAAGAUGAAUUCGAUGAGCUUGGAGAGAUCUUGACAAGUUCACUCUACAAACUUAACCAUACCAACCUCUAUUCGAGACUUUUAAAAGCUUGAGACUUGAAUGUAGGGCUCUUGAGAUAUAAUAAACUUUAAGAAGAUGGCCACCCUCCAUGUGAAUCAUCUUAAUAGGUUUACUUUUUACGGCACAUGAUUUAUUGUCGAAAUUUUGUUGAAUUUUCUUCUCUUGUUGUAUUGGCAAUUCAACAGGAUUUUCCCAACUUGGAGAGACUUUUAUUAGUCGAUAACAAUAUUCAGAUGAUACAAGAUGGAAAUUUUCCGGAUGACAUGUUUAGCAAGCUAGAAGCACUAACACUGGCAUGCUUUCAUGAUAAAAAGGCUACCUUUCCUUCCAUAUUCCUCCUAGAGAGAUUUCAAAAUCUACAGAGCCUUGAGGUCUUUUGUAGCUCCUUUGAAGAUUUAUUCUCAGACGAAGGGCUUGUUGAAGAAGUGAAACAUCCGGUGCUUGAAAAUUUAAGAGAACUUAAGUUAAACAAGCUACACAACUUAAAGUGUGUGUGGAGAGAAGACUCAUUAGUAUCGAAAAUUCUUCAGAGCAUCAAAACAUUUGAGGUUUGGGAUUGUCCUUGUUUGACAAUAAUUUUUCCAACUGUGACAUCCUUCCAGAAGCUGACCGGCUUAGAGGUAAAGAAUUGCUCUGGAUUGGUACAUUUAGUAACAGCUUCAGCAGUCACAAAUUUGGUGCAUCUUGAAUGGAUAACUAUAAUAGAAUGUGAAAGAAUGAAAGAAGUAAUGACAAAUGAUGGAAAUGGAGAAGGAAAAGUGAUUUCUUUUGGAAAUCUACAAUAUUUGACACUCCAACAUCUGCCAAGCCUAGAAUGCUUUUCCUCCAUCGCGAGUUGUACUUUUAGGUUCCCAUCCUUGUGGAGUAUUGAAGUGGAAGAGUGCCCGAAAAUGAAGACAUUUUCUAUGGGUACGCUAAGCACAUCAAGACUGUAUCAUGUGUCAUUGUUCAGAUAUAAGUGGAGAGGGAAUUGGGAGACGAGUGAUGAUCUCAAUACAACCAUACAAAAAUUAUCAGCAUGAACAAAUUCACAUAUAAUUGGUAAGAUCCAAUUGACGUCAUUCUCUCAUCAAUUUUUUUUUCUUUCUCUUUAUUCUUUUGGUAGUGCCGUAAGUUUUUAAAAUUUUUCUUUUUGUGACUUUUCUAUUAUUUAUUCCGUCAGAUCAGCAUCACCAUUCCGUCAGCUCAUCCUUCAGUGAACAGCGGGAAGCAAAGCAGGGCUCCCCUUCUCCUUCUUGACGCCAGAAGCUCUCUCUCCAUCUUUCUUCUUCUUCUUCUUCUUCUUCUUCUUCCUCCUCCUGCUCGGUGAAGCGAAACUAGGGGGAACCUCUGCUGCCUUCACAAAGGACGGAGCGAAAAUGAAGCAUCAGGAAUUGCCAGGACUGCGAGAAGCGAAGCUGCACUUAGCGGAGUGAAGCCAAGUAGAUUCAACCAGACGCUAUCGUUGUCGCCGUCGUUGCUGCCGAAGGUGGCACAACCAAGUCAGUCGUCCACUCACGUCAUCAAAGAUGAAGAAGAUCACACUCUCUCCCCGCAUCUGCAUCCGACAAAUUGUAAGUUCAUGUUUCUUCCGAUUUUGGUGUCUUAUUGCGAAUUGUUGGGAAUAACGGAUCCUCGAAAAGCGGAUUCGACACUGAAUCGAACCCUUAAAUCAAUGCAGAAGCGAAGCCUGGGAAAACAACACGUAUCACUGAUCGUAAAGCACACCACGGAUUCGAGCGUACCUUGUUAGCCACAGAUUAAACACCGACGCCGAUAGAGGAAGAGAAACUUUGUCCUGUUUGAUCCGAUGAAGCAAAAUCGCCUUUGAAGGGAAGAAAAACGCGCCGUAUGCUUUACUGUUUUUCCUUUUCUUUUUGGAGAGAGAGAGAGCGUGGGAGAAGACGUACGUACAGUUUUUUUGAUUCCAACCGGUAUCAUCUCUCUCUCUCUCUCUCCUCCCUUUUAUACCUUCCCCCAUCCACGGGCCCUAUUCCCGUGGGCCGGGCUUUUUGGGCCCAACUUGGGCGGACGAGCCUUAAGCCCAUCUCAUAUAAAACCAUCAUCUCCCACUCGCACAUGGUGGGCCGAACAGGAUUCUCUUUACCUCUCUUCAACAUUCAUACCGGUGAAUAAUCCGUGUGACCAUCAUACUUUGAGAGCUCGUUGCUAUACAUAUGUUAGGAAUAUAUAGCAGCUCAUAAUGGGUGUCACACUCCGAGUAGAUUUAGUAUGCAGUACCCUAGAUCGAUCGAUCACAUUUAUAUCUCUCUUAAUCUCUUUCAAACUUGAUAUAUAUAUAUAUAUAUAUAUAUAUAUAUAUAUAUAUAUAUAUAUAUAUUGUAUUCACAAUUACAAUUAUCACAAAGACAAUCAUAAUUGGUCGACCAGUGAAUACAAAACUGCAAUGUGAUUCUCCAAAAUCGAUCUUCCUCUUUCCUUCAAACUCUCAAUUUCAGUUUAGCUUACUUUUCUAGAAAUGUCCCAUUAGAUCGAAUCAAUUCAUGACCAUUGGCAACAUCCUAAGAUAGCAAACACUAAAUAGAAAUCUUGAGAAUAAGUAAGAGUCAUGAGGGGACUAAAAAUUGAGGAACUCUUUUCCUCAAGAGUCUCACACGUCAUAAAAGUUGAGAUCAAACUUUUUGCCAAUCUUAUUGGUCGUCUCAUGCAUACGUAGUAUGAAAUACGUAUUACGGUAUUAACUCCUUUCCCAUGGAGCCUAUGUCUACAUUUUUCAAUACCGUACAGAUGAUAGUUCAGACAUGCCCAAUGUCUAACUUGAGUUCACGUAUCUACUCAUUCACAGAAUUCAUCAGAACUCACAUCUAGCAUCUUAGACAGAUAAAGUAAAAUAUGUAGGGUAUUUUACUUUCGGACAUCGUAAGAAUUAUGUCCUCAUCUUAACACUCAGUUAAGGCGACAUAUGUGUUUUAAGCUUGAGCUCCUAGAUAAUAAGCUUAAAAACAGUCUCAUCUCUAUUUAUCACACAGUAAAUAGAGGCGAUUACCCGUGUGAGUGGGCUAAUCUUUUAUCUGUCCGACAUACUUCCUCAACUUAUAAUAAUACACUGAGUAUUAAGAUGCAUAAAGAUCAUACAAAGAUUCAUAGGCAUUAAUCAAUGAAAAACAAAAUUUCAUAAAUGUGAACAACUCAGGGAAAUUACAACUCAGUACAUCAGACUCUACGCAAUCCUAGAGAUUUUACAUGACCACAAAACACAUCUCUAGGUAUUGGCUUUGUCAUAGGAUCUGCUACCAUUCUAUGCGUAGAUAUGUACUGCAAGUUCACAUCCUUUCGUGCAACCAUAUCUUUUACAAAGUUAUACUUGGUAUCUAUAUGUUUGGUCUUGCCAUGAUACUUUGGAUCUUUGGUGUAUGCUAUAGCUGCUUGGCUAUCACAGUUAACCAAUAAUUGAUUUGCAGCUUUCUCAAUAACACCUAAAUGAUCCAAGAAUCUCUUAAGCCAAACUCCUUGUACUGCUGCUAAUAAUGCCACAAACUCAGCUUCCAUCGUGGACAAGGCUAUACACGUUUUCUUCUUACUACUCCAUGAUAUGGCGCCAUUGCUUAGUAAGAAAGAAAAUCCUGAGGUAGAUUUUCUUUCAUCUAAAUCUCCUCCCCAAUCAGCAUUUGAAUAGCCUUCAAGUCGCAUAUCCUUUCCAUGGUAAUUCAACUUGAAAUCAACAGUUCUCUUUAGAUACCUCAAUAUUCUCUUAACGGCUUUCCAAUGUGCUGGACUUGGGUUGGAUUGGUAUCUACUCACCAUUCCAACUGCAAAACAUAUGUCGGGUCAUGUACACAUCAUAGCGUACAUCAAGCUCCCAACAGCACUAGCAUAAGGAACAUGUUUCAUUUGUUCCUUCUCUUGUGGAGUCCCUGAACACAGUCUAUGGCUCAAUCCUUCACCCUUUGCAAUAGGAGUGUCUAUGGGUUUACAAUCUUGCAUACGAAAUCGUUCAAGAACCUUAUUUAUAUAUGUUUCUUGCGAAAGAGACAACAAUCUCUUCAAACGAUCUCUUGAAAUUUUAACUCCAAGAAUGUAUGCAGCUUCACCCAUAUCCUUCAUCUCAAAGUUGGAAGACAACCAACUCUUGACAGUAUUAACCAACUCCAUAUUGCUUCCGGCAAUCAGUAUAUCAUCAACAUAUAAUGAUAUGAUCACAAAUUGAUCCUUGGAUCUUUUGAUAUAUACACAAUGAUCCUCUUCAAUCAUUGUAAAAUCAUAUGCCAUUAUGGCAUUAUGAAAACGUAUAUACCAUUGUCUCGAUGACUGCUUGAGGCCAUAUAUCGAUCUCAAAAGUCGACAUACCUUUUCUUCUUGGCCUUUCACUAUGAAACCAACAGGUUGUUCCAUAUAUAUAUUUAUUCCUCUAAUUCUCCAUUGAGGAAAGCAGUCUUUACAUCCAUUUGAUGUAACUCAAGAUCCAGACUAGCCACUAUUGCCAGAAUAGUGCGAAUCGAGGUAAAUCUCACUACAGGAGAAAAUGUAUCUUCAUAAUCAAUUCAUUCCUGUUGAUUAUACCCAUUCACUACAAGGCGAGCCUUAUGCCUUUCUAUCGAGCCAUCAACCUUUCGCUUUAUUUUAAGAACCCAUUUGUUCCUAAUAGCUCUGCGUCCUUUUGGAAGAUCAACCAGUUCCCAGACUUAGUUUGAUUUCAUUGACUCCAUUUCCUCUUCCAUUGCAUUAAUCCAUUUUUCCUUACUAGGGCAAUUUAGAGCAUCAUUAAUAUUUCUUGGCUCAUCCUCAUCUUGUUAAGCAACCAUAAAAUUUUCCCCUUCAAUGUCAAAACGGGGAAUACUUUGGCGACUUGUUCGCCGUAUGGGAGAUUGUACACUAUGCACAUCAUUUCCCAUCAUGCUUCCACUUGGAUUAGGUAAUGAUGAUGUCGUCUCAUCAUGUGGUUGUAAUUGAGAAUGAGUUGAAUUCAAUUCAUCACUUCUCAUAUUACUCCCACCUCGGAUAAACUCCACUAACAUCAUUAUCCUGAUCCAAUGUUUCAAAUAGGGAGUGAUCUUCCCCUAUUUCGCCCUUCUUAGAAAAUUCAUCCUUUAAGAAUGUGACAUCUCGUGAUUCAAAUUCAGUUAUACUCCCACUUUCCUGCUCACCUAUGAACACAUACCCUUUUGAGUGUUCCGAGUAUCUUAUGAAAAUACUCUUCUUUCUUCUGGGACCUAAUUUCCCAAACUUAUGAGAGGACUCAUGUGUAUAGGCAGCACAACCCCAUGGCUUAAGAAAGCUUAAGUCCAGUUUUCUACCUGUCCAUAACUCAUAUGGAGUGGAAGUAACUGAUUUGGAAGGCACACAGUUAAGUAUAUAGGCAACAAUUAACAACGCAUCACUCCAAAAGGUAAUAGGUAAGUUAGCAUGCGCCAUCAUGGACCUAACCAUUUCCAGUAGGGUUUUGUUCCUUCUCUCCGCAACACCAUUUUGUUGAUGAGUAUACGUAAUAGACAACUGUCUUUCUAUUCCUUUUUCAUCACAUAAUUUUCUGAACUCAUCAGAUAAAUAUUCCCGACCUCGAUCGGAUCUCAAUGCUUUUAUUUUCUUGUCUAAUUGAUUAUCUACCAAGUUCAUAAACCUUUUGAAACAACUUAUUGCUUCAAAUUUAUGAGAAAUCAAAUAGACAUAUCCGAAUCGAGUAUAAUAAUCAAUAAAGGUGAUGAAAUAAACAGCCCCAUACCUUCCUUUCACAUUCAUUGGACCACAGACAUCAGAAUGGAUUAAAUGCAGAGGAAAUUCAGCUCUUUUUCCUUUUCCAAAUGGUUUCCUUGUCGUUUUCCCUUCUAGGCAAUGCUUACAUAUGGGCAAAUCGACUUUUUCAAUGUUGCCCAACAAGCCCUCUUUGGCUAGUCUAUUCAUACGCUGUUGGCCAAUGUGACCAAGUCUAGCAUGCCACACAUUCACAUCAUUAUCAUAUGUAUUAGGAGACGUGAGAAGGGAAUAACAAACAUUUGCAUUAACAUAAUCAAUAUCUAAUACAAUGAAACCAUCCAGAAAAUAACCACAACCAUAGUAAUUUGUAUCCAAAAACAAAUUCACACCUCUACUAUAGAAGUUCAUAUUAAAACAUAAUUUAACCAACACUAAUACAGACACUAAAUUCCGACGAAUCUCCGAAGCAUACAAUACAUCAUGAAGGAACAAAGUGCGUCCACCACGCAUAUUCAGUUGGCAUGUGCCAAUUCCUUUCACUUCAGCUCUGGAGUUGUUUCCCACAUAGAUCCACUUAGUUUCAGAUGGUACUCGUCGGAAUUCCACGAAGGAUCCUCUAUCCUUCGCUACAUGGUCCGUCGCUCCUGAAUCCACAGUCCACAAAGGAUUAUAUUCAGUUAAGAACACAGAACUCGACACAAAAGCAAAGUUCUGAAAAGUACAAGGGGUGCAUACCUUCUUUGGCUCACGACAGUCGCGAGCAUAGUGACCAUUCUUGUCACAGUUGUAGCAUUUCGCCCUUGCAAGCUUCUUCAUGCAAGGACGCUUUCCUCUAUUAUGUUGGUUAAACUUGGGUUUCUUCCAUGAAGGACUAGCUUCUUCCUUGCAUUUCCCUUUAUCAAACCAGUUAAGGCGCUUGCGCUUAGAGCUCGAAGCUCCAUUUGAGCUAGAACUAGCAUGAUAUAUAGUUCAGCAUCCGGCUUAGCCGCCAAGAGGCGGUCCUCUUCCAGCUCAAGAUGAUGCAUUGCAUCCUCAAAGGUUUUGAUAUUUUCAUUAUGGGUCAGGUGCACCUUCAUAUGCUCCCAACUUUGAGGCAAGGAACGAAUCAUUGCUUGCACUUACUGCUCAUCUGUGAGGACAUGGCCAGCAUCUUUCAGCUCAGUUAUCAUGUUUGACAUCUUUCUAAGAUGUUGCUUCAUGGUUUGACCAUGAGGCUUCUUGUAAGAGUCAAACCUGAUAGUGAGCUGCCUCAGUCUGGUCACCGAAGUAUGACCGAAUCUAGCUGCCAAUGCCUCCCACAUUUCCUUGGCAUUGUCAAAAUGCCUAAACUCUCGCAUGACGUCAUUUUCCAUGCUGCUCGGCAACGUGAUGCGAGCUAGAGAGUUCUUUCUUUUCCACGCAGAAAAAGCUUCCUUGUCUCUUUUGUGCUGUGCAGUGGUUCCCUCUUCAGGUUCUACCAUGGUUAGGUUAAGAGCCUCAAGUGCUUCUUGCUCUUCUAGUACAUACUGGAUUUUCAUUUGCCAAAUUUCAUAGUUGUCACCAUUGAGCUUUUCACCUUUGUUCAGCUCGGCAACUAUGCUCUUUGUGGCUGAAGCCAUUGAUCUGAACACAUCAGACAAAUAUGCACGAAUUAUUAAUGUCUAUCAUUUAUGCAUCCCUAUUUACAUAGACUCAUCAUAUUAAUGAACAAUUUCAAGUAAUGUUUUAAAAUCAAAAUGUCACUAUGUUUCCAACCAUCCUCCAAAAAUCCUAACUUAAAACUAUCAUUAAUAUGAUUGUCAUAUGCAAAAUCAAUUCUAUGAAGCUACAAAAACUUCUAAAACUACCCACAUCUAAUUACCCACAGCAACUAGCAAUAACAGAAAGCAAUAGAUAAUUGAUAUCCAAUAAAACAAUAAUGCUUUCAACUAAUACAACUAACAUAUAUGUUGUUACAACAACAACAAUCAGGUAGUUAAUAUUACAUAAGAUGUCCACAAAGCACACUUAACUGAGAUCAGCCAAUACAACUAACACCAAGUCAACACACGAACUGGGAAAGAUCCUCUUUUGUUCAAUUUCUUGAUAUUUUCCCUUGUCACAAUACAGUAAUAUUCAUUUACAAAAUCCAUUACAAUUUUCUUAUAAGAAGCAGCUCUAUUGACAUCCCAUAUGCGAUUCAACACAUCUUGCCAUUCAAGUGGAAGAGUGUUUAUGAAAAAUCGCACCAUCUCUGACUGUGGCAUAGGACGACCAUUCCAUAUUACCUUUUGAAUUUUUCCGUUGACUGCAAGGACGUGAUCAAUUAAGUCACCACUCUCCCAUCAAUGAUCAGUUAGCUCAACUAUCAACUUAGACAGUCUUUCCUUUUGUUCAUCGGUAAUUGCGCGAAUAGGUGUGCGCAACCUCAGGGGAGGCAUUGUUCAUACAACAAAUGCAGAACAAAUAAGGGAUCACAUAUAAUCCACAUAUACGUAAUUGAAAAAGAAACACAUUCUUCCCCCCCCCUUUUUUUUUUGGUCAACGGUCAACGGUCAACGGUCGUCGGUCGUCAGACCGGUCAGACCGGUCAGGCCGGGUCGGACGGACCAACCGCACAUGCCGCGCGCAUGCGCGGGCUGACGUCACGCAGAUGUCAGCCAGCACGUGCCGCACGCGUGCCAGGCGUCCGCUGGUCGGGUCGCCGGCCGGUGACCGCCCGGCCAACCGUCAUCGGUGCUAACGUCAUCGAUGACGUCAUCCCAGCGGUUACUGACCGUUGAGUGACGUCAACAUGCGUCGGUUCGCCGACCGGCGUGUGUGCCGCACGCGCUGGGCGAGCCAGCGCUUCCGGGCGCGUCGCACCCACGCGCAGCGCCUUCUGGCCGCGCAUGUGGGCGCAUGCGGCGUCGCCUGGCGGCGCACGACGUAUCCCCAGACUCAUCUCGACGUCGCAUUUCUUCCUAUGUCAUCAGAAUUCGAUUUCGACUUACGCAAACUCGGAAAAAAGGACGUACAAUGCUCGGGUGUCGGGAUUUCACGCCUCGAUUCGUACGGCCGAAAAGUUUUUUGCGAAAAAUCAAUCAAAAAACGUCAAACAGGUCGGGAAAACGUGAACUAGGGCUCUGAUACCAAUAUUGGAAAUAACGGAUCCCCAAAAAGCGGAUUCGACACUGAAUCGAACCCUUUAAAUCAAUGCGGAAGCAAAGCCCGGGAAAACAACACGUAUCACCGAUCGUAAAGCACACCACGGAUUCGAGCGUACCUUGUUAGCCACAAAUUAAACACCGACGCCGAUAGAGGAAGAGAAACUUUGUGAUGUUUGAGCUGAUGAAGCAAAAUCGCCUUUGAAGGGAAGAAAAACGCGCCGUAUGCUUUACUAUUUUUCCUUUUCUUUUUGGAGAGAGAGAGAGAGCGCGAGAGAAGACGUACGUACGUUUUUUUUAUUCCAACCGGUAUCAUCUCUCUCUCUCUCCUCCCUUUUAUACCUUCCCCCAUCCAUGGGCCCAACUUGGGCGGACGGGCCUUAAGCCCAUCUUAUAUAAAACCAUCACGAGUAAAUUAGGGCUCUAUUCUUCAAAUUCAUUCUACAUUCGAGUCUAAAAUUAGGAGUUCCUCAAACUAGCAAUUUAUUGCCCUUAAAUCUACACCUUCUAUGCUUCCCUCGCGAGCAUUGGCGAGAUUUCUGCGUGUUUGAGCUCUCAUAGAUGGAGAUGAUAUGUUGUGUUCAAGGUCUCAUGUUGAAAUUUCUUUGGGUAGAGAUAUCUUUGUAACAUUAGGUACAAUUUUCUACCAGGAAAAAGGGAGAAAUCACGGAACUUGAAAAUAAUUCGAGAAUUCCACGCCGUCAAAAAUAUGAAAAGUCACUUUUACGCCUUGUUUGCAAUAUAGUCUAGACUGUUUGAGGAAUCACUUGUAAUCUUGAUUGGUUAAGUGUUGCUGGAAGGACAAAAAUUUAUUUUCAAUUAAUGCUAAAUCUUUUCAUAGCAAGUCAAACUAUUGAAGUGUACUUAAACUAUCUCUAAAGUAGUCAUUUUUUAAGUAUAGGCUGGUCCAAGCAUUCAAGAAGAUUGAGGCAUCAUCAGCUGGUUUUUAUGAUCCCAUGUGCCCAAAGCCUCUCACUGCUCUUACAUUGGCCAACAAAUUUCAAAUGGAGCAUCCCUUUGUCAAAGAUGGUGAUGAGGCCCUCUUAUGUUUAGUUUGGCUUGGUAUGAUCCCAUGCUUACUGACCCAAACUCGCACGUCUGAAAAUCAAACAUAUGGAUGCUGUUUAUAUCUUUGCUUAUACUCUAGUAUAUAUCCAAGUUGACUUAAUGUAGUAAAUCACAUGACAUGUUAUUCUCCUUGAACUAUUCCUAAGUGUAUGUCAAAAAUCAGAUAUAUAUCUUAACAAUGGAGUAAUUGAAGGAGGGAAAAGAAUGAAAGGACAAUUAUUGUGACCUAAGUUGGUCGUUGAGGUUCGGAAACAUAACAGUUCUCCUUUUUUGUGGAUAGACGUUUAAGAAAACAAUUGCUGAGGCGAGCCUUAAGAAUUAUAAUCCAAGUCCUCUUACAUGGAGAAAAUUGACGAUGUUAUUCAAUGCUGUAAAUUUAGAUUAUAUACGUAAAUCAUCAUACAAGGGGACUAGUUGAUAAGGACAAGCAAAUUGCAAUAAUGUCAUUACCUCCAUGACUAAAGGGAAAGACCUGAAAGAUAAGGGGGUGGCUAGUUAUCAUAGUGACGAAUAAUUUUAAUGCUAAAUAGGAGAUACUGUUUUAUUUUGUUAUACAUAUCAUAUAUUUGAGGGGAAAAAAAAAAGCUUACUUUACUUUGUCAUAUAGAACCAAUAGUUUGAUAAAUCAUUAAAUUUAGCUGUGAUUGAAAGAAUUGAACAGCUUAGUCUAAAUUUUCAAUUCCAUCCAUGUUCGACUCUUAGAUGUCUUUGCUUUUUCCCUUGCGGUUGUGGUCUGCAUGGCUAAAAUGCAUGUCUGUUAAAUUUAUAUAUGACAUGGAAGGCUUCUUCUGGUUAUGUACCCUAUUGCACUCUAGGAGUGUAUAUUUUGACAUUUGACUUCAUAUUGCAUGUUGAGAUUGAUGACUUUCAUUAUAUGGUUUAUUGUUGAUUAAAACUCCUGGAACCAGCAACUACUGCCUUAAAUUCAUGCUUUGUGUGAUUUGAUUCUCUCAUAAUUGUAUGCUUUUGUUUUGGUCUUUCUUCACCAUAUGUUGGUUUUUCAACCAUGUAAACAAGGAGACUGCUCCUGCUCAAUUCAUCAGGCAACAUAUUCAGGAAAACAAGUAAAUUGCGACUCUUGGGUAUUCAGGCAGGGUGUGGACAGUGAAGCUCAAGAGCUGUAAACGUGACCAAAGGGGCAUUUUUUUUUUUGGCUGGUUGGUCCUCAUUUGCAAGAGAAAUUCGUCUGCAUGUAGGAAUGUUUGUGCGUUUGAGCUCAUUGGGAGGAUAUUGUGUUCAGAGUCUACAUUUCCACUAGUGCUGGUAAGGACUUGAUUUACUUAACAAAGAUUAACUCUAAAGGUUUCACUUUGGUUGGUCCAAAAUAAAUGCUGUACUCCUAAUAAUAUCUCCUUUUAUUUUGUCUUGAUGAAUCAAUGAAGUAUACUUAUAUUCUGAUUGGGUUUGUGAGGUUCAUAAUAAGCUAGAUGCACGCUCAUUAAUGCCACAUUCCAAAUCUAAAUGAACCAAAAAGGAUGUGCUUCACGAUGUCUUGAUUUAUGCGUUCUUGUUGUUCAAUUUGAAUUUGAAAUCAAGUGUCAUAGGCUUAUGAUAAUUUAUGGGUUUUAUUUUUCUCACAGGGAUUACCAGAGAGGUUCAUGAGAAAAUAUGGUGAGAAUCUCUCUAAAAGGAUGCUCCUGAGAGUGUCAACUGGUGCAAUUCAUUGGCAUGCAGAAUAGGAAAAAUGUGAUGAGAUGGUUUCGUUAUCAAAGGGUUGGAAUGAAUUUGCAGAGCAUCACUCUAUAUGUGAGGGCCAAAUUUUGGUCUUUGAUUUGAAUGGACUCCCUUUUCCAUGUAAUAAUAUUUGAUUAUUGCACGUCUAAGAUAGAAUACUUGCCAACAAAUGCUGAUCUGAGGAACCAAGCUUGGCAAUUGUGGAUUUGUCUUGCUGGAAGUGAAUUGCAUUCACCCAAGUGUCCUCAUCUUUGUAAGGCAAGGAAUCUCAUCAGGUGUGCAGAGUUCAUGGCCCAUGUACAAUCAUCAGCAGAGUUUGGGGAGAGAUGGCGAACUGCUCUUCAUGAGAUUUUCGAGGUGUAAAUCUUAAUCUACUACCGAAUUCUCUCCUUGAUUGUGUUGUUCUCCUGUUUGAUUUGAAUUUCAUACAGGAACUCUCCAUGUCGUUAGGCUAAUAGAGACUGUGUUAGUGCUAAUUCAUCCUUGUAGUGUUUUUUUCUGUCUUUAGCUUUUCCGUGUGUGCAUUUGUAUGUGUUGGGCGAUUUCAUAAAUGUCAAGCCAAUGGAAACAAGUGAAACUAAUAGUGUCAAUUUUGAUUGUGCUGAAAAUGAUAUUGGUGUCCACAUGCCUUAUAGGCCCUGGAAGCUAGACCACUUGAAAGACUCAGAUCUAUUGAUUUGCCGUUGCUAUGUCAGUAGAUAUGAGUUUCACUUAACAAGAAUAGGAUAUGCCUAGAGAGCAAAAGCUUUCUUCAUGUUCUGUUUGUGAUUACUGCAGGUAAGCUGAAAGAGCCAUGAUUUUGCAGAGCUCUUGAACUGGCCAGGUAUCCUUUCUUCCAAAGUGCAGUGAGGUGAAUGUAUUGGAGAAAAGCAACGUGGUAAGAUCCUCAUGACAAUGACAACUCUUGAAUUUAAAUACCAUAUAGUUGCUAGACUAUGCUAGCUCUAGGCUAAUCGUACAUCAUGUCAGGGUUUUUGUUUUUAUCCUUCACAUGUAUUGUCGUCCUUAGAAAUCAUUGGUUGUUUUAUUCUUUUUUAUGACAAAAUUGCGAAACAUCUACUUAAGCAGAUAGUUCCUGGUUCAUUGUCACAGAUACACAUCAAGAAAAGUCCGCAGACCAUGGCUCUCAUAUUUCCCGACAAAUCUUGGCUGGUGAAGCUCGUUAGUCAUGAACAUUAUGGGAAGUUAUUUUCCGGUUGGGCCACAUUAACAAGAGAAACUUCUCUGAAGGUAGGAUACAUACUUGAUUGAGCUUAUUAGAAGGGAUGGUAUCACGUUCAGAGUAUCCAUCUUCAGAAUCACUGAGAAGACUUGGGGUCAGAAUAUUAUGCAAAAGGACACAGCAAAGGAAGAAUCCUUUAGGCCAUUUUUGGUGUGAACAUAACUUCAGAAUUUUGCUAGGCUGAAAUUUGCUUCCAAUUCGGCAAAUCAGAUAAAGAGCGUGAGUUUUGUUCUAAUGAAUGGAAUGGUCCUGAAUGUGGAUGAUACCUUCCCUUGAUCUUAGUGUUAGGGCCUGUUUAGCAACGUGCCAAACAGUGCCAGAUUCUGAUUUUUUGUUCCCAGAAUCAGUUUGGGACGAGAAUCGCGUUUGGUAAAAUUUUUGUUCCCGGGAACAAUUUUGGACAAGAUUUGAGAAUAAAAAAAAAUUUUGAUUCUCUGUCCGAGAAUCAAAAAAAGAAUCAAAACGGUAAAACCCUCGCUCUCCCCUUUCGUCAUCCCGGUUGCCGUCCGCCAUCGCCCGCCGCCGUCCGCCACCACCCGCCGCCACCCUUCCUUCUCGGUCGCCGGUCCAGCGAGGUCGUCGGAGGCUCGCCAGGCCAAGGCGAGGUCCAGCGAGCUCGCCGGAGGCAAGCCCAACCACCGGCGAGGCUGGGCGAGGCUCGGCCUCGCCAGAUCGGGCGAGGUCGAGCCUUGCCGAUGGCUGGGCGAGCCUCGCCCAGCUGCCGAUGAGGCUCACCUGGCCACCGGCGAGGCUCGGCCGACGAAGGCCGACCUCGCCAAGGGCUGGCGAUGCUCCGGUGAGCGUCGCCGGCCCUCGUCUGGCUGGUCGCCGGUCUGGCGACCAACCAAAUGAAGAAGAAGAAGAAGAAGAAGAAGAAGAAGAAGAAGAAGAAGAAGAAGAAGAAGAAGAAGAAUAGGAAAACGGAGAAAAAAAGAAAAAAAAAAGGAAAAAAGAAAAGUAAAAAAAAAUUAUUUAAAAUUUAUUUAAAAAUCAAAAGAAAUUAAUUUGGAACAGAAUCAAUUAACACGGUAUCAAACGCAAUUCUAUUCCAGAAUAAAAACUUUUGGACAGUUACCAAACGCACUUUUUUACUCAGAAUCAGUUCCCGGGAACAUAAUCAAAAAUAAUCAUUUCUAGUCAGAAUCAGCUCCCGGUAACAGAAUCGUUGCCAAACGCGCCCUUAGCUGUCAUCAUGUGGGCACGAGUCAUGAGAUGGAGGAAGCUGAUUGCCAAUGUCAAAUUAAGUGCUUCUUCAAUGUUUCUAGUGGCUCAACCUGACAUUUGGAGCUGUAAAGUGUAGUAACAUCGAAUGCACUUCCCUUCAGCCAUAUUACCAACUCUGAAUUUCAAGGCACAACCCAUGGUUUUACAAAGUUUAAUGUGGACAUACAUUAGAUUCUUUUCAUUUUCUCCUUUCGAAUUCAUGAAGAUUCUAUAAUGAGCCUUUUUUUCCAUGUGGGCUGCGCAAAUUGAAGUUUCUGAGUUUCUUCUCAUGUGGAGCAUUUUAGAACUUAUUUUGUCAAAUGAACUGAGUCUUGAAAUGCGUGUCAAAGCAAUUUGGAAUGAAACAACCUGGUAAGGGGGACCAGCAAAUGACAUACGUCGGCAUCGUCUGAAUGUCACAAGGAACCGGCUAUCUGCAGGUAUUUCUUGAAGCAGCAACGUUCAUCAAGGAGAGUUCGGAGUUCGGCCUGAAUGACUUUUGCUUGAGAAAGAGACCAUGGGUCCUGACUCCUGAGCUUCAUCAACUCAUUCCAAAUAUGUUGGUCGAUUUUUGCUUUGUUAUGCUCUCUUCCACUUCAUCGCGUCCUUCGGAUUCCGUUGCCGUUGUUUAGGCCCACGUGCAAAGGGGAUGUUUGGAUAUGAUAUGCCGAUUCGAAGGAUGAGAUUUCUCGAUUCCACUCUCGGUCUUCCUGCUGGUGCGGUGUACCAGCAUUGACGUGGAUGUUGGUCCGUCAGCUGACAAUUAUGUGGGCAACUAUUAAUAAUAUUUUAUUUUAUUUUAUUUUUUGAUUUUUUAUUAAUUUUUUACUUCAUCGACCAAUGCAAUCGGAGGCCAAUUGAGUCAUCAUCGUUUGAGACUACAAGCCAAGGGCGUGAAGAUUGGCGGCGAGCUUGAAGAGAAAACAAUGAGAGAAUGCAGUGCAAAGCAAAGCCCGUGGAGAUGAUGGCCAAUCGUGUUCAUUUACAAAGGGAAAUUUCCACUUUUAUCUCUCGCAAUUUCAACUCCAUAAAAACAUUUUAAUUUUUCCUUAAGUCUUUCAAUUUGAGAUUUCUAUGUAAGUUCUUUCUUAUUGGAAAGCAAAUUGAACUAAGUUCAUUUCCAAUUAUCGAGAUGUCAUCCAUGUAAAUUAACAUCAUGAUAAAUGAAUUUCUUCUCCUAUUUACGGAGUAAAUCCUAACUUAAACAAUGUCUCGGAUAAAUGCACAUAAGACCUUUCAAUAGUUUAUCUGCACUUUUUGCCUUAACUAGUCCUACAGAUUUUAUCAUACAUUUGUUGACAAAUAUGACAUGAGUACUCACAGGUUGCACAGUCUUUACCACCAUAUCAAGGUUGAGCAUACGAAUGACAAGAGUCAUGACACCAUUUGACAAAUGACAUCCUAUUCCGACAAAGUCGGCCAUACUAAGGGUUCAAUAAGUUGAGAACAAAUCAAAUUUAUGUAAUAUCAUUUUGUGGUUUUAGGAUUGAAUCGUAUCUACAUACUAAUCUAGUUCGAGCAUUUCAUCAAACAAGUAAUAUGCAUUUUGAUCAAGGAGCUCAUACGCAAAUGUACGGCAACGAUUGACUUUUAGAUCAUCACGAAAAUAACAGUACAAGUUCUAGUUGCUAAUAGAGCUUCAAUCUCAACUGAUUUACUCACAGACAUUAGCUAAAGCUAACAGGCUCUGUUUCGUUCAUGAGCGGCAGAAACAGAGUGUGUGGGAUUUACCUUGAUGACAUUUAAGUUUUUAACCUCGGACGGUGAUCAGAUCAUUGACAAAGUUCCCAGUGGUGUCAACGCCGAUGAUCGAGGCCAGCGAAAGGGGAACAACCAAGGUUCGUGAACUUGCGAGCGUCCUGACCAGAAAACAGAGCAAAAAGAGAGUUGGCCUGACUACAACGAAACCGGCAAUGGCGGAGCGGCUACAGGGGUGGCUAACGGUGACUGAAGGACGACGGAGAAGGAGAGCCGAUCAAGAAGCCUCAAGAAUUCUCGAGAAAGAGAGUUUCUUCGUCAGGUUCAGCGUAUGCAUACUGUUGUGUUAUCGCUGAGCCUGUGGUGGCCGUCAACGGUGGCUCAACCGUGGCUGGUUUGGCGAUUGGAGAUGGCGGACGGUGGAUUUCUGGUGUCGAUUAGUAAUGGAGAAUCUUCUGGAACUCGACUGAUCGAGAGGGAGACGGAGAGGGAGAGGGAGAGACUGUGGAUUGAGGGCUGCGGUGAGGGAAAUUGUCUGGGCCGAGGUUUACUCCGAUGGGCCUGGCAUGAUCUGGGCUACGAUUGUGGAUCAGACCCAAUAGAUUGGACCAGGCCCUCUCAAUUCUGACCGAGUGGGAGCUUUUUUAUUGCUUUUUUUUUUUAAUUUUCUUUAUUAUCUUAUAUACCUUUACAAAAAAGCAUGUUCAACUUGCUGGCAAAAGAAUAACUUCACAACCGACUCUGCCAUAAUUCCUUAUCUGUGCAAUAUUGCAACAUUAUUCAGUGAGGAUAGUUAUCACACCUAGCUCUAUAAUCCUUGAUUUGAAUUUGAGCAUUGAUGGCAUGGUUGCACUCAUGCUUGAGUUGAUUUCUUGCAAAAUCAAUUAGGUCAAUAGCCCGUUGCACACUCCCUGACCAAAGCAAUUGGCAUGCCAAAUGUGGCUUCGUUAGAAUAGGCAAACCCCUCAAGUUUAGUAAUAAACCUCGUAUCGAGACAUAAUCCAAAACUUGUGAGUAAGUUUUCAAUUUGCGGUUCUCCAUUGCAAGACUUUCGGGACACUUGUAUGAUACUCAAAUUACAUAAAUUGCCCAUGACCAUAAGUGUAAUUCUAUGUGAUGUAGUUCUUUGAUUCACUUUUGUUUAUACUAUAGAGAAACACACCACGUCAUUGGAAUUUGGCUAUAAAAAGUACUCAUUCUCAUAAGACACUCCAUCACUUUUGAUUGAACGUGAAUUUGCAUGGCUUUCAUUGUUUCCAAAUUUGAGCGUCUUCCAUUUCAUGAAUAGGCGAAUUUCGCAUUUGUCAUUAAAGACAAAUUUCAUGACGUCCUUGCAAACCCCCAAUCUCAUUACCUUGUAUAAAUUGGAAUCUUCUUGUUGAAUGUCUUAUUUCUAUCUGUUUAUUUCCUAAAAUUCGCAGGAGCUAUAAUUGCAUAAUAUAUUGUAUCCCCAUAAAUUUAAUUUGUGUAAAAUUUCCAAGACCCUCCUCAUGUUUGUUGCCCAGUUCACACACCACUUUGCAUGCUCUUGAUAUUUAAAAUUCCCACUUCGCAUCUUAAGAUUGACUAAAAAGACCGAAUCACCCUUCAAUUAAUGUACAUAAAUUCAAUCGGGGCGAGAAAAGCGGAAGGGCAUUUUUUAAAAGAAAAAUGACGGUCUAAUUUUAAACUCUAAUAAAUAAAUUCUAAAUGAUGCACAAUUAAUUGAGUUUCAUGCAAGUUAUAUCACCCUUUUUUUUUUUUUAAGAAAACACACCUCGGAGAAUGUCUCCAUCAAAUAAUACCCAGACAAACCUCAUGAAUUAGAUAAUAUAGGCGAGAACCCUAAUGAAUUAACCCAAGCAAAAGGUGACUUGCAAUUGUUGGUGUGAAAAAACUGAUUCAUGUGAGUUUCCUAUGGUACUAAGCUUAAGAAAUUUCUAUGUGCACAUUAACACUACAUUUGUUUCACGGAAAACAAGUUCUGAGGAAACGUUUUCCGAAUUUUCCGACAUUCGUUUCAUAGAAAAUAAGUUGAUUGGAGAAUACAUUUUCCGUCAACAAAAAAAAAAAAAAACUUCUUCAAAAGUGGGGAAAAUGUUUUCUCUUUUCUUUCAUCCCCUUUCUUUCACUUCUAAACCAAACGCUUUUUUUCACCAAACACAUUUUCCUUUUAUUUUUAUUAUUUUAUCUUAAAAUAAUUCGAAUUUUUAAUUAUUUAAAAAAAAUCCUUCUUCUUCGUACUCUCCUCAUGUCCGCGCACGGUUGGCAUGUAUCCGCACACCGCUGCAUGCACCGUGGCCGAAGCACUCGGCCACGGUGGGAAGAAGCAUGCGUAGUAGUCGAACCCCUUUUCCGCGACAGUGGACCUCAGAUCGCACAGGAUGGCGUAGAAUGCCACAGCAUAAUUGUCCUGAUCAGAGUACUGCUCUCCACUGCAUACCUCGUCCACAAAAGUCAAGCGUCCGAGUAGCAGAGCAUCGACGCUCACGAGGCGCGUGCAUUCGGGAAGAGGAACACACGAACGGGAGCCUCAGCAGAAAAUUCUCUAUCGGAUCAACCCCAUUUCCAGACGCUACUCCACCUUCGCUCUCUCUCCGUCGCCUCAGUCCACCGGUUGCUACCGUCGCUGAUCCUCCAUCGCCAGCCAGAACUCUUAUGCACUCGGCACAAAUCACACACGGUGGGGAGGCUCAGAGGUUUCUGAACGUCCAGAGAGUUAUGUCUCUCGGCUUCUUGCUUCGUAUGGUGACCUUCAACAAACCUCCCGGCACCGUUAGCAUCAUCUCCGAUCAUUGCUCCACCAGCAGGCCGUAGCUCUGUUAGCACCUGUUUUCCAGUGAGUUUGCUCGGACUGCUCUGAACUUGUUCGUUUCUCCUUCGCUGGCUCCGAUCCUCAGCAUCAUUGUCUCAGACAACCUCUUCCUCUCAUCCGAUAGUCCUUCGUGCAUCGGAUAAAAUAAAAACUAUAAUCUUCUUCUUCGUUCUUAGUUUCAUGAAGAGAGACUUAGGCAUUUUUGUGUGAUUUUUAUUGUCAAAUUCACUGCUGGCGUGUCCACGCUACAAGUGCUUUGUAUGAUCAUCGCUGAAGUGUUCACCGUGAAGUGUUCACAAUAACAAACUGAAUCACAAAUCAACAUUCACUGCAAUGCAUGUUUGUCUGUUAGAUGGUCGAUACUUGUUUAGUUCUUCCUGCAAAAUGUCUUGCAAAGAUGACUCCGUCUACAUCUAUGUUACUUUGAGAUCGCCAAGUGUAGGUUGCUCUCUUUGGCGGUUUCCGGAGUAAUGUUCCAUAAACUGUACAAUCUGUUCUACUGGGAGAAGAAAGAAAUUCUCAGCAUUAUCUCCCGAAUGCUGAAAAUAUAUUUUCUGCAUUCUGUUAUGUCAUUCUUCGUUUUAAAUUCGAAAUCAAGUUCCGUAGGCUUAUUAAAAUCAUGGGUUUUAUUUUUUCAUGGGGAACUUCAAAGAGGUUCAUGAGAAAAUAUGAUCAGAAUUUCUGAGAGUGUCCAACGGUGCAAUUAUUUGGCCUAUGGAAUUGGGAAAAUUGCGACGAAAGUUAGAAUGAAUCCAUGAAAUCGUACUUGAUAAAAGCUUGUCCAAGAUAGAAUAUCCGCGAUUGACAGCGAAUGCCAAUGGUGAGGAACAGAGCCAUGGCUAUUGUGGAUUUGUCUCAAUGAAAGUGGAAGACGUCGGCGACGGCCAUGAUGUUUUGGUCUGAGCUUGAAGUCUUGGGGGAUGAAUUUCAUUCACCUAAGCAUCCUCAGCUUUGUGAGUUUGUGAAGUUCAUGGCAGUUCCCAUUCGCGUUAAUUUUAGCAGAGAGUUUGGGGAGAGACAGAUGCUCGAACUGCUGGUCACAAGAUUUUCGAGGUGCGAGUUAAUCCACGAGCUAAACCUCCCCAUGCGACGGACUGUGCUGUUCUCUUGUUUGAUUCAAAUUCCGUACAGAAUUUGUAUGUGUUGGGGAGAUCUCGGAAAUGUCAAGCUAAUGGAAACAAACUGAAUCGGUCAUAUAGGAUAUGAUUGUGCUGGAAAAUGGCGUUGGUGUUGUGCUUAUAGGUCUCCAAAGCUAGACCAUUAAAAAGAUUCGAUCUAUCGUUUUUAGGUCGCUACGCCGGUAGAUACCAGUUGCACAUAACAAGAUAUGCCUAGAGAUUGAAAGCUUUCUUCUCUUGCUUUGUUUGCAAUCAAUGCAGGUAAAGCUGAAAGAGCAAGGUGCGUGCAUAGCCCUCAAACUGGCAAGCAAUUUAAAUCCAAGUAUUCUAUCUUGCAACUUGCGGUUUGGCAAAUAUAUCUGAAGAAAACAAUGUGGUCAAAUCCUCAUGGCCAUAUGACAGCUCUUGGAUUUAAAUCGGAUAAUUGAAACAUAGUAAAUGAAAACAUCACCUAAUAAACCAAGCUUAUAAUCAAGGGAGAAAGUAAGUAAAUAUGGAAAUUAAAGUCCGAGAAUUCAACUCAAUACAAUGUUGGUUAAAGAAUAUAUAUUGUCUCAUUAUCAAGCCUCGGGACAAAAAAUCUCAUAAGUUAAGUCUGGAAAUUAAAACCAAGCCUAAUGAAGAUAUAUGUCGAAGUGACCCCAGAGUGUAUCCUAAUAUUAAAGCAAAAGGAAUUUUUUAAAAUCAUUUAUUUUCAUUUUUUUUUAUUUUCUUUAUCCAUUUCAUCUAAGAAAAACACAAUGUAAAAUUUCAAUUUAUUUCAAGAUUCAAGAAAUAUGACCUCCCUAAAUCCGAAGAACAUGGAUAAAAUGAAAUUCAAAUAAAAUCAUUCUUAAAACGUAAUCGCCCAAUUGAGACUUGCGUUUUUCUACAAUUUUUAUUUUUAUUUUUAUUUUUAAUUAGUGAAAACAAAACAGGAGAAUUUAUCCGGACACAAAUGUGCCCCAAAUAUAUCCACUCCAGCUUUUUGACUCACGAACAUUAUUAGCUAAAGCUCAUGGGCUCUGUUUUUAGUUCAUAAGCGGCAGAAAUAGAGUGUGUGUAAACCUUGAUGAGAGUGAGGCUUUGACCUCGAUCAGUGAUCAGAUCAGAGACGAAGUCCCUCGAGGUGUCGACAUCAACGAUCGAGGCCGGCGAAGGGGGAGCGACCAAGGGUCCGUGCUCUUUCGGCCGUCCUGACCAGAAAACAGAGCAGAACGAGAGGAGGCCUUGCUGCAAUGAAAUCGGCGAUGGCGGAGUGGCUACAGUGGCGGCUAACAGUGUCUGGAGGACUAUGGAGAAGCGAAAACUGAUGAAGAAGCCUCUAGAAUGCCUAUAUGUGAUGUGCACAAAGAUGAAAUCGUUGUGGGCCUCGAUUCCCUUCUUCCUUCAUGAGCGCACAUAAAGAUAUUGGUUGCAUUUAACGUUUGGCUUAAUGGAUCAGAUGAUACCACUGCCAAGGUUAGCAUUUUCAUACGAGUUGAGGUCCUUUCUUCCGGAUAUUCAUUCUAUUUAGACUGGCCUCUUUGUAAAGUUUCAUCCAUGAGUGUUGCGUUUAUCUAAUCAAUCUCGUGAUUGCACUAAAGAUUAAUUUGUCCCUAUCACUCGUCCUUCUCCCAUUAGAGAUCGAUAUGUGAUCUUAAAUACUGAAAACUCUCUCAUGUGGCUCAUUGAUAUUUAAUUUCUUCAACUUGCUCACGAUCUAGAAAAGACAUAUAGAAAAAGUGAAGACAAAAUAUUAGGUCCCCAACUUUACAUCUGCCUUACAAAUGUUCCUCGGCUAGAUACAAUACAAGAUGGAUUCACUCCUAUGGAACAUAAUUGCAAUGUAUGCAAUUAUGUCCUUUGAUUCGUUGGAUUCGUAUUAUUCAAUUAUGUCCUUUAAUUUGUUGGAUUGGUGCAAUUCAUAAUCUUUUUCUUGUUUGCAUCUCUUCCUUACAUAGCAUAUUCACAGAUGAUUUGGUUAUCGACUCAAAAGUCUCUGCUUACUCCAACAAAUCAAUUAUCGUACUCACAUGAUUUUGGAUUCUCAUUAUAUUAAAAAACAACAAUAUGACAAAAAAAGACAGUGAAUAAUUUGUAUCUCAUAUAUUUUCUUUUUGUCCUUUUUUGUUGGCCUCUGAAUGCGUAUUGUACUACAUAUUACAUAAUUUCGUUGUGGUUGUGUCCUACGUACGUAUAAUAUAUGCCUUUCAUGAAAAAAGUGCACUAGUCGGGUCCCUUCAUUGAUGCUUCUAAUUUUCAAUUGACUGCAAAUUAUAUGUGGUCUAGCGCGAAUGGGUUGAAGGGCCGAGGCUUAUUUUGAUGGGCUUGGUACGGUCUGGGCUGCACUUGUGGAUCGGGCACAACAGACGGGCCUGGCCCUGUCAAUUCUGACUGAAUUGGACCUUUUUAAUUACUUUAUUUUCUUUCCUCGUUUUUUGUUUGGGUUUUUACUUAUUUUUUACUAUUUUUCAUAUCAUAUUUUUAUAUUUAUUUUUACCAUAGUGCGUGUUCGACUUCCUGGCAAAAAUUCAAGUGUCAAUAGAGGCAACAUUCCAUCAUCUGGCCAAAGAUUUACUUCACAUUGAACUCUACAACUAUCUUUUAUUUGCGCAAUAUUCAUUCAGUGAAAGAAAAGUCCUCAUACUUAACUCUAUAAUCCUUGAGUUGAAUUUCAGUGUGAUAAUGUCGCUGCGCUUGUGCUUGAGUUGAUUUCACAUAGAAUUGAUGCAUUGUGUAUGGCUUGGGCCUUGAAGCACAUCAUUACUGCUCCACCCAUGCAGCACACUGCGGUGGAAUCAUUGUACAUGCUAUAGUAGUUGUACUCAUGCUAGCCAUCUUAGUGCCCAAGUCCUUUAGGAUGAUUUUCACUAUAGUUGCGUACGGAACCAAAGGGAAAUACUGUCGCUUGCUAUAGAUUAUCUUUGACACAGUCGUGUCUACUACAUAGCUCAUUGUGGUGCACAAAAAGAAAGAGCUAGUGAUGCAUACGAUUCCUUGAAAUGCUAUCAUGAUAUUUAUAUAGGUGAUCUGUGUAUUUUCAAGAUUGCUACUUUAUUCAUAUAGUAUUAAUUAUCUUGUGGAUCCAUCCAGGUCUUACAAAGUAAAAGCGUUAUUGCAUAGAUCGAUGUCACUUAGUUAAUAUAACAUGUAGGCAACAUAUGAGCUGGGUAUAACCACAAUGAGUUCACGUCUAGCAUGUGGAAUUGCGAUGAGCAUUUGACAUUAGUGCUGGUGAGAGUUUUAGAGAGCUGGUAUUGAAAGGGGCUAACUCGGAAAGCUAGGGAGUGGCAUAACUUUUUCCCCCUUUGAAAUAUGAAUUGAUCUUUUGUUUACAAGUCCUAAGUUACUCGGUGAAAUCGUAGUACUUAUACAUGAUUCUGCAAUCUUGAAUUGUGCUCCGGCGGUACGUGGACGAACUUUUGUUAUUUGCUUCGGGGUGAUAUUCAUGCAGCCGACACGGUCCGAUUGGGUCAACGCCCGACUACACACUCGAUGGCCAAAGGAAUCCACAUCACCAAAUGGCUUAGCCAGGAUAGUUGGACCCCUCAGUUUCGGUAGUAAGCCUCGUAUCAAUUGAGACAUAGUCCAAAACGCUCACUUAAGUUGUCAAUUUAUGGUGCUUCUCUCCACUACAAAUCUUUUAGAUAAACGAGAUGUCGGAUCACUUAUAGUGCUCAAGCUAUACAAAAUCCCCACGAAUGUAAGUGCGAUUCUUUCUAAUGUAGACAUCUAGCAUAUGUGGUUCAGUGCGAUUCUUUCUAAUGUAGACAUCUAGCAUAUGUGGUUCUUUCAUUCACUUCUGUUUAGAAACGCAAGAUUGGAAUCCAACCAUAGAAAGGACUCGUUCUAAUAGGGCACUCCCUCAUUUGUUAUUGGGUUAGGUAGCUGAUCUCUUAGUCAUUAAUCACGUCAAAUGAAUCUUUGCUUUAAUCAAACUUUAGAGCAAUUCCAACUAAUCGUCCAGCCAUUAUUAUGACAUAGGCAAGAUUAGAGCAAUUCCAACUAAUCGUCCAGCCAUUAUUAUGACAUAGGCAAAAAUAACUUGGUGAUUCUCCAUCAGUCUUGGAAUCUUGACUAAAUGCGAAUCUUCAUUGUUUUCAUUACUUCAAGGUUUGUCAUACAAGACAAAUAUUCUUGACAUCCCUAUAAUGCAACCCCUCAUCUCAUAGCCUUGUAUAAAGUAGAAUCCACAUAUAUAUAUACACAAACAAGAAUGUCUUUUUCAUAUUUGCUUAUUUCCUAAAAUUCACAGGGUAUAAUUGAAUCAAAUAUUAUAUUUCCCUUAAAUUUAAUCCAAAUAAAAUUUUCCAAUACCAUAAUGAUUGGUUCGCAGUUCCCACACCACUUUACAUGCUAGAUGUUUGAAAUUCCUAGUUUGCAUCUUAAAUUAACUUGAAAGACAGAAUCACCAUUCAAUGGUGAACAAAACUUAAGCUGGCGUCAGAAAAGUGAAGGAGCAUUUUUUCAAAAAAAAAAUGAAAACAUAGUCUAAUUUAAACUCUACUGAACAAUAAAGAAUUCUGGAUGAUGCGUGACUAAUCGGGAUUCAUGCAAGCUAUAUUGUUUUUAUUUUCUUUCUAAGGAAACUUUUAUGUUAAUGGAAUUCAUGCAACUAUUGUGCAACCUAGGAAAUUUCUAUGUGCGCACUAAGCGACAAAGAUCCUUUGCCACGGUUUGUGUUCGCGUCAUGCCAUCAGCUCGGGGCUCUGUCUAGCUCGCACUAUCGCUUACUCAGUUCUGCACCACUGUUGACAUCUCGUCGCAUCUAACCAUCUCAGUUGAGAUUUUCCGAGAUUCGACGAGGAUGAAGAACAGAUCUGGGAGAAGGGCAUUCAAAUCGCAUGGCAAUUAAGAACUAAGACGUUGGCAGCAGGAACGCAGAGCUUGAUGCGUGGCGUAGAGCCCCGUCGGGAUCCACAAACACAGCACCGCCACAAGUUCAUGGUCAGCGCGUCGAGGAGAGAGAGAAGAUCGAGGGCCAGCAAAGAUAGAGAAAGAGCGAUGGAGCUUCUGUGUCCCUGGUGACGGUGGCUGGUUUCAGAGGCUAUCGUGGUUGGGCUAGGCAUGCGAGGAAAGUUGCGACGAGAGAAAGAGAGAGGAUUUCUGAUAUAUUUUGCUCAUUUACGGUCAGAAACCAAGUGAGGAUCUUCUUCAUGGAGCACAGUUCGUAGCAGAUGAUCUCCAUUCCUCCUUGUAUAUGCCAUUUUUGUCGACCUAAACUAGUAGUUCUAUAUCAAGUAUUAUAAAUUCUCUUUUUAUUCUUUUAAAAUAUUAACAUUUUAGAUGUGAUUAUCGACUUAAUUGGACUGGCAGUUUCGUGCUCUAGGGAGAGAACCAUCCAAAGCUGUUCAUAAACCGCAAUCCAUCACUAAAUAUGAAAAUCUCUUAAUUAUAAUGAAAUAAAACUUAAUAAUAAGAAAUCUAGUUGGCUUUAUCAUUUGAGGAUUUUCCCUUGUACUAUACUAGCGAAGGAGUACACACAUCUGCACAUUUGCGAAAAGAGAAUUGAAAUGGUUGUGAUAGUACAAAUUUAAAAGUAACAUAUUUGACGAAAUUAUACACAUACACCAUCUGUGUAAAAAAGUUGUGCAUGGAUGUCGCAUACACUAUUAAUUUGAGAGUGGUAUGUGCACUAUUUUUCGAUAUGUUUAUGUGAUUAGUUGAUAGUUGUUUAGAUUUUUUAAGUUAUGAUUUCGUUCUUUCUGUGAUGCCAUUUUCCAUGUUAAAUUUUAACAAUAGAUAUAGGCAUUUCAUGAAAUUCUUUUAUGAAAGUUUGAGAUUGAAAUCCAUCCUCUUCGAAUAUGAUUAUUUUCUAUUUUGUCUGUACUUGUCAACAUCUAACACUACCAAUUUCGAGUGGGGUCACACCCAAACGUCAUCAGAUCCAAUUGAUCUAUUCUUGUGGAUAAUUAAAUGAUUCAAACAUAGACAAAGAUCAGUAGCACCAGCAACUCCAUUCAUCCUCAUUCAUAUCACAUUGCAAUGAUUUCUCAUUGAAGUAUUGUUUUUCUUAGAUGUGACAACUAAUGAUAUUAGAUAUUUUCCGACAAAAGCUUAUGUUAUUCUGUAAAUGAAUAUUGAGAUAUACCACAAAUAUAUAUCUGUAUGUAUCUCAACAAUCACUUUUUUUUAUAAGAAAAUACAUCUCGGCGAACGGCUUCAUCAGAAAGUACCCAAAUGGCCUCAUGCUACAGGUAAGAUAUAGGCGAGAACCCCUCAUGAAUGACCCAAGAAAAAUAAGAUUACUUGCAUUUACUAGCAUCGAAAAAUAGGAUCAUGUUGUGCCCAUCGACUAGAAUCUAAAGCCAAUCGAACAAUCUAUGUUUAUAAUGAGUCGCCACCGAACAAUCUAUGUUUAUAAUGAGUCGCCACCCUGCUAAACCACAUAAAUUUUUAUGUGCACUCUCAGAUAUACAGAUCUUUUGAUCCGGUUUGUAUUCUCAUCACCCAUUCCAAUCAAUUGAUACGCGCUCAGUUCUCUCUCUCUCUCUCUCUCUCUCUCUCUCUGCACGCACCGCAUCUGGCCAUCUCAGUUGAGAUAUCCUGAGAUACGACAAGAAUAAACAGAUCUGGAAGAAGGGCCUCCAAAUCUGUCACUAUCAACGACUAAUCUGUUGGCAACGAUGUGAUAGAGCUCGACAAAUUGUGCGGAGCUCCGUCCCGAUCUCCGUCCCGAUCGACAGACUCGACCUUGCCAUGAGUUCAAGGUUGGUGCAUUGGGGAGAGAGAGAGAGAGAGAGAGGAUCAAGUGGUCAAAGAAGCUAGGGAUGGUGCCAUGGAGUUCUCUAUCUCAGAUGGCUGGAGUCAGUGGUUGUCAAAGUUGGGUCGGACGUGCUAGAAGUUGAAAAGGUGCACGGAGAGAGAGAGAGAGAGAGAGAAUUUUUGAGAGGUUUUUCUCAUGUACGGUUAAAUACCAAAUAAAAUGGAAACAUAUUGCUAGCUCUUAAUUGAGGCAAAAAAUCACAGAACGAUUCUUGGCACGGUAUCUCCAUUUCUCUGUGUAUGCCAUUUUCAUUGACCUAAACAAAUAAUUCUAGGGAAAAUGACAGAUAGUCUUUGAAUUUUGGCACUAUGUGUAACGUGGUCCUUAAACUUUUAUAUUUAUUUAAUACAGUUCCUGAACUUUAAUUCAAUAGACAAUCGGUCCCUGAACUUUUGAUUUUUUUUAAUACAAUCUUUGAAAUUUUGGUACAAGUUCAAUUUAGUUUCUGAACUAUAUAUUAUUCUUGAUUUUAAAUUAAUGAAAGGAUUACAUUAAACAUUUUCAUAUAGUUUAAGGACUAUAUUGAAUAUGUACCAAAAUUUAGACAUUACAUUGUACAAAUUAAAAAUUUAGGGACACCUUACCAAAAAAAAAAUUAAAAAUUUAGGGACUAAAUUAAAUAUUAAGUUAAUGUUCAAGGACCACAUUGCACAUAGGGUCAAAGUUUAUGGACUAUUUGUAUCAUUACCCUAUAAUUCUAAUAUCAAAUAUUGUGGAUUUUCUUUUUAUUUUUUCUGAAAAUGGUAUUGUUUUCAGAAGCCCCUAAAGUUCUUUAUAAACCGUAGUCCACUACUAAAUAUAAGAUCAUUUCAACAAUGACGAAAUAAGACACUUUAAUAGGAAAUCUAGUUGGCUUUAUCAUUUGGGGAUCUUCUUUUGUACUAUACUGGCGAAGGAGCACACAUGCCUGCGUGUUACAAGAAGAGAAUUGAAAUGUGUCCGAAGAGGGGUAAAUGUCGAAAGAGAUGAAUUUAUUUAUUGACUUAAAUUAUAUUCGAAAAUUAUAUAUUUGGCAUAAUUAUAGCAUACACCAUCCUUGUAAUAUAUUAUCAAUUUAAGAGAGUAAGUAUUUAUGAUCUUUAAAUCAUAGGUAUGAGAUCGCUUGUAUCAAUUUUCUUUACAUUGAUGGUGUAUGCUUUAUUUUUUCGGUAUGUUCAUGCGGAUAGUUGACAAUUAUCUUGAUUUUUAUGGUCACGAUUUCGUCCACUCUGUUGGACCAUAUUCCCACAGUACAUUUUAACGACAGAUAUAGGAAUUUCAUGAAGUUUCUUAACAAAGCUUAAGAUUGAAAGCCAUCUUCUUCAAAUUUAACUAUUUUUUUCUUUUUAAUAUAGAUUAGCUUUGGAUUUGUCAAGAUAUAAUGCUACCAAUUUUGAUGGGCUCAAACCCAAACAUUGCCGGAUCAAAUUGAUCCAUUCUUAUUGAUUAUUAAGGGGGUGCAUGACAACCAAAAAUUUAUGUUCCAGAAAUAGUUUUUCUGUUCCAGACCUAUUUCUGGAAGAGAAAUCCGUUUGAUAAACCUAAUCAGUUUUUUUAUUUCUAGAAUAGAUUUCUAUUCCAGAAAUAGGUUUAGAAGAGAAAUCAGAAGUUAAAAUUUUCUACUUCUGAUUUUUUGAAAAGAAAUCAAAAAUAAUUUCUCUCACUAAACCCUAAUUUCGGUGAGUCCUCCCUCAUCUCCUCUAUGUCUCUGCCUCCUGCUCCUCCUCCACCUCUCCUCAUUUUAUUAAAAAUAAAAAUAAAUAUAUUCAUUUAAAAUAAAUAAAUUAUUUUUAUUUAUCAUUUUAUUUUCAGUUUAUUAAAAAUAAAUUUAUUUAAUUUAUUAAAAAUAAUUUAUUUAUGAUAAAUAAAAAAAAUUAUUUUUAUUAAAAAUAAGUUUAUUUUUAUUUGCUUUGAGUGUUUUGCUAAAUAAUUUUUUUUAUUUUUUAUUUUUAUUCAUUUUAAAAUAACUUUAUUCGUAAAAUAAAAUAAAAUAGAAUAAAUAAAAUAAAUUUAUUAAAUUUAUUAAAAAUAAUUUAUUUAUGAUAAAAAUAAUAAAUUUUUAUUUAUUAAAAAUAAAUUUAGUAAAUUUAUUUUUAUUUGCCUUGAGUGUUUUGCCAAAUAAAUUUUUUUUAUUCAUUUUAAAAUAAAUUUUUUCGUAAAAGAAAGUAAAAUAGAAUAAAUAAAAUAAAUUUAUUAAAUUUAUUAAAAAUAAGAUAUUUAUGAUAAAUAAAAAUAAAUUAUUUUUAUUUGCCUUGAGUGUUUUGCCAAAUAAAAUAUUUUUAUUUUUUUAUGAUUUAUUUUAUUUUUUAUUUUAUUUUUUUGUUACUAAAUCAUUUUUAUUUUUAUUUUUAUAUUAAAGGUCGUCGGUUGUCGCCGCCGCCGUCUGGAAAGAAGAAAUUUUGUGUUGUUAUCAAACGAAUUUCUAUUUUUAGAGUAGAAAUUUUGUGUCGUUAUCAAACGGUUAUUUUUGCUUAGAAACUCUUCUAAAAAUAGAAAUAGAAAAAUAUAUUUCUGUUCCAGAAACUAUUUCUGGAACAGAAUGAUUGUCAUGCGCGCCCUAACUAGUUUGAAUAUAUACAGGCCACUCAUUCCAUAUUCAUAUCACAUUGUGACGAGAUUUUUUAGAUCAUCGAUUUUCUAAGAUGUGACAUAUUAUGAUAAUGGAUCAUUUCCAAUAAAAAUUUAGGUUAUUCCGUGAACGAAUAUUGCUCAUACCUAAGCCUACAAUUGCAAAGUUGAAGUUGAGCAUCGACACUAAAAGGACACUCUCUAGAUUUCAUCGUAGGCAAAAUUCAUGCAGCUCGUACAAUCGGCUUGUGUCCCGUGGCCAAAGCACUCGACACGAUUGACAAAAGCGUGGGUAUUAGUCGAACCCCUUCUCAGUUGUGGUGGACGUCAGAUCCUGCAGGACGAUGUAGAAUGCUUUGGCAUAAUCGUCCCAAUCGUAGUACCGCGCUCCAUUGCAUACCUUGUCCACAAAAGUCACGUCCGGAUCGCUUCUUGUGAUACAGAGACAGUGGGAAAGUACUACGAACUGGACUGCGAUUUUGCGUGUUGCGGGCAUGAUUAUUGUGUUCACUAUCUUUCCCUCUCAAAAAGCUCUCUUUUUUUUUUUUUUUUGGUCGAAAAUAACAUCCAUAUAUAUAUCAACUGAAAUUACAACCAUUCGUUAUAGCGUCCGCAGUCAAAAUAGCAAGAAAAACAGCAGGAGGUUGAUGUAACCAGUGUCGGGCUGAAUCAGUUGUGCGAUGGGCCUUUGUAGCCCAGUCAGCGGCCCGGUUUGCUUCUCUCAGACAGUGUUGCAGGGUUAGGUCAGCGAAGCGGGAGAGCAGGUGGAGCGCCUCUUCUACGAUCGGCCGAAGCUCCCACAUGGAUGAUCUGCCAUUGCGCACAGCUUCAACAAGGGGAAAGCAGUCCGUUUCAAUCAACAGAGUGGUAUUAUGGAGUUGUCGUCGCAGUAGAUGAUGCAGGGUACAGGUUAGUGCGUUGAGUUCAGUUUCCAGCGCCGAGUGCGACCGAAAUUUGCUAGAAAAUCCGUCCAUAAGCCUCCCACGAUGAUCUCUGCAGACACAGGCCAUCGUGCCCUCAGUGCUGCCCGGUUGAUAAGCUCCAUCUAUGUUAUAUUUCAAAGUGCCAGAGUCUGGAGGACGCCACAGAUGCGCGGGAUUGAGGUGCGGAAUCCUGGAUCUCGAUCCAGCAACAGCAAGGGAAAGGAGUGAUCGGGUCUGAGUGAUGGCCAUGUCAACUACCCGUCGUGGAUCUGGUGUCUAGUUGCGGAAGACUGCAUCAUUGCGCAUUCUCCAAAUCUGCCAUAGUGUAUUGGCAGUGAGCUCGAGACCGGGUAGGUUCUUUGGUGUCGCUGCUAUGGCUGAGAUCCAUUGAUCAAUUCGUUGGUUGCUCCAAGGGGGUAGUGUGCUAUUAAUAUGUUGGUGUGUCCAGACAGCUCGAGUCCACUCACAUUGGAGGAACAGAUGUUCGAUGGUCUCUUGGUUCUGUUGUUUACACAGCAUGCAUCAAGGGUCAGAGGCGAUGUGUCGAUUAAAGAGGUUGGCCCUUGUCGCAAUUGCAUUCUGACACACAGCCCAGGUAAAUACUCUUAUUUUUGGCGCAGUUUGCAUCACCCUUAGUAGGCUGCAUCGGGGCUAGCCCUCGCCCAACCGGGCCUCUCCUGUGGUGGGUGAGGCCAAUCGACUAGUUAUGACCGGUGGCUGGCCAACGGAAAAGGCAAAAAAGAAAGCCAAAAAGAAAAGGAAAAACGAAAAAAAAAAAAACAUAAAAAAUAUUAAAAAUUCAAAAAAUAAUAAAAAUUGUACACGUUAGCAUCGGCAGUCCUACAUGGCAUUGCCCGCGUCCACGUCAGCAUUUUCCAACCAAAAUUGGCCGAAUUGACCCAAUUGACAAGAAGUGAAAAUGUUUAGAACUAAAUUGGCAAAAAUACAAUAGGUUUAGGACUUUUUGGACAACUUUCCCCCUAAAUUUGUCAGGAUCUUCAGAUAAAUGUCAUAGGAUUCAAUCAGGAAAGGUAGGCAAUUUAUGUAGAAUCUUCUUGAGAGCAAAACUAAUAUAUUUUUCAUCUCCACCAUCUGCUAAUUAUUCAAGAGCAUCUUCCAAUUUCCUAUAGAGAGCCUCUAUUUCCACUCUCAAUAUCGCUAAAACACACCAUUUAUUAAUUAAAAGUGUAAAAUGUCUUUAAUUAAAAUAGGCAACUAAGUAGACCAGAAAAGGCAAGCAAUGGGGGUCUAAGCAACUAUCUAUUUUGAAGCCAAAAAAUAAAAAUUCAAAAAAUACACACACAACCCAACUCCAUCAUCUUGCUCAUGAAGUUUGAACCUGCUCGUGUGCUUUCAAUUUAGUGUUGCAGGUUAUCUUGAUCGGACAUUAUCAUUAUUCACAAAUUAGAAGUCUUUAAGUUGCUUAUUUGACUAAAGAAUAUCUUCCCAAAUGCACCCUAAGCAAAAGUGACUUUAGGGUCACAUUAUUUCUGACUCUUCUAUGGCUCCACAAUCAAGACAGCACAUGGACUAAAUUACCCCUUAAAAAAAUCCCAUUUUUGUUGGCCUUCAUUUGGUUGAGAGCAAGAGUCAUUUGGCCAGGAAAAAACAUAAGCUAAAGAUACCUUUUGUAUGGCUUCAUACAAGGAAAAUUACCAAAAAAAGCCUUAAAUCUAUUGCAACUAUGUCAAUUUAAUCAUAAACUUUUCAAUUACACAAAUUUAAUUCUUAACAUUUUCACGUUUUGUCAAUUGAAUCAAUCCAAUCAAUUUUAGUUAGAAACCACUGACGUGGAUGCUGACUAUUUUACAUGGCAUGACCAACACUAACGUAAGCAAUUUUUUUAUAAUAAUUUUCUUUUUUUUUUCUUUCUUUUUCCUUUUUUUUUUCCUUUCUCUUUGUGUAGGCUAGAUCAAUCUAAAUGGCAAGCACCUUUUGAAAGGUAAAAUAUGUGAUAUGGUAACUUUUCAUUUAUUUGUAACAUUCACGUGUGAUGAGUAACUUUUUUAUACAUCAAAGUCAUUUUCAAGAUGCUUAGUAACUUUUUAUAAUAAAUAUCGCAUGAUUAGUGAAUUUUAUUAUGCUUGGAUAAGUUGCAUGUGUAUUUUGAGUAAAUUUGACUGUUGAAUUCUUCCAUGUGUCACCCAUCCAAUGAUGGAUGUGGAAAUUUUAUAUCUGACAUUGAUGGUGGACCUAAUUAAAACCCAGAAAGGUAUUAAAAUUAAUAUGGAUAGUGCUUUUCUUUUUAAACUAUAAACCCAAUCUCAAAUUUGAGAUCAAUUCUAAAUAUAUUAACAUUAUGUUUUGGGCCGACAAUGGGCUUACUCAAGAUACUUAAAUGAGAUGACCAUCCAGCUUUAGUCACAAGGUAUCCUCAUGCACUCUUUGCUUUUCAUUUAGGUUUCCGGCCACUCGAAUCUCUGAGAAAAAUGUCAUGACUCUUUGCCUUCUGACAAGAGCCUUGGAAUUGGGUAAACUAACAUGCAAAAGGGAAUCUUUCAUUUAAUUAUAAUUAUUAUGAUUUUCAAAGCAAAGUUUAACUAAAAUUUAAAAGUCACAAAAAUACAAAGAUCGAAGUGGGCUCGACAAAAAACCACUGGGGGUUCGCCCCAGUGGCCACCCUUCCAGCAUGGAAGGGGGAGGUGAGGGGUUCAAAUCCUCACCUUCUCAGGAGGAUGGGGUAGGGACGCGUAAGUUUCGAGAAUGGGUUGCGACUCCCACGCCCUGCAAGUGGCAGGGCACAAGUCUGCGAGUGAGUGUAGAGUAGAAAUAGAGUAGGACUGACCAAAAAAAAAAAAAAAGUGGGCUCGACAAACAACAUAAAGUUUAAUUAAAGUUAAUGACAAAUGUAAUCACGUGAAGAGCAAUAUCAUUGGAUACCAACCAACCAGUCACAUGAGCAGCAAAAGCAGCUCAACCACAGUUUGCAAAAUUAUUUGAGAGAUCCAAGGCCACUCGUCAAUUUUGCCUAUUUGUUGCACGGGUCCAAGACUAUAUUUUUCAUAUAUUAUUCUAAAUGUCAGUUUUAACAUAUGUUGCUUUUGUUCGUAUUUCAAGUUAAUUAUUUACAUUUUUAUUGCAGGUGUUUAAUACAUUUAAAAUCCUAAUCGUCAUGUGCGUGUGGGUGUGGCCUGUCCUUCUCCAUUUGUUCUCUUAAUUACAUCUUUUUAUAUAGACAAUGACCGACUACAAAAAGUACUUAUUAAACAAGAAACAAGUUUCAGAUCAAAAAAAAAGAAACAAGUUUCGACCAAAAAAAAAGAAACACACAGUCAUCCUAGUCGAAUCAUUUUUUUACUUUAACAACUGGCAAUCAUUUUUUUAGGCCACUUGAUGGAACUGCAACUUAAAAUUUAUAAUGCAAGAAAUCAAUUCAAAUUUGGACAGAUUUUGUCUUGAUUGAGAAGACCGGUCAUUUCUGAAUCUUAUUUUUGGCCAACGACAAACUUGAACAGUGUGCUGCCCAAUUUGCAGCUUCCCGAGGAUUUGAAGGUGCUUAGUUAACUUAACUAAGGUUACAUUUCAGAUCUCCAUGUCAAUAUAUAUCUCCUUUUUAAUAAUUUGGAUCUUCGUUAAGAUUCUAAAUCGUUAGAUCUCUUAUACUAAAUCGCACACAUUAUUAAUAGAAUAUUAUCAACAAUUAUUUUUCAAUAUAUAAAUCAAUAACACAGCCAUUUAUGUUUUACGGAUGUUUCGAUCUAUAUACCAUUUUAUAUCUACGGUCAACUUAAUAAAAACCUAGAAACGUACCAAAAUUAAUAUGGGUAAUGCUUUUCCAGUUAAAUUUUAAACUCAAUUUCAAAUUUAAGAUAGUUCUAAAUAUAUUGACCUAAUGUUGUGGGCCGACAAACGCUAGAAAAGUCCUAAAAAAUAAUUUGGGCUUAUUAUGGAUACUUAAUUGAGAUGGCAGUCCAAAAGGUAUCCUUAUGCGACUCCUUUUGCUUUUCAUUUAAGUUUCUGGCCUGAGACCUUUGAGAAAAAUAAGUACAAUGACUCUUUGUUUUCUAAUAAGAGCCUUCAAAUCAGGUAAACUAAAAUGUAAAAGGGAAUCAUUCAUUUGAUUAUAAUCAUUACGGUUUUCAAAGCAGAGUUUAAUAAACAAAAAGCCUUAAAAAGGUACCAAGAAAUAGAAAUCGAAGCAAGGCUCGACAAACAACAUAAAUUUAAUAACAAAUGGAAUUACGUGAAAAGCAAUAUCAUCAGGUACCAUACACGGUCACAUGACUAUGUUUUCUUUAUAUAUUAUUAUUUGUGUGAGUUUUAAUCUACUUUGCCUUUGCUAAUAUUUCAAGUUAAUUUUUUUACAGUUUUAUUGAAGGUUUUUAAUAAAUUUGAAACCCUAAUAAUCACCUCGUAUUGAUUUUUGCAGCUACCCGCAUGCACUUAUCGACGAGAAUAUUAAUAUUGUGAAAAAGAUUAAAGAUGCUACUUAUCACAUGUGUAUGGGAAUUUGGCCUGUCCUUGUCCAUUUGUUCUCUUUAUUAAUUAUAUUUUGUUAUAUAGAUAAUGACAAACUAUAAAAAGUACUUAUUAAACAAGCGAUGAUCCUCGUUGAAUCAUUUUCUUACUUUAACAGCUGGUAAUCAUUCGUUUUUUUUGUUUUAUUUAGGCCACUCGAUGGAACUGUGAUUUAAAUUUAAUAACGCGAAAAAGUCAAUAAAAAUUCAUGAAUUUUGUCUUGAUUGAGAAUACCGAGAGCAGUCAUUUGUUAUUCUUAUUUUUGGCCAGCGAGUCACUUGAACAUUGUGUUGUCAAGUUUUCAGCUUCCCAAGAUUUGAUGUUGCUUUAAUUAACCUAACUCAGGUUACAUUUCGAAUCUCCAUAGUCAAUGACUAUCACCUCCUCCUUUCUAGUGAUUUGGAUCUUCGGUAAGAUUAUGAAUUGUUGAGUCACUUGUAUUGAAUCUUGGCCAUUAUCAAAUUGAACAUUAUUAACAGUUGCUAUUCAAUAUAUAAAUCAAUAAUACGACUAUUUUAUGUUUUAGAAAUGUUUCGAUCUAUAUACCAUUUUAUAUUGACUGUGUACUAAAAAGUCUAGAAACGUAUCAAAAUUACUAUUCUUUGGUCAAAUAUUAAAUUUAAUAUGAGUAGUGCUUUUCCAGUUAAAUUAUAAACUCAAUAUGAAAUUUAAGAUCAAUUCUAAAUAUAUUGACCUAACGUUGUGGGCCGUCAAACAUUUCAAGAGUCUUAAAAAAGAAGUUGGGCUUAUUAUGGACACUUAAUUGAGAUGGUGGUCCAACUUUAGUCUUAAAAUAUCCUCAUGCAACCCAUUUUGCUUUUCAUUUAGGUUUCUGACCUGCUUGGAUCUCUGAGAAAAAUAAGCGCGACAACUCUUUGCUUUUCAGUAAGAGGAGCCUUGAAAUCAGGUAAACUAAGAUGCAAAAGGGAAUCUUUCAUUCAAUUAUAAUCAUUACUGUUUUUAAAGCAGAAUUUAAUAAACAAACAGCCUUAAAAGGCACAAAGGUACAAAGAUCGAAGCAAUGCUUGACUACCAACAUAAAAUUUAAGCAAGAUUAACGACAAAUAGAAUCACGUUAAGAGCAGUAUCAUUUGAUACCACACACAUCCACAUGAGCUUUUUUAUAUAUAUUAUUUUAAAUGCUAGUUUCAAUCUAUUUUGCCAUUGCACUUACUUCAAGUUAAUUAUUCACAUUUUUAUUGAAAGUGUUUAAUAAAUUUGAAAUCUUAAUCGUCACCUUGUGUUGAUUCUCACGAGUACUCUUGCACACAUAUCGACGAAAAUAUUGAUAUUGUGAAAAAGAUUAAAGAUUCUACAUAUCACAUGCACGUGGAAGUGUGGGCAGUCCUUGUCCAUUUGUCUCUUAAAAAAUUACAGUUUGUUGUAUCGAUGAGGGCAUACUAUAAAAAGCACUUACAAACAAGCGAUAACCCCGGUCGAAUCAUUUUCCUACUUUAACAUUUGUUUAUUAUUUUUUUAAGCCACUUGAUGGAACUGCAAUGCAAAGAAAUAGAUUGAAGUUCACAAAAUUUUAUCUUGAUUGAGAAGACCGAGAGAGCAGUCAUUUUUAUAUUUAUUUUUGGCCAAUGACAAACUUGAAAAGUGUGCUACCAAAUUUUCAGCUUCCCAAAGAGUAAAUGAUGCUUAGUUAACUUAACUACAGUUACGUUAUAGAUCUCUGUAAUUGAUACUUAUCUCCCCCUUCUUUCGAGUGGUUUGAAUUUUUGUGAAGAUUAUGUAUCGUUGGAUCUCUAGUACUAAAUCUCGGCCAUCAAUAGGUAGAACAUUAUCAACAAUUGCUAUUCAAUAUACAAGUCUAUAACACAAGCCCCCACAUACAUAUAUCGAUGAAAAUAUUAAUAUAAUGAAAGGGAUUAAAGAUGCUACUUACAACAUGCAUUUGUGGGUGUGGCCUGUCCUUGUCCAUUUGCGCUUUUAAUUACAUUUUGUUAUAUAGACAAUGACAAACUAUAAAAUGUCCAUAUUAAACAAUGGAUGAUCCAAAGUCGAAUCAUUUUCUUACUUUAACAGCUAGUAGUCAAUUUUUUUAACCCACUCGAUGGAGUGGCAACUCAAUUUUUAUAGUGCGAAGAAAUCAAGCAAAGAUAUCAAUUCAAGUUCACAAUUGAUUGAGGAGGACUAAGAGCAAUUAAUUAUUUUUGGGUUAAUACCAACAAAAUCCCCAAACUUGUACAUCUGUGAAAAUUUAUCCAUAACCUAAUUCUUUUUACCAUCAAAAUCCAAAACUAGUAUAUUUAUGAUAAAUUUACUGUAAGUUAAUUUUUUGACCAUUAAAAACUCUAAACUUGUACAUUUGCCAUCUAUUAGUUUCUAUUAAAUGGCAUUAAUAUCACGAAAAGACAUAAAGUGGUAUACUUAUGACAAAUAAAUGGUAAAAUUCCCAAAUUGUAUAUUCGUCAACUGUUAUAUGUCAUUAAACUUAGUAAUGGAUAGUAAAUUUAUCACAUGCGUAUUAGUGAGAGAUUUUUGGUGAUGAAAAAAUUAAUUUGAAAUAAAUUUAUCAUAAAUGUAUUGAAUUAAGAUUUUUCAUGAUAUUGACUGUUAUUUUUUUAAUUUUAUUUUAGGCAAGUGAUGACUGGGAGCAGUGUGCUCCCAAGCUUACAGCUUCCCAAGGUUUUGACCGGUGCUAAUUAACUAAAGCGAGAAUACCGAGCUGCAUGGUCCAUGCCGAUCUUCCUUUUCUUUCUCGCGGCUUGAGUCUUUGUCGUGGUUUUGAAACCUUGAAGCUCUGGUACCGAAUCUCUGCCGUUGAUGAUCACAUGUACAAGCAAAAGGUUGCUGUGUUUCUAUCACCAAAUUGUCGACCUGUCAAAGACCAAAUUCUGUACUCCAAAAGACCAAAAUCUGACUUAAUGGAAAAAGCGAUAUUAAAUCUCAGGUCUAAAGACUCAUCACAUAUCUCUCUCUCUCUCCCGCCCUCGAUUGAAAAAAUAGCAAACAUUAUUGCAGCCCCUUCAUUUGAAUAAAUCUGGAAUGAGACCCCUUAGUUGAGGCUUGGUGUUCAGAAAACACAUCAUACCCCACCUUAACGUUCACUGCAUAGGAAGAGUGUAGAAAAAGACUUCCAAGUCACUGCUGAUAUAACUAGCGUCUGACACCAAGGGCCAAGUUCUUCUUCGUAUCAGUGAGUCCAUCGUCACUUCUAUAAAAAUAUGAUUCAACAAGAGCAGCAUUUCACUCAUAUGUAUCUAUAUGUAUCUAUAUGGAGAGAGAGCAAAGCUGUCAAUCAAAAUGAAAUCAACUUUAUAUCUUGCAAAAAAGGCAUUUCUCAAAGAAAAUCACCAUACGCAAGUUCUGAAGAAGAGGCCUCGUGUACACCAUUUGGAAUAUAAAUAAAAGUUCGUAGACUACAUUCACAUACAGCCCAUGAAUUAAAUUGAACAUGUACCAAAAGUUCAUAAAUUACAUUGAACAAUUAAAUUCACAUGGACAAUAGGGCACAUUGAGCUAAAGCUGAAAGAGCACAUUGAAUAAAUUUAAAGUUUAGAUAUCUCAUUAUAUAUUGAGCAAAUUUUAUGGACUAUUUGUGUUAUGUCAGCAGUAACUGCAAAUGAAAAUUAUAUAGAACUAGCAAGAUGUUUGUCAUUUGCCUAUAUAUAUUAUAAAAUGUGAGUUUUAAUUCUAUUUUGCCUUUCCUCAUACUUCAAGUUAAUUAUUCACAUUUUUAUUGAAGGUUUUAAUAAAAUCGAAAUCUUAAUCGUCACAUUUUAUUGAUUCCCACAAGUAUCCACAUACACAUAUUGAUGAAUAUAUUAAUAUGUUGAAAAAAAAAAAUAAAGAUGCUACUUAUCACGUGCAUGUGAGGUGAUUGGCUAGUCCUCAUCCAUUCGUUCUCUUUUACUGAUUACAUUUUGUUAUAUCUAUAACGACGGACUGUAAAAGUUACUUCCUAAAACAAGCGAUAGUUCAAAUCGUAUCAUUUUAUACUUCAAUAGCUACCAAUCAUUUGUUUUUCUUUUUUACCUUCUCGGGCCACUUGAUGGAACUCCAAUUUAAAUUAUAUAAUGCGAAUAAAUUAAUUAAAGUUCACAAUUUUUGUCUUGAUUGAGAAGUCCAAGAGCGGUUAUUUUUUCUUCUUAUUUUUGGCCAAUGACAGGCUUUUUUCUUGGUCGAAACCAAUGACAGACUCGAAUAGCGUGCUAGUGCUACCGAGUUUUCAACCUCCCUAGGAUUUGAUGGUGCUUAGUUAACUAAGCUUACAUUUUGGAUCUCCAUAGAUGAUACUAUUAGAAUAAACAAAUUUUUCAAUCACAUGAAUAUGAUAUAAAAUUAAUAAAUAUAGUGUACCCAAUCAAACGUAACCAUUAUUGAUCUAACGAGUGAGAAGAUGUAUUCUCGUGGGUAUGAAUAUUCAUCACUCUCUUCUAUAAUCGUUACGAUGGUGUGUAUCUUUCUCUCUUCAAUUUUGUCAAAAUAGCGAUAGCAUGAUAAUGGAAUACAUGCAUUCUCCACUGAAAAGAGAUCUUAUAUAGAGAGAGUGAUGGGAUUAAUUCUAAAAUGAAGGUGCAUGCCUAAUUGGAUGUCAAAAAUAUAUUGCCCAUGAUAUAUUUUACUAAAUUGGGCACAUGUCAAAUAUUAGAUAAUAGACCUAAUAAGCUAUGGGUUGGACAUUGUCAAGUCCCAAGAGAUACACAUAUCCUCCUUCCUUCUAGUGAUUUGGAUCUUUGUUAAGAUUCUAAACAUUGGAUCUCUUGUGCUAAAUCUUGGACAUCAAUAAAUAGAAUACUAUCAACAAAUGCUAUUUAACAUAAAUAUCAAUAACAAAUCCAUUUUAUGUUUAGAGAUGUUUCGAUCUAUGUACCAUUUUGAAAAUUAAACUUCAAUUUUUUCUUGUUCAAUUAGGUUAUUUAUGAUGUUACUUCUACAUUUUUAAUAUGGCUUCAAUGUCCCCGCACAAGGAGGGGGUUUAGGACUACUACCUAAUCAACUUUUGCCCAUUAGAAGAUCUCCUCAUGAUAAUAGUAACAGAUUAUUUGCUCAUUUUACUGUGCUCAUAAUCUGGUUGAAUAUGAGUCUAGUGCAACCCACAAACCUACAUAAAAUUGGCUUUGAUUUUUUGAUCUCUUUUUGAUCGGUUGUUAAAAAAUUUAGUGUCAUAUAACAACUUGUUACACUAAAAUUGAGUUUUUAAAUAGAUUUUUAACACAUAUCGCCACCUUUAAAUAGAACUCUGUGUCACUUGGUCCGAACUAUCCUUGUCCAUUUGUUUUCUUUGUUAAUUACAUUCGUUAUAUCAAUGAUGAUAUCGGAUAAAGUGUACUUAGUACACCAGGGAUGAAUUAAAAUCGAAAUCAUUUUAUUCAUUCGAUCUUGAUUCACACAAGCCCCCACAAUAAAUAUCAAUGAAAAUAUUGAUAUAAUAAAAAAGAUAAAACAAAAAAAAUGCCACUUACAAUGUGCUUGUGUCAGUGUGUGGGGUGUGGCCUGUCCUUGUCCAUUUGUUUAUUUAAUUACAUUUUGUUAUUAGACAAUGACAGACUAUAAAAGGUCCUUAUGAAACAAGCGAUAAACCAAUUUUGUCAUUUUCUCACCACAACAGCUGGUAAUCAUUUGUUUUUGUUUUUUUUUUUUUUAAACCACUUGAUGGAGCUGCAACUUAAUUUUUAUAGUGCAAAGAAAUCAAUUUAAGUCGACAAUUGAUUCAGAAGACCGAGAGCAAUCAUUUUUUAUUUCUUUUUUAGGUUAGCGAGGACUGAGCAGUGUGCUGUCAAGUUUUCAUCAUCCCAAGGAUUUGACUAAUGCUUUAUUGAAGCCCUAACGAAGGGGGAGGCUACCGAUGGGCACAGUCCAUCCCUUAUCCUCUUUCUCUCUCGUGACGAGGGUCUUUUUGGAGGCUCUAAUCUCUGAAUCUUCUGUGCUGAAUCUCGGCCAUCGAUAAUCGCAUGUAUCAGCAAAAAGUUCCCGUGUUCCCAUCACGAGAAUCUGAAAAUUAUCGGCCUGUCAAGGACCAAAAUCCGACUCACUGGAACCCGCCCAUAGGCAGCGCAAAUGGCAUAAGUGCACUCUCUUAUCGUUGAGAUUAAGAGUUCGAACUCUCUCGUUUGCAUUUUCAUGACUUAAAUGAGGGUUUCAGGAGUGAAUUACUAGGCUAGCCCUGGAAUUUUACGUCUAAAUAGCAAUUUGCGAUGAGGCCUGACGGUAGUACCGAGCAUCGAAGGGUUGUAUGAUCCUCGAUGGGUGAUCUCUGACAAUUCCUCGAUUAUCAAAAAAAAAAAAAAUCCUAUUCAAUGGAAGAAGAAACAGUAAUGCCUAGGUAUAAAGACUAGUCACAUAUAUCUCUGUAGCGCCUCUACUCUAAUAAAAUCUCGAGUUAGACCCCUUGGUAGAGGCUUGGUGCUCAAAAAAAAAAAAGUCAUAAUACUAUUUCACCAUUAAUAUUCACUGCAGAGGAAGAGCGUAAAGGAGACUUCAAGUCACCUCUAAUGCAACCGGCAUCUCACAUCAAAAGCAAAGUUACACUUUGUGUCGGUGUGUCCAUCUUCACUUACCCCUACCAGACUCUGACUCUGUAAAAAUAUGAUUCAAGCUAUACCCAGCAAUGGUGACAGAUCACAGAAUCUUGCAAAAAAAUGAACAGUACAUAUUAGUUUUAACAUUUUUCAAUACUAAGAAAUCUUACGUUAUUGUUAAGUCACUUGAGGAUAGAAGCCCUUUUUGAAAUAUAAAAAAAGAAUUCUUGAGGAGGUAGUGACCAAUUAUAAAGGAGGCCUUGCUUUUUAUACGGGAUACUUUGUUGGGGUUGUUCCAAAUCUAUCCCUAGAAAAUUGAAUUUUGUAAGUGAAUAAAAAGCACAAAAUGCUAAAAUACCCAUUCUGUUGUAGUUGCCUUCCUACAUUCCAUAUUUUUAGAUUGUCGUUACAUUUCUUGUCUUCUUUAUUUUUCUAUUAAUACCUACAUAAUCUCUUUGUUUGGAAUGAGCUCUGAAUUUAACCAUGCUUAUGAAUCUGUUUGUUGGGUGUACAUUUUCUUUUUGACAAGUUAUACUUGUUGAAACAAAAUUAUAGACUCACUUCACCCACGCAAUUAAUGUGAGGAUCUAUAUCUGUAGAAUGACAUGAGAACAGUCUUUCACUUAAGAGCUGCCUUUAAGGUUAAUACAUAGCACUCUAGAUAACUAGAAAGGAUUUUUCCUUCUUCCAAGAAUUGGAUUUGCUACAUUCUCCAUUAAAAAAAAUGUAGCCACCUGGUCUCCACCUAAGCUAAUCUUAUGCAAAACCGACUAGAAAAAGUCCACUAUCUAAACCACAAAUUGUCCGCAAUGUGAGAGUCCAAUGCCACUCACUACUCUUGAAAGUGCUGGCAAACUUGUAUAUCGGUCAUGUGGCCAUCAUAUUUCUCUUUGUAUAUUAAACAAAAUAGUUGGCUGUAAUUGUAGAUGAAUUUCUAUAAAACUAGCAAGAUUCGCACAGGGCUAAGGUAAUUUUUUAUAUUAUUUUAAAUGUUAUUUUUAAUCUAUUUGGCUUUUGUUCCCACUUCAAGUUAGUUAUUUUUCAUGACUUUUUAAAUUUUAAGUUUGUUGUAUCGUGAUUAUUAUUUGUCAAUAUAUUUAACUUAUGUUAAUAUUUUUAACAAACUACGUAGACAUUCAUGUCAAAAUAGAUAAAUAUUUGACGGCCAAUACUUUAACAUCCCUACGAGGGAAAUUGGUAUAAAAUUAGAAAGAAUAUGAGAUAUUGUUUAGAAGUUAAAAAAAAAAGUUUGGAUAAAAUAUAAUGCAGAUAACACUUUAAACUUGAUGUUGCCAUAAAAAUAUGCUUUCGAAUAUUAUUCUACACUAUAAAUUAAAUGAACGACCACUCCAACAUCACAGUUUUACAAAUAAAAUUCCAUGAAAACAUCCAUGCAUAUACUCAAAAAAAGAAAUUCUGAAGUAUCUAGUGAAUCUCCUACGUUUUAAAUUAUGAUGAUAUUGAUAUGCAUCUCCUAUCUUCCGCUGACGAUUGCUUCCUUGCACCGAAAGGUGAAAUUGUCAAGACUAAAACAGCAAGAUUCCUCUGGUUGACAAAUAGCUGUUGGGAUGAUUGGUGUGCACACACAUUUGGUGGAGCUAAUUAUGCACCCAUUUUACACGUGAUACUUUGUUAGGGUCAUUCCAAAUUUGUCUCUACGCAAUAUUUCCUUAAGAGAACCCAAGGACAAAAUGCUAGAAUAGCCAACCUCUUAUAUUUCCCCUUAUUUCACAUUUCACAUUUGUCUCCAUAAUUUUUCCGUUUUCACAUGUAGUAUCUCUCUGUUGGAAAGGACUUUGAAUUUGAUUAUGCUCGUCAUUGUGUAUGUUCGGUGUAAAUUUUCUUUUUUGAGAAAUUAUACUUUUGAUACAAAAUUAUUCACUAAUUCACGUCCAAAAUCAACAUGAGAGUCAAUAUCUAUAUAAUUAUGCAAUAACAGUCUCUUCUCUAUGCCCUACCUCUAAGGUUGAUACAUAGCAUUCUAAAUAGCUAGAAAAGACUUCUCCUUAUUUUAAGAACUGGAUUUGCAACAUUCUCCAUUAAAAAAAUGUUCCCACUUAGACUCCACCUAGGCUAAUAUUUUGCACUACUAACUAGAUAGAUUAUUCAUAUAUCACGAUGUACUUAUAGGCACUGAUUCCUUAUUAGCUACGUGAGUUCUACUCAAUCUAAUUACAAGGAGAAUGUCUCUCAUGACUUUAAAUUGUUUCUAUUUAGUCAAAAUGUUUUCAAACGGUCCAUAAGAUGCAAUAAUUUGACUAGACAUUAGAUAUAUGGGGUGUCCCUACUCCCUCUCGAGUCCACAUUCAUAUAGUUAAGGCUAUGAAUGUACAUAUUAUUGUGUUCUCUCAUUCUAUGUGCUUAUAUUAUGGUCUUUCAUACUCAUAUAUUACUUGUUUAAAUAUGCAUGUGGAUAGACAAUUCUCUUUGUAUUCUUCAAGGGAUAUAUUGAGGGAAAUAAUUGAAUCACAACUUUGAGUCAUUUAGACAUCAUGCACGAUGAAAUUGAGGAUCCAUCCCAUCUUAUCAAAACGAUGAGGACUAAAUUACAUUUUCAUUUUUCUUUGUCAUCUUCAACUGCAAUCACAAGAGUUUGGUAACGUUGCUUGUAGUUUUACAUGUCCUUUUUUUUCCUUCAUAUUGCCAUCUUUUAAUUGUUGUUUAAUUAAAUCACAUCUUUUAUAAAUGGCAAGUACUUGAAAAUAUGAAUUCCUAUCAACAAUAAGCAUUGGAUGGUGAACGAUUUGAUUAUUAAAGUUAUUGUUUUCAAGAAGGCAGCGAUGCAUUAUUAUUUAUUACCAACCGUCCCAUGACUGUACCAUGCUUGCAAAAGUGAGGUCCAUACGUACUCUUUUGUCUAAUAGAGCUUUGUGGUUGGAAAAUAGCUUUGCUCGUUCCUCAAACCCCUCAUCACUCCUUUUGUCACUUCACUUUAGCAAUGCACGGUCAAGCAUCUUUGCCUCGGUCAUCGAGCAAUCUAUUUGUCCUUUCUUGGACUUUAAUGACAUGAAUAUCUCCAAAGGAUUCGCAAUUGCUUGUCCUGAACUAAUCGUAAUGAAGUGUACUAUACAUGAUUCAAGUUUCCACAACAUCCUUUCAACCAUUAUCCACUAUUCUUGAAAAGGAGAGUAGUCACACGGAUACAAAGAUUUAAACCACAAAAAUUAAUGCAACAAAGUAAUGGGCUCAAAUUACUUGUAUGAUCUCAGCCAUUGAAUGAAAGAAAAUUGACGUUGAUUGUUGGAUUUGGCAUGACCAUUUUGUCCUACCAAACCCCCGUGCGUAUCCAACGCCAAAAGUAGCAAGCUACGUUAUAUCACCAUUGCGCUAAUUCAAUUCGUGAACCAUAGUUUGGGUUCUCUAGCUUUAACCUUCUGAAAUGAGGCAACUACAACUAAAAUUCAAUGCGUAGCACACUGCUUAUGGAAACUGAUAUUAUCAAGUUGCAGAAUUUAAAAUACCGUAGUUUUCUUCCUCUUUUUUUUUUCUGCACUUCAGUUUGACUAUGAGUUAUUGUAAAAUAAAGAAUUAAUUGCAAAAAUUUUCUUGAGAAAAUGUGGAAAUGAUCUCUCCAACUCGAUACUUCUCAAGGCUCCGGUCAGUUCAACCGGGACUGUAAAACUAGAAAAGCGAAACACUAACAUCUUAUUGUGGAAAUGGUGUCCGGGAUUUACGUAGCAUUACUCCAUUGGUCAUGUCCAUCUCAUAGUUUUCAAAUAUAAAGGGAACCCUUUUUUUCACCUAAUAUUAUUCAACGAGAGUGUGUACAGAUAUUAUGAUGAUAUACAGCUGCACAAAAAUGCAACUAAUUUAAACUAAAUGUGCAAUUUGGUGAAAUUGUGAACAUCCCCACGGCUACUUAAUACGUGCAUGAGUUCAAUCAAACAUCGGCAUGGCUUUGGCGAUUUAUUAAAUGAGAUUAGCAUAGAUUGACAUGUAGCUCCAAAAUUAUGGCACCCCAUCAUUCAAUUUCACUUUCUACAAUGUCAUAUUAGUAUAUAAAAAAAUAGCAAUAUAGACUAGUCACAUAAUGAUAUGAAAAAAAAUUAAUUGAAAUAUGAAGAACAAAAAAGUAUCAUAACAAUAAGCCGGUUCCUCCAACACCAAAAAUAAAAAGAAAGUAUCGUAACAAUUAGCCUUGUCUUGGUCACGGAUCAGGCUCUGUCCAGGGACUCAUCUAGUCUAGUGAUGUCCAUGAUACGAACAAAAUUCUUAAUCUCUACGCGCAAAAACUAAUCGAUAAAAGAUAAGUCUUCGAUCUCCAAAGGAUGCGAAAACAUGAGUUAGAAUUUAAAUUUUAUUUUUGGUCGAAAGUUAGACUUUAAGGGUGCGUUUGGCUGCACCCUAUUUCUGUUCCCAGGAACAGAAAUUUCUGUUUUUUUGUUCCUCGGAACAAAAAAGGAACAGAAACGCGUUUGGGUGCGUUUCUGUUCCUUUUUUGUUCUUUUGUUCCCAGGAACAAAAAAAAAACAGAAACAAAACUUAGAAACACUUUUUUAUUUUAUUUUUCUUUUUCUUUCUUUUUUCUUUCGCCGGUCGCCGGCCUCGGCCAUGGCCGGCGACCGGCCAAAAGAAAAAAAAAAAGAAAAAAGGAAAAAGAAAAAAGAAAAAAAGGAAAAAAAAAAGAAAAAAAAGGAAAAAAAUAGAAAAAAUAAAAGAAAUAAAAAAUUAUACAAAUUUACUAAACGUGUUUCUAUUUAUUUUUUGUUCCCGGAACAAGUUUACCAAACGCGUUGUUUUGUUCAGAAAUUGUUCCCAGGAACAGAAACACUUUUUUUUUAUUUAUGUUCCCUGGAACAAUUUUUAAACAGAAACGCAAACAAACACACCCUUAGUUAAUGAUGAUUUGAAAGAUUUAAACAAUAAUUUAUCUAGAACGAGCGACUGAUAUGAAGAUAUCAUCUAGAAUAAGACGCGAAAAGGCUCCAAAUCCUCCUAGAUCGAUUGCGCGGGUCCCUUUUUCCUCUCGAUGUGUCUUUUCCCCCUUGGCUUUUCUCGGAUUCCCUUUCUAUUUCGGUGUCUGCAUAAGGCCGGUCGCGUCUCCCUGAGUGAAGAGGCUAUUCAUGCCAGGAUCUCUGCCUUCAUUUCCUCGAAAUGGACGAGAGAUCUUUUGUAUCCCUUGCACGCGAAGCUGAAUGGUGCUUCUUACAAUUGCCAAAAAGUACGUCCCGCGUAUCGUAAAUAAUUAAUGGAAAAUCAGGCUUGUCCGCUAAACACAGUUUGUUUUUUGCUUCGAGAAAACAUGAAGGCCUCAUCCCUUUUUCUCUUUUUGCCAGAGAUCCCUGGCUCUCCCUUCAAUUUCAGUCAAACCUCUUACUCAUUCUUCCCCUUUGUCAAUUGCAUGAAACUUACCCCUUUCCUUUAUCAAUUUCAGCAUCCCCACGUUCCACAAAUGCCAUGAUUCGGACUCUCCUUAAGCAAGGAAUCAUGCCCAAGCAUGGUAUGAUUCCAUGCCGUUGUGAUUCCACAUUAAUCCGUACCAUGAUGACUUAACAUUCUUGCUUGAAAUUCUGAGUUUAUUCUUACAACUAUUGUUGGCAAAAAAAAAAAAAAAAUGAAACAACUUCAAAUUUUCCUUACAAACCAAGUUUUCCUUCUAUUUAAAAGCGUGAUUUGAGGGGACCUUCGUCAAAUAUGUGAAAAUUGGAGAGACAAUACAUGAAAAGUCAAGAAAGGGUUUAAUUAGUCCAAGUCUAAUAUGUCAAUAGGUAGAAAACUAUCAAAAUUCAAUAAAUAUAAAAUAUAUAUGCAUUUAACAUGGCCAUUUUAUGUUUUAUUAAGUGUUUUCUUUAUUUUUGAUGUAGAAUUUUAUGUUCUUUUGAAAUAAAAAAAGUCUAACAACAGAAGUUUCCAAUUGAUUAUAGCAUUAGGAAAAGAAUAUCAAGUAAUGUCUAAUUUAUGACAUGAAGGAACUCUCUAUAUGGUGGUGGGAUAAUUACCAAAAUAGUAUGGAACCUAUUGCAAUUAUCUCAAUCAGUUUUAAACUUUUUUUUUUUAAAAUUCAAUCCCAAAAUUUUUGAAUUUGUGCCAAUUCAAUAUAUCCGAGCAAUUUUAGCCAAUCGACGCCGACAUGAACUUUCUUAAAUAAUAAUUUAAUAAUUUUUUUUUAUAUUUUUAUAUUUUCUUUUCUUAAAUUUUCCCCCCUUUCCCCUAAGGCCACGAUAGCCUCACUCACCCAGACUGUGUGAGGGUUGGUACGCCCUCGUCCAAUGCUAGUGAGGGCAUCUUGGCCAUCACCUAUUGACCCUUGCCAUCCCCUAAGCGAAAGGGGAAAAAAUUAAAGAAAAGACAAAAUUAUAAAAAAAUUCAAAAUUUGUUAAAGUAUUAUUUAAAGAAGUGUACGUCAGCGCCGUCAAUGCCAUGUUAGCACCAGUGACCAAAAUUGGCUGGAUGGACUAAACUGGCACAAAUGCAAAAAACUUUAGGGCUAAAUUGAUUUUUAAAAAAAUUACGAUUGAAUUAGCAUAAUUGCAAAAGGUUUAUAACUUUUUUGAUAUUUUUCCCCUAUAUAAUAUAUAGAAGAAACUAAGGGCAUGUAUAACAAAAUUUUUAGAACGAAAAUCAAUUUUUUACUAGAAAUUGAUUUCUCAAUUUAUAUUCCUUGGACGAGUUUCUAAGAAGAGAAAUACGUUUGAUAACGAUUCAAAAUUUAUGUUUCUAGAACAUAAAUUCAUUCGAUGACAUAAUAAAAUUUAUAUUUCUAAAGGGCGGUGACUGGCGGCCAGCGUCUGGCCCGGCGACUGGGGAUGGGCGUCCAAUGAUCAACGUCUGGCGUCAAGCAAUCUGGAGUCAAGCAGUCCAACAUUUUGCGACGGCGAUGAGCUUCCUGCGCUCCAUGGGUGGCGGGUGAACGGCAGGUAGUAACGAGAGUAAAUGAUAAAAAGAGUUAUCGUUUCUCAUUUUUGUUCUAGAAAUAGAAAAGUUCAAAAAAUUUAGCUUUUGAUUUAUGCUCCAAAUCUAUUUAUGAAAUAAAAAUCCGUUCCAAAAAUAGAAAAAUGAAAUUACAUUAACAAACGAAUUUCUAUUCCAAACCUGUUCCGAGGAACAGAAAAAAAAGAAAAAGAAAUAGAGAAAUAGAAAUUUUGUUAUGCCUAACCGGCUAAGCAGCGAAUCAAAAGCCAAGGCUUAAAAAAAGUCAUACAAGUAAAAACUAAGAUAGGUAUUUGAUUAAGCUUGUUCCUUACGUAGGGAAUGAUAUGAUGAUAGCAUUAGAAACUCUUACUCUAUACUUCCGUUUCCUAUGAUAUUCUUUUCUAAAUUAUUAUUUCCAAGAAACUAGCCAUGCAUUAUUAACCCAAUCCCAUGAUUAAACCAUUCAUGCAAAACUGGAGUCCACAUGUAUUCUAUUGUCAGAUGGACUUUGUCAUUGGAAAAAUGCUAUACGUGUUCCUCAAGUCCAAGAGAUGCAAUAAUUUGCCUAGAUGUUAAGUAAAUGGGGGUGUCCCCAUUCCCUCUCAUGUCCCCAUUUAAUGAAGAUGUUGCUGGAUCUAUUACUACCUCAUUCAUUAGUAAUUUGACUUGAGAUUAUAUUAUGUGCCAAAUGUAUAGCCUAAGAGCACAAAUUUUGACAGGCUAAGAUAGAUGACUUUCAGAUUAUGCACCCUAUCAUAUAGUUAAGGCUGUGAAUUAUAACUCUUGAAACUAGCAAAUAUUGUUAAGUGUCAUGAAUAUAUGUAUGUAUGUAUGUAUGUAUGUAUGUAUUGUUGUGAUCUCUCAUUCAAUGUGCUUAUAUUAUGGGCUUUUGUAUUCAUACAUUGCUUGUUCAAAUAUGCAUGCAUACAAUUCUCUUCGCAUUUUUCAAGGGAUAUAUUGAGAAAUAAUCGAAUUGCAAUUCUUAGGCAUUUAGAUAGAUUGUGCAAGGUGAAGCCGUAGAUAUAGUACAUCUUGUAAAAAAAAUGAAAGAGGACUAAAUUGCAUUUACAUCAUUCUCUACUAAGUCCGAACUACAAUCACAAAAGUUUAGUAGUGUUGCCUAUAGUUUUAUAAGCCAUACAUUUUCUCACAUCGCGAUCUUUUAAUUGGUAUUUCAUUAAAUCACAUCUUUUACAAAUGGUAAAAGAUGGUAGCAUUCAGUAUUCUUAGUCUAUACUUUUGUUUUCUAUGACGUCAUUAUUAAAGUUAUUAUUUCCCACAAGGCAGCCAUUCAUUUGUUACCACAAUCCCAUGAUUGAACCAUGCACGCAAAAGUGGGGUCCAUAAGUAUUCUUUUGUCUGAUAGAGCUCUCUUGUUGGAAAAUAGCUAGGUGAGUUGCUUAGGCCCAGCUGAAGUAAUAAUGUAACUAGACAUUAAGGGCGCCAAUAGUAAUCAUUAUAUUUCAGAAAUCAAUUUUUAUUCCAAAAAUAGGAUCGAAUACAAAAAAAUUUCCUCUCAAUUGGCAGCAAUGAAUGGCGAACGUCAAAUGGCGGAUGGUAGCGGCGUCCAGUAGAUGUCGAACAGUGGACAAUCAUCAACACACAUAGACCAACGACUUGCAGACGGCAGCUGUGCGGCCAACGAUUGGCGGCGGCAGAUGAUGAUUGGUGGUGGUGGACAACAAGUGGUGAUAGGCAAGCCACUAGCUAGUAGCAAUGAGGAGCAAUGAGAAGAGUUUUUAUUUUUCAUUUCAAUUAUAAAAUUAGAAAAGUAGAAAAUUUUUAUUUUUCAUUUCUAUUCCAAACUUAUUUUUAGGCUAAAAAUUUAUUUCAAAAAUAGAAAAAAGAGGAAAUUACGUUACCAAACGGAUGAUUAUUAUACCCGUCCUAAAUCAUGGUAUGUCCCAUCUCGAGCCCAAGGUGCUUUUUGAAAAUGCUAAAUAGACGAAAGUGGAGCAUCAAACACAAGAUUUUGGCUACAAUGUGGAAAUAAAUUAAUAAAUUAAUGAUAAGCCAAGAUGGUUAUAACGAGAUCUUUGGCGGCAAAAUAUGCAGAGAAAUCAUGAAAGUUUGAUUGUUAGGUCCAAGCACGCCUCAUGCAGCAAGCAACCACUCAGACCCUAUCAACUUUUUCCAGUAAAAAGUAGCUAUGCUUUGACGCCGCCCUUCCUUCUUCAUCUCUCUUCGUCCUUGCUCUAUUUCGCUCUUUCUUCUUCUUGGCACAACUAUUCUUCCUCCUCCUUCUUUCUCUUCUGCAUCUGCUCCUCCUCCCUCCUAUUGUCCGAAUGGCACGAUAGACAUAUGACGCGGGCACAUUUUGCACUAAACAAUCUACAGUCCCAUGUAUAUGGUUCACAUCAUCAUCAACUCCAUUUGCAUGUUUGACAAAAAGGAUUUGAAAGAAUUAAGUAAAUAUAUAUAAUAUAUGUAUGCAAUUGGAAGAAAAAAAAAGUUCAAAGACCUACUGAUAAUUUUGGCAAAAAGUUCAAUUACUACGAUGCCUAAGUCCCUUAUUAAGUAUCAACUACCGCUUCAAAAUUAGUUCGAGCCAUCAUCUAUUUUUUUGAAAAAUGCAAUGAAGACAACUAUUUCUUUUACCAGUAUUUGCUAAAAUAUGCAUUGUAGCUCACAAGAUAUUACCAUCAUUUGAGGUACACUCGUUUUGGUGAUGAAGUGUCCAGAAUAGCUUUAUUUAACAUGUUGCCCUAUUGAUUCAUGCACGAUGCGCAGAGUCUGCAAAGUACUACUUUGUGGGCCAAUGCCAACACAUGUCCCUCUAACCUCCGUUGAUGUACCAUCAAGUUCCUAUCAAUCUUCACCGAAGAAGAUGAGUUUGUCCGAAAAUCCUCAAAAGGUGCGCCCAUGAGAGUGCAUUGAGUAUAUUCAACGGAUCAAUAAUAUGAUUCUAGCGGACCAUCGGCAAAUACUUUUGAAGAGUGGGAAAUGGAAUAGCUCGUCAAGAAAUUUGAAAGAGAAAAGGACAAAAGUUUUGACAGCUCAACGGGUAUUUGGAGUGAACACCAGCACCGCAUUUUGUGUACCGUGUAAGGCUUCUUGCACGGUGCCUUAGAAGCCUAUAUUAUUGAGUCCACUGUGCACUAUUGGUGUGAGAGUUGCUCUCUCUCUCUCUGAAAAAAAAUCAAAGAAAAUUGUCCAUCGAUGUUGCUGUUCCAGAAUAAUAGGAAAAAUUACAUUAAACUCAUAUCAAUGACUAAUUUUUGAAAGAGCAAUAACAAAGAGACAUUAACAAAGUUCCAACCAUAUCAUCGUAUGGCAAUUUUAUGAUAUUUAUUUCACAUUCUAAUAUGAUGAUUAUGGUUCUCUUAAAAAUUAAUAACUUCAAUUUGAUUUUGUCAAUUGAGUUUUUUAUUUUUAUUUUUCAAGUAAAGAGAAGCCUAGAGGGCCUUUCUAUCAACAAAUCUGCGAAAGAUAAUACAUGAAAAGCCAAGACUUAUUUCCAACUAACGAUUAAUAUUAGGGAUAAUACCUUAAAAAACCCCAAACUUAUACAUUUGUGACAAUUUUACCCAAAACUAUUUUUUUGACCAUGAAAAACCCCAAACUGGUAAACUUGUGACAAAUUUACCCCAACUGAUUAUAAAAAACCAUAAAAUGGUACAUUUAUGACAAAUUUACCCCAAACUAAUUUAUUCGACUGCAAAAAACCCUAAAAUGGUAAAUUUGUGACAAAUAUAUCCUAUGCUAAAUUGGAUUAAUACCACAAAAAAGUCAUAAAAAUUGUAAAUUGUGACAAACAGAACGUAAAAUCCUAAAUAGAUAUGCUGGUUAACUGUCACGUAUCAUUUAACUUAAUAAUUUGAGAAUAAAAUUUAACGAAAACUAACAUAGGGUAAAUUUGUCACAAGUGUACCAGUUUGGGAUAAAUUUGUCAAAAAUAUACAAGUUUAGGGUUUUUGGUGGUCAAAAAAAUAGUUUGGGGUAAAUUUGUCACAAGUAUACCAGUUUGGGGUUUUUUAGGGUAUUAUCCCUUAAUAUUAUUAGACAUAAGGAUCUAAGUUAGCCCAAGUCUAAUGUGUCAAUCACAAGAACAUUAUCAAAACCUGCUAUUCAAUGUAUAAUCUCUAAAAUGGCAAAUCAUCGAGAGCACUCAUCUAUUAAACUCUUAAGGGGACAUCACAUAUCCUCACACAGCAAGGGUUAAUUAAAGUAAAGGGAAAGCUUGUUCAUUUGGGCCUCAUCAAGAGAGUUGUAAGUUUUAGCUUGAUAAUUGGUGACUCUUUCGCUUAAUGGAUCAUUGAUUCAUUGCCCAUGGAGGAGAGAAGUGGGAAAACAAUAUUUAUUGACAAUAAAAGGAAAGAGGCCAGACAAGUGAAGGCACCCAAUCAGUUCAUGCAUUUACAAAUACUUAGAUGUUUUUUUUUUUUUUUUGGUAACCUAGGGAACCUCCGCUUGCCGCUUCGCGGCGGAGAGUAAACCCUGGGGAGACACGUGGGAAACCACCACCCACGUGUCCCGGGUAAGGCGUGGCUAGCACUGAAGCAACGACGACACCGUGGAUCGAACUCGGGAUCUCUCGUAAAAAGUUUCCUUGCUCAACCACCUACGCCACCACCACGGGUGAUUACAAAUACUUAGAUGUUUGUCUGGUAGUUGUGGACGAAAGGACAUGAAGGUAGACAUUGGUGAUGGUGACUGGUCGAGUAAAGGAACAAUAAAAUGCAAAAAUCCAUCUCAGCCUCUGCAACUACUCUCUCUAUCUACCUCUCCCACCACUAACCCUAAUUAAACCAAUCUUUCGUAUAUUUAGAUAGUUGUCCAUGAGCAGUGGAAGAAAGGACAGGUAGACUUGGACAUUAGUGAUGGUGACUAAUCAGGAAACAGUAAAAUGCAAAAAAACAAAAAAAAUCAUCCAUUUCCAUAUAUAUACUUUUUAUGAGUCAUCUAUUUCUAUCACUGAAUCUUUUAUCGGUCUAUUAUCUUUCUUGUCUCGAUGAUGUGACCGACAUAUGGCGGCCUUUUUGUUUUUUUAUUUUUUGGCCAGUGACGACGUGGGGGUAGUCUGCUCAUCACUCUACUUCCCAAGUGGAGCUCUAUCCAUACCCUAUCUCCUCUUUCCUCCUUUGGUUUUUGAGUCAUUCUCAUAUUUUCAACUAGCUGGAUAGCUAGUAUUGAAACUCAGCCGUUUAUUAUAAACUGUCCCAGCAAAAUGUUGCUGUUUUUCGACGCUACCCAUCCUUCGAAAAAAUUAAAAGUGAAAUAAAAAUUAGGUUUAUAAAUUAUGAAAACCCACAUAACUUUACUUGGCAAUAAUUGUAUGCUUUUGAAAGUUUUUAAAACCAAUUUGUGAUUACUGCAAUAUUUGAAAAAUACAUGUUAAAAGUGUUAAGACUCACCACACAUCCCAAGCAUUUAAGAGAAAAGAGAAAAGAGGGAAACUCCAAUUGGAACGAGAGACCACAAAACAAUGUUAGUGGUUACUCGAAUUGUUUCCUAUAUUAAUUGUGUGUUGUAAAGAGUAGCAUUAUUUAAAAAAAAAAAAGUAAACUGAUUUAAAUUGUUUAAUCUACUUAUAAGUUUUGAUCUAACAAUUCUAUAUGAAGAUGCAAUAAUUUAACUAGACAUACGAUAAGGGGGUGCCUCCACUCCAUCUCAAGUCCACUUUUACCAAAGAUGUUCUAAAAGAAAAGCCAAAAAGACGAAAGCAUUGAUUUUUCAAGAAUGACUUCGCAUGAGGAGCAUCACACAUGAGAGACUUUGGCUACAAUGUGGAUUUGAUAGUUAUGCUUGUUUUUUUUUCUAGUUUUGCUAUUAAACCUUUUCAUAAAAAAUGAUUCGGCAUCCAUCUGUUGAUUAGCGACUAUUCCUGCAAAAAAAGUUGCUAUGCGAUUAUUUUUCGACAUUAGCUUUCCUUCAUCCACUUCUCUAUUGGCUCCAUGAAUUUGUCUUGGAUGCUUCACUGAGAAUUGCUUCAUUAAACUGAAAGCAAAAAUUCACAAGGCUAUAAGAGAUAUUUUCCGCUAGUGAGCCUUCCUUCCCACCAGAACCUUUGAAAAAUAGUUAGGAAAAUCUUCUAAAGUCAACUAUAUAUAUAUAUAUAUAUAUAUAUAUAUAUAUGUGUGUGUGUGUGUGUGUGUGUAUGUAUGUAUGUAUGGACACACAUUUCUCACCCCAAUUUAGUUUAAAUCACAUCCCUUUACGUAAGCUGGCCAAAAUAUCCUCCACACGCAUGUGUAUCCUCAAGCAUUAACACAUCCGCCUUUUUUUUUUCAAAAAAUAAAUUUGCCAUUUUCAUUUUCUCUCAAAUAUAUUGUCUUGUAUCUUUUCUUAUUUACUGUAGACCUUUGAUAAGAGAUUCUGAUUUAAAUCUUCUCACUUACUCUUCUGAUUUAAAAUUUUUUUUAUAUAAUAAUUUAUCUAAAAAACAUCUUCAGCCUAUUAAUCACAAAAAAUGGCUGAUUUAUUUCAAAGAUUGGAGCAUAAGCAUGUUCCGGAUUAUCAAACUGCAUUUACGCUUUUGUUGAACUUUUGCUAUAAUUUUUCAUAAACAUCACGACCAAAUCUUCGGUUCUUAGAUUCUUCCAAUUUGAAGUUUCAUCAUUUUGUAGAAGAGGUCGCCUCAACUAGUUAACUUUGUGGGAGAUUUGCUUUAUAUGAACUUAUAGGUUGGUGAAUUUACAGAUAAUUCUCUUCAUUCAAAUGGUUAUGGCCAGUGGUUUUGAGACAUUUGAAAUUUACUUAAUUUUUAUAGCUAAUUGAUUAUUUUACGUUUUAAUGCUAGAAAAUUUGGGAGAUCAUUGGGUGAGUGUUUCAUUUUGAGCAUUUUUUAUUUUAAGUUUGGUUUCUCUGCAUCUCUACAGUUAUUUUAAGAAGGAUAGUUGUUGCUAAACAUAAGAAAGACGGAAGCUCAUUGUUUCAUUGAACUUGUUGACUAUCUAAAAUACAAUUUCAUGUUGAGUAAAAGAAAUCAACAUUUUAUAAAAUAUGGAUUUUAUAUUGAAAAACUAAUGGCUACCUAGGCUCCACCUAAACUAAUAUUGUACACUCCUGAUCAGGUAGAUUACUUAUAUAACAUAAUAUUCUAUUUACUCCAUAUUACUUUCUUUAAUGACGGGUAUCAAUGCAUUGGGGAUAAAGUGACUAUGGGAAUCAAAUUGCUUUUAGAUUGCGUUUACUUUUAGAUAAAACAUAUAAAAGGAUCAAAGAUAAAAAGAAAAGGAUUAAAAAAUCUCAUUUGUGUCUAUAUUAGGAUUACUUUUAGGGAUUAUUUUGAUGGAUGUUUUCGUCUUUAAUAUGUUAGAGAAUUUUUUAGUAGAUAAUUUUCUUUAGCCGAAAGUAGAUUUUGGCUUUGAUUUUUAGCUCACAAGAUAUUCAUGUCUCGCGGUUUAAUGUCGAUGAAAAUGUUAAUAUUAUAAGAAAGAAUAGAGAUGCCUUCUCAUGUAUUUUCCAAGGUGCCACUUGUGCUUUUCUGCCGUCGUAUGUGGGGCACAUUAAAAAUGAGUUAAUGGCAGACCGGGUAGUUACAUGUCACGUGUUCAAUUUGUCAAAAGGUCAAAUGUGGUAAAAGUUAGAACUCCGUGUCACGUGGGUAUGGCCAGUCCUCGUCCAUUCAUUUUAUUUAUUCCGAGGGCGAUGGUUUGAGUGGAAUCAUUUGUUUGCUACUUCAACAGCUGAUAAUCAUCUCUUUCUUUCUCCAUUCGUUGCUAUUCGACGCUUUCCUUCCUUCAACCUGUUUUCGCGCUCAAUCUCUUCGCCUUGUUUGUCCCUUGCUCUGUUUCGAUCUUUCUUCACCUCGGCUCAACCAUUCCUCCUUCUGCUCCUCCUCUUCUUCUUCAGUGUCUGUUGCUCUUUUUCAUCAUUCUCUCUCUGGCUCUCUAUUUUCUCGCUCUUUCUUUCUCAGAAAAAGAAAAAAUCAAAGAAAAAUGUCGGCCGAUUCUGUCGUUUCUAUUGCAUGGGAUGCCUUGAAGAGCUAUGUAUUUGUUCCCAUCAAGCGUCAACUUGGAUACGUGAUCUCCUCCAAGAACUUCGUCGACGGUCUUAGAGAGGAAGCCCGGAAUCUGGAGAACAAGGCUGAGAGGCUCCACAGUGCCGCGGAAGUGGCCAGAAACAAUCUCCGGAAUUUCUACAGGGAGUUCACGGAGUGGGACGCAAGUACUGAGAAGACUUUGAAGGAGGCGGGAAAACUAUUGGACGACUUCGAAAAGGCGACCAAGACUUGCUGCUACGGCACUCUUCCUAACCCCUAUUGUCGCUAUCAGUUCAGCAGGAAGGCCGACGGCAAGAUCGAGGUCAUUAAACAACUCACUAAAAAAUGCAGUGAAUUCAAGGAAUUGAACGACAUCUGCUUCACCGAGCCUGCUCCGGGGAAUGUCACUGCUCUGACUCCAGCCAGGAUAGAGGACAAAGAUGUUGUCCAAUCGAACAUAUCGACGGCCACCAUUUCUUCUGCCUCAAUGUCGAAUAAGCUUAGGGACGAUGACAUCUUCGAAUCCAGAGCUCAAAUCACAAGGGACAUCAAUGAGGCUCUUGCCGAUAAUAGCAAUAGCGUGGUUGGGGUUCAUGGGAUGGGCGGGCUCGGCAAGUCCACCCUUUUGGAGGAAGUCAAAAGGAUAAUAAGCAAAGAGAAGUGGUUUGAUUGGGUCGCUAAGGCCGACGUGUCGAAAAAUCCGGACAUCAAGAUGAUUCAAGGAGAGAUUGCCGAUGCGUUGGGCCUUAGUGAGAUCAAGGACAAGGAGUCCGUCAGCGGGCGAGCGGAACUUCUACAAAGGAGGUUGAGAAAAGAGGAGAAUGACAAAAAGAAGGUCCUCAUAAUACUGGACAACCUGUGGGAGGGGCUCGACUUAGACAAAGUCGGCAUUCCUUGCGGACAUGACAACAAAGUCCUGGGAUGCAAAUUGUUGUUGACGUCAAGAGAUCGUGAUAUUUUGCGACGGAAAAUGGGCUGCGACAAGGACUUCCUCCUCAAUGGGCUGAAGAAGGAAGAGGCAAAAAGAUUGUUUGAGAGGACGGUGGGAGACAAAGUUCAUGAUGACGAGUUCAAACCUUUGGUGAAUGUAGCACUCGACAAAUGUGCAGGUGUGCCUUUCCUAAUUGUUGCAAUGGCGAAACGUUUUAAAGAUGCUAAUUUAUCUGAAUGGAAAGACACUUUAAAAAAAGUCGAGAAGUUUAAAGAUAAAGAAAUCAAUGAUUCAAUACACCAGAUGUUGCAAUGGAGUUAUGAAAAAUUAGAAAAGGAGGUGAAGUCAUUAUUACAACUCUGUGUUGUUUAUGGUACUUCCAACCCUUCUCUUGAAAACUUGGUGAGGUACAGCGUCGGUUUGGGGUUAUUUCAAGAAGUUAGCAGCAUGGAAGAAGCUAGAAAUAGACUAAGCUCACAUAUCCGCACUCUUCAAGCCUCUUCCCUUUUGUUAGAUAGUGAAGAUGUUGAUGGUUUCAAGAUACAUGACUUGGUUCAUGACUUUAUUGUCGAUGUCUCUUUGAGAGAUCACCCUCUUCUUGUGUUGAAAGAUGAAGUCAAGUCAGUAAUAGAGUUGCUGAACGACAAGCCUAGUAAUUAUAUGGCGAUAUGCUUUCCCUACGUUGACAUGGAGGAGCUUCCUCAAAAAUUAGAUUGCCCCGAAUUGUGCGUCUUCUUGUUGUUCACAAACAAUGAAUCUCUUCAUGUCCCAGAUUCAUUAUUUAACUAUACGAAGAAACUCACGGUCUUAAAUCUUACUGGGGUACAUCUUACUCAUUCACCUUUGCCGUUUCAGCUCUUGGAGAACUUACAAACUCUGUGUCUUGAUGGUUGUUUGUUAGAGGAUGUAGCCAUUCUUGGCAAGCUAAAGGGGUUACAAAUUCUCAGCUUUGUGAACUCCAACAUUCAGCGAUUGCCAAAAGAAAUUGGGCAAUUGGUAGAGCUGAGGUUGUUAGAUUUAAACUAUUGUUCAAAACUGCAGAUAAUUGAACCGGGUGUGCUUGGAAGCUUGAUAAAAUUGGAGGAGUUGUGCAUGAUGUAUAGCUUUGAUCAAUGGAAUGCUGGGGAGCUGCCAACUCCACCAACUAAUGCAAGUCUUGUUGAGUUGAAUAACAUGAAGAAAUUGUGCACUUUGUAUGUAUCCAUUCCCGAUCCAAGUGUGCUCCCAAAGGACCUAAAUGUCGAUAAAUUAACCAAGUACCAAAUCCAAAUAGGAAAUGCAUGGCGCCUAAGCAUUGGCAAAGGAUUGAGGAUAUUGGAGUUGAAUCCGACAAGUGAUAUUCUUCAGAAAGAAUGGAUACAAAGUAUCUUAGGCAAAACUGACGCUCUAUGUUUGGAUGAGCACAAUGGAAUUGAGCAAAGUAUUUGCGCAUUAUCCAAAAAAGGUUUUCCAAAAUUAAAGCAUCUACAAGUCAUAAAUAGUCCUUCUAUUCAUUACAUCCACCAAUCGUCAUCACAUACAAAUUUUAAGAGGUUGGAGUCAUUAAUUCUCAAGGAUCUCAUCAACGUGGAGAAGUUAUGCCACAAUCAUAUCUAUUAUAAGUCCUUCAGUUCAUUAAAGGCGGUACAAGUCAAAAGCUGUCACAAGAUGGAAGUUCUAUUUCCUCUUUCAUCACUAAGAGAACUUCCAUGGCUAGAAGAGAUUGAUGUUUCCAAUUGCAAGUCAAUGCAGGGGAUUGUAGAAGCCGAUGAUUGUGGCAAUGUUGAGUUGCAUAAUUUGCAUGUAUUGAAAUUGUGUGACUUGCCAAAUAUCAAGAACUUUUUCAACACCGGGUCAACUCCUUCAAGUAGUAUGCCAAACGACCAAGUUGGCAUGCAAAAUGCAUUCUUCAGUGGGCAACGAGUAAGUUCAAUCAAAAGAAUUCACGCAGAUUAUGGUGCUUAUUUAUUUUUGUUAUUUUCAAUUUAUUUUUCCUAACUACCUUAUCUGUUCAUGUCUUCUCUGUAAUUAGAUAAAAACAAUUAUCCAUUUCUCUUAAUUGUGUAGAAAUACAAGCAAUUAUAUGAAAUCCAUGUAAAUUUGGUUUGUCAUUAGUUUUGAGUUAUUUUUUACUUUCGUGCUGCAAGUAAAUCUGUAUUAAUAAGGUUUCAUAAAGCAAAAAUGAAGGGAAUUUUGGCAUUAAAGUAAUUCCAUAAGCAAAGUAAUUUAUAAUCUUUCGAAAUGGAUUCCACUGAAUUUAGUUAUCAAAUCGUUGUUAUUAUCCACAAAAUGUAUAAUACAAGUGCCUCUCUUAAAAACCUAUACGAAGAAUGGGAAGAAGGGCCAGGUUUUAAAAAUAAAAUCAACUGUGCUAAUAUUAUUGAUGCACUAUUUAAAUAAGCACUUAGUAAUUGCAUAGACCCCAUAACUAUAAGAGUACAAUAUUUUGUGCAUAGGUUUCUUAUAGUGAAUGUAGGCAUUGGCAAAUGUAUGAUUUUUAUUGUGUCACAGCAAAGUUGUCAUUGCAAAUUUGGAAUUCUUGCCGUUGGAGUUUUAAAGUGAUCUUUUCCAUUUCUCUAGUCCAUACGGCGGAAUUAAGGCCAAGUUGUUACAAUAUAAAAUAAUGGAACAAGAUGCCUUGAUGGAAAAUCCACUAUCUUUGACGGGCCUUGUAUUUAUUUUGGCUACUCAAUAUGUCUUUAGUUUAAUUUCCAAAGCUUCAAGUGCUCCACAAUUUAAUCUUCAAGAAAUUUGUGGUGAAAUUUGACUUUUCUUUUUGUUGAGUCCCAUCCAAUUUGAAUUUUAACUUUUAUGUAACUCCAAUAGUUUAUCGGGACAAAUCCACAGUUUGCAUUAAUAAUCCUGUUAAAUUAAUUAUUGAUAUUGAUUUAUUAACGUUAAAGACAAGUUAGUAAGCUAAGGAUAAACAUUUGCCCAAGUAUGGAAAGUGAUAAAUCAACGUUAAAGACAAGUUAGUAAGCUAAGGAUAAACAUUUGCCCAAGUAUGGAAAGUGCGCGGCUAUUUUAUACGGGGAAAGUUGGUGUCAGUGGACCUUGUAGGCUGAUUAGAUAAAAUUGCCCUUUGAUAGCGGUGAUAUUAUCACUGAAGUUGAUGGUGGGGUCCAAGACUCACGCCAUAUAUAAGCUUUCCCAUCAGUAAAAGAUCUGUUCGUCUUUUUUCCCUGAUCGAAGGAACCUUGCUCUCUGAAUUGCACCAGGAAAGGGUACCUGAGCCCUCUCCGUAACUAAGCAGGUCUAGGGCUUCGGGAAUCAUCACUUUUAGAUUUUACAUGAAUUGCAAGACCAAAGUGAUCAAUUCAGUGACUUCUCUAAGUGUACAGCAAUUUCAUUGAAGAAUUUCAUCCAUGUUGUAACUUAAAUAACCGUCUCUAAGUGAUUUAACAAAAGCUAUGUAUGCUAUCCACUUCAUUCUCGGGCUAGCAAAAAAAGCAUAAAUUGUGAUUUGAUUAUUCUAGGAAAUUAACUAAAUUCAAAAGAGGGAGAGAUUUUAUUCAAAUUUGGGAUUAUGAGAGACUACUGUGAUUAUAUGAUAGCAUGAAAACAUUUAAAAAUUACCAUUUUGCCAUUGUCAACAGAAUCCGGUUAGUAUUCCUACUUUUUGUUUUGUUUCCCGUAAUUCCAAUAGCCUCCUCGUCCUGGAGUCGUUGACAUUAGUAUGGAGAUUUCUUUACCAAAUUUGUUGACUUUAUUCUUUUUGCCCUUUUGCUCAACUUAAGAUAGAAUCACCAAUUUCAUGAAUUUGUAAUUUUCAUCUUGGCACGUAUCUAUAUUUACAUCUUAGAAAUUCAUGAUUAACUCAUUCACCAAUUUCGUGAGUGAAUAUCGCAGGUUGCAUUUCCUAACUUGGAGACAUUAUAUAUCACUGGCUUGAAUAAUAUCGAGAUGAUAUGGGACAAUCAAGUUGUUGCGGAAUCUUUCACCAAGCUAAAGUCACUUUGCGUGGAUGAAUGCAAUAAGCUUGUGAACAUUGUUCAUUCUUUCAUUCUAAGACGGCUCUUGAGCCUAGAAAGGUUGGAUGUAAAAACAUGUGGUUCACUUGAAGUUGUUUUUGAAUUUUGGCCACUGAAACAUCUAGAUGGACAUCCUAUUGCUCUUCCAUUAGAAGAGCUGACAAUAUCAGCAUUAUCAAAGCUAAAGUGUGUAUGGGAUAAGGAACUCCACUGUCAAGCUAAAUUCCAAUGUCUACAAUCAAUUAGUGUUUCUAAAUGUGAGAGCCUCACCUCUCUGUUUCCAGCUUCAGUAGCCAAAGAUCUCAUGCAACUUGAGGAGUUGAAGAUCGAUGAAUGUGGCAUUGCAGAAAUCAUCGAAAAGGAAGAUGGACUAGUUCCCAGGUUUGUAUUCCCAAUGUUAACCUCCCUUGAGCUUGAGUAUCUGAGAGAGUUGAAGUGCCUCUACAAAGGAACACAUACUUCCCAUUGGUCGGCAUUGAAGAGCUUGAAGGUGCAUGGUUGUGACAAAGUGGAGAUACUUGCAUCGCACCUUGAGAAUGAGAUGCCACUUGAUAAACAGCCUCUCUUCUUGAUAGAAAAGGUAUGGCCCAAGAUUACUUGUUUUGUUUUGAUGGUGAAUAUUUGAAGUGAUGAUUAAGGUUACAACCAAGCAUCUCAUACAAGCAGCUCUACAUAGAAGAUGGACACUAUACGACUCACCUUCAAUCUAUGAAAAUAUUUCAACAUCAAAACAUCACAUGUUCUUCAAGUGCUGACUGAACAUUCUUGUUAGAUGUAUCCAAUGCAUUGUUGUUGGUCCACUUUUAAUAAAGGUUUAGGCUAAUUCCAAUAGUUUUGCUAUCUCCUAAGUGCCAUGAAGAUGAAAACACGUGGCACAUGUUGUGAUCUUAGUAUGGUACAAAUGUGUUGUCCGACUUGAAUCCUUUAAUGAUUACUAAUGUUUUGCUAAAAACAGAAAGAUGUGACAUUAUUGUUGAUAUUAAUCACUGAAAUUGGUGCAACUGUAAUUGACAUAGAAGUUAUUUUCACAAGGGAUUUAUCUUUAGAAUCAUGAAUGUAACAAGUAACUUAAACUCAAAUAUGGAUACAAGUUGAAUAUAAAGAUCAUUGAUAAUGUUUAUUUGAUGUAGGCACAUUUCCUUUUAUUGAAUCAUGUGAGACUAAACAUUUUAUAAAUGUAAUUUUUGCACGCAACAUGCAGGACUUAUAUCAUAAUACAUGAAUGCUAUUUUAACCAAUCUGGCUUUAAAUUCUGAUUUGACUAUUUUUUCAGGGCGCAUUCCCUAAUCUCCAAGAGUUAAAGUUGGAUUUAUCGAAACGGAUGGAGAUAUGGCAUGGGCAUUUUCAUGAUGGACAAUUCUUUUGCAAGCUUAGUUUGCUUAAGCUUUGUCAUCUCUCCCAAGAGUCUUCAAUAUCCACAUGUCGCUUUGUUGAGAGUUUAACCAACUUGGAAGAGCUUGUUGUAUGUGAAUCUUAUCUAGAAGACCCAAGUAGCAAUGAGGAAGCCAUAGAAGGCACGAGUCAUGAGAUGAAAGUAAUAUUACCAUUUUCAAGAUAUAUUCGACAUCUACAAACUCUAGAUGUGUCACAUUGUGAUGGGUUAUAAAAAAUGUUCACACCGACAAUUGCUGAAAAUUUGGUGGCACUCACAAAAUUGAGGAUAAGUAAUUGUAGAAUAUUGAUAGAAGUCAUUAAUGAUGAGAAAGGUGGGGAUGGCCGUGUGGUGGCUUUCAAUCAACUGAAGUAUAUGGAGCUUGAUGGGUUGAUAGGGUUGAGAAGUUUCAGCUCAGGUGGAUACACUUUGAUGUUCCCGCUCUUGGAAGAUAUCAUUGUGACUAGAUGUCCCAACAUGAAGUUUUUCUCUCAAGGACCGACGGAGGCAUCAAAGUUAAAGAGAGUUCAAGUAUCAAAGGAAGCGUGGUUUUGGGCAGGAAACCUCAACAUCACCAUCCAUAAUAUGUUUGAAGAAAUGGUAUGCACUAGUUACCAAAUUCCAUGUAUUUGGAUGGUUUUGAUCACUAAAUGAAUAAUAGCUUUUUGCUAGCUAGAAGUUUAUGCUUAACGAUGCAUUUUUUUUUAUAGGGCACGUUUGCUGGAGUAGAGAAAAUGCUGCUAUCUGAGUUCCCUGGGUUGAUUGGAAAAUGGCACAAUGAACUUAAUCCCAUCAAGUCGUAUUGGCAACUCAAAUCAGUGGUGGUAGAUAAAUGUCCAUCAUUUAUUAACGCUAUUCCAUCCAGAUUGAUGCUUGUCUUAGACAAUUUGGGCUAUUUGCAAGUGCAUGAUUGUGAGUUGCUUGAAGAAAUAUUUGAUUUGGAAGGGCUGGAGGUUGUGGAAAGCACUCGAGUACUACCUCAGCUAUGGGAAUUGAACUUGGUCAAUCUACCAAAAUUAAGGCGACUGUGGAACAGAGAUCUUCAAGAAUCGCUAUGCUUCAAUUCUCUAGAAAGUCUCAUCCUUUAUAAUUGCAGCAACUUGGGACAUGCUUUCUCUCCAUCAAUGGCUCAGUGCCUUGCCAAUCUUAAAGUAAUGGAAAUAAAGGAGUGUGGUCAAAUGGAAGGAGUGAUCGUAGAGGAAGAAGCAAAGGGAAGCGCAACGGAGAAGAUUACAUUCUCAAAGCUCCGGCAGAUGACUAUGGAAUACUUGCCCAAUUUGACUUGUUUCCUCUUGGGAAAAAAUCAUAUACUGGAAUGCCCCAAAUUACAAAAGAUGAUAAUUGCCCAUUGCCCCAAGAUGGAAAGUUUGAUUGGGCAAUCUCAGAUGGAGGAUGACCACAGCACCCCUUCAUUUUUCACUUCCCAGGUCAGUCUUUCAAAUAAAUGCGUCUUUGGUGUUUCAUUGGGACUUGUUCUCGUAGUAUUGGACAAUGCACGGUAUGAUGCAAAUUUUGUGCUUGUGCCAAUUUAUAUACAUAAUCUUCUAAUAUUUAAGAUGAAGAUUAAAAAUAUUCUAAUCCUCAAUAAAUAUUACUAUUAUAUGUACAUCUCUAUAUCCUAUUAGAAGUGUUAAGUUGGUGUAAGUUUAUGAAAUCAUAUCAUAUGCAGUACUUUAGAAUUAAUCAGCGAGGUUCCUAAAAAAGUUAUCGCAAUAACCAUAUAAAAACAUUUACUUUUUGCAAUUUCAAUUAUAAAGAACUAAAACAGAAAACUUAGAAUGGCAUCUAAAAAUGGCAGAAAAAAUAUUAAGUAUCGCCCCUUCAUAUUUAUUUGCGUGGAAGCAAACUAUUGUCAUUCUAUUAAACAUGAAGAAAAGGGAAAAGUAAAACUUCAUAAUUGUAAAAGCCAAUUUCACAAAUUGCUUAACUAUUAUAGCUCAUUAUACCAUAAUUAGUGGAGCCAACUUUUUUAUUUCUUAAUAUUCACCGAUGCUUGAGCUAAGUCUUGAUAAAAGGAAAAAAAAGGUCAAUAUGCCUGAAGUGGUUAGCCUUCCUUGUUCGUAAAUCAUAUUUGAAUUGCUAUGCUCCAACAACCUAUCAAAUUAUGCACCUAUAUUGUACAAUAAAUAUUAAUUUUGGAUUAUUAUAUUGAGUGAUAAUUAGUGUGAUACCGUGCACAAUCUAUAUUUGGCAAAAGAAAAUGCAUAUUACUUUUUCCAGAAAAAAGAAACGGCUAAAAAAAGGAAAAAAAAUGAAAGAGAAAAAAUGACAGCUGGAUAAUCCAAGGGCGGUUGCCAACAUUGCAAGUCUUAUUUCAAAACUAGAUGACAAUAUUUAGUCAAUGUCCUAGCUAAAAUAAAUUUUUUAAAAAUCGGAAUAAAUUAUCCAACCAACAACACCACCCAAGGGAAAAUAUUAGGUGCAUUAAAUACACUGCCUAGGAUUCGUAUUGAAUCAUCCGCAGACUGACACGUGACAAUGCCGGACCCACUUGUCAGUUGAACCGUUAAAAUUUUUGCUCCCCCUUUCUCUUCAAUAACGGCCCAUCACUUGAAAGCACUACUCUCCUCUUCCUGGUAUGGCUCUGCUCCCUCUCUCUCUUUCCUCUGCGAAGGUGCAUCUCUAUACUUGAACCACACCACCACCUUGGCCUCCAUCAAUUGCUGUGCGCUCACCGGACAGGAAAAAAAACAGAAAAAGGAAAAAAUUAGACAAAGUCUAUUUGGGGUUUUAGACUUCUCCCCCCUUAAGAAUUGUUCUCUCUCAGCCAUUUCAGUUCACCUUGAUCUUCCUUUUUGCAACGAGGAAAAGAAAAAAGUGAACCAAAUCUACAGAGUCAAGUAAUAGUAACUCUUCUUUCUUCCCCUCGCCCCCCUUCCUCUACUUUCUUUCUUUGGGCCGAUUGAUUGGGUGGUCCGUCCAGUGGUUGAAUCGGAAGCUUCGGAAUCGCUUCUCUGAAGCUCGCCUCCUCUCUGCACGCGUGCAUGCGUGGGUUCCGAGCGAUUACGCGAACUGGAGCUUGUUGGUUAUGGUGGAUCGAGGUGGAUCUCCGAUGCGGAAGCGAUUUCAGCGUCGAUUCGGUCGGGGCGUUGAUUCCGGCGAAGAAAAAUUAAAAAAAAUCUUCUCUUCAGCCCUCUCUUCCUCCUCCUUCGUCCACAGCUGCCCGACCUUCGCUCCUCCUCCGCCGUCGCCAACGGCGAAGUCACCAGCGCCUUAAUUAGGCUGACCCUUGCUAUGUCCAAGCCGAGCAUGGCCGUCUUCCUCUGUUUUGUCCGCCUCAUCGUUCUACAGAUCUUGAAAUCUAGCCGUCCAUAGCGACGGAGUUGCAGAUCUGGAAAUCGACCACCGUCGCUCGUAGCCAUGGACGAGCCGCUGUCGCUGUAGCCAUGGUUGCAGAUCUGGAAGUCCCGUCGCGAGUAAUGACGGCUUAUGGACCACGGUCGGCUCGUGGUCGGCCCCAUCCAUGGCCGAGCCACCCCUCCAUCGUCACAACUGCUUGUGGUCGUUGCCCGUCCUGAUCUGGACUGGAGUUGUGCCUCCAGAUCUGGUUUCGUCCAUGGACGCAAGCCUAGCUCGUCCAUGGCUAGCGAGGAGGCUCCCCCAAAGAUCUAGCGACCACUGCUUGUCCAUGGCCAUGAGCCUUGACGGCGAGUUUGAGAUCUUGACGGCUAUGGAUUGCGAGAUCAAACGAAAGAAAAAACAGAGAAACAGAUGUCAGGGAAGAAUGGCCAUGGAUGAGAGGCCGGAGCUUGAACGCAGCCAUGGACGAGCGGCGUCAUGAACGGGCAGACCACAAAGACAACGGAGAGGGUUGGACGCCAAGCAAUAGUCGCCUUGGACGCGGCGCCGGGAACUCCGCCGGUGGCGACGGCGGAGGGAGGCGGGAAGGUUGGGCUCAAUGUGGAUGGAGAUGGAGAUGGAGAAGGAAAGUGAGGUGGAUUGAGAUUUUUAAUAUUUAGUCAAUGUCCUGGCUACAUAAAAAAUUAAAAAUAAUAGGAAUUGAUCAUCCAGUCAACACUUUCAUUCCGUCUCAUGAAGUUCUCCUCAUGUGAAGACUAAACGCAAUAAAUGACAACCUCCUCCGCCACUUCUCUUUUUUGGGUCGAAUCCUCAGGCACUUGAAAAUGCGCGAUAUCGACCCAAAUUUGAUUGUUUUGACCUUUUUUUUUUAUUACAGAUUCCAUGCAAGUUUUGUUUUGUUUUUUUUUUCCCUGACGGAGGAAUUUUUUUUUUAUUCUCAUAAUUCUGCGCAAUUCUUUCUAUUGUUUUAUGUGAGUAGAAUGUUUAAUUAUAACAAGUAUCUACACAUUUGUUUACUUUUUAAUUUUAAGAAUUAUCACUAAUUAUUUAUUUAUACUGUCAUUUGCAUGUAUAAGUUAUAUAAUACCAAGCCCCGCAUUCUAAGAAUAUUUCAAAAAGUCAUUAUAACACUCAAUCAACAAUACUAAUAAAUUUGGGAAAGUAUGAAAAUAGUCAUCUAAUCUUUUGGUAGUGAUAAGUUGUAAUAGCGUUAAUUUCAUUUUAAUAUCAAAUAUGAGUUGUCAUAUACUAAUUGAUAGAUUUAAGGAAGUGUGGAAAGUCAAUUUUUUUUUUUUUUUUGGUGACAGGUCGUAAUUGCAUUAAUUAUAUUGUAACCAAAUGAAAAAUAUAAAUACUUACUUUUCAAUGAAUAAUUCAUUGGAGGUCAUGAUGUAGUAAAAAAAAAUUUUGAUUUUCUCCAUACAAACAAAAUGCGAUCAACGGGUGCACACCCACUUUUUGCCAAGGGGUGGAUCACUCGGUACACUGCAAGAUUCUAUUUUAUUUUUCCACCUCAAAUUUGAAUAAAUAUUAUUUCGAGGGUGUUAUUAAUGGUCCAAUGUAAAACUAGUAAAUUGACCCAACUUGUUUUUGCUGAGAUCAUAACAUUAUGUUAUUUAUUCAAGUCGUUAUGUUGCCCAUGCCUAUUAAGAAAUUAUUUUCUUUCAAUACAAAAUUUUUCCAUACAUAAAAAAGAAAAAGGUUGUGAACAAUUGAAGUCACUAUAUUUUUUUUUAUAUCCGGUUCACCAUAUAAAUUUCAUGACUAUUUUCUUUGGUCGAUGCUGAACGUACUAUUGAUUUAUAAAAGCAUUUAUAAUUUCAUGCUUGUUGCAAUGCAAUAUUCUUGGCCUUAUUCUUCAGUCAAAUUGUAUAAAAGCAUCAGCCAACCCCUUUCUAUUUAUGUCACUAACAAAAUCUUAACUUCUCAUGAUUUGUGAGAACGAGGGAAGUCUAGAAAUUCCUUCUUUAAGGUCAUAACUCAAUGCAAUCACAUUCAUUGUGUCAUUUUUUUUUUCUCAAUAUGGCAGGUACAAUUUCCUAAACUUUGGUCGAUGGAUCUCUCCCACAUGGACAAUUUAAGCAAAAUAUGGACUGACGCUCCUCAAGAAACUCUAACUUUUGAUUGUUUAUUGGAAGUGGAGGUUCGAAACUGUAAGGGACUUGAAAAUUUGUUUCCGUAUUGGGUGGCUACAAGUUUAACCCAACUUGGAAAACUUCAAGUGGAGUCUUGUGAGAUCGAGGAAAUAGUCGCUAGUGGGGAUGACAGUCCACGCUCCAAUACUACUCAAGAUCUUUUCUCAAAACUAACCUCUCUGGUGUUACAUGACAUGCCACGACUCAAGAGCUUUUGUCCUAACUUGCCUUUGAAUUUGCCAUUAUUGGAGGAAUUACGAGUGACUCAUUGUGAAAAACUGAGCAUGUUAUCCUUUGUGGCAUCCAUGAACAGAUGGGCUCAAAGAGAUGAUCAACAAGACCUUUCAGAUCAAGAAGCACACUCUUCAUUUGAGAGGGUAUGAUUAUAGUUGCUCUCCCUUAGUUUCUACUUUGUUCUUUAAAGCAGUCACUAAUAUCAUAUCCAUUGCAUAUUAUGUCGCGUUAUGAUGUUAUAGAAAACAUGAUCUCCCCUACCUAUUAGUUUGUUGACAACAUUAAGAUAUUUCUAAUAUCUUACGUACACUUCCAUUUGUGGACAUGCAUAAGAUAUUCCAUUACCUAGAGUUACUAAAAAAUUUACUAUUCUAUUGAUAACAGAAUAUAUUCCUAAUCUAACCUAAUGGUGCUCUUGGGCGACAUCAAUAAGGAUUUGAUGAGAGGUCCUCUCCAUUAUUGACACGUGUUGCACACUUGAACUUUUCUUCUCUAUUUCAUUUUCUAUAAACUCUAAAAAAAUCAAUUCAAACAAUUUUUUUUAUAACAAAAAUAACGUUAGUACCUUAGUGCACUAUUUUCUACUGUAUUUUUUAAUACACUAGUCGUCAUGUUAUCCUGUUAUAAUACUAUAGAAAACUAGAAUCCCUUUCCUAUAAGUUUGCAGACAACAUAAGAUAUUUCUUAUAUCUUAAGCAUACUUCUGAAUUUAUGGACCCCAUAUGUUUUAGUGACAUCUUGAGUGCAUCCCGUUACAUAAGAUUCCAAAGAAGAUAAAUUUUUGUCAACAAGAUAAGAUAUUCCUUACAAAAGAUGAAUUUAGUGAGUGCAAGGAUCUUGAAUUUAGAUUCACUCUAUCCACUUGACCAGACCAACCUCUACAUGAGACUUUUAAAAGCUUGAGUCUUGAACACAAGGUUCUUGAGAUAUAAUGAACUUUAAGAAGAGGACCACUUUCCAUGCGAAUCAUCUUAAUAGGUUUACCUUUUACAGCACGUGAUUUAUUGUCGAAACUUUGUUGAAUUUACUUCUCUUGUUGUAUUGGCAAUUCGACAGGACUUUCCCAACUUGGAGAGACUUUUAUUAGUCAAUAACAAUAUUCAGAUGAUACAAGAUGGAAAUUUUUCGGAUGACAUGUUCAGUAAGCUAAAAGCACUAACACUAGCAUGCUUUCAUGAUAAAAAUGCUGCCUUUCCUUCCAUAUUCCUCCUAGAGAGAUUUCAGAAUUUACAAAGCCUUGAAGUCUUCUGUAGCCCCUUUGAAGAUUUAUUCCCGAACGAAGGGCUUGUUGAAGAAAGGAAACAUCCGGUGCUUGAAAAUUUAAGAGAACUUAAGUUGAACAAGCUACACAACUUAAAGUGUGUGUGGAAAGAAGACUCUUUAGUGUCGAAAAUUCUUCAGAGCAUCAAAACAUUUCAGGUUUGGGAUUGUCCCUGUUUGACAACAAUAUUUCCAACCGAGACAUCCUUCUAGAAUCUGACAAAUUUAGUGGUGAAGAAUUCCUCUGGAUUGGUACAUCUAGUAACGACUUCAGCAGUCACAAAUUUGGUACAUCUCACUUAUAUGACUAUAAUAGGAUGUGAAAGAAUGAAAGAAAUAGUGGCCGACGAUGGAAACGGAGAAGGAAAAGUGAUUUCUUUUGAAAAGCUAAGUUCGUUGACACUUGAACAUCUGCCAAACUUAGAAUGCUUCUCUUCCAUCCCAAGUUGCAUCUUUAGGUUCCCAUCUUUACGGGAUAUUGAAGUGGAAGAGUGUCCGAAAAUAAAGAACUUUUCUAAGGGUACAUUAAGCACACCAGAACUAGAUUAUGUGUCACUGUUCAGAUACAAGUGGGAAGGGAAUUGGGAGAAGGGUGAUGAUCUCAAUACAACCAUACAGAAGUUAACAGCAUAAAUCAAUGCACAUAGAAUUGGUAAGACCAAUUGAUGUCAUUCUCUCAUCCAUUUUUUUUUUCUUUAGUCUUUCGGCAGCGCCGCAACUUUUUAAAAUUUUUCUUUUUGUGACUUUUCUAUUAUUGAUUUCGUCAAAUCAACAUCACCGUCAACCCUAUCGAUGGAUCUCGGCUCAUCCUUAACUGAACAGUAGGAAGCAAAGCGGGUCUCUCCUUCUCCUUCUUGACGCCAAAGGCUCUUUCUCCAUCUUUCUUCUUCUUCUUCCUCCUCCGUGGAGCGAAAUUGGGGGAAGCCUCUGCUGCCUUCACAAAGGACGGAGCAAAAAUGAAGCAUCAGGAAUUGCCAGGACUGCGAGAAGCGAAGCUGCAAUUAGCGGAGCGGAGCCAAGUAGAUUCAACUAGACGCUGUCGUUGUCGCCGUCGUCACCGCCGGAGGUGGCACCACCGAGUCUUGACAGUUUGUCGUCCACUCACUUCAUCAAAGAAGAAGAAGAUCACACUCUCUCUCCGCAUCUGUAUCCGACAAAUCGUAAGUUCAUGUUUCUUCCGAUUUUGGUGUAUUAUUGUGCGUGAAUUAGGGCUCUCUUCUUCAAAUUCGUUCCACAUUCGAGUCUAAAAACAGGAGUUACUCAAACAAGCAAUAUAUUGCCCUUAAAUCUACAUCUUCUGUGCUGCCCUCCCGAGCAUUGGCGAGAUUUCUGCGUGUUUGAGCUCUCAUAGAUGGAGAUGAUAUAUUGUGUUCAAGGUCUCAUGUUGAAAUUUCUUUGGGUAGAGAUAUCUCUGUAACAUCAGGUACAAAUUGCUAUCAUGAAGAAGGGAAAAAUCAUGGAACUUGAAAAUAUUCCGAGAAUUCCAUGCGUUGUCAAAAAUAUGAAAAGUCACUUUUACGCCUUGAUCGUAAUAUAGUCUGGACCGUCUGAGGAAUCACUUGUAAUCUUGAUUGGUUAAGUGAUGCUGGAAGGAUAAAAUUUAUUUCCAAUUUAUGCUAAAAUCUUUUUCAUAGCAAGUCAAACUAAUGAAGUGUACUUAAACUAUCUCUAAAGUUGUCAUUUUUUAAGUACAGGCUGGUCCAAACAUUUGAGCAAAUUGAGGCAUCCUGAGCUGGUUUUUUAAGGUCCCAUGCGCCCAAGGCCUCUCACUGCUCUUACAUCGGCCAACAAAUUUCAAAUGGAGCAUCCCAAUGGAGCAUUCCUUUUUCAAAGGUGGUGAGGAGGCCCUCUUAUGUUGACUUUGGCUUGGUAUGAUUCCACGCUCAUUGACCCAAACUCGCAUGUCUGAAAAUCAAACAUAUGGAUGCUGUUUAUAUCUUUGCUUAUACUCUAGUGUAUUUCCAAGUUGACUUAAUGCAGUAAACAACAUGACAUGUUAUAUUCCUUGAAUUGUUCAUGGGUAUAUGUUUGAAACCAGGUAUAUGUCUUAACAAUGGAGUAAUUGAAGCAGGGGAAACAAUGAAAGGACGGUUAGUGGGACUUAAACUGGUGGUCGAGGUUUGAAAGAAUAACAUUUGUCCCCUUUUUGUCAAUACAUGUGUUGGAAAGCAAUUGCUGAGGCAAGUCCAAAGAAUUAGAAUCCAAUUCCUCUUAUAUGGAGGAACUUGACAAUGUUAUUCAAUGCUGUAAAAGUAGAAUAUAUAUGUAAAUCACACGAGGAGACUAGUUGAUACGGACAAGCAAAUUGCAAAGAAUGUCACUAUCUCCAUAACUAGAGGGAAAGACCUGAAAGAUAAGGGGGUGGCUAGUUAUGGUUCUGAAAUUUCAUUGUAGAUCUAAUGACUGAUAACUUUGUUUUCAAAUAGGAGAUACUAUUUUAUUUUUUUACAUUAAUCGGAAAUUUGAGAAAAAAAGAUGAGUUUACUCUGUCAAAUUGAUUCAGUAUUUUGAUAAAAUUUGAGUUGCGCUUGAAAUAAUUGAACAGCUUAGAUUAAAAUUUUUCACUUCCAUCCGUGUUCCGAUCAUUGACGUCUUUGCCUUCUCCCCUGCUCUUGUGGUUUGUGUGGCUUAAAUUCAUCGUUUCAAAUAUAUAUGGGACAUGGAAGGCUUUUUCUGGUCAUGUACCCUAUUGCUUCUAGGAGCGUAUAUUUUGAUAUUUGACUUUGGGUUGUAGUCUGAGAUUGUCUACUAUCAUUAUAAGGUUUAUUGUCAAUUAAAACUCCUAAAAGUAGCAACUACUGCCUUAUAUUCACGCUGUGUGAUUAGAUUCUCUCAUUAGUGUAUGCUUAUGUUUUGGUCUUUCUUCACCAUAAGUUGGUUUUCAACCUCAUAAAUGAGGAGACUACUCCUGUUCAAUUCAUCAGGCAACAUAAUCAGGAAAACAAGCAAAUUGCAACUCUCAGGUAUUCAGACGGGUCGUGGAUGGUGAAGCUCAGGAGCCAUGGACUUUUUUUUCGUUGCUUGACACCCAAUUGCUAGAGAAGCUCGUUUGCAUUUAGGAGAUGUUUGUGUGUUUGAGCUCAUUGAUAGGGGGGAUGUGUGUUUAGAGUCUACAUUUCCACUAGUGCUAGUAAGGACUUGGUUUACAUUUACCCGAAAUGAAUUUUGGAAGUGUCACUUUAGAUAAUCCAAAAUAAAUUCAGUAUUCAUAGUUAUAUCUCUUUGUUUAGUCUUGGUGAGUCAAUGAAGUGUACGUCUUCCAUUCCCAUUGGGUUUGUGAGUUUCAUAAUAAUCCAGAUGCACACUCAUUAAUGCUACAUCCCAGGUCUAAAUUAACCAAAAAGAAUGUGCUUCAAUGUGAAAGCGAAAAUUAUAACCUAAACGCUCAGCAUGAGAAUUUAGAGGUGUGACUUGUUGGUUUCUAAGUUGCGCUUUUCUGCACAGUGUUGCAUUCUUUUUCUUGGUCCGUCUCAAAAGUUAUGAAAUUUUCCUGAUAAGAUUUUGUAUAUUGAUGGGUGACAUUACGAUUUAGGAGAUGCCAAGUGUAGCUAAUGUGUUUUGUCUAACGUGAAAAACAUGUAAACGUUAGUAACAUGAUUGGAUGCAUUGAUUUGUAGAUCGUUGUAACUUGACAGAAGGUUUACAGCAGUACCUAUGAAAACUCUACUUUUUCUUUUGUGCAAGUUGGACCAAACAAUCUAAAUGUCAAGUGAGCCCCCAUGAGCAGUUUUGCAUGGUUCCGUGUUUCCGCGGCCUCCCCUGCUCUUGAAAAAACUAGAAAAUUUGAAUCGAAGUAUCCAUCUCUGAAAUUGGUGAUGUGGCCACUAUUAUUAAGGAUAGAACUGCGGUAUGGCCCGUGUCCUUUCAUAAUUGGCAUAGCUCAACCAUGACGCCUUCUACAUCUUUCCCUUUAGUCCACUCUUUUCCCAAGUCGUUUUGGUUUUUCAUAGGAAUCAAUGUUAUCUUCCUUGGAGUGUUCAUGGCUUUAUCUGUAAAACCGGGGCAGUUUUGAUUUUGAAAUUUUAUUUUUUAAAUUUAUGGAUUCAUAAGAUUACCAAUUCUAAAAUGAAAGAUUCUAUAUUUUUUUUUUCCAGUAAUCAAGUGUAAAGAAGAUUACUAUUAUAUAUAGACUAAGAGGAUGUGGUGGGGACGAUCAGUGUUAGCAACUCUUGAACUUUUGCCAUGAGAGUUAAAAAAUUAUGUACACUACCGUAGAGUCUACAAGCACUGUAUUGUGAAAUCUCAACUUCAAGUUGCAAGUUGGGAUUGAAGACUUCUAUUACCCAGUUAACACUAUUAAUUGAACUCCCUGAAACUAGUAAAUACUAGCAUAAAUUUACAUUUUGUUUGCGUUUUCCGUUUAUUAUUUCUUUGUAUUUAUUCUUUUCCUCAUUAUACUACAUUGGUAGUGUUCCUUGUGAAUUCAUAAAGAAACAUUCAGAAGAACUAGCAAAUUGCAACUCUUAGGUAUUUGAACAAAUUAUGGCUGGUGCAGCUCAAGACCUAUCAACUCCAUUAUCCAGCUGGUCGGGCCGCAUUUGUGAAAGAAGCUUAUCUGGAUGAAGGGGAUGUCCACAUGUUUGAGCUCAUUGAUAGGGACGAUUUUAUGGUCAAUCUCCAUCUCCAAUUAUGCUAGUAAGGACCUCAUUUAGGUUGAUUGAGAUGGACAUUGGAAGUGUUGCCUGCAAGUAAUUCAUGUCUUUUUUAUUCAGCUAUGACGAAUCAAUUGGAAGUGCACUUACUUUUAGCUUUGCGUCUCUUUCUUGACCUGCUUACAGUCUUACCAGAAUUCUCCUCUUUUUUUUUUGGGUGCAGGUCAGAACAGAUAGUCUAAAUGUCCAGUGAGCCCUCUUGAACAGCCUUUUCAUGGUUUCAAUUGUCUGUGGCCUCUCACUGCCCUUUAGAAUGCUGGAAAAUUCAAGUUAAGAGUAUCCCUUUUUCCAGAUGGUGACAUGGCCAUCGUUUCUUAAGAAAGAAAUAAUGGUGAGGCCCAGAUCUCCAUUCAUAACUGGCAUAUCUCAAUUAUGAAUGCGACCUAUCUUAUAUAUGUGCCCUAUUGUGCAAUUUUUUCUUGCAUUAAUUUGCUUUCUAUAGAAACACAGAAUAUAUUAUCUUCCUUGAAGUGGUCAUGGUUAUAUGUUUAAAACAGGCUCCUUAACAACUAAAGGGACUAGGGAAAAACAAUAAGUCGGACAGUAAUCAGGAAAUUACCUAGUGAUGGGUGUGGAGACAAGGUCAGAGGGUUGAGACAGGCAAUAACAACCAUAAAUUAGGAAUUUAAUGAUUUCUAAUUGAAGUAUAAAUUCUUCCCAAAGAUGACUACUUGGUACUUUCUCUGUCUUCUAGUUUAAGUAUAAAUUCCUUCCAAAAAUGACUACUUGGUACUUUCUUUGGCUGCCUAGGCUUGGGAAGAAGAGGCAACACGAAAUGUCCAGCUUAAGCAAUAGCUAUUGCAACAAGCCUAGGCUUGGCAUGACUAGGCUCACUGCAAUAGCACGGCAACACUAAUCGGAUAUUGCUCCCUGGCAACAAAUGGUUUACAAGAGCUACUAUUGCAAGCAGGUUCAAACUUGCGAUCAGAAAUGAAGCGAAGGUAGUGUGGCCCUAGACCUCAAAAAUUAGUCCCACCACCUCCGUGGUAUGAAAAAAAGAAAGGCAGCUAUUUUUUUUUUUUUUUUGCCAGGCGAAUGAAGAUCACUUUUUGUGUAUAUGUAUCCAUCUAGGAUGCUAGGUGUAGCUUUUCAUGUUUGUUCAAUGCAUAUCGCGAUGCAAGAUUGGUGACUUGGAAAUCCACCAGAUUUGUGCAUGUCUCUAUAUUGAUCACACGUACUUAGUGUAGAGUCUAAGAGCACAGGAUUGUGAUAUUUUGAUUUCAGAUUGCAAGUUGUGACUAAAGACCAUCUCAUCAAGCCUUUUAGACUGCUAAUACAGAUCUCUGGAAACUUCAAAUAGUAUCAUAAAUGUACAUCUUGUUUGCCUUUUCACUUUAGUGUAUGCUUACAUUCCUUUGUCUUAUCAUACAUUGACUGGUCAAAUGUCUUCAUGGGCAGAGCGUUCCUUAUGAAUUUAUAGAGACAUGCAGUCAAGAAUACCAGCAAAUUGUUACUCUUAGGUAUUCAGACACAUUGUGGCUGGUGACCAUCAGGAGCUAUGAGUGCUACGCUGCAGUGAACUUCUCUAUUGGUUGGUCCAAGUUUGUGAGAGAAACUUAGUCUUGAAUGAAGGGCAUGUCUGCAUGUUCGAGCUCCUUGAUAGGGAUUAUUUUUAGGUUGAAUUGGGAGGUGAACACUGGAAGUGUCACUUUAGGCCAUAUACUAGUUAGAAGCGAUCUCUGCCUCUUUUCUGUUGUGAUGAACCGGAUGAAAGUCCACUUUUAUUUCUGACUCUGCUUUUUUCUGAACUAGCUACAAACUUAUAAUUUCUUGGCCUAGCCACUCCAUUGAUCGGAUAUUGUGAUGAAUAGCCUUGCACACAUUUUCUACUUUGGGUAUUUCUCUUGCGCUUGUAACGCUUUUAUCAUUGCCUUCUUGGAAAGGACCUUAGUUCAGCAUUAUCAUGGUUCUGGUUAUUCAACCUGGUUUCGUAGAACAAAUGAAAUUUAUGCAGUAUGCCAUCAGUCAUGGUCACCUGAUAGUUUUCAAAGAUGGGAGAGAUGGACUCUAUACUCAUGUAAUUGUAUUUGAUUAAAGUGCUUAUAUAGAUACAUUAUCCUUUCAAGCAAGAUGAAAUAUAAAACCAAGAUGGCGAAUUCCUCGAGAAGAAAAUGGGAAGAAUCCAAAGACCUCACGGACCUUGAAGAUUCAGAGGGUUCCUGGCCAUGUUGGAAACCAUUGGCUAAACUGCAAUUACCUUCUUAUCUGCCUUCUACGGUGAUGAAUUCCUUUUCAAUUUGUGAGUUUCAAAGUGAUUAAAUUGCACACUCAUUGAUGCGACUUUGCAAAAUAAUAUGCUUGGAACCAAAAAGGACUAAGCUGCGAACGUCAAAGAGUGACAGAAGUUCCAAAUUGUUCCUCAAGAUAAUUUGGAGGCGCGUGCACAUGACAUAGUUUUCUUAGUCACUCUUCAAAUUUUAAAAAAUUUGAUGAGAAGCUUUUGGUAUGUUGGUUGAUGGCAUUGGUUUGGGUGUUCGAAGUUGUAGUCAAUCAGUUAUAUCCAAUACGAAGAGCGUGCGAAAUUCUGUUUCAUGUUCGCACUUGUUGAUUUCCAAACUAUGCUGGAUCUUUUCAUAAUAAAUCGAAAAAAUUCACAUAUGUGCCCAUGAGAGUUCUUUUUUUAACCGGAGGUCAGACCAAACAGCCUAAAUGCCCAGUGAACAAUGUUGAGCCGGUUUUUCAGUGUUUUACUUGUCCAAGGCCUCUCCCUGCACUUGAAAAAGCUUAGAGAAUUUGAGUCAGAAUAUCCCUUUUUCAAAAUGGCAAUAUGGCAAUUUCUUGUCAUGAAAGGAAAAGAACUGUACAUUCCUCAUCUCCAUUCAUUAUCGGCAUAUUUCAAAUAUGAGACAACAUGACAUGUUAUUUUCAUUGAAGUAUUUGUGGCCAACCGACCAUCCUAAUGGCCGAGUAAUGGAACUUGGUAAAAUGGCAAUCAAAAUGGUAAUUGUGAUAUAACCUUUAUGGUUGUGUGUGUCGAUUCGGAUUAUUAACUAGUGCGUCUACCUUGAAACAAUCAACUUCUCUAGUUGCUCCAUCAAUUUGUCUUUUGUUCCCUUUUUUAAAGUGGAAAUCAAGGUGUCGACUUUUUUAAAUAAUAUCUCAAUAUUUUUUGAAUUUUUUUUAUUAUUUUGUUAUUUUGUUAAUUUUUUUUUUCAUGCCCUUAGGGUCGGCCAGGAUGUGGGCGUGCAGCACCUCGCCCAGACCAAGUGAGGGCUGGCGAGGGUGUGCAGGGAAAAAAACAACUAAAAAAACCAAAAGAAAAAAAAAUCAAAAAAAUAUUAAAAUAUUAUAAAAUGUCCACAUCACUUUCAGCAGUGUCAUGUCAGCGCAUGCUGAUCAAUAUUAGCAAAAUGGACUUAACUGGCACAAAUGCGAAAAGUUUAGAAUUGAAUUGACUAAAAAAAAAUAGAUUCAAUUAGCACAAUUACAAUAAGUUUAUGAGUUUUUUGAUAAUUCUCCCGACAUUGUUUUCUUAUUAAUGAAUUUUGUCUCACAAUUCAAGGUACAAAAUGGUAUUGUUCUUUAGAAAAGCUUGAAAACUUAUAUAUAUUAAAAUAAUUUGGUGAGAACGAAAUAUCUUUUUUAUCAAGGAAUAGAAAAGGAAAAGGAAAGAAAAGCAAACAAGAAAAUAAAAAUAAGAAAAAUUACUCUUUGCCAUGCCAAACCUAACCUAAAGGUAACAAACUGUCAACACGAUACAACUUUUAUUUAUAUCACAAGAUUCUAUAUGCUCUUCGUCCAUUUAUUACUUGUCAACUUUUACGGACUUGAUACAUCAAUGACCCUUUUCCUCUUUCUUUCUUGAUUCAACAAUAGGGGGAGAAAAAAACACAUCAGACCCUUUUCUGCAAAUAUGGACUCGCGGUCUCAUCCAAAUAUGAAGGAAUCGAUUAAUUGCUCAUUGAAUUCAUAUUGCUCGCAUCUAAUUCUAUAGUCAAAAAGCCGAAGCUAUGCUUCGGCAUUGAGUGUGCACAACUCUUUAAUUUGACCACAAGCGAAAUCCAUGCAAGUAGUACAGUCCAACUACCCCAGCACGAUAGCACACUAUCCACGGCCGAAGCAUCUGGCGUUGCUGUAAGAGGCACUGGUGCAUUAGUUGAAUCCCCCGAUCGCGGUGUCAAACCUCAGAUCGGUCAAAACUUGACCCGAAGCUUGUGCAAAAUCGUUUGGGUACCGCAUGCCGUUGCAUAUCUUGUACAUAAGCAUCACAUCCAGGUCACUUCUUACGAGUCAGACCCCUACAAGAGCCCCAUGAACAUAAGUGUGAGCGUAUGCGAUGUGGACAAGGUCAUCCAAGAGCCCUGUUUCCUCCCUUUUGGUCUCUUUGGUUUGCUACGAGGAAACACACACUUGAGAUUGGCUAUAAAAAGAUUUGUCUCCAUAGUGCUAUCCAUCAUUUAUUCUUUGUUAUUAGGCUAAGCUAGUACCAAUUUUAGUAAUUUAUGACGUCACAUGGAUUUUUUUUAUAACUUCCAAAGCUUUUUCUAUGAAUUAUUUGUUCAUUAGUGUAAUAUGUUGUUGCUGUCCUUGCAAACCCUAAUCUCAUAAUUUUUAAUAAAAUCCCCCCCUCUUACUAUGCAUGAAAAUUUUUAAAUUGGAAUCCUCUAAGUCUACGAAAUAAAUUCACAUUACGAUAAAUUACUCACUUCUUCUUUUUCUGUCCUCUUUCUCCUCUUACUUUGCACAAACGUGUCAACCUCAUGUACUAGUCUUGAAUAUAUUUCUAUAUGUAACAUUGUAAAUUUUAGGCCAUGUAAUUAAUGGAGUUCAUGAUAGUUAUAUAACCCGAAUAACACGAUACUUCUACCACUACUAAUACUACUACUAGGAGUGUAUUAAAAAAAUAAAAAAUAAAAAAGUCCGAAAAGCCGGAUCGAACCAUCCAAAUUGGCCUGAUAAUUUUGGGCUCAAAUAAUCCUGGGCCGGCACACUUGACCUCAAACUAUCCUUGAGUUUGGGACUUGAAUGAUUGCCAAACUAGCCCGAUUCAUAGAUCAGAAACUGUACAUAUAUAUGGCCCCUAUGUCAAUUCCCAUUCCUGCUAGUUGAGUGCUUGACUUCUCUCAUUCUCCCAUCUCUCACACUGGUUGAGAUCCGGCCACCGUUGAGCUGCCAUUGCCACCACCGUCGAGCCCCAUUUAUGCGGCCAUCAAUCCCCACACUCACCAUAUGCCCUUCGUCCAAGACGUCUCGCUCACUCCGUCAGUCCCUCUUCUGCUUGCUCACGUCUUAGUCUUCCUUAUGCUCCCUCACUCUAAACCUGUGAUAAAUUUACUCUCUAUCAAAUUUUAUUGUCAAAUUAUUAAGUUGGAUAACACGUGACAAUUGACAAUGGUAUCAAUUUGGGGUUUUCUCCUCCAUUUGUUACAAUCAUAGUAGUUUGUGAUUUUUUAUAGUAUUAAUUCAUUUUAACAAAAACUAACAAAUAGUAAAAUUAUCACAAAUGUAUCAAUUUAUUAUUUUUAAUGGUCAAAAUACUAAUUUGGGGCAAAUGUGUGAUGUACCAAUUUGGAGUUUUUGUUAGUCAAAAAAUUAAUUUGAGAUAAAUUUGUUGCAUAUAUACUGAUUUUAGAUUUUUUGUGACAUUAAUUCUUUAUUAUUUUUUUGUUUAACACUUUAUUAGUUACAUUUAGAUAGUAGAUGGUAGUGGAAAGUGGCCGUUAAUGACGAUUGGCACUUUUUAAGUGCUAAAUGACGAAAAUCGCCUCUGAAUUAGUCUAAAAUCUAAUCCGAGCUAUCAUCAUAAUUUGGAUUUUAAGGCAAUCUAGAUCGAGAUAUCAAAAGAGGAACCUCUCCCUUAAAGAAUCUACAAACAUGGUAAAGCUAUUUUAUAAACCAUAUUCUCUAAUAUCCUUAUGUUCAAAUGAAAAUUUACGUAGAAUAAUAAUCGAGUUGGGAGAAUCAUUACCUACACCCAGUGCAAACAAUAUUCCUCUCAUAGCAUGUAUGAAGGUCUACUAGGAGUGAAACUCAGUCAAAUUAUUCAUGAGUCGUUGGAGCUUGGGUUGAUGACCAUUUGAGAACUAAUAUUUAGUCGAGCUCUAACUCGAGCUACUUGAGUAUCUUGCCAAUUGAAAGCUCAAGCUCAUCAAUACUUAGCUCAAUAAACUUUGUAAACCCGAUUCAAAAAAAUCAAUUGUAAAUAAAAUUAAAUAUUAACAUCCUCAUUUGCACACACGUAAUAUAUAGUAUAUCAUCUUUUUUUUUUUGGUAAAGGUAAUAAUAUUAUAGAGAAGGACAAAUGUACAAAAGAUCAGUUCCAUAACCGACACUCUUAACCGAUUGGCAAAAGUGAAGGGGAGCCGAUGUAAAAGAAACAAGGGCCGAGCCCGCUAGCAAACACUAAGGCGACACCCAAGGAGCACCGGCGCGGUGAUGGACCCAUCAACCCUCCAGUGAAUAGCCUGAGAAUGCGGAACGGAAAUGAGAGCAGCACAUAGCGAUUAAGGAGCAUAUCCACUUAGAAACACGCCCGGGUCGAAGCCCCAUCCUCUUUGAAGUCUUUGAUUCCUCGGAGAGGGAGAGACAUUCUUAAAGGUGUUGGCUUUAUCUCUAACCAUCUUGAUAAGGUGAUUUUCGAGCGCCGGAAGCACAAGAGAUUCACCUCUGAAAAGGAUUGCAUUCCUCUUCUUCCAGAUGAGAUGGCAAAGGCCACCAAAGGAGAACCGAACUAUUCUGUGAUAGAAGUCAUUUCCAGAUAGGAACUUCCGGGCCCAAGAGAGUACCUCAUCCCAGCAUCGGUUUCUCCAAGGAAUGUUGCAUUUGGCGGCCCAGAAGAAGGCCAAAGAAGUCGAGAUGCGACAUCCGAAGAAAAGAUGAUCUCUUGAAUCAGGGACUUCACUACAGAAGGCACACACGACCAUAGGAUAGAAGCAUUACCUGGGUGGGAAGGCGAUUCUUUACAAUUAGCUAGAGAAUGAACUGGUAGCGAGGGACUAUAGCGGAAUCCCAUAUUAGAGGCGCCCAGUUAACCGAAGAUUUCUUGGCUCUAAUAAGGUUCCAUGCCGAUGAAACCGAAAAUAAACCGGAGGGAUGAUUGCACCAGAAAAACCUGUCAUUGCCCGAAGUCAACUCUGGAAGAGAUAUACCGCAUCUCACCAAGCAUUCCUUUAAGGGCCGGCCCAAUGGAGAGAAAAGGUCAGCAACAACCGCAUGGUCAGGGAUGCGAAGUCUAUUUCUGAAUGAUGAGGGCACGAAUGCAUCAAGCGGGCCACACGAUAACCAGUAAUCAUACCAUAGGGACACCGUGUAGCCGUUUCCAACCUUCCAUCUAAAGGAAUUUCGAAAAUAACUUCUAAGUUGGAGAAUAUUUUUCCAAGACCAGGAGCAUAAUUUGGGUUGGGACACAAUCCAGAAGUUCCUUUUGGUUAAGAAGAUGGAAUGGAUCCAACGACACCAUAACGAUUCCUUAUCGUGGAAGAGGAACCAUAUAAAUUUUACCAUUGAAGCUUUGUUGCAAUCCCUCAGAUUCCGGAUACCCAAUCCACCUUCAUUUUUAGGAAGACAAACGUCCUUCCAUGCAACCUUAGCUCCACCACGGCCCAGGGCCGUUCCUUUCCAUAGAAACUGUCUCAUGAUUCUUUCAAUAUUGUCUAGAACCGAGGAAGGAAGAGUAAAUACACUCGUCCAGAAUGAUUGAAUGGCAUGGAGCACCGAACGGAUGAGUUGUAAUCUACCCGCAAAUGAUAAGAACCGGUGAGUCCAAGAUUGGAUUCUAGCAGUGAUGCGGUCCGUCAAAGCAAUACAAUCGGCUUUACUCAGUCUAGAGGAAAUAAUAGGAACUCCCAAGUAACGAACAUGGAGCUUACCUUCUUGAAAUCCGAAUGCCCAGAGGAUUCUAUUUCGAAUGGAGAGAUCACCACCAGAUAUAAAGAUCUCACUCUUAUUCUUGUUAGGAAGGAGACCACUCCAAGAAGAGAAGAUGUCAAGGCCUCUCUUUAGCAUGGACACCGAGGACCAAUCCGCUUGGGAAAAUAGAAAAACGUCAUCGGCAAAGAACAAGUGAGAUAGUCGAACCGGUUUACACCUCCAGAAAUAUUUAAAGUCCUGGUUCGCCGUGCGGGAAGCCAACACUCCAGAAAAUACUUCCAUUACUAAUGUAAAUAAGUAUGGGGACAUGGGAUCUCCUUGUCUAAGGCCACGGCCGCUCGGAAAAAAACCAUGAAGAUCACCGUUAAUGGCUAUCGAGAAUCUUGGAGUCCGAACGCAAGCCAUAACUAAUUUGAUGAAUCCUUCCGGGAAUUGGAAUGCACCAAGAACACUUUCCAAGAAGUCCCAAUCUACCGUGUCAUAUGCUUUGUGAAAAUCAACCUUAACCGCACAUUUUGGAAGAUAAGGAUGAAGAUGGAAGCCCGCAAAGAGUUCUUGGACAAGGAGGAUGUUAUCUCUAAUUCUCCUGCCUUUCACAAAUGCAUUUUGAGAUUCACUGACCACCUCAUUCAACACGGCUGCUAUUCGAUUAACUAGUAUUUUAGUGAUAACUUUGUAAAUGGUAUUACAGCAAGCAAUCGGUCUGAAAUCCGACACAGCACUCGCAUUGGGAAUUUUAGGCACAAGAGCAAGGAUCGUUGCAUUUACCUCUUUGAGUAGUCUCCCGGAGUGGAAGAAGUCCCGAACAGCCAGCAAUACCGAGGGACCUACAAUCUCCCAAUUAGACUUGAAAAAUUCCGAUGGGAAACCAUCCGGGCCUGGGGCCUUGCCCUUUGCAAGUGAGAAUAGAGUGGAUUUGAUUUCAUCAUCUGUGACUGGUUCAUCGAAGACACGAAUCUGCUCAUCAUUAAGGGGUCGGCGUAUAGCACGUUUCAACUCCUCAAAAGAUGGUUUAGAUAAAGCCUCAUGCGGAGAUAGCAAUGAGGAGAAGAAAUUAAUAAAAACCUGGGGCAGCGCCGAGAGAUCAGUUAUAAUAGUCCCAGAGGAAUCUUUAAUGGAUAGAAUUCGGUUACUGAGUUGCCUCCUUUUGACCGAUUGGUGGAAAAAUUUCGUGUUUUUAUCUCCUCCUUUUAGCCACUGAAUUCUGGAUUUUUGACGGUAAAAGGACUCCUCUUGAUUCCUUAGAUCAACAAAAUCCCGACGACAACACCUCUCCCUUUCAGCAAGCUGAGGAUUCAUCGGGUCAGAUUGGAGAUCAGAUUGAACGGCACUAAGGGCCUCUCUCGCUUCCAAUGUUCUUUGUGAGAUCUCCGAGAAAGCUUCUCGGUUGAGGAGCUUGAGGCGGGCCUUUAACAACUUGAGCUUAGAUACUAGCUGAAACAUAGGAACACUAUCACCAACGUAUCCCAUACCUGACGGACAAUGGACUAAAGUCCGGAUGUUCAUCCCAAAAUUCAAAGUACUUGAAUGGCUUCCUUGAGCGAGGCGGUUCAAGAACUUUCACUAUCAUCGGAGUAUGAUCCGAUAUGCCCGGGUUAAGGAAAGCCGCCUCAGAAAAGGAAAAGUCCACGUUCCACUUAUUAUUUACCAACACUCGAUCAAUCUUCCUCAACUUCCUUGAGCUGCCUGCCGAAGUAGACCAUGUAUACCGGAGGCCCACAAAUCUGAGGUCCGUCAACUCAGUUUGAGUUAAACAGUUUGCAAAUUCAUCAAAAUAGGGAAUCCAAUUGGUAGAACUACCAACUCUAUCUGAGGGGUCUUUAAUUGCAUUAAAAUCCCCCCCAACCAGCCAUGCCUCAUUCUGAAAGAUAGCAUUAUAGUGUUGAAGGUCUGACCAAAGCGGUCUACGACGAACAAAAGAAUGUUGCCCAUAUAUAGCAGAAACACAACAACUGGAACCAGUAAUAUUAAACUUAAGACAGCCAUGGAUAGCUUGCUCAUUAAUAGAGAUAGGGGAGAAGGAGACAAAAUCCGGGUUCCACCCGACCCAAAUCCUCCCCCGGGGAGAGCAAUUAUAGUUCGCAACCCAUUUCCAACCCCUAAUAAGGGUGAAUGAGAUUUCAUCAAAACGGUCUUCCGGAACUUUCGUCUCGAUCAGGCCAAUAUAACAAAGAUUAUUAACCGCAACAAGGCGCCUAAUUUCCGCACGCCUUAACGGAUCGAUAAUACCCCUAAUAUUCCAGAAUCCAAAAAACAUCCAAAAAACAUGGAGGAAAUGGCUUACCUCUUCCUAGCGGUCUUGGAGCCCUUAACAGGCUUCUUCGCACCAACAGGGAGAGGCGAAUCUUCCAGCAGCUUAGCAAGCUAAUGUUGCAGGCUUUCAGUCAAGUGCAGAUUCGGUUUAAUGCUUGUGGGUUCUUCAACAUUCGAAGGGUCCUCAUCAGAGGAAUCAUGAACACUUGAAUUACAAAUAUCUUCAGAGGUCUCUUGGACCAUAGAAGGAUCCGAUCCAGGAGGGUCAGCCACAGUAGGAGAUUGAGCGUUUGGGGACUGCAACUCUACUUGAGAGCCUUCUUCUUGGAUAAUAGUGUCACUCUUUUGCACCUGACCUUCCUCCGUAAUAGGCGAUAAGCCGAAGGAUACCGUGGAGUUCGCCGCCCUUCGAGCAGCCUCAGCAGCUUCUCUUGCUGCCUGUUUCUUCCUUUUUUUUUUUGGUCUUUCGUUUAAUCUACUUCCAGCCCAUCUCGGCAUUCUCAUGCUCAAUUAAAUCAGCAUUGAUCAGAUGAUCAUUCUCAGCUGGGCGAGAAGGCACCAUACAAUGAGUGCUUGAUUCUCCAAUGAACAGAGAUCUUGAAAUAUCAGUACCAGCAACCGUAUCUGCAGAAACCAGGUCUCGCCUAGGAGCGUGAGAGCUAUCAUCCUUUUGCUCAUAUGAGGUCGGAACAACCACUUCCUUCCCCUUGGUGGAUACCGACUUAGGCUCAGAGUUCGCUUUAGAAUUAGAUUCUGAAUGAUCCACAUUAGCAUCCUCUACUGCAGAAGGAGCAAGAACAGGAACAAUAUUUUUGCAGCUAUGGCCAAACAUUCCACAUUUGGUGCAGACUAAUGGCCUCCAUUCGUAUUCAACUUCAACCACAUCUGUUUUCCCUUCCGUAACCAAGUCUAUAGACUCGUACAAGGUCUGCUGAACCGUUAUUUCAACACACACACGGGCAAAUGUGAGCAUAGACAUCUGCUCCGUUCUUUGGUCAACAUACAAAGGUCUGCCAACAGCACUAGCUACCUUUCCAAUCGCCUGGGCUGACCAAUACGCAAAAGGAAGGUUCCUUAAUCUCACCCAUAUCGGAACAGCCAUGUGAGUGUCUCUCUUAAGUUCAACUCCCGGCUGCCAUUGCUGCAGUAUAAAGGGGAUUCUCGCCAUGGUUAUAGGACCGCCUUCCAGGAGUUUCCUCCUGAAAUCCUUAUUAGGGAUCCAUAGGAGAAACAAUCCCCUUCCGUUAGACAGGACUUCAACCAAUGCUGGUCCCCAAGCUCUCUUGAGGGACUCUUCAACAACGUUAAACGGUAACUUUCUACCGAUAAAAUAGCCAACAAGACAGUCAUAUAGCUUUGGAUCCGCAGCCUGCAAGUCAGAUUCAUUCAUAUGCACGACUGGUUUGUCACUUACAAUCUGAGGAGGCGAGAAUUCCAGAUCAUAGCCUUUGUUAGCAGCACUAGCUACGGAAGCCCAUGAACGAGGAGCAGGCUUUCUUGAUUCGCCCCUUGAGCGGGGUCGAACAGAUUUAGAUCUACCCCUGAAAGCCGAACGUCCUCUACGAGCUACAUUGGACGGUCGUGAAUUCGCAAUACCAGCAGAAGCAGACGGGACAUUACGAUUCUCCACAGCCAAAGAGGGAACAACCGAAGGAAGACGGUCAGUUCUAGGCGAGGAGCCACUUAAUCGGUUCUGCAUCGGAUCAUCCAUCACAGCAGAAUUUGCAGACAACAGAUCGCAAACCCUAAUCCAUCAGCUUCAGAUUAAUCCGUAAAUAGGAAACGUACCCGGAGCUUCUUGGAAGGGGUUUGUAGAGCAGCGAAAGGCACCCCUUGACAUCUUUUUGUUUGAAUCAAGCUCCGGCAUUAAAUUAGUGUUUGGUUGAGCUCAAAUCUUGUUUUAAACAUCGAGUAUGAAGUUGAGUCGAUCUCGAGUUUGGCAUUGUAGCAGCUCAGGUGGCUCAAUUAGAGACCCCUAGGCCCUAGCUGUGUUGACAUCCGAUUCGAUUAAUAAGAGUCUAUGUAUUCAUUGAAGCAAUUAAGAAUUCCGACGUGCAAAUUAUUAAGAAAUCUCAUUGCUCAAGAUUGGGUUGUGAUCUUCAUCACGCAAGUUUUAAAUCCCCUAUAAUUUUCAAUCCCUAUAUUAACCAAUAGCUUAGAUGAUAAAAGUAAAUGAACAUUAAUAAAUGUAGGAAAUCUUCAAAAGUCACCUUUCCUAGGUCCUAGCUGUAAUCUCGUGGGGGACGUAGCUUGGCUUAAAAAAUCCUUCCUGCAACUUUUCUCCGACAAAAUGGCACUCCAGUUCUCUCUCCUCAGUUCUAUGUAUUUGUUUGUUUACUGAAAAGAGGGCUUUUGCGGCAAUUUUUGUCUCAAUAUAAUUUAAUUUCGGAUAACCAUUUGACAAUUGAAAAAAUCCCUCGGCCGAUAAGAAAUUUUUAAUAUCAAAUGUCCACCUUUGCGUUUUUCAUAUAUUAACUUGGAGUGUACAAAGAGAGAUCCUCGAUAAUUUCAACUUUUUUGAUUAAUUGGUAAAUCACUAAGUUCCGUCAUGCUAGUCUCUCUCAACAAGUACUUCUUAUCAUUUAAAAAAAAAAAGUUCCACUUUUAUUUCUCACAACUUCAAUUCUUAAAUUUUUUCAAUUUUCCUAGAUCUUUAAUUGAAAAAUUAACCCAAUUUCAUUCCGGUUAUCAUUAUAUAUCAUCAACAUAAACUAAACAAUCACGAUAAAUGAAUGUCCUCUCCUUGAAGUAAAUAGGGAAUAAUUAAAAAAAUCAACAAUUGUUAACGUCUGAGAAAUUAAAAAGGGAAGAAGAUCCGUCAGGUUUUCCAGUUCUUGCGUUUCUAGCAUUCGGUCCUCUCUACUUCCUCUCUCUCUCUCCCUCCAACCCUCGAGCCGAGCUGCACCGCCUGGUAGCGGCCUUCGACCGCUACCGCCGCAUCUACACCGUCGGGCCACCUCGGCGUUCAGCAGCAGCGCCGCCCCUCUCUCCGCCUCCUCCGAACACAAACCCCACCCCCGGGCAAAAAAAAAAAAAAAAACAAACCCCUAGUUCCCUCGCUUCGGUUCUCCGGGAUUGCGUGAAGAUGGACGAGGACCAGGAGAUGGAGAGGUUUGGGAUGGAGAACGAUUACGACGACGGGCAGUGGAUCGACGGGGAGUUCUACUACCGGCGGCGAAGGGAGAAGCGCGCCCAGACCAAGGGCGACGUGCUCUACGGCGUCUUCGAUUCGGACUACGACGAGUCCUCCAAGAGGAAGCGGAGGAAGAACAGGGACCUCCUAGGUAACGCCGAUUCGUCGAAGCCCGUGAAUUUCGUGUCCACCGGCACGGUCAUGCCGAACAGAGAGAUUGACGAGAACUCGAUGACAGAGAAUGAGGAUGAAGAAUCCGCUGUCGUGGAUGGGGAUAGGCCGGGCUUGGGGGUCUUGAGAAGAACCAACAAGGGAUAGUGACAUUCAUUGAAGCAAAGUUGCAUCCUAAGAAUAUGGGUGUGGGUUUCAACGACUUACAAGGAAACUCUUGCAAAGGCACCUGUUGCCUCGUUGGGGCCAGAGGAAAAGAAGCCAUCACCUGACGUGCCCGGUAAGGAGAAGCUUUGGUCUAAGCAAGCGAAGAAGAAGACGCUGAAAAACAAAGCGAAGUAUAUUACGGCAGAAGAACUGUUGGCGAAGGAGCGGGAACAGGGCGUUGAAGUUGUGCAAAAGGUACUCGACAUGCGCGGACCUCAGGUUAGGGUGUUACCAGACUUGGAGAAGCUGAAUGCAGAAGAGAAGGCGAGGGAGAGUGAUGUUCCUAUGCUCGAGCUCCAGCACAAUACAAGGUUGAUUCUGGACCUGGCUGAGUUGGAUAUUCAGAAGAUCGAUGGGGACCUGAGGAAUGAGAAGGAGACAGCUCUGAGCUUGCAAAAAGAAAAAGGAGAAGCUGCGAGCUGAGGCAGAACUUCAGAAGAAACAACUGAAUAACAUGAAGGAAAUAAUGAAUACGCUAGCCAAAUCUUUUGGUGACAUGCAAAGAAGGUUUCCUGGCGAUUAUACACAUUGUAACUUAUCCUGCAUUGCUUGCUCAUUCGCACUCCCUCUGUUUAUCAGAGUAUUUCAGGGAUGGGAUCCUCUUCGCAAUCCCUCACACGGGUUGGAAGUUUUGAGGUGGAAAUCUCUUUUGCAAGGACAGGAAUGUCUUGAUAUAUGGCAUUUAGGAUCCCCUUGUACCCAGUUGGUUUCAGAAGUUGUCUCGCUUGCUGUGAGAGGCAUUGACACUUUUUGCGAGCGGUUGGACCACUGGCCCACUGCUAGAUCCCACUCAAAAGUGAAUUAAUAUAAUCUCAAGCAAAAGUUAUAAUGGUCCAACAUAGAAAUAGUGAAUUGAUCCAACUCACUUUUUCUGAGAUCAUAAUAUACAGUAUUUAGUCUAGUUGUUACGUUGCCCAUGCCUUUGCAAAUACAAAAAUUUUCCUUAAAUAAAAAAGUAAAAAACUUGUAAACAAUCUAAGUUAUUAAUUUUUUUCCCCGGUUCGCCAUCUAAUAUUGAUGAUGCUUCGAACUUUAUUAAUUAGAAAACAUCUUUGUGGCGUUGUAUGAAAUCAUAUCUACCCAAAAUGUGAGCGCCAAAAACCUAACAGCCACCGGGAGGGCCAUGGCGGCUCUAGUAGGUAAAGAGCUCAAUAAUCCAACAACUGAGCUAUGCACAUGAAACAAGGGAAGCACAAUCAGGGUAGUCUAACUUUGUUAGUUUGUACACACACUUGAUGUUCUGAACCAAUGAUGCCAAAUUGCGCUGAGUUAGCAGCAUGCAAUUGGGGCGACCCGUAGCGUCGGAGGUGUGCCAAGAGCUACAUCUGAGGGAUCAUUGACAACUUUGGACAUUGAGCCAAGGGACAUUGAGCCAAGGCUCGGCUCUACAUCGGUCGAAGAGAGUGAUUUUGGAAUCGGUGGACUGAAGCUUGGCGGUUGGGUGGUGGAUGUUAAGCUUGGAAGCAGCGGAUUGAGCCCAUCGGUUUCCUUCUUGCGGUGUCAAUAGAAGCUUCGGUUCCGAGUCGGAAAGGUAGAACUUGAACUCCUUAGCUGUGUAGUUGGGGUUGAGCGGAGCUGCAGCGACUCGGCAACGGAUUACAGCCGGGAAACAGCAUCACAAACUGCAAAACGAACACGUAUUUCCAAAUUAGCAAACUGCCCCACUAGUCCGUGCAGAUUGGAGAUAUACAUAUGCAGAAUGUGCAGACAACUAGUUUGUCAUCGUUUGAUUGCAUUAAACCAUCCAUCUCCUUUAGAUAAGCUUUGACUUUGUUUUACGAUGAAGCGUUGCUUAUACAUCCCAAAAAAACAACCUUUGGACGCGACAGAAAAGGCUCUUCAUGCUCUUUCCAAUUCAAUUUGUUCCUGCUCAAUUGGCACCACGCGCUUGCAGAAAUUUCACGCCUCAGAUUCUUUUUUCUUUUUUCGAGCUAUUUCCCACUCGAUCUUUCAUAAACAAUCGAUCUCAUCAUUAGAAAUUUAUUGUUACCGCAAUCUUCUUGAUAUUGCAUUCUCGAAUUUAUACAGCUUCAUCAAGGAAAUUUCUGCAUUUGAAUUGUUGGAUGCAAAUUGCGCAACCCCAAAUCUUCAUAACCAGACAAAAACAUGCAUAAUUGAGUAGAAAGAUUAAUGCACCUGAGAUCCAUCGAACAUAAAACGGAAGCAGGAAAAAGGAAUUACCCACAGGGGAUCCACAAAUCAAGUCAUUCUCCUCUAUUACCCUCCGUAUUACUGGCUCAAUGAGGUGGCCCUCACGUUUAGCAUUAGGUAAACGCUCCUUAAAUGAGGACAUGUAGCGUUAGGUUAACGCUCCUUAGGUGAGGACAUGUGAGAAUUAGGGUUAGAUAAGAGACUUGACCACUAUUUAUAGAGUUUUCAACCAGUUCCCCUCAUUACGGGCCAGGCUCAACUCGGUCCACAUUAGCCAGUUCCAUAUUAGACUAAUUAAGAAACCUUCUAUCUCACUUUAAACCAAAUCUCAUAAAACGAUAAACGUUAAACGGUAAAUUAUAAUAUCAAUUAAUGUAGUCCACAAUUAGGAAAGCUCUUACAUGGAUUCCCAUCAUCACACAAACUGAAAACAUGCGACGUCGUACUUGCGAGGAGAUUCAAUGAUCGGGGGACAUAGAUAUCUCCAGUCGGGGAAAUCCGACGCCACCUUCUUCAACAGGCUCGCGAGACGGAGUCCCUCCUUGGCGAGAUCGCUAGGCUGAAGCUUCAGAUUCAUGCCAUACGGCAUGGAAUUCAGAUUCCGCAAGGCAAUCCGGGGGAGGUGGCGGACGUGGCUGCUCUGUUGCAGGUUUUGCAGGAGAGGAAUUUAAUCCCGGAGAGUGGUUGAGCGCGAGUCUGAUGCUACUGGAGAAGAGAGAGGAGAAGAAAACUGUAGUGGAGGAGGAGAGAGAUGAAGAUUGGGGUUUUCUGUGGCGAUUUUGAGAGAGGUGAGAAAGAAGGGAGAGAAAAAUAAAAACGGUUAUUUUUUUUAUUAUCCGAAUUGAAAAUAAUGCAUGAAAUUUCAGUUAAGUUGCAUUCUAACACCCCUAUUAUAAAUGGACAGCACUAGCGUCGUUAAAUGAUUUUGAAAACAUUCGUGAAAAGAAUCUAGAAUUUAGUUUUCCAUAGAGGAACAAUGGGAUUGACACUAGACUACUCAAGAACACAAGCUAGUAUUGCUGGAAGCCCAGAUGGGAAAGGGCAGUAUGGAAAUAAGUCUCUCUAAGGGAACUGGGACGUCACUUUGUAUAGCAGCAGAACUUCUCAGGCAGAAACAUUGGCAAAUUGGCAGUUUCGCGAGCAUUUUGAAUGAUGCAGGACAUAUAGCAGAGGAUGUGAAAAUGAAGCCUUACAUAUCCAAGAAUUUAUUUACUGUUCAUGAUGCUGCUUCUGCUAUCACAAUUCGAACCUUAAAAGAUCGGAUGAAGCAAAGAAAGGUAAGGGACCACUUUAUUGAGCUAAAUACUGUGCAUAACACAUAAUACCUUGGUAAAAAGAAAAACAGGACAUCAGGUUAAGAUCUCGACAGUAGAGGGAAAGCAAGUCGCACCUUUGAUGUAAAGGUUUCUUCUCGAUACGUAGAGCAAGCACCCUCGAGUUUUCCUGUUUAGAAAGCUCGUCGAUGAAAACCUUCAUUUGUACAACCUGAUUACAAACAACAGAAAGGAUUAAGGAAAUUUAUAAAUAACAUGUCAAAAAAGCUAUAGAAAAUAAUGGUUUAAAGGAUAUGCAUACCGAGAGGUUGCUAUUACGAAACAGAUUGAGAGGGCAACCAACCACAAUUCCAAAUAGUGAUAAUUCAGAUAUAUGCAUAUAUACAAGGAAAUAAGAACCCAAUCAAGCCCCAAGUAGAAACGUGUCCAAGACAAUUUGUCACAAAACUAACACUAUACUACUACUAUUAAUAUUACAACAGGGGGCGUGCCAAAAAAUAGAAAAGAAAUAAAAACAUGAGCCCAAAAACCGAGACUGAACUGCUGGGCUGGCCCCAUUUUUUGUGCUAAAAUAGUCACAAGCCGGGCCACCAUAUCUCAAAAUAUCUUUCAAUUCGACCCAAUAUAAGCAAUUUGGGUUUCAGUUAAAGCUUAAAAGGCCCAUACCCGCCCAGUUCACAAAUUAGAAACAAUGUCUCAUUUUCCUUCUCUCCGGGGCUUUGUCAUCUUACCUUUUCAUGAAUAUUUAGGUCUUGACCUGUCUCAUUCUUUCUUCUCUCACGCUUAACGAGUCAUCGAGCCCCCACCAAGUCGCCACUGCGGCAUCAUCGAGCCCCCACUGUGCGGCCAUUGAGCCCCAACACUCACCAUAUGCCCACCCGGUCAAUCGCAGUCUCUCUAUCUAUCUCGGCUCUCCGCUCCCCCACUCUCUAGCAGCAAAACAAGUUCUUACUAGCCUGUUCUGAUGUCUUCAAAGUUUUUGGUUUUAGGGCAUGCUACUUGAAUUUUUUUUAUGGAAUGUAAAAACAAAAACAAAAUAAACUAAACAAUUUUUUUUUUCUAAUUUUAGAUUGCGUGUGAUCCUAUUGAGUCUAGGCCAAAUGGCAUGGCUUUGAUUCGAGCCAGGUCCUUAGGCUAGAAUAUUCUAAGCCACAUAUUUUUGGACGGGCCAAAAAAUUGACAAAAUCCCACUAGGCCCGCAUUUUAACUCAUUCAUAAAAAGUGUGCUAACUCAAUAUAAAUUUGGAUACACUGCACUAGCGAAUCUAAAUAAUCGAUACAAUGCUAAAAAAAAAGUGAUGACAUGAAUGCACUAAAUAACUUCGUUUGGGAGCACAUGGGACUUGCCAUAUAGUUAUUACUAUCAGUUACCCUAAAUAUUUCAUUUAAUUCAUGUAAUUUCAUAAUUUACUACUACAUUCUUCUUCUUCUUCUUUUUUAUGUCUUUAGCUCAUCGAUAAAGCAAACUAAGCAACUUCCGCUCAUCGCUUCAUUCAGUUAAACCAGUCGUGGGUCGGUCUAUCGAUACAUAGCAUCCAUCAUGUAACCUCACUGGCGUCCUACCGUUCCUCAAACCCCUCGUUGCUCAUUUUGAAAUUGUUCCUCAAACCCCUCAUUGCUCAUUUUGUCACUUCGCUUCAGUGUCUUUUUGUCAAGCAUCUUGGCCUUGGUCACUAAGCAACUUAAUUCAGACUGUAAUGAAUAUAAAUAUCUCCAUAGGAUUCUCAAUCGAUUGUCCUAAACCAAUUGUGAUAAAGUCUAUUAUGCAUGAUUCAGAUUUCCACGACAUCUUUUCAAUCAUUAUUUCCUAAUCUGAAAAGAAGAGCGUAAAUUUCUUACAAGAAAAAGUGAAAAAAUCAUGGAACUUGAAAGUUGAGAGGAUUGCAUCCCUCGUCAAACUAGAAGAACAUGAAUAAAAUGAAAUUCAAAUUAAACUACUCUUAAAAUAUAACUACCGUUGCAGCAGAAACAAAUGAUGACCACAGCAUCAGAAAAGGUCAUCACCAAAGGAUUAAAAUCCAGUCCAAGUUUGGGGCAAGGGCGAUUCCUUCACAGAUUGUAUAAGUGCAUAGAUCAAUGGCGAUUCUGACCCUCCAUUCUUUGCAUUCUUUGCAUGCAGAUCUUGCGUUCCUUCACAACAGAAUACACAUUCAAAACUCUGUUCAUAUAGAACACUUUAACUUGAACCAGAGACAUCAGCAAGCCACGAGACAACAAUUUUCAUGUCAUGCGUCGAUCAUACGAGACGAGAAUCCUAACACCAUUUGACAAACUAUCAUCCUAUUCCAACAAGGUCGGCCAUAAUAAAGGUUUGAUAAGUUAGAACAAAUCGAAUUUAUGUAAUAUCAUUUUGCGGUUCUAGGAUUGAAUCGAAUUUACAUACUGAUCUAGUUCGAGCAUUUCCUCGAACGUGAUACACAUUUCGAUUAAGGAGCUCAUACGCAAAUACAAACCACUGAUUCAAUUUCAGAUACUCACAACAACAACAUUAUUACGAGGCCGAGUUGUUAAUCGAGCUUCAAUCUCAACUGAUUUACUCACAGACAUCAUUAGCUAAAGCUCACUGGCUCUGUUUCGUUUGUAAGCGGCAGAAACAGAAUGUGCGGGAGUUUUUGACCUCGAACGGUGAUCAGAUCACAAAAAAAGUUCCUGGUGGUGUCCACGUUGAUAAUCGCGAAUGGCGAAGGGGGAAAAACCAAGGGCUCGUGCACUUUUGGGCGUCCUGACCAGAAAACAGGGCAGAACGACAGUUGGCCUUGCUGCAGCGAAACCGGCGAUGGCGGAGCGGCUACAGUGGCAGCUAACGGUGUCUGAAGGACGACGGAGAAGGAGAACUGACGAAGAAGCCUCGAGAAUUCCCGAGAAAGAGAUGGCGGACGGUGGAUUCCUGGUGACGAUUAGCGGUGGAGAAUCUUCUGCAACUCGGCCGAUCGAUCGAAAGAGAUUGUGGAUCGUGGGCUGCGGUGAGGCAAAUUGUCUAGGCUGAGGCUUACUCUGAUGGGCCCGGCGCGCUCGUUCGGAAGAGGAAUCCACGAAUGGGAGCUCAGCAAGAGAGAAUUUCUUCAUCGGGUCAACCCAUUUCUAGAAGCGUCUCCAUCUUCGCUCCCACUCUGUCGCCUCGGUCCCCCCGGCAGCCACCGCCGCUCGUCCUCCAUCGCCGGCCACGACAACACUCAUGCGCUCAGCACAGAUCACACAGGGCAGAGAGGCUCAAGGAUUUCUAAACAUCCAGAGAAUUAUCUCUCUUGGCUCCUUGCUUCGUCUGUUGACCUCCAACUGACCUCCCGGAUCGCUAAACCACCAGGCCGUAGCUCUGUUAGCACCGUUCUCCGAUCAGUUUGCUUUGGCUGCUCUGAAUUUGUUCGUUUCUCCUUCGCUGGCUCCGAUCCUCAACGUCAUUGUCUCGCACAACCUCUUCCUCUGAUCCGAUCGUCCUUCGUGCAUCAGAUAAAAUGAACACUAUAAUCUUCCUUCUUCGUUCUUAGCUUCGUGAAGAGAGACCCAGGCAUAUUUGUGUGAUUUUUGUUGUUCAAAUUUACUGCUGGCGUGUCAAUGCGCGCACUAUAAGUGCUUUGUAUGAUCCAUCGCAUGAAGUGCUCACUGUGACAUGUUCAUAUUAAUAAUCUGAAUCUCAAAUCAAUGUUCACUGCAAUGCGUGUUCGUCUGUUAGAUGGUCGAUUCUUGUUUAGUUCUCCCUGCCAAAAAUCUUGCAAAGAUGAUUCCAUCUACAUCUAUGUUAUUUUGGCGGUUUCUGGAUUAAUGUUCCGUAUGUUAGAGGAUCAAGAGCUCCAUCCUACUCUGCUACAUCAAGAGUCAGCCACAGGGGAUCCUCAACUCUGGUAGAUGUAGAUCACCAAAAGACUAUCGUGAAGUAAAUAAGCUGAAGACAUGGAUAACCAGUCUUAUCAACGGUGGAGAUUUUACAAUGCCGAAGACGUGGAUUGCCAAGUCUUAGGAUUUGUCAAGACUGCUAUUCUGUUAUAAAUAGCUGUAAAAGUUUGUUAGUUUGUGUCGGUUAGUUCGUUUAGUCUGUUAUUAGUUUUCCAGCUUCUCUCUAUAUAUAAAGAUAGAAUUGAGCUCAGGAAAAGGUGUGAAGAAGAGAGGAGAGGGAAGAACAGGAGAUUCAAUAUUGAUCUGUUGUAUUUGAUUUCUCUUUGUUCAAAACUUGGAUACAAUGAACUAAGAAUUGAAUACUUCUUGUUCAGAUCCUUUUGCAACUCUAUCGAGUUUAUUCUCUAUCAUCAUCAUCAUUCCUCAUCUUCAUCUUCUGCAUUCUUGGAUUCUCAAUUUCUCAUGGUAUCAGAGCAGAGAGCAUCUGAAUGAAGAGAUCCGUCCAGUAAUAAGUUCUUGCAUCAAGACAGAAGAGAUGAACGAACAAUGAAGCUCUCUGGAUCAAGGUAAUCACAUAAGAGCUCAUAGUAUUACUGUUGUCAUCUUCUUCAAGCUAAAGGAUCGUAAUAAUGGCAAUUAGAACUCCAAAGUACCCUUUUCCGAUACAUAUGAAUAUCUCGAAUUUUGUCACAAUCAAACUUGCUGAAGACAACUUCCUAUUGUGGCAAGCUCAAAUUCAAAGGUUUUUGAAAAGUCAAGAUCUUUUUGGUUUUGUUAAUGGAGACAUUCUUUCACCUCCUCGAAUGCUGCAAAGAGAGGAUGAAGGUUGUGAAACUGAUCUUAUCAAUCCAGAUUACACUGAUUGGACUAGAACAGAUCAGUUGAUUUCAUCAUGGAUCUCUGGAGCUGUUACUGAAAACAUUAUGAGCUUGAUAAUCGGAUUAGAAACAUCAUCUGAAGUAUGGCAAACCCUUCUGAAAAGGUUUACACAGAAGUCAAUUGCUAGAGAGUUCGAACUAAGGGGAAAACUGCAAUCAUGCCAAAAGCAUGAACAAACCCUUGCUGUUUAUCUCAGGGAAUAUAAAUCCAUAUGUGAUCAGUUGAAUGCAAUAGGCAAACCAGUGGAUGAAAUAACCAAAAUGUUUGGUAUAUUGGAAGGUUUAGGUCCUGAGUAUGAAAACUUUCGAACUACCAUAUAUUGUUUAAAGCCUCAGUAUGAGUAUGAUGAGGUUAUUGCCCAAUUAGAAAGGUUUGAAUCAAGGCUCAAGUCCUUCUCCAGGAAUCAAUUCAACCCGAAUUUGGCCUAUUUUGGACAAAGACAGUCUCAGAUACAGUCUAAAGAUACCACAAAUGAAGAUUACAUCUCUCAAGCUUCUGGAUUUAUAUCUCAAAGAGGAGGUUACAGAGGUGGUCGAAGCUAUGGUCGUGGCAGAGCUGUAAACAAUAGAGGUCGUGGUUUUGAAAGAUAUCAGAAUUACAGAACAGAUAUCUUAAAUCCAGGACAAGGAGAUCAACACCCCAGACAGAGAAAUGUUAUCUCUACAACAAAUCAAGGAUUUAGACCCUACACCACUUACUCACAAAGGUGCCAAAAUAUCAAAACUUAUCCAUAUGUAAACUCAAAUAAGAACUUACAGGAUGAGAAAGAAACAAGUAGCAUUCGACUCGAAUGUCAAAUAUGUAAAAGAUCUGGACAUGAUGCUCUUCGCUGCUGGUAUCGGUUUGACAAUUCCUAUCAAGCAGAAGAUAUUCCAGCAGCAUUGACGGCAAUGCAUAUUGAAGACUCAACAGGAAGUGAGUGGUAUCCUGACUCUGGAGCUACAACUCACAUCAGUGCCAAUCCUGGUAUGCUCCAUACCCUUUCUAAAUAUCGAGGACAUGAUACUGUUAUGAUAGGCAAUGGAUCAUGUUUACCUGUAACUCACAUUGGCAACACUUGGCUGAAAACAAAGAGUAGUACAUUACCACUUAAUGAUGUCCUAAUUGUCCCAGAGAUAAAGAAGAAUCUUCUUUCAGUAUCUAAGCUCACAGAUGACUAUCCUUGUUCUUUUAUCUUUGAUAAAACUGGUGUUUAUGUAAAGGACAACAAUACCAAAAUAAUGGUGAAGCUCGGAAGGAAAACUAGAGGGCUUUAUCAAGCUAAUCCACAGACUACAGAAGCCUUCUUUACUCAGCGGCAAAAGACAGUCGAUGAAGACACAUGGCACCAGCGAUUGGCUCACACAAAUACACAAGUAGUUAAACAUUUGCAGAAACAUAAGCUUAUACAAUUUGAUUCACCAUCUAAGAAUGUAUGCAGCAGCUGUCAAAUAGCUAAAAGUACAGCUCUAUCGUUUCCUUUAUCGGAUUCUACAUCAAGCUUUCCAUUAGAAAGAAUUCAUUGUGACAUUUGGGGACCCUCACCAGUCUGUUCUUUUCAAAAGUUUAGAUACUAUGUGAUUUUUGUUGACAGUUUUUCUCGAUACUGCUGGUUAUAUCCUAUGAAGUUGAAGUCUGAGUUCUAUGACAUAUUUGUUCAAUUCCAAAAGUUAGUUGAACGACAGUACAAUCAUCAGAUUAAAAUCUUUCAGAGUGAUGGAGGAGGAGAGUUCGUAAGCAACAGAUUCCAAACUUGUCUAAGACAUCAUGGAAUAAGACAGCUUAUAUCAUGUCCUCACACACCAGAACAGAAUGGGGUCUCAGAAAGGAAGCAUCGACACAUCGUAGAACUGGGAUUAGCUAUGCUAUAUCACUCAAAAGUUCCACUAAAAUUUUGGGUGGAUGCAUUUGUGACAGCUAGUUACAUCAUAAACAUUCUUCCCACACCAAAGCUGAAGAUGGACACACCCUAUAAUAAACUUCAUAAUAGACAGCCAAGGUAUGAUCAUUUAAGGGUGUUUGGCUGUGCAUGCUAUCCUUGUUUGAGACCAUAUGCUGUCGCGACCUCUUUUUUUCUGGCGCCCGCAAUCGGGUACGAGCGCCUAAGGAGGCUAAUGGCUCGGCUGAAUUUAUUAAGCCUGGACUCUCCCAAGUCCACCAAUUCACGACUUUAAUAAUUUGAGUUUUUAACCCAUAAAUCAAUUUUUAAAAUGGAGUCGCCACUAAUCGAUUUGAGGUGGGUUGAUUAGAAACCCAAGUGAAGUAUCGGGAGAAAUACUCACUUCUGCGCAACUAGAGAAAUUAGGAUCGGGGACUUGAUUACACUAGUUAAUCACUAAUGCCAUUUCGGUACCUAAUCUUGUUUAAACCCUAAGGCUUUUUGGAUUUUUGAGAGAUUUUCCAUGCAUUUUUGGGAGGAAAAACAUUUUUUGAGUAUUUUUCUCAUUUUUUUUGGACAUAAAAGGGAUUUUUGGUAUUUUUGGUAUUUUUUGGAAAAUAUGGAAUAUUUUUGAUUUUUUUGAUUUUUUUUCUUUUCUCGGAAAAUAAAAUAUUUUUAAAUAUUUUUUCAAAAUAUUUUUGGAAAAUAAAUUAUUUUUUGAUUUUUCUCGAUUUUUUAGAAAAUAAAACAUUUUUCGACAUUUUUAAAUAUUUUUCGAUUUUUUGGAAAUUAAAACAUUUUUUUAUUUUUUAUUUAUUAAAAUAUUAUUUUUAUAUUAAAAUAACAAAAUAAAACCGACCCGGGUCGGAUCCGCGGGUUGGGUCCGACCCGGGUCGGCGACCCAAAUGCGGACGGGCCCGCGUUGCGGGCUCGACUCGGAUUUUUCAUCUUUUCUUUUUUCUUUUUUUCUUUUUUUUUUAAAAACGACGCCGUGGCCGGGCGUUUGGGGACGCCCGGCCCAGCCCGACGACCCGGGUCCACGACCCGCUCCGCGACCCGACUCCCUGCGAACCCUACCCGACCCGGAUCCGAAUUCACGACCCGGCUUCCGCCGCCCCGGAAUCUCGCGAAACCCUACCCGGUUCCGAGGUGUUUGGCGGCGACGGCGACUAUGGCGGCGACGUCGAAGGUGACAACGGCGGCGGCAACCACUGCAGCCACGACGGCGGUGACAACGUCGACGGCGACGACGGCUAGGUCAACGGAAAACGGCUGCGAUGAACAAUAACGCCCCCCUUUUUACCUUCUCUCGGAUGGGGACGGCGACGGCAGGAGAGCAGUUCGCGAUGGUGGAGGCGACGACGGCAGCAACUCAGCUUCCCGAUCUGGCGCGGCUUCGGCGGAUCGAUCACGGUAAUGGCUCCGCGAGGUGAGGCACGACAACAAGCCGUCGAAGCAACGGCGUCGGGACUGAGGUGAACGGUUGCAGCACGGCGUUCGGCGGCAACAACAGCAGCAAAAAAAACCAGAUCUACUGCGUAGAUCUCGGCCGGACCCUCCUCGGCCUUGAUUCCUCCUCACUUAGGCCAGAUCCGAGCCUCCACAGGCCGGAUCUGACCUUCUCGAAGUCACUCGCCGCCUGCCUUCCCCGAAGUCUCUCGGUGGAAGGUGGGCUAAGCUCGCGACCCGAGCUCUCUCCUGCGCUCGCCCUUCAACCCUUCCCGAUGUCUCUCAGUGAAGGAUUUCCGAGCUCGCCACACCCUCCGACGAUGCUUGCGACCACCUAUUUAUAGGCGAAGGAACUCCGGUCGACAGAGGGGCUCGGUUGCCGGCCUCCGGCUUGCCCACCGGUUCUGCUCGGCCGAACCGGUGUCCCAUCGAGCUUUCCAGCGAAGCUCGCUCAGCAUUGAUGGCGCCUGCGAUCUUAUCCCCUCCGGCCGACGUCGCCCUACACUCCUCGGCCGUAGGCCGUCCUUGGCGCGCGUCGCCGGCCAUCGCGCGUGAGAUGCAAGCGACUGAGGAAGAAGAAGACAGGAGGAAGAAGAAGAGAGAAAAGGGGCCGGGCCAAGGGUGAAGGAAAAUGGGCCACAUGGGCCACGCGGAGGGGGAAGAGAAAGGGAAAAGAAAAAAAGGGCUGGGCUUUUGUUGUUUUUUUUUUGUUUGUUUAUUAAUUAUCUUAUUUAUCCGAAAUAAAAUAAAAACUUAAUUAAAUAAAAUUAACCUAAGUAAAAUUGAGGUGUCAACAGCUGCCCCUCUUUGAAGGUGAGCUCGCGGAGGUUGCAUUCAAAGACAGACUGAUGCCUCAAUUUUAUCCAUACAUGCAUAGCAGAUUAUAUUUUAUUUGGGAUCUAUUAUUCUAUGUAGGAAAAGAGCAAUAUAACUUUACAUAUACUAAGACAGAUAAGAAGAUACCUGUAGUUACUUACCGGGAGUGAGUGAGAUAGGGUGUGAACCCCGAGUUUUGGCAAGUAUCAAGGCGUCAUCUUACCUGGUGAUAUGAGGAGGUUGCUUUUCCAGGGCUCGAACCAUUCUUCGGUUACCUGUUAAAACAAUCAAUGAUUUUUCUAGGGCCCGAACCUUUCUUCGGUCGCCUUGACGGGAGACUGCUCUUCCAGGACCCAAACCAUUCUUCGGUCGCCGUGACAGGAAGUUGUUUCUCCAGGACUCGAACCAUUCUUCGGUCGCCUGUUAAAACAAUCCAUGAUUUGUCUAGGACCCGAACCUUUCUUCGGUCGCCUUGACGGGAGAUGCACCGACCUUUCUCAGGGCAUCUCAUUUGUGGGUGCCUGAUUUGUAUCAAGGACACCAGUUGGAACCCGACCUUUCUCGAGAGGAUGCGCCGACCUUUCUCAGGGCAUCGAUUUGUGGGGCGUCUGACUUCUGUCGAAGACACUAGUUGGAACCCGACCUUUCUAGGGAGAUGCGCCGAUCUUUAUCAGGGCAUCGAUUUUGGGGGGCGUCUGACUUCUGUCGAAGACACCAGUUGGAACCCGACCUUUCUCGGGAGGAUGCGCCGACCUUUCUUAGGGCAUCGAUUUGUGGGGCGUCUGACUUCUGUCGAAGACACCAGUUGGAACCCGACCUUUCUCGGGAGAUGCGCUGAUCUUUAUCAGGGCAUCGAUUUUGGGGGGCGUCUGACUUCUGUCGAAGACACCAGUUGGAACCCGACCUUUCUCGGGAGGAUGCGCCGACCUUUCUCAGGGCAUCGAUUUGUGGGGCGUCUGACUUCUGUCGAAGACACCAGUUGGAACCCGACCUUUUUCGGGAGGAUGCGCCGACCUUUCUCAGGGCAUCGAUUUGUGGGGCGUCUGACUUCUGUCGAAGACACCAGUUGGAACCCGACCUUUCUCGGGAGGAUGCGCCGACCUUUCUCAGGGCAUCGAUUUGUGGGGCGUCUGACUUCUGUCGAAGACACCAGUUGGAACCCGACCUUUUUCGGGAGGAUGCGCCGACCUUUCUCAGGGCAUCGAUUUGUGGGGCGUCUGACUUCUGUCGAAGACACCAGUUGGAACCCGACCUUUCUCGGGAGGAUGCGCCGACCUUUCUCAGGGCAUCGAUUUGUGGGGCGUCUGACUUCUGUCGAAGACACCAGUUGGAACCCGACCUUUCUCGGGAGAUGCGCCGAUCUUUAUCAGGGCAUCGAUUUUGGAAGAUACCUUGGAUAUUUGUGAAGGUCUCUCACCUCUUGGUAAUGGGAAUGUCGAGGGUGUGCCCCGCUUAUUCAUGAAGGUGUCUCACCUCUUGGUAAAGGGGAAUAUCGAGGAUGUACCUGGGAUAUUCGUGAAGGUUUCUCGCCUCCUGGUAAUUGGGAAUAUUGAGGACGUACCUGAGAUAUUCGUGAAGGUCUCUCGCCUCCUGGUAAUUGGGAAUAUUGAGGACGUACCUGAGAUAUUCGUGAAGGUCUCUCACCUCCUGGUAACAUAAAUUUGAGUGUAGCACAAGACUUACCUGGAUGGCCGCAGGCACUUAAAAGGGGUGGAAAACCUGGAUAGCCACAGGUGUACAAAGUACUGGAAUACUUGGAUGAACACAAGUAUUUAAUGAUAUAACAUGGGACUACUCAGUUGGUCCAAGUGUAAGAAAGCAUACCUGGGUAGGUGCAGGCACACAAAGCAGUGGAAUGCUUGAACAGCUGAUAUUAUUUGGGGACAACUCGGGCAAGUUGAGUGUCAUGAAAAGGAAGUACCUAGACAAUAGUGGGUACUUUGAUGAUAUGGGGAUACCUAGACAGCAGUAGGUAUUCCAAGAGAUACUUGGUCAGUCACAAGUAUCAAUACUCUGGGGACAACUCGGACAGGUCGAGUGUCAGAAAAAGGGAGUAUCUGAACGGCGACCGGUACUCAAAGAUAACAGGGAUACCUAGACAACAGUAGGUAUUUAACAAUAAAGGGAUACUUGGUCAGUCACAAGUAUCAAUACUUUGAGGACAACUCGAAUAGGUCGAGUGUCAAGAAGAGAGUACCUGGACAGUGAUAGGUACUUUAAGACAAAUGGGGAUAGAGAUAUGCUUACCCGGCAAUAUCUCUGAUCUCUAAGAGUAUGUCUGCUAUUUGCAUAGUAUGCACACAUGAUUGUAUAUGCUGUAAAUUCAUGAGUUCAAAUGAGAUUCAUGCAUGAUAAUUUUGUCAGUUUUGCAUCAUCUGAGUUCCACUGGGGAAGAUUUUGAAAGACAACCUUCAUUUAGAAUGUAGAUGUCUUGAGCAUGCCAGACGAGGGACUUUCAGUCUGAAAGGACUUUCCGCUCACUCUCAUGGAAAAGGCUAUCCUGACCAUUGAUGCAGGAUUUAUAAGGACCACACUAUCUCACUGUCAUCAUGUCAGCAGGGGUCUGAGUAUUCUCGCAAACAGUACGACUUUACCAAUGUGAGAGGUCUUUGUUGAAAUUGUGAUGAAGACUUGGUCAAUAGCUCAUCAAAUGGGACCGUCGAGGUCAAGGCUCAUGAAUGAAGUGCCGCACGAUCAUCUCCAGGUUUGCAAGUCAAGAGUCCUGCGAAAAGAGAUAGAAUAGUCUUGCUCGUACUUCUUCGAGCGAUGCUUAUAGACAUAUGAAAUCCUACGUUAAUUGAAGUGCCCCUAGUCUGAAGAGACUUUUACAAUGGGAUGCAAUGUAGGAUUGAUUCAUGUGUAAAAGGGUGAGAGCUGGUGAUUGUCUUGGCAUUUGUCACCAGUCUUCCUUCUCACUGUCAAAUGGAGGCUCUAUCAAUUGAACCACAACAACAACUUUUCUUAACUGUAUUUUUUACUGGGGGGCAUUGGCCUUGCUUUUACCAGGCACACUGCUUUUUUCAUGCCCCUAUUUUUAUUCCAGUUCUCCAUUCAUGGACAUUGACCUUGCUUUUACCAGGUACACUGCUUUUUUAUGCCCCUGUUUUUUCAUUCUUGUUGCUUGAGAGCUGAUCUUGACAAGUUCAAGCAAAUGCCUUUGUUAGACUAUUGAGUCUUCAUCUUUUGCCGGCGCUUCUGAUUAUGCUGCUCAAACAGCAGUGGCUUUUGCUUUGCCUCCAUGUGAGGGUGAAUUUACAAACUCAAUUGAGUUGUACAAUGGAUACAAGUGUAUAAAGAAAGAGCUGCUCUUCAUGACUCUAGGGCACUUAAAUUAACGCGAGUGUUCAUAUGUAAUAAAGACACUCAAAGAUUGAUGCAAGUGCAAGCAAGAAAAUUUCUAUCUCUCUUCUCACCUUGUGAUGCUGCUUUGUCUCCAAUCUGCCCCAGUGUGGGGUGGUUCUUGACGGGGGUAUGAAAGAAACUUCACCAAUGUAUGGGGCUCAAUGGGGUGAGCGAUGGAAUGCCUCUCACUAUUUUGGUUAUCGUACCAUUCGCGAGAGAACUCUUUGCCCUGCAGUCAUGGAAUCUUCUGCACUCAUCUCACAAGUGUAUAGAUGGGGGACUGUGUGUAGGAUAUGGCUUGUCUUUCAUCAUUCUGACGUGCCUUACCCAGCACGCUCAAUUAAUCUUGUAUUAUUCACUUAGCUGUCUAUUCUAAUAAUUCUCAGUGGAAUCAGUGAUUUAGACAGACAAAAUCAUCAUGCAUAAUUCAUCUGGAAACGACAUGCAACAUUUUGAAUAUGAUGGAGUUUGAACUCUUCAAAACAAGUGAAUGGUUUUGACUCGCAAAAGACCCUAUUGACAACUUUAGGGGCUAACAUAAUAGUGUUUCCAAAUAUGUUAGAUUUUGAACAUCAAAAGGGUUAUUUGCAAAUGGACGUCGAUGGUUGUCCCUAUUGAUUAGGAAUAUGACACAUGAAUGAUCAGUCGGGGUUGGGAAUCUGAUCGGGCAUCUCUGCUUUUGCCCCUGCAGAAGAGAAGAUGUACAAGUAGAUUAAUUAGUCUGGCCAAAAUCAAAUGUGAGUUGAGGCCUGAAGGAUCUCUGUCAUUUGCUUUGGCAAUACUUGAGACGCCAUUUUGCUUGGGAGAGUUUGUCAUGCCUCUCAUUGAUUUGUGAUUUUUGUUUUUGACAGUCAGUUAAUCCUGCAACAAACAAGACAUGCUUCUCAUUGAUUCGUUAUCCUUGCUUUUGACAGUCAGGUGAUCCUGCAACAAACAAGAGGGAAUGUGUUAGUCAUGAACUCUUUCAAGAGUCAAAUAACUGGAAUCGAUACAACUUUACCCUUCACUGGUUUGCAGAUGAUUGGGUGAACCUGAAGUGAGAGGGGGACAUGAAGUCCUAUGUCCCUUGCUUCAUUAGGUCAAUUAUUCUCUGAAUUAGCUCCUGGAUGACAUGUCUUUUUACACGAAGCCAGGUGAAUUUGAUGUGGGUCAUUUCCACGUACUAGCUUGGCCAAUAUUGAUUUGCCUAACCAUUGAGUUUGGUUCUUGAGUUGUGAUGCUCCCUGCCAAUAGGGGGAAUAUGUCAAAAAUGAAUUUAAAGAAGGGGGAGUAUUGGAAACGAUACCAAAUUACUCUUCUCCAAAGUCUUGAUAUUUGAAUGUCGAUGACAGCCUUUUCGUCUUGGCAUAGUUUGACAUUUCUUUCAAUUGGCCUUCCUCACUUGUGACCAUGUAUGCGUGAUUGUUGGUCGUUGAUUCAUCUUCAACGCCUUCCUUAUAUGGAAUUUCUCUUUCUGUCUUUAACUAUAGCAUCAUUGGGCAAAAGUCAUGUACCUCAAGCUUUUAUGGAAUCUGAGAUCAAAAGUCUCAAGCUUUCUGAUGGCAAUUACUCCUCGGAAGAAUACGCGUUUGGAGUGAAGUUUCUAGAUUCCAAGAUCAUUGUCCAGGGUGUGGGGCUAUAGAUUGCUUUGACUGUCUAGAUUCUCUCCCUGUUGACAGUAAUCACUUUAAAGGAAGAUAAGCAAAUCCUUCUUUGUGCUUCUUGGCUUGUUGGAGCUGGAAGUCCUGUCAAUGAACUCGGGACAUCCUGCCUCGAGUUAUCAUGCUAUGCAUGCUUCAAGUUUGAUAAUAUGCAUGUGCCUAUUACAUCCCAUCCUUCGUUUCCUGUAGAUGGAAGAGAGAGGAUGUUAUUUUCGACAUUAUGUUCAGGGAAUAGGACUUACCAUUUUGAAACGUGAUGAUCAUUUAUGUUUGCCCUCGCUUUCUUGGAAGGGUGUCUUUGAAUUUGGUGGGUUCACCUGAUGUGCUUGCUUCAAAUGCCCGCUGUCACACUAAGUUAAAGGGGACGGGAAUGAUCUUCUGAGACAUAAAGUGAGUGAGUCAGAAAGACAGACAUGAUUAAAUUUAUCAUCUUUUUUGAAAGAUUUUGGUGAUGAAGUGUUUUCUAUUUUCAAAAUAUGUAUUCAGGGGAGAAAAAAGCAUGAGGAAGCCCAGCCCUCAGUAUUCUCCUUGGAUAUAUUUUUUCAUGGUUGGAUAGCAUCACCGGGCAGGUUUGGAGUACCGCCUCAUGCUCUUAAACAAAAUAUUAGAAUUGUACAUUAGAGUACUUGAAUGGAAAAUACAACAAUAGCACACUAUACAAGAUGAGAAACAUGAAAUUAUAAAAACAAGUAAAACUCAUGAAAACCCCUGUGUAAAGGAGCGCUUUGAUAGUGCUGAUCUUGAAGCUAAGCGUCUUUGAAUUCCUCGCCUUCAGUAGACUCGAAGUAUUCGCAUGCGAUGACUACCUCGUUGAAGUUACGGAAGUGUAACCCAUGCAGCCAACAGCGAUGCUUGCAGGACAAAACUUCUAUGAACUGCUUCAUUAACUCCUCUUCAGCCAGUUGAGGGUGGGUUUGCAUCAUGAAAGCCCUCCACCUCCUUGCGUAUGCUCGGAAAUCUUCCAUUGGUUUUCUUGUGAAGUGAGCCAAGCUCUCACAAGGCAGUUCAGUUCCGAUCUGGCUUUGGUACUGAUGCAAGAAUGUGGAAGUCAGCUCAUUCCAAUCCUUUAGAAGAUAAAUGUUUGCUGUGAUAAACCAUUGCAGUGCAGACCCCGUAAGAGUUUCUUGGAAUGCCUGAGUUGUGAACGACAUCGGGCCAUAGUACCGACUCAUUUCGGCAUGGAGAUACUGCAAGUGGGCCAUGGGACAGGCUGUGCCGUUAUAUUUGCGGAGAUUUGGUAUCCACAUUUCUAUGGGGCUCAUGAUCCUACGAGGGCAAGACGGGCUUGAUGUAUCUUGGUUAGGCCACUGGUUUUCCCACUGCAUAUCUGUGGUGGUGGUGAAUUUUUCUGUUUCAGGGAAGCUGGACUCUAUCGAGAUUACCCCAUUGCUUUCUUCCGGGUCAAAGUUACCGAAGAAGGAUGAGGGAUUUAAGCUAUCCUCAUGGUCAGGUGACGAGCUUAGUACUUCGUUAGGAUCGUAGCGGAUAAAGACGUAUGCUUCUUCUUCUAACGGGCCUUCAUCCCCGGAUGAGAGUAGGAAACAGUUAUACGAUGAAUCGUCAGUUGCAUUGUCGAAAUAACGCUGGAAGUCUUUAGGAUUGUAUUCUAGGGCCGGGAAGUCUUCAAAGCUGUAUUCUUGGGAAUGCUCGAAGCUUUGGUGCGGUGGCUCAUCGAUAGAUGCUACAUUGAUUUGCUUAGGCUUUCUUUUCUUGGCUUCUGGUCCAGACCUUUUGAGUAAGGCUCUUCGUUUUGCCAGCUCGAUUCUGUCAAAGGAAGUGAGAGACAUUGGAGUUUCACUAUCUGAUUCACUUCCCAGGUUGAUAGGGGUUGGUAUUCUUUGGACCCUAGCUCUUGGAGUAAGCUUGGGGAGUUGUCCAGUCGUGCCCCGAUCUUGAACAGGCUCUGUGUCUUUGAUCUCGUACAAAGGCUCCUUGCCUUUCAUAGUGGGAAAUUUUCCAGUAACAGGGUGUUGUUCAGUUGCCCAUUUAUCAUGCAAGGCUUUAUUGACAUGCUCUUCUCCUAUCUCAGCGACUAACGGUUCCUCGUGCUCCGCGAUCAUCGGCUCUUCGUAGGGUAGGGUGAUGUCAAGAUUAUACUCUUGGUGAAAAACAUGAAUUAGUUCCCUCCAGGUUUUAAGGGGAUUAAUCUUCUUGAUAAUGUACCACCGCAAGGCAGGGCCAGUCAAGCUCGAUUGGUACGAUUGAAUCAUCCUUCGGACCAAGUAGGCCUGUAGGUAGGUCUCUGGGCGGGAGGUAUCAGCAUACCUUUCGCAUUCAGGUGCUUUGAGUUUUUCAGGGAUCUCAAUGCCGGCGUAAUUGGAUAGGUCCAUGGGAUUCUGCUCCUGUAGCUGGCUUAACUUUUUCAUAAUCCUUUCAAACUGUCUAUGGUACUGGCUAUUUUCUGGCAAAUUUGCAGGUGUCAUGACGGUGUUUGAGGCAACUAUGGAGUUGGGCUCAGCUUGAGUGGAUUUCAUUUGUCUUGAGAGUUGUUGAAGGACAAUUGACAUCUGUCCUACGUCGUCUUCAAUGUUAAUAAGGCGAUUUUGUGCAUCAUUCUGAUCGGGCCCUAAUGCAUGAGGCCAGUCGUGAGCUAUUGGUGGCCGGCGAUUCAUAAUUACCUGCUCGUUGCGAAAACAAUGAAUGAGCACGAAAGUAAACAAAGAUUGACCCAUGGCAAUGGUCUAAUUGCUUUUUCAUUUAUCAAAAGAUGAUUUAUAGACUGCCAACUCCUAACAUCUAGGACUUGAAAUUGAAAAGACAGGAGGAAAUACUAGAUAUUAAACAAGAGUCCCUAAACAAUGGGACAUAACUUUCACACUAUUUACACUAAGGGGCACAUGAUUGCCAAUUUAUAUGCGACGGGGAGCCUUGUUCUUGCGAGAACACCUGCUUCCUUGAACUGGCUCUGAGGUGUGCAUCCAGUCCAUUCCCGAAUCCCUCUCCAUGAGCUCUGCUUGCUCGUGUUGGCUGCUCUCGCUGAUCAAGUGAGGGACUAAUGGCUUCCAUCUUGUCGGGAUGCGAUGGUUGUGGAUGUAGGACAUGGAGGCGUGGUGGGCUUUUUCUUCUCCCUCAAGCCCUUCAGGUACCACGAUCCUUUUACGAUGGCACUUGUUCCAUGCUUCUUCAUAAAUGUCAACCAUGUAUUCAAAAUUUCGAUGAGUGAAGAGAAGUGGAGGGGUCCUCUUCUUGAAAGAUGGCGGGAUCUCCUGAAGGGCUCCAUACUGUCGUGCCACCCGUUGUGGGAAAUAGGAAAAAGCACCGGUGAGGCCGAGCAGCGGAAUUGGAUGGCGGCGCUUGAAAGCAAAGUGAGCUCUCUUUUCAUAGAACCAACCAGCACGCCAUUGGAAUGCCUCAGGAGCCGGGUCUCUUAGGAAAUUUAUCCAAUUUAAACAGCUUUGAUUGGGAAUGUAUGGUCCUAAAACCAUAAAUUUUUGUAAUGGAUUUUCGAAGUCAUUCAUUCCAGAUGAUCGCAUGAAGCCCUGGAAUUCGCUUAGGUGAGAAAAGAACCAGACUUGUAAAAUUUCAGGAGAGGCUCGCAUGAUUUUCUCCGUGUUGUCUUUAAAACGAUUAAAGGACAAGAAUGUUUCAGUUAAAAUCAUAUUGACAUAAUUUUGCCCUCUCAAGAUUUGAUCAACUAUCCAUGCCAUCUUAGGACUUAUGACAUUUCUUUGAUGGGGGAAAAUGAUGAACCCAAAAAAGCCCAGGAGGAAAAUCUCACUUUUUUGGGUCAUAGGCUGAUUUUGAAAACAGGCGUUCAUGAAUUCUAGUGGGCAGGUAUUGUUGUUGCCUUCAAGAAUUUGUCUCAUGACAUGGAUUUCAGUUCCUAAAAGUCGCGCUAACCCCUGCCACGGGAGGAAGCCUGUCGAUGGCUUAACAAGCUUUUUCUCGAGAGGCAUUCCAGUGAUGAUGCUGUAUUCUUCCAGAGUUGGGGUUAGCUCAAACCCACCAAACAUAAAAGUAGUCGUUUUCAAGCACCAGAAAUGUGCCAUGGCCUGUAUGACUUUGGGACGAACAGUGAUUUGAAUCAACGAUAGGAGAUGACCGAUUUUGGCCUUCACGCGCUCUUGGGCAAGCUGGUCCAAUUGACCCCACCAUCUGAAGAGUUCCGCCUUAGGAGCACGAAUAAACUGGAUAUCGUCUUUCCCCAUUGCAUAUAAACUGAGACUUGAAAAGCUUAUCCUAAAUUGCCAUGGGCCAAAUAAAAAGACUGAGUAACAGUAAAGAAAUCACUUUGCUUUUUAAAAAAAUUGCAAGCACCAAGACAUACAGAUGGGAUGUGCGGCUCGAUUUCUAACUCAGAAGGAUUGGUGAGAUUAAAAGGAUAUCCGCCCGUCGCAGUCUCGCGUUAGCAGCAUACCCUCUUAACCACGUCUAAGAAAUUCGAGGAAAAGAAAGGCGACCUCUACAUCGCAGUCUCGCGUUCGAGGUCGUAUCUUUCUUAACACCAUCCUAGAAAUCCUAUGGCGGCCCAGGUCCGGCGGCCGGGUUGUGUGUGCCAUGUGUAGUGUUUAAAACAGUAAAGCAUGCACAACAGUUUAUGAUCACAAAACAUUUUAUUUUAACAGAAUAAAAAAACUUUAAGCUAUUAUCCUGCACAAAAGAAAAAGACCCAAGUUAGCAAAGUAUUUAAACAAAGAUAAAAAUGGCCUAAGUCCUCAAAGUCCCAAGCGGAGUCGCCAAGCUGUCGCGACCCCUUUUUUUCUGGCGCCCACAAUCGGGUACGAGCGCCUAAGGAGGCUAAUGGCUCGGCUGAAUUUAUUAAGCCUGGACUCUCCCAAGUCCACCAAUUCACGACUUUAAUAAUUUGAGUUUUUAACCCAUAAAUCAAUUUUUAAAAUGGAGUCGCCACUAAUCGAUUUGAGGUGGGUUGAUUAGAAACCCAAGUGAAGUAUCGGGAGAAAUACUCACUCCUGCGCAACCAGAGAAAUUAGGAUCGGGGACUUGAUUACACUAGUUAAUCACUAAUGCCCUUUCGGUACCUAAUCUUGUUUAAACCCUAAGGCUUUUUGGAUUUUUGAGAGAUUUUCCAUGCAUUUUUGGGAGGAAAAACAUUUUUUGAGUAUUUUUCUCAUUUUUUGGACAUAAAAGGGAUUUUUGGUAUUUUUUGGAAAAUAUGGAAUAUUUUUGAUUUUUUUGAUUUUUUUGAUUUUUUUUCUUUUCUCGGAAAAUAAAAUAUUUUUAAAUAUUUUUUCAAAAUAUUUUUGGAAAAUAAAUUAUUUUUUGAUUUUUCUCGAUUUUUUAGAAAAUAAAACAUUUUUCGACAUUUUUAAAUAUUUUUCGAUUUUUUGGAAAUUAAAACAUUUUUUUUAUUUUUUAUUUAUUAAAAUAUUAUUUUUAUAUUAAAAUAACAAAAUAAAACCGACCCGGGUCGGAUCCGCGGGUUGGGUCCGACCCGGGUCGGCGACCCAAAUGCGGACGGGCCCGCGUUGCGGGCUCGACUCGGAUUUUUCAUCUUUUCUUUUUUCUUUUUUUCUUUUUUUUUAAAAACGACGCCGUGGCCGGGCGUUUGGGGACGCCCGGCCCAGCCCGACGACCCGGGUCCACGACCCGGCUCCCUGCGAACCCUACCCGACCCGGAUCCGAAUUCACGACCCGGCUUCCGCCGCCCCGAAAUCUCGCGGAACCCUACCCGGUUCCGAGACCCGGAUCCGAUUCGACAACCCGGAAAUCGCAAACCCUAGGGUUUGCGAUUCCGCGGCGCCGAAGAGGGGGAACCGAGGUGUUUGGCUGCGACGGCAACUAUGGCGGCGACGUCGAAGGUGACAACGGCGGCGGCAACCACAGCGGCCACGACGGCGGUGACAAUGUCGACGGCGACGACGGCUAGGUCAACGGAAAACGGCUGCGAUGAACAAUAACGCCCCCCUUUUUACCUUCUCUCGGAUGGGGACGGCGACAGCAGGAGAGCGGUUCGCGAUGGUGGAGGUGACGACGGUAGCAACUCAGCUUCUCGAUCUGGCGCGGCUUCGGCGGAUCGAUCACGGUAAUGGCUCCGCGAGGUGAGGCACGACAACAAGCCGUCGAAGCAACGGCGUCGGGACUGAGGUGAACGGUUGCGGCACGGCGUUCGGCGGCAACAACAGCAGCAAAAAAAACCAGAUCUACUGCGUAGAUCUCGGCCGGACCCUCCUCGGCCUUGAUUCCUCCUCACUUAGGCCAGAUCCGAGCCUCCACAGGCCGGAUCUGACCUUCUCGAAGUCACUCGCCGCCUGCCUUCCCCGAAGUCUCUCGGUGGAAGGUGGGCUAAGCUCGCGACCCGAGCUCUCUCCUGCGCUCGCCCUUCAACCCUUCCCGAUGUCUCUCAGUGAAGGAUUUCCGAGCUCGCCACACCCUCCGACGAUGCUUGCGACCCACCUAUUUAUAGGCGAAGGAACUCCGGUCGAUGGAGGGGCUCGGUCGCCGGCCUCCGGCUUGCCCACCGGUUCCGCUCGGCCGAACCGGUGUCCCAUCGAGCUUUCCAGCGAAGCUCGCUCAGCAUUGAUGGCGCCUGCGAUCUUAUCCCCUCCGGCCGACGUCGCCCUACACUCCUCGGCCGUAGGCCGUCCUUGGCGCGCGUCGCCAGCCAUCGCGCGUGAGAUGCAAGCGACUGAGGAAGAAGAAGACAGGAGGAAGAAGAAGAGAGAAAAGGGGCCGGGCCAAGGGUGAAGGAAAAUGGGCCACAUGGGCCACGCGGAGGGGGAAGAGAAAGGGAAAAGAAAAAAAGGGCUGGGCUUUUGUUGUUUUUUUUUUGUUUGUUUAUUAAUUAUCUUAUUUAUCGGAAAUAAAAUAAAAAAUUAAUUAAAUAAAAUUAACCUAAGUAAAAUUGAGGUGUCAACAUAUGCAAGCCACAAAUUUGAUCCUCGAUCUCUCCCCUGUAUCUUCUUGGGUUAUAGUAAUCAGCACAAAUGAUAUCGAUGUCUGGUAUCAACUAAUAAUCGUGUAUACAUCAGUAGACAUGUUGUCUUUGAUGAACAUUCUUAUCCUUUUAUAAAGAAGUUGGUCAAUGAGUAUGGACAGUAUACAAAUCUAUACAAACAAUGGAUUGAAGGAAUACAUUUCCUUGAACCUUCAAGAACCGAGUUAACAGACAAUGGUUCUUUGCAUCAGUCAGCCAAAACCCAGAUCCAUCCUGAUCUAGAUGAUUGCUAUAAUCAUCACCUAUGUCAUAGACAACAAUCUCAGACCAUUUCCUCGAGAACUAUGUAGAAUGAGAGAACAACAGAUGAACAACCUGUCAUGGCUUCAAUAGAUACUAUGCCUACAGAUCUAUCUACCUCUCAGGGACAACAUAUUACCAGCUCUUCAUCUUCACACAAUGAUCUACCAGCUGAAAGUAGUUCUGGUGAAAGGUACUACAAUUCCAAUUCCAUUAUGUCUUCUUCUCAAGGUACUCUUAAUAAUCAUCAUAUGCAAACUCGACUAAAGUCUGGGAUUAGAAAACCAAAUCCAAAGUAUGCUUGUUUAGCUGAGUAUCAAGUUCCUAUGGAACCACGGUCUAUCAAAUCAGCCUUAACUAAUGAAGCCUGGUACAGGGCUAUGAAAGAAGAAAUGGAUGCUCUUGAUGAAAACCAAACCUGGACAUUGAUUCCUAGAACUGACCAGAUGAAUGUGAUAGGCUGUAAGUGGGUAUAUAAGACCAAACUCACACCAGAUGGGGGUUUUGACAGACUCAAAGCUCGUCUAGUCGCCAAAGGCUUUCAUCAAGAAGCAGGACUUGACUUCACUGAGACUUUUAGUCCAGUCGUGAAACACACAACAAUUCGAAUAGUGCUAUCUCUAGCCAUGAUAAAGCAAUGGCAAAUACAUCAGCUUGAUGUUAAGAAUGCUUUUCUUCAUGGAGAUUUGAACGAGACUGUAUACAUGGAACAGCCACCUGGCUUUAUCCAUCCUCAGAAGCCAAGUUAUGUCUGUCUGCUUCAAAAGUCCCUAUAUGGUCUUCGACAAGCACCAAGAGCUUGGUUCGAUAAAUUCAGCAAGUUUUUACUUGAAAGUGGCUUCUUCUGCAGCACAUCAGAUCCAUCCUUGUUUGUUCUUCAUACAGACUCCCAUACAGUCUUAUUGCUACUAUAUGUUGAUGAUAUCAUCUUGACUGGCAGUUCACCACAUCUCUUAACUACCCUUAUUCAGAAACUAGUCUUCACUUUCAUAUGAAGGACCUUGGAUAUCUUCACUAUUUUUUGGGCAUUGAAGCCAAACGAACUUCAUAGAAACUCUUUUUGUGCCAAACAAAAUAUGCCACUGACUUGCUGAAACGAGCUCAUAUGGCAGAUUGUAAACCAAUCUCAACACCCUUGCCACUUCGAUCAAUUUCCAUGGCUGACACUGCAAAUCAACUCACAGACCCUGUGGAGUACAGAAGCUUGGUUGGUGCUCUUCAAUACUUAACCAUUACUCGACCAGACCUGGCGUUUGCUACUAACCUUCUCUGUCAAAAGAUGCAACAUCCUACCGUAGGAGACUUUCAUCAGUUAAAAAGAGUACUUCGAUAUGUCAAAGGUACCAUACAUCUUGGGUUCUAUCUUCAUUCUCAAAGUUCAGUAAACCUCUAUGGUUUCUCAGAUGCUGAUUGGGCUGGUUGUCCAACUACACGACGUUCCACAACGGGGUUUUGCACAUUUCUUGGAUCUAAUCUACUUUCUUGGUCUGCCAAGAAACAACCUACUGUUUCCAGAUCCUCAACAGAAGCAGAAUAUCGUGCACUUGCUUCGACAAUUGCUGAACUCACCUGGAUAACUUUUGUGUUACGAGAUAUUGGCAUCUCUCUUCAAUCACCUACAUUAAUAUACUGUGACAACAGAUCAGCAAUUUCUCUUACAGCCAAUCCAAUAUUACAUGCUCGAACCAAGCACAUUGAAGUUGACUUUCACUUCGUCCGUGAGAAAGUUUCUUCUGGAUCUAUUCGUGUUCAGUAUAUCUCUACUCAUCUUCAAUUAGCUGAUAUCUUUACUAAGUCACUCUCACGAUUAUCUAAUCUUACUCUCCGAACCAAAUUGGGAAUGUGGUCGUUCACCCUUCCCAAUUUGAGGGGGGAUGUUAGAGGAUCAAGACCUCCAUCCUACUCUGCUACAUCAAGAGUCAGCCACAAGGGAUCCUCAACUCUGGUAGAUGUAGAUCACUAGAAGACUAUGGAUAACCAGUCUUAUCAACGGUGGAGAUUUUACAAUGCCGAAGACGUGGAUUGCCAAGUCUCAGGAUUUGUCAAGACUGCUAUUCUGUUAUAAAUAGCUGUAAAAGUUUGUUAGUUUGUGUCGGUUAGUUCGUUUAGUCUGUUAUUAGUUUUCCAGCUUCUCUCUGUAUAUAAAGAUAGAAUUGAGCUCAGGAAAAGGUGUGAAGAAGAGAGGAGAGGGAAGAACAGGAGAUUCAAUAUUGAUCUGUUGUAUUUGAUUUCUCUUUGUUCAAAACUUGGAUACAAUGAAAUAAGAAUCGAAUACUUCUUGUUCAGAUCCUUCUGCAACUCUACCGAGUUUAUUCUCUAUCAUCAUCAUCAUUCCUCAUCUUCAUCUUCUGCGUUCUUGGAUUCUCAAUUUCUCACCGUAAACUGUACAGUCUCUUCUACUGGGAGGAGAAAGAAAUUCUCAGCAUUAUCUCCCGCUUGCUUAAAAUUUAUUCUCAUGUUUUUUUACAUUGAAUCGCUUGACCAUUGAGAUUAAUUUGAUUUAUUUUCUAUUGAUUGCGUCUUUGAUGAAUCCAAGUAACAAUCCAAGGUAAGUUUCGAUUGUUUGCAAUGUGAAUUUGGUGGCUGGGGAGGUUCCGCUGUGAAACGUUGGCCUCAGUCGCUCUGAAUGAAAGAAUACGUUUUCUUGAAUUGUUAUCUUGAUAAGGAAGAGAGUGACACAGGCUACGGUUUGUUGUGAAAAAGAAACAAGCAACAAUUGCUGAAUUUCUAUUCUGCAGGAAAUGGAAGCGAAUUAGAAUAACUAAUGUGCUUUUGGAUGCUGAUUGCCGGAUUAUCUUGUGAACAUAUGGUAUCUUUAUUUCUCUUUCGAAUGUUUGGUAUUUGCUCCGCUCUCUUACUGGUAACCGGUGCCGCGAACUUCUUGGUUGAUUAAUUCCUCUUUCUGCAAAUGACUUUGGCCCCAGUUACAGUCCACUUUCAGUAUACGAGUCAUCAUUGUAAUUUGAGUACCGGGUGAUGUGAUACAGUCUUGAAAAUUUCAAAUACUAAAUUCCAUCAGCCUCAGUUUUUUUUUUUUUUAAAAUCAGAAUUUCAUGUUUGAAAGAAUGGUUUGUAUGAAUGAUCUUUGCACUGGAUUAACUCAAAUGAUAUUUCAUCAUAGAUAUUUAGAACAGAGUAUUUCUUUAGUUGGCUACUUUGCGACCUUUGUUGCUGAUAAAGUAGAUUGACUUGCUAGAAGGAAUUAGUGCUUUGUAAGUGCAGCCAAUUUUUUUGUUAAUUUCGUUGCUGGGUAUUAAUUAGUUCAUGGAAUGAUGCUCAUCAGAUUUGGUAGAUUCAAACAAUGGUAAAUAGCCCAUGCAACAUCAGGAAAAUAUGAAAAAUCAUUUCUUAUUUGUUGAGAAUCAUCAUCAUUCUUUCUCUCAGCAGUGAGAGAUACUGCAAAUAUCGUAGAGUACGAAUUGAAUGAAGAGGUAUCGUAACUUUGGACUUGUCUGUCAAUCUUGCUUAUCUCAUCAAUGGCCAAUGUUAUGCUGAUGUUUGAAUGAAUCCAAGCACUUAUCUUUAGUAGGCUUUGGAAUUUUCACAAUCUAUGGAUCCAACGAGUCUUAACAAUUGAUGUGUCGGGGAAUUUCUUACCUAUACCAAGUCCACUGGGCGGAGUCUAUGUCAGUGGUUGAUCAUCUAAGCCCCAUAUGCAACAUUCAUGUGAGACUCACUUGAACAACUAUUGAAAUGGACCCAAUCUAAGCGAGUGCAAGCACCACCUUGCGGAAGCUAUGCUUUGGCUGAUGGCAUAAGACGUGAAAAUUCUUUAAUCUCAGCCUUCUUUGUGCUCUUGCACUUUGGAUUUAGGUUGUGCCCUGGACAUACUUUUAGUUAUGUUAAUGGGGGAUUAGUACUUAAGGAGAUAUGGAAAUACUCUCCCGAAUUCGAUGCUUCCAAAGGUCAAAGUAGUUCAACCUGGGCAACUAGAAAAGAGUAACAACGAGGUCAAAAUGUUAUGGAGCAUUACCCCAUUGGUCAUUUUCAUCUCAACCUUUUCAAAUGUGGAGACAACUCCCUUGUUCAGGUGAUAAUACUCAAUAAAGGUGCUUCUGAGAUAGAUUAUUCCUCAGGAUCACUGCCUCGGACGACCUCUUCCUCUGAUCCGUUUGUCCUUCGUGCAUUACUAAAAUAAACAUUAUAAUCUUCCUUUUCGUUCUUAGCCUCAUGAAGAGAGACUUCAGGCAUUUUUAUGUGAUUUUUGUUGUCAAAUUUACUGCUGGCAUGUCUAUAUGUGUGCCAUAAGCGCUUUGUAUGAUCAUCACAGGAAGUGCUCACCAUGAAGUGUUCAUAUUAACAAUCUGAAUCACAAAUCAACAUUCACUGCAAUGCGUGUUUGUCUGUUAGAUGGUCGAUACUUGUUUAGUUCUUCCCGUCAAAAGUCUUGCAAAGAUGAUUCCGUCUUCAUCUAUGUUACUUUGAGAUCGCUGUGUAGGUUGCUCUCUUUGGCGGUUUCUGGAUUAAUGUUUUAUAAAUUGUACAAUCUGUGCCACUGGGAGGUGAAAAAAAUCCUCAGCAUUAUCUCCCGCACGCUUAAAAUUUAUUCUCAUGUUAUCUACAUUGGAUCAUCUGACCAUUGAGAUUAAUAUGAUUUCUUUUGUGUUUGAUGAAUCCAAGUAACAAUCCAAGGUAAGUUUCGAUUGUCUGGAAUGUGAAUUUGGUGGCUGGGCAGGUUCCUCUGUGAAACGUUGGCCUCAGUUGUUCUGAAUGAGGGUAUGAUUGCUUGAAUUGUUAGCUUAAUAAGGAAGAGAGUGAUGCAGGCUACAGUUUGUAGUGUAAAAGACACAAGCAACAAUUGCUGAAUUUCUAUUCUGCAGGAAAUGGAAGCGAAUUAGCAUAACAAAUGUGCUUUUGAGCAAUGAUGUUGAUUUCUGGAUUACCUUUGUGAACAUGUGGUAUCUUUAUUUCUCUUUUGAACAUUUGGUAUUUUCUCUGCUCUCUUUCUGGUAAACAGUAGUGCGGACUUCUUGGUUGGUUAAUCCUUCUUUCUGCAAUUGACUUUGGCCCCUGUUAUGGUAUGCUUUCAGUAUACGAGUCACAUUGUAAUUUGUGUACCUGGUGAUGUGAUACGAUCUUGUUGAUGCAUUUCUCAAUAUGUUUCCCAAACUUUGCUUGUUGUAAAAAAAUUCAAAUAUUAAAUUCCAUGAGCCUCAAUUUUUUUCCCUUUUUUUGUUGAUCAAAAUUCUGUGUUUGUAUGAGCUUGAUCUUUGCCCUGGAUUAACUCGAAUGAUAUUUCAUCAUAGAUAUUUAGGACGGAGUAUUUCCUUAGUUGGCUACUUUGUGGCAUUUGCUGCUGAAAGUACAUUGACUUGCUAGAAGGAAUUAAUGUUCUGUAAGUGCAGCCAAUUUUUUGUUAAUUUUGCUGCUGGGUAUGAUGAUGUUCACGGAAUGAAUGCUCAUCGAAUCGGUAGACUCAAACAAUGGUAAAUAAAUAGUCCAAGCAACAUCAGGAAAAGAUAAAAAAGCAUUUCUCAUUUGUUGAGCCAUCAUCAUUCUUUCUCUCGGUAGCGAGAGAUGCUGCAAAUAUCGUAGAGUAAGAAUUGAAUGAAGCGGAGUCGUAAUUUUGGACUUGCAUGUCAAUCUUGGCUUAUCUCAUCAAUAGCCAAUGUCAUGCCAAUAUUUGAAUGAAUUCAAGCACUUAUUUUAAGUAGGCUUUGGGAUUUUCUUACCUAUACUGGGUCCAUUGGGCGGAGUCUAUGUCAGUGGUUGAUUGUCUAAACCCCAUAUGCAACAUUAAUGUGAGAUUCACAUGAACAACUAUAGGAAUGGAACCAAUCUACACGUGCACAGACACCACCUUGAGGAAGCUAUUCUUUGGCUAACGGCAUAAAAUGUAUAAAUUCUCAAAUCUCUGCCAUCUUUACGCUUUUGCAAUUUGGAUUUAGCUUGCGAUUAAUAAGGGCCCUAGACUUACCUUAAGUUGUGUUGUUAAUGGGGCAUUACGAAAGGUCAUAAGUAGUUCAACCUGGGAAACUUGAAAAGAGUAACGACGAGGUCGGAAUGUUAUGGAACAUUAGUCCAUUGGUCAUUUUCAUCUCAACCUUUUUAAAUGUGGAGACAACUCCAUUUUUCAGAUGUUAAUACUCGAUAAAAGUGCUUGUGAGAUAGAUUAUUCCUCGAGCAAUGGCCAAAUAUCAAACCCUGAGGAUCGAUUUUUCUAACAAGAAAGGGAUGAUGUUGUCAAGCUUGAAGAUUUAGAGGGUUUCCGGCAACGUCAAUCGCUUUUACCCUGUUCUGGCGAAUUUUCUGAUUGCCCAUCAGUCACUCAUCAUGAGAAUUUGAUGGCAAUGAAUGGUAGUCUUAUUAGUCACGUUUCUGCCUUUAUCAGUGCAUUUUCUUCGUUCUUUCCAAAUUCUUUAAUGCUUUUUGAUCAGCAUUUUGGAUGUUGAUAUAUACGGUAAUAUUCAGAAGUGCAGAUUGUAAUUAAUCGGUGUGGUGACUAGCUCUAAUGUGAAGGGGAUGUAAAAUUAUUUGAUCAAUUUUAUUUUUCUGGUUUUCCAUGGAAAUGCUAACUACCAAUGUAUGCUGAAUCAUUUCAUACUAAGUCAACGCUCAGUAAUUUCUGGAAAUGGAAUCACCAUAAUCUGAAACUUUACAGAGACAAAGUCUCAAUCGGCAAAGAAUUGGAACCCACCAAAGUUGCGAUCUUGAAAAUCAAUGACGGCAGAGCUUUACUUGAAGGUGAAAAAGUUGAAGCUAUUUUGAGAAUUCUUCGCAACGGAACGGGAGCUCUACUGGAUGGCUCUACUACGAAUGUUCCAGCAUUGUCGGCGUUUUAGACGGAAGCCACUCGCUUGCUCGAAGCAUUGAAACGUUUUCGGUCAAGGCGAGAAAGUGUGUUGGAGCUCGAGUCCGACUGCGAAGAGCUGGUCAACGUAGUGCUUAUGAAGACGGCUCUAAUAGAGAAAGCCCAGCUAUCUUUGGCCCAAUUGUACUUUCUCUCCCUGGCCCAUUGCCACCGGUCCACAAACAAAAUGGCUGAUUGGGCCGUGAAAACCAAACGUAUGAAUGCUCUCCCUCCCUCUUGAGUGGCCCAUCCCUCCAAUCUUUAUGGAAUUAUUUUACGUUUGGAUGCCCCUUUGUUGGGCUUUUGUUUUAAAGACCCCCGGGUUUUAAUUCACGCCAUGUCUUCAAAUUUGAAAGCUUGCCUCGUAUAUUAGUUUGUCUUAAGCUCGAAUUGGUCGACGGUCAAAACACAAGUUCAAAAUUACAUGGAAAGUAGAUGAUCAAGCAAGUCUUAAGAACUAGAAUCUGGAGAAAUUGGACAAAUUCCAACUGAGGUUGUUGACGCAAUUUGACUUGAAAAACUAGAAAACUGAAAUUGGACCAGCAAGUGAACGGAAAGAUUAAUUAAACUGGAUUUUCAUCCCUAUCCUCUUGGGAAAAAGACAAAUAAUUUGUGGUUGAAUCUUUUCAACUACUUCACACCUCGGCACCAAGUUGUCGAAUCGGUGUUUUUUUUAUAACUCAAUAUCUAUAUAAAUGAUUUUCGAUUGAAAUAGUCUCGUAAGCAAGAUCAUUUCUCCAAUCUAAUGAAGUAAAAUAACCUUCACUGCAAUCAUGAUGCCUCCUCUAAUAAAAAAAGAAUAUCCCAUUGAUGUCAAGAUGAAAGCAACAUAAUGACUAUAUAAAUAAAUAAGUUAGCCGACUCGUUUCAUUUAUAAUAUUCAAUUGUUUGUAAGUUAACAUUCUUGUCUUGGUUGAGGUGGCCAACAAUGGUCUUUUUUAUUUAUUUUUUUAAUUUAUACAUUGGCCAGUUUCGACUUGUAGCAAUGUGCUACCAAGUUUUCAGCUUCCUAAGGAAUCGAUUUGUGUUUAGGUGAGGCUUAACUAAGUCAGGUUACCGAGCUCCAUCGUCCAUGCCCAAGGAAGUCACUGGUAUUUUUAUUUGAUUAGUCUAUAACAUUUUUAAUCUUCUCACUAUUUCUUUUCAUACGCAAUAGUUGUGCUCUUUUUCUAGUACUGAGUAAACAAAUAACAAUUCAAAAUGUAAAUAAAAUUGCCAAAAGAAAAACCGAUAUAUGCAACGUCUAGGCCGUACCAUAGGUCUCUGGGUAGUCGCGUCUCAACUUUUGUGCCCAUUGAUCAUUAGAAGAAGUGGACUAAAAAUUCUUCAUCGUAGUUUACUAACAUGAAAAUUGAACAUGCACUUCCUUUUUAGUUAAAUUUCCUUAUUAGUCAAAAAUAAACUCUCAUGUGUCAUGUAAGCCACCAAAGGGCGCCUCAAUUAGCGAAGAUGAUUGAAUCAUUCCAAAGCAUGAGAGAAUAAUGUGACCUUAUCACUUGCCGCGUUAGAUAAUUAUGUUGUCGUCUCUUUUCCCUUUACCUAACCUAUAAAAAACGAAAGCAGUAAUCGAAUAUUCUUUACAUCUAUAUCACUUAUAUUCUCUUUAUGUAUAUAUGCACCGCAGUAGCAUUAAGAUAUAGCAAAUACUUGAUUGACUAUUUAAAAAUAUCGCAAUGGUGGGUUCACAUCCACAUCAAUCAUAUGCAAAUCAAUCACGAAAACAAGCAAAACUAACCAUUUAACAAGAGAUUAUCUUUUCUUAAGAAAUUUUGCCAAACGCGAUAUACAUUAAUUCUUUAAUAUUAAAAAAAAAUCAUAUUUACGUGGCAUCUCUAUUUUGCAAUUAUUGAACAAUAGUAAUGUGAUAGUAUUAUGUUAACAUUGAUAUUUUCGAAAUGACACAUAAUGCAAAUGAGACUAUUCUUUAGAAUAAGAAAUUAUGCUUAAUUAAUCCCAUGAUUGAUAAUGUUGGUUGGGGAGUUGGUUUCUAGCUUAGGAACCGGAGAUCUCCCAUUAGAAUCCCACAAAUGCACGAAAACUGUCUCAAUUAAUGACGCAUCUUCUCAGGGGGGAUUGGGGUGAGGACGAUUCAUUUCAGGAGUGGGUUUCGACUCCCACGGCCUGCAAGGAGGCUGGGCAAAAGUCUGAGAGUGAGUGUUAGAGUAGGAUUAGAGUAGGACCGACCAAAAAAAAAAUAAUAAUAAUGAAGGCAUCUCUAUCUUGCAAUUAUUGAACAAUAGUAAUAUGAUAAUGUUAUGUAAACAUUGACAUUUUCAAAAUGACACAUAAUGCAAAUGAGAUUAUUCUUUAGAAUAAGAAGUUAUGCUUAAUUAAUCUCAUGAUUGAUAAUGUUGGUUGGGGAGUUGGUUUCUAGCUUAGGAGCCAAAUAUCUCCCAUUAGAAUCCCACAAAUGCAUGGAAACUGUCUCAAUUAACGAAGGCAUCUCUAUCUUGCAAUUAUUGAACAAUUGUAAUAUGAUAAUGUUAUGUUAACGUUGAUAUUUUCAAAAUGACACAUAAUGCAAAUGAGAUUAUUCUUUAGAAUAAGAAGUUAUGCUUAAUUAAUCCCAGGAUUAAGAAUGUUGGUUGGGGAGUUGUUUUCUAGCUUAGGAACCGGAGAUCUCCCACUAGAAUCCCACAAAUGCACGCAAACUGUCUCAAUUAAUGAAGGCAUCUCUAUCUUGCAAUUAUUGAACAAUUGCAAUAUGAUAAUUUUAUAUUAACAUUGAUAUUUUCAAAAUGACACAUAAUGCAAAUGAGAUUAUUCUUUCGAAUAAAAAGUUAUGCUUAAUUAAUCCCAUGAUUGAUAAUGUUGGUUGGGGAGUUGGUUUCUAGCUUAGGAACCGGAGAUCUCCCACUAGAAUCCCACAAAUGCACGCAAACUGUCUCAAUUAACGAAUGCAUCUCUAUCUUGCAAUUAUUGAACAAUUGCAAUAUGAUAAUUUUAUGUUAACAUUGAUAUUUUCAAAAUGACACAUAAUGCAAAUGAGAUUAUUCUUUAGAAUAAGAAGUUAUGCUUAAUUAAUCCCAUGAUUGAUAAUGUUGGUUGGGGAGUUGGUUUCUAGGUUAGGAACCGGAGAUCUCCCAUUAGAAUCCCACAAAUGCACGAAAAUUGUCUCAAUUAACGAAGGCAUCUCUAUCUUGCAAUUAUUGAACAAUUGUAAUAUGAUAAUGUUAUGUUAACGUUGAUAUUUUCAAAAUGGCACAUAAUGCAAAUGAGAUUAUUCUUUAGAAUAAGAAGUUAUGAUUAAUUAAUCUCAUGAUUGAUAAUGUUGGUUGGGGAGUUGGUUUUUAGCUUAGGAACCGGAGAUCCCCCAUUAGAAUCCCACAAAUGCACGCAAACUGUCUCAAUUAACGAAGGCAUCUCUAUCUUGCAAUUAUUAAACAAUAGUAAUGUGAUAAUAUUAUGUUAACAUUGAUAUUUUCAAAAUGACACAUAAUGCAAAUGAGAUUAUUCUUUAGAAUAAGAAGUUAUGCUUAAUUGAUCCCAUGAUUGAUAAUGUUGGUUGGGGAGUUGAUUUCUAGCUUAGGAACCAGAGAUCCCCCAUUAGAAUCCCACAAAUGCAUGCAAACUGUCUCCAUUAACGAAGGCAUCUCUAUCUUGUAAUUAUUGAACAAUAGUAAAAUGAUAAUGUUAUGUUAACAUUGAUAUUUUCAAAAUGACACAUAAUGCAAAUGAGAUUAUUCUUUAGAAUAAUAAGUUAUGCUUAAUUGAUCCCAUGAUUGAUAAUGUUGGUUGGGGAGUUGGUUUUUAGCUUAGGAACCGGAGAUCCCCCAUUAGAAUCCCACAAAUGCACGCAAACUGUCUCAAUUAACGAAGGCAUCUCUAUCUUGCAAUUAUUGAACAAUAGUAAUGUGAUAAUAUUAUGUUAACAUUGAUAUUUUCAAAAUGACACAUAAUGCAAAUGAGAUUAUUCUUUAGAAUAAGAAGUUAUGCUUAAUUAAUCCCAUGAUUGAUAAUGUUGGUUGGGGAGUUGGUUUCUAGCUUAGGAACUAGAGAUCCCCCAUUAGAAUCCCACAAAUGCACGCAAACUAUCUCAAUUAACAAAGGCAUCUCUAUCUUGCAAUUAUUGAACAAUAGUAAUAUGAUAAUGUUAUGUUAACAUUGAUAUUUUCAAAAUGACACAUAAUGCAAAUGAGAUUUCUUUUUAGAAUAAGAAGUUAUGCUUAAUUAAUCCCACGAUUGAUAAUGUUAGUUGGGGAGUUGGUUUCUAGCUUAGGAACUGGAGAUCCCCAUUAGAAUCCCACAAAUGCACGCAAACUGUCUCAAUUAACGAAGGCAUCUCUAUCUUGCAAUUAUUGAACAAUAGUAAUAUGAUAAUGUUAUGUUAACAUUGAUAUUUUCAAAAUGACACAUAAUGCAAAUGAGAUUAUUCUUUAGAAUAAGAAGUUAUGCUUAAUUAAUUCCAUGAUUGAUAAUGUUGGUUGGGGAGUUGGUUUCUAGCUUAGGAAUCAGAGAUCCCCCAUUAGAAUCUCAAAAAUGCAUGCAAGCUAUCUCAAUUAACGAAGGCAUCUCUAUCUUGCAAUAAUUGAACAAUAGUAAUAUGAUAAUGUUAUGUUAACAUUGAUAUUUUCAAAAUGACACAUAAUGCAAAUGAGAUUAUUCUUUAGAAUAAAAAGUUAUGCUUAAUUAAUCACAUGAUUGAUAAUGUUGGUUGGGGAGUUGGUUUCUAGCUUAGGAACUGGAGAUCCUCCAUUAGAAUCCCACAAAUGCACGCAAACUGUCUCAAUUAAUGAAGAUUAUUGAAUCAUUCCAAAUCAUAAGAGACAGUAGGACCUUAUCACUUACUGCGUCAAAUAAUUUUGUCCUUGUCUCUUUGUGCUUCCCCUAACCUAUAAAAAAAAAAAAAACGAAACGAGUAAUCGAAUAUCCCCUAUAUCUAUGUCACUUAUAUUCUGUGUAUAUGCAUUGUACUAUCAUUAAGAUAUAGCAUAUAUGUGAUUGAUUCUAUUUAAAAUAUCACAGUGGGGGUUUCCAUCCACAUUAAUCAUAUGCAAAUCAAUCACCAAAAGAAGCAAAACCUACGAUUUUAUUGAGAUUAUCUUUUCUUAAAAAAUUCUGCAAAAUGUGACACACUCUUAAUCUUUAUAAUAAAAAAAAAAUUAUGUUUACGUGGCAUCGCUAUCUUGCAAUUACUGAACAAUGGUCAAAUGUGAAUAUAGUCAUUUUCAAAAUGAUGCAGAAUGCAAAUGACUAUUACUUUUUAAAAAAAAUUAUGUUUAAUUAAUCCUAGAAUUGAUAAUGGUGGUUGGGGAAUAGGGGAUUUCCAGCUAAAAAAAUUAAAAAUCCCCCGUUAGAAUCCCACGAAUGCAUGCAAAUUGCUCUGGAUUAGAGCCACCUACAUAGAUCGAAGGGUUGAGCUUAACCAAUUCACGAUACUUGUAAGAUAUUUCAUAAGCUUCUAGGUAGACGGGUGUCCAUGCCUAUGCUCCUAGAUAAUAUAUAUAUAUAACGCUUACUUUAGGAGAAUCCGCAUUUUAUACACUAAUUAUUUUAGUAUAUACUUAUUCCUCAUAAACUAGGUAGUUUUUAUGCAAAAGGUCCUUAUCAACUAAAUUACAAAGAGUACAUCCCCCAUGACUUUAAUUAGUAAUAACACUUUUAUUCAUCAGAAAUUAGUCAUAACAUUUUCAAAUACUCCUAAUAAAUAUACAUAUUUAGGACUAAUUUGACAUUCUAAUCUAAAAAUUAUGGUUGGUAAAAAAUUACAUAACCUCAAUAUUUCCUUCUGAACUGACUUUUUAUUUUUAUUUUUUUAACGGCCCUUCUCAUGUGCAAGCCAUAUCAGGAAUAGCAAGUGAAAUUUGACAACUGAGAGUGGACUCACACACGAAAGGGGCAAGUAGAACUUGACCAUAAUACCAUGUUAGAAAAUCCAAUCCAAAGAUAUAUAAAGAGCAUAUAAACUUCAUUAUCAUGCAAUGGGGGAUAUUUCAAUACAUGCCAACCAAGGAUAGAGCAGAGCCCCUCUAAUGCAUUUGUAGCUCCUAAUGAGCUUCACAAAUCAUGAUAUGCCGAAAUGCCUAUGAGUUGCUCUUUGCUUUUCUUCAAUAUGUUCCUUGAUGAAUCCACCUAGAAUAGUCUGCAAGCAUACAUGUGUGAACAGCCCAGAUGUGAAUUUGCUUAAGUGGAAUGAGAAAUCCAAGGAUAAAUUUGAAGACAAAGAGCAAGAAGGUAAUGAUAUGAGAUUAAAGAAAUCUAAUGAUAAAUUUAUUCUUUUGAAAGUGCUCAAGGAUGAAAGAAAUUGUUGGCUGACAUUGUCUCCUAAUACAUGUCAUUAGGAGACACUAUGUAGACGAAAGAAAACCUGCAAGAAGUGGACAUCAAAAGCUAUGACAUGGUAGUGCUAGCGUAGAGCCGCUCGUGGGGAUUAUUCAAGUGACUAUCUUUACUCCAUUUUUUUAUUUCCUGGCUCAUGUUACUCCAAUUAGGAUACCCCAUGGACACAUUUAAAAAAAAAAUACCAUGUCAUGAUUUCCCACACAAACCAAAUCAACUUGAAAAGCACAAUAUUGAGUCAUAACAAUUAAUGCGUUGGGGAACUCCUUGCCUGUAUCAGAUCCAUUGGGCAGAGGAAGGAUCCAGGUGGACCCUCCCUUAUUUCCAGGUGCGACAGCCUCCCCAUCACUUCGUUGGCCGGCAAGAUUGGCCGCGCUUGCCCCCGUUCAACAACCUGCAGACGCUGUAGCCCCAGAUCAAGCAGGUGGUCCAGCAGUAGCAUCCGAUCAAGGCUCCUUCCCAAAAAGAAUAAAAAUAAAUACUUUUAAUGUAAAGCUUGUGGUUAUAUAUGUUUCUGAUUUGUGAUAUCACGUCAUUAUAUCAUGACUGGAUUACCUGUGAGUUUCUUUUCAUUCAAUAAGUAAAGGUGUCGUGCCAGGGAAAUUGAAAAUAAAAUAAAAUUGAAGAGGCUCUUCUUUUUGGUGAGAAAACGCGAGAUGGUUCUCUACUGCCUUUGUUUCCUUUUAUUUUGGUCCUUGUUGGAUAGGUCUAAGGACAAUCUAGGAGUUCUAAUUUCAAUGGAAAGCUGUUCUUCUUAGCACAUUUUGCCGAGCCGUUCUCUUCUCAAGGUUUGUCAUAUUUUUGGCACUUUGAGUGAGAUUGAAUUAUUCACUUAGAAAGUUUAGGUGAUGGCAUCUCAUUUAGAAUGAGUACUGCAUUAUCAGUAGAUAGAUACAAGGGUCUAAGUUAGUCCAAGUAUAAUAUGUCAAGAAGAUUAACAUGAUCAAAAUUUGGUAUUUACUCCACAAAUCAAUAAUACGGCCAGCGAAUCAAUGUUUGUCCAUUAGCAGUCAAGGAAAGGAUGGAGAAUUAAUAAAUAUUUGUCCACCAGCCGUGGAGGAAAGGAUGGUUUACCAAAUCAAAGUUUGUCUAAUCACGAAUUGUCUAUGAGCAAUACCAGUUCGUCCAUUAGCAGUGGAGGAAAGGAUGGUUUGUCUAAUCACCGUUUGUCUAAUCACCAUUUGUCUCUGAGUGGUGCAUGAAAGAAUGGAUAUCUAAUCAAUGUUUGGUCAUAAGCAGUGGAGUAAAGGAUGGAGACAUAGACAUUGGUGAUGGUUACUGGUUAAGGAAUCAUCCAUCUCUAUAUGCGUAUUAGAUGGGGACUAGGACAUCAGGACUAGUACCUAACCAAUAUUUGCAUCACUCGAUUGUUUAUGUGUCCACAUUAUUGUCUUGAUUGAGGUAACCGAGAGUGGUAUUUUUUUUUUUGGCUGAUAACGGCUUGGCACAUUUUGCUACCGAGUUUUCAGCUACCCGAGGAACUGACUCGUGUUUAAAUUAAAAAUGGGUUUGUAAUGCAUAUUGAGACAAUUAUUACACAAGCGGUGAUUACAACAAGCUAAAAUUAAGUUUCAAGUCAUAAUCUCAUUUUGACGAUGACAGACUAUAUGAAGUACUUAUUACACAGGAGACGAUUCAAGUCAAAUCAUUUUGGUACUUUAGUAGCUAGUAAUCAUAUGAUUUUUACUUUCUCUUUAAGCCACUCGGUGUUAAAAAAUGCAAAGAAACCAAGCUAAGAGCUUGCAUACCAUGUAGAUAUUACUUGAUUGUUGAUAAGCUGCGGGUCGAAGGGUCUAAAGAUAAUUUCUCGAAUUGCUGGAAAAGCAAAUGCUGAAGCAAGUCUUAAUAAUUAUAAUCCAAGCCCUCUUGUAUGGAGAAAUUUGACAAAGUCAUUCGAGAAGAAUAUACGUGUAAAUGACACAGACUGUUAAUAUGGACCAUCAAAUUAUAAAUAAAUUCGCUGCUUCCAUAACUAAGGAAAAAAACCCAAAAGAUAAGGGGGUGGCUAGCUAUGAUUCUGAAAUUUCAUUGGAGAUCUAAUGACUAAUAAUUUUAAUAUUAAAUAGGAGGUACUGUUGUAUUUUGUUAUAUUAAUAAGAUAUUUGAACAAAGAAGAUUGCUUUACUUUGUCAAAUUGAACCGGUAGUUUGAUAAAACAUUAUUUGAGCUAUAGAAUCAAACCUCUCUAUUCUAUUCUUUUUCUUUUCUCCAUAUAUUUACAUUCCGAGCUUGAGCUAAUAAUCAAAAUGAGUUGAAUAUAAAUUUGGGGCAAACCUACAAAGACCCGCAUAAUAUAUUAAGUGACUCGAUAGAACUAGGCACAUUCUUACCUUAAAAAAAAAGUAGAACUAGAGCACCAUAAAUUUGAGUUGAUGACAUGCUGCUAACUUACAUGCCAUGUAUGAUAAUAAUAAUAAUUAAAAAAACAAACGUACAUAUCACGUGGGUGUGGCCUAUCCUUAUUUGUAUGUUCUCUUCUAAUAAUUACACUUUGUUCUUUUGAUGAUAACAAAUUGUAUAAAGUGCUUAUUACACGACGAAUAAUGUAACUCGAAUCAUUUUGGCAAUUUUAACAACUGAUAGUUAUUCAUUUUUCAUACUUAUAAACCACUUGAUGUGCAUGCAAUAAUUUUGGUUUGUUUAUAUUUCCAUUUUGUGGCCUUGAUUGAGGUGACUGGUCUUUUUUUUUUUUUUUAAUUUUAAUUUUUGGCCAAUGACGACUUUUGCUAUUAAGGAAGAAGAUUUCAUGGUUUACUUGGUAGUGGAACCAUGCUUUAAAUUUUAAAAAAUGCAAAGAAAUCCUACAAACAGCUCACCGUCGUUACUUUUGAUUGUUUAUAAUUUCACGUCGUGGUCCUGACGAAGGCGACUGGUCUUUUUCAACUUUAAUUUUUGGCUUAUGCCAACCUGCAAUUUACGGUAAAUGGAAUCAUAUGAAGAGAAAUAUCAUUGACGGCCACAUGCUCAUUCUCAUUAGGAGUCAAACCAUAGUUCGUUAAAUAUCUUAGAGUCCCAAGGCUACUCACUUCUCUUUUCCGACUACUCCACACCAUGCCAACAAGUCGUCAAAUUAGUGUUUGUUUACAACUCAAUUUCUGUACGAUCGAUUAACAGUUGAAAUAGUCUCAUAAGCAUCAUCGGUUCUCCAAUUUAAUGAAGUAACAUAACCUUCAUUCCAAUCAUUGCUCGAGUAUUUUCCAACUGCUCUACAUAAUGUCACCAAGUCAUCGAACUAGUGUUUCUUUACAACUUAGUAUCUAUGUGAUCUCCAAGUAGCUAAAAUAGCCUCGUAAGCAUGAUCAUUUCUCCAAUCUAAUGAAGUGGAAUAACCUUCACUCAGAUCAUUGCUUGAGUCUUUUCCAACUACUCCAUACCAUGCCAGCAAGUCAUCAAAUUAAUGCUUCUUUGCAACUCAAUAUCUAUAGGAUCAACUUUAAGUUGAAAUAGCCUUGCAAGAAUGAUUAUUCUCCAAAUCUAAUGAAGUUAAUGUAACCUUCACUUUGAUCAUUGCUCGAGUCUUUUCCAACUACUCCACACCAUGCCCCAAAUCAUUUACAACUUAGUAUCCAUAUGAUCAACUUUCCCUUGAAAUAGCCUUGCAAGCAUCUGAUCAAGCAAAUGUUGAGGCAAGUCUUAAAAAUUAUAAUCCAAGCCCUCUUAUAUGGAGAAAUUUGACAAAGUCAUUCAAGAAGAAUAUACAUGUAAAUCACAUAGACUAUGUUAACAUGGACUAGCAAGUUGUAAAUAAAUUCCCUGCUUCCAUAACUAAGUAAAAAAACUCAAAAGAUAAAGGGGUGGCUAGCUAUGAUUCUGAAAUUUUAUUGGAGAUCUAAUGACUAUUAAAUAGGAGAUGCUGUUGCAUUUUGUUCUAUUAAUAAGAUAUUUGAACAAAGAAGAUUGCUUUACUUUGUCAAAUUGAACCGAUAGUUUGAUAAAACAUUAUCUGAGCUGUAGAAUUAAACCUCUCUAUUCUGUUCUUCUUCUUUUUCUCCAUAUAUUUACAUUCCGAGCUUGAGCUAAUAAUCAAAAUGAGUUGAAUAUAGAUUUGGUGCAAACCUACAAAGACCUGCAUAAUAUAUUAAGUGACUCAACAGAACUAGGCACAUUCCGACCCCCCCCCCCCCCAAAAUACCAGGAUCGGUAGUUGCUAGAUCUGUUCCCGAGAAAGGGUACAUUUUUUCUAAACUGCAUCCGCUGAUAUCUGAAGAAACUUAUAUUCACCACAGCUCUGCUUUCAUGAAUCAGAAUGCGCCUGAGGUUCACUUAAUUCAUCUUUAUUGGUGACCNNNNNNNNNNNNNNNNNNNNNNNNNNNNNNNNNNNNNNNNNNNNNNNNNNNNNNNNNNNNNNNNNNNNNNNNNNNNNNNNNNNNNNNNNNNNNNNNNNNNCCCCCGGUCCCCAAAAAAUGAAGAACCGGGGGGGCCUUUAAAUCGAGUUGAUGACCUGGUGGCGUAACCAUACAUGCCACGUAUGAUAAUAUAAAAUAAAAAACGUAAAAUGUCACGUGGGUGUGGCGUAUCCUUAUCUGUAUGUUCUCUUCUAAUAAUCACACUUUGUUCUUUUGAUGAAUAGGAAAGAAAUGUCUUAUAUAUAACCGUGCAAAAUGAGAGUGUGUUGUGUUCUCUCCUUCCUUUUAUUCUCUAUCGUUUCUAACACUUCCUUUUACUAGUUUCACGUUUGUCAUGGCCGACCUUUCUUCUGUGGCGGCCGAGAGAAUCUCUCAUAUAUUAAUCAACUUGUCUAUAUUUUUCUAUGAGAAAUUCAGGUGAAGGAAUGAAUUUUAGUGUCUUUUAGCAGAUCAAUUUACUCAUGGAGCAACUUUCUUCUGAUGAAAUGGGGUCCAAAUGGAUGGAAUAUGUCAACAUUCUCCGGAAAAGUUCUAUAAUGUUCUCAGGUUCGAGACCUCGAUAUUGUUUCGCUCUUUGGUUCGAUAAACCCCCGGCCAAGGCGUAGGGAGAAAUGGGCAUGGACUUUGAUGCUCGGCCUCGAGAGCCUAUUGCCCAUGCCCACUUCUCUAGCUUUCCAUGCCCAAGUCACUAACGUUCGCAUAAUACGUCUAAUUAGAAAAAAAAAAAUCUUUUCAAACGAUGGGAAAUAUUUUUCUUUUCAUUUUCAAGUUGCAGCCAAAUAUCACAAAAUAUGGUUAUUUUCCUGAAAAAUGAUUUAUUAGAAAACAUAUUUCAGAAAUUAUCACUUUUUUUUUUUUUGUGAAAUAAACAGAGCAUAAGAAUUAAUGAUUUUUUUUUUUUAUGAACAACUCUGUCAAGUUUAUGCACACAUUCGAAUUGUACAAAGCAAGCUUUUUCUCAUUCAAGUCCAUCAAACCUCUCACCAAUAAUGGGGACUCAGAAUAUCAUGAACCAUUGAUAACCUUAGGAAUCGUUAGGAAAAAGAAUGGCUAGAGAACAAAUUUCUUCUCCUUCAAUAGAAUUAGUUUCUUGUCGUGUCAUAUCUAUUCCACAAGCUGCACUCUCCGUUCUCAAAUUCUAAGCACCUUUUUUCUCCCUCCAAAACUUUCAUGUUCAUUCAGUAUGAAACAUUCAAAUGGCUGCUUAAACAAACUCGUGUCGGCAUAAAUAAAGAAGGCUUCAGUCGUGAGUUUAAUGCAACGCUGCAAAGACAUUACACUUCUUUUUUGGGUCAGAAAAGACAUUACACUUUCGAAAGACACAUUUGCCUAGAAGAAAACUUGAAAAGGAAGGAGCACUUCAUAGACAAAACCAACAUUAUCAGCAUUAUAACUACGUAAUCCUGAUUGCUUCGUCUAAGAUUUCUGUCUUGUGACUUUCAGAAUCAUCUCAAAGGCCGUCCAACCUGGAAAGAAGCUUUUUUACAGUAGACUACUGAUUUGCUGUAUUUGAAGAAGUGAUGUAUUCCUGAUGUCUGAGCAGGAAACUCAUGGAGUGAAUGACAAAGAUCCUGGCCAAGACAGAUCUACUGAACAACAAAUCCUAGCGGGAGUGCUGACCAAGUACAGCGUAAACGGUCUGUGUUAUGGUGAGAGCUAUGAUCAAGAAAGCAGAGAAAACCGAUAUGACUGACCAUGGACUGGAAAAGUAAGUGCGUAUCAUGCUCGCCCAGUUGCUGUAGUAGUAUGAUUCCAGUUCCUCAAACUGCUUGGACAGAUAACAGUCACAAACAUUAAAAUCGAUACUCUUCCCAAGCUUCUCGAAUAAAUUAACCACAUACUGGUCAUGGCGAGAAAGUGUUGAGAUGAUCCCAUCUGAACAGAGAAGUGAAACGUCCUUCGACUGUUUGAUGAGGCAGUGCAUGAAGGAGACAUAAUCGGUGAUGUGCUUGGAGCUGUUUUCUUGGCAUUUUUCUAGGGCGAUGCAGUUUAUUAGCACGGUGGUCAUGAAGUCAUCGAUGGCGAUGGGUGGUAUCUCGAGCACCCGUUUCGGGAAACUUAUGUCCAGAAAGCUCUCUGUCUUCUUGGACUUGAAUUUGAUUCCGGAGGGCCUAAGCUGGGUCACACACGGUAUGGACUGAUCCGAUGGCCGGUACUUCUGUUUGCGGUCGCAGUGGACUGGGUUUGUCUCGGGCACCCCUUUUCGGAAAAUUAUGCCCAGGGAGCUCUCUGUCUUCUUGGACUUAAAUUUGAUUCUGGAGGACCUUAGCUGGGUCGCACACGGUAUGGACUGAUCCGAUGGCCGGCACAUCUGUUCGGAGCCGUGGUGGACCGGCUUUCUCGGAAAGAGAGUAAAGUUAAAGAGGUCAAGUAAAUGCUUGUAUGGUCGACUCUUAAUUUCAUCAUAAUGCCGGUAUCGUAGAUCCGUAUACUCGUCCUGAAUCGCCAUGGGUCUUGGAUAGGCCUGAUUGAACACUCUCAAAGCAAGCAUGCACAAAAAGGGAGUCUUCGCCUCGACCCUUGUUGAUCUCGAGAAGUCAAAGAGCGACUUGAGAAGGGAGUACGGAACCUGGUUUUCGAGCUUCAGUAAGUCCCUGAUGAGAGUCCGGAUUAUCAACGGCCGUGUAAGGAUGGGGUCCUCUACGUCAAUUGCAUGGCCGCUCCUAAAAAUGUGGAGCAUGAAUUCCACAACAAAGCAACCGUCGAGUAGCAUCAUCUCCACGAACUCACUACUCGACAUACCCACAACUUCAUCUUCCGAGUAGCAACCCCGGGCAGAGCUUUCUUGAUCUGCCACUAAUUUGAUGAGACUCUCCUUGUCGGAGUCCGUGCGACGAAGGAAGAUUUUGAGGAAGAACCAUUUGUGCUCUUCGAACUCGCACAAAUGCUUCUGGCCCCUGUGCAACGGGCCUAUAGAUACAAUCUCAGGCUGUUCAAACUGAUGAUUGAUAUCGCGAAGAACCAGAGGGAUCCUAAAGAUGGUGCAAGUCGAGGCCUGGGCUUGGAAGGGUCUCACCUCUUCCCCUAGUCGGCGCCUAACGUGAUCCAAGCAGCAAGUUACUGCAUCAUCGUGCGAUCCUGCGUCAGCAUCACCUGGGCCGGCUUCAUCAUAGUUUCUCGGGGGUGAAGUUAGUGCUUUAGGCAUAAAUUGUUCCCGGUUUGUCAUAGACCCGAGCUGAUCCUCUCCAGUCGACUCUGCAGCGGAUCUGGCUGUUUCGUUUUCAACUGCUGGACAUUUAACUUCCUCGAUCUCGACUGCAUGAUAAUCCAUGACACGCACCCUCUCUCUGUCCCUGAAACAAAAUUAAAACAUAGACCGUGCUCCGAAGCUGAAUGAAAAUUUAAGAUCAAAUUUGACCACCCAUUUCCAAGAAAUUACCAGCACAUCAACAAAUAAGACAAUAGCAAGAAUGAAAUGCUGAACUGCUUUUGUCGGAGGGCGUUUCGCCCCUCUUCCUUAAAUUUGUGAUAAUGCAGUUAAAGCAGCAGACUUUAGAACUAACCACGGAAGAUCGGACAGCGCUCAACGUCAGACCAGAAAUUUGAUCUUUGAGAUUGAUGCUCAUCAAGUGUGAAAGAGUCUUCACGCAAAACACUCGUGUUCCCAAAGCAAGAUUUGGAUUGUUAGAGGUCGGCACUAUCUAGUCUCCAUUUAUUUGUGCUUCUUCUUUUUGGUUUUUUGAGAUAUAUGCAACAACAAAAGUCCUAAAACUUAUAAGGAAAGUGUAAUUGAGUCCUAAAACUUACAAAACGUACAAUUAAGUCCUAAAACUUGUCAAAAUGGUUCAAUUGAGUCCUAAAUUUAAUACCGUCAGAUUUACUAACGAAAAUUGCUGACGUGGUGCUGAUAUCAUAUUUUAAAUUAAUUUCUAUUUUCCAUAUGGAUUUUUUAAAUUAUUUUUUAUUCAAAAUAUUUAAAAUUAGUUUUAAAAACUAAAAAGGAAAAAGUAAAAACUGUCGAAAAAAAAAAGAAAAGAAAAUGGUGCCACAGCCAUUGCCCAUCGCCGGAGGGGCUGACGACCGAAGCUCCACUAGUGCCUUUUUUUUUUAAUGGUUUUGUUUUGUUAAAUAAAUUUAGCUUUUCCUUUUUAUUUUUUAAAUCUAAUUUAAACAAGAAUAAAAAUAAUGUUAAAAGCCGCGUGGAAAAUAAAAAUUCAUUUAAAAUGCCAUGUCAGCAAUUCUGUUAGUAAGUUUGAUGGUGUUAAAUUUAGGACUCAAUUGAACUAAUUUAAUACGUUUUAGGAUUUGAUUGAACUUUUUAUAAGUUUUUGAACUCAAUUGUACUUUCCUUAUAAGUUUUAGGACUUCUGUUGCAUAUAUCUAUUGUUUUUUCGUUUUCAAAUUCUUCUCGAGUUGGGACAUAUUUGGGAGAUGUCAGUGAAGAAAGCAAAUCGACCCAGGCCAACUCUAAGUGUGUGUCUACAUACAUACAUACAUACAUAUAUAUAUACAUAUAUAUAUAUAUAUAUAUAUAUAUAUAUAUAUAUAUAUAUAUAUAUAUAUGCCAGCACCUAAUCAAUGUUAGUUUUACUCUAUUCACCGUGAGUCCACAUUGUGGUCAUCCUUAAGGCGACCAGUGCAGUCUUCUUUUUAUUUUUAUUCUUGGCCAGUGACAACUUUGGACAGUCUACUACCAAGUUAAGGCCUUGAGCAAAUUAGGUGAUCGAGCUGUUCGAUAAAUUGAUAGCUCUUUGACACUCCCUUCCUUCGUCCUUUUUUGCACUCAAAUCUAUUCACACUUCUUCGUCUUUUAUUGUUCUUGCUCUGUUUUGCUCUUUCUUAUCCUUGGCACAACCACUCUUCUUCAGUGUCUGCUUCUCUUUUUUAUCACUCUCUCUGUCUUUCUGUUUUCUCGCUCUUUCUUUCUAUUACAAAAAUCAAAGAAAUGGCGAUCCACUUUGUCGUUCCUAUUGCAAGUCGUCUCUUGGAGUACCUAGUUAAUCCGAUCAAGCGUCAAUUUGAAUAUGUGAUCUCCUCCGAGAGCUACGCUCAGGAUCUUCAAAAGGAAGUAGGGAAGCUCGCGUACCAGGCUGAUUCGGUCGACAUUGCCGUGGAAGAGGCCAAAAUAAAUUUUCGGGAUAUCAAGAGAUCUGUCACGAACUGGCGAGAAAGUGUUGAGAAGGCCUUGAAGGAGGCGAGAGACUUGUUGGGCAACUUUGAAGAGGCGAGCGAGACUUGCUGCUACGGGACCCUUCCCGACCGCAGUCAUUGCUAUCAGUUCAGCAGAAAGGCCAUGGGCAAAAUCGAGGAAAUUCGGGGACUCACUCAGACCGGCAAAGGAUUCAAGGAAUUGAAGGACGUUUCCUUCAAUCCUGAUCUGGGGAAUGUCAACUCGACGACAACUGAGCUUACGGAAGAUGGCGUCUUCGAAUCCAGAGCUUCUAUCAUAGAGAAAAUCGUGGACGCUCUUGCCGAUAACAGAACUAACGUCGUUGGGGUUUACGGGAUGGGUGGGAUCGGCAAGUCCAUCCUUUUGGCGGAUGUUGAAAGGAGAAUAAUAAAAGAAAGGUCGUUUGAUUUCGUCCUUCAGGCCAACGUGUCGAUGUAUCCAUACAUCAAGGAAAUUCAAGCUGAGAUUGCAUACAGGUUGGGGCUUCGCUUGAAGAUUACACAGAAUGUCAAAACGCGAGCAGAUCGUCUGCGCAAGAGGUUGCAAAAUGAGAAAACGAAGGUCCUCAUAAUACUCGACAACCUAUGGGAGGGGCUCGACUUGAAAUCAGUGGGCAUUCCUUGCGGAGAUGACAACAAAGUCAUAGGAUGCAAGUUGUUAUUGACGUCAAGAGAUCGAAAUGUUUUACGAAGGGAUAUGCACUGCGACAGGGACUUCCAUCUUGAUGGGCUGACGAAGAAAGAGGCAAAAAAAUUGUUCGAGAGGGCGGUGGGAGACAAAGUUCAUGACGACGACUUCAGACCCUUGAUGGAAGCAGUACUCAACAAAUGUGCAGGUGUUCCUUUCCUAAUUAUUGCAAUGGCAAAACGUUUUAAAUACGCUGAUUUAUCUGAAUGGAAGGACACUUUGUUAAAAAUCGAGAGGUCUAAACACGACGGGUUCAAUGAGAUAACAAAUGUGAUGUUACAAUUAAGUUAUGAUCGUUUAAACGAGAAGGAGAAGUCAUUUUUACAACUCUGUGUGGUUUAUGGCGGCUCGGAGCCCUCUCUUGAAAACUUGGUGAAGUGCGGUAUUGAUUUGGGGUUAUUUCAAGAAGUUAGCAGCAUGGAAGAAGCUAUAGAGAGUCUGAGCUCUGGGAUCCGUACUCUUAAGGCCUGCUCCCUUCUGUUAGAGGAUGGAGAAGCUGAUGGUUUCAAGGUACAUCCCUUGGUUCGUGAGUUUGUGAACGCUGUCGCUCUAAGAGAUCACUGUUUUCUUAUGUUGAAUGAUAAAGAUAAGGAGGUAAUGGAGUAACUCGAGACCAAGGGCACUUAUUGAGAAACUAAUUAAAGAAAGUUUACAGUUUCAAAAGUAUUUAUUGUCCGUAUGUUAUGCACAAUUUGUGCCUUGGAACUUGGAAUUUUCAAAAUAGAGGAUACCAACAGCAUUUGUUCAUAGCUUUACCAAAAAACAGCAUUUGUUCAUAGAGCCCUUGUGAUUUAUUAUCAUAAUAACUCAUUACUAAUUCUUGUCAUUGUAAUCUUUUUUAGAUCAUUACAUCUUUUCAAUUAUAAGAAAAGGAUAAUUCAAUGGCAAACAAUAGCAAUGAGAAGAUGAUGUCAACCGCGACCAUGAUAAUGAUAGUAGUCUUUUUUUUUCUUUCUUUCUUUCUUUCUUUUUCUCUGAUUAUAAUUGGUCUACUCUCAUCCUAGAACCGUUUAUCUUGUUUCGCAUCUUCUAAUGAAGAUGCCCCACUGCCCCUAAAGAAGUUGGUCUUGCUCGUCUUAGUCCAAAAAGCGGUUUGAUCUAUCCACGUUAUUUUAAUUAUCUUAUGCUUAAUUGAAUGAUCGCUCAAUUUGAUUUCUUUGCGAUUUCCCUUUUUCUAGUUACUUAAGCAUUCCUCUAGUUAUUUAGUUUUUCUUUAAUCUUUCUUUUUCGCUUAGAUAAAUUAUGGUGUGUUAGGUUGAAAAUUACGAUAGAACAUAGCUAUGUGCUGUUAUCAUCCAUGAUCCGUUUAAAAGGCAAUGAAGGAGGCUAUAAGCAAAAUGAAAUUUUGGACAAUUCUAUGAUAGUUGUAAGUGCUUGGGGUAUACUUGAAAGCCUACUGUAAGUUUAGCUCUUCAAAAAGUCAACCGUAUAACUUUUCACUUUUGUCAUAAACUUCUUCUUCAAGGUCAUUGGAAUUUUUCCCUCAUUUUUCUGUAUUAAUUUUGGAAAUUUUUAAUUUACUUUAGCUCAUUUGGAGGUCCAAGGAUGAUUUGACUAAGACAAAUAAAAUAAAAUAAAAAAUUACACUUUACCGUUGAAAAUCGCAUGUAAAGGGCUUGCAAAUUGUGAAAUGAACAAAGGAUUGAUAUUCACAAUCAAAUAAAAGUUGAAGGAAUUUAUGUACAGAAAUUUACGAUUAAAUGUGUACUGCCCUCAAAGUUCAUGAUGGGUUUUCUGCAAUUUCCCUUCAAUAUUUUCUAAAUAUAUGAAUUUUAUAUUGAUGUAAAAUUAGCAUCAUUGAAGAAUGAGGAAACAUAUAAGUGUUACAAUUAAGGUUCCGUUUGUUUUACAGAAAAUGUAAUAUUUCUGAAAAAAAAAAUUGUAAAAAUAUAUUUCAAGAAAAUGACAAUAUUUUCAUGUGUUUGGCCAAAAACUUGAAAAUUAACCGGUAAAUAUUUUCCAUUGUUUAGUAAAAUUUCCAAUUUUUAAUAAUUAUUUUUAUUUUUAUUUUGUUUUAUUUUAUUUUUUUCCUUCCUCCACUAGUCGCCAACCCUUAGCGACCUCUCUUGUGGCCGGUUGUGAUGCCUAGCAACCGGUGGAGGAAGGAAAAAAAAAGAAAGAAAGAGAAGAAGAAACUAUAAAAUUAUUAAAUAAUUCAAAUUUGGUAAUAAUAAAAAAUUAUUAUUAAAAAUAUAAGAAAAUAUAAGACAAAAUUAUUACUAAAAUGAUGGACCUCGGCUCAGUCUUAAUGGACUCAACCUUGCUACCAAGGGCUUGGGAAUGAGCAUUGAGGUUUCUAUGCCUAAGCACAAAGUUUCUGGAAAAUGAUUUUUGAUUUUUUAAAGAGGAAAUCUUUUUUUAGAAUUUAAAUGUUAGUAGGAAAAGGUUUUUUGUUAAAUAAGAAAACUUUUUCCAUUGACUCAACUUCAUCAAACCAAAUGCUCGAAAAUGAGGAAAAUGUUUUUUGCGGAAAAAAUGAAGCCUAAGGUUGCAUUUGGCAGUCAAGAUAAAAGAUAAAAUUCAUCAUAUCCUGUGUUCGGUGCUUACUCAAAAUGGGCUAAAGUCGGAUAUAAGAGGAAUAUAGAUUGAAUAAAAUUAUCCCAUGAUGAGGUGAGAUAAAUAUGGAUAGGAUUUCUAAUAUCCAUAAUAAGAAUAUCAUUUUUCUCGAAUAUCAAGCUUCUUAAAUUAACAAAAUAAAAAUAUAUUUCAAUAUAAAUAAUAUUAGAAUUAUAAUACAAGAAAUUCAAAAUAACAAAAAAUAUUAUUUAUUUUUUAAUUUAGGAUUUUUUUUUUUUGGGUGACCUAGGAACCCAUACAGCCGGCAGCCGGCCAAUAAACCUGGGGGGACAUGUAAGCGGGAGGACCCACCACCCCCGGCGUCCCACUUAAGACCCCAAGCGACCGUGAGGAGAUUUGAACUCCUCCCCUUUGUGAGGGGGAGAGAGCCCAAACCAUCAUGGCUACCAAGGCGGUGGUAUUUUUUAAUUUAGGUUUGAUACCCUAAAAAACCUCCAAAUAGAUACACACAUGACAAAUUUACUAAAAAUUAAUUUUUUCAUCAUAAAAAAUCCAAAACUGGUACACUUUCAACAAAUUUACGCUUAAAUUGGUACAUUUGUGAUAAAUUUACUCUAUAUUAAUUUUCGUUAAAAUUUACUGUAAAAAACUAAAUUUGAUGACACAUGACAGUUAAUUGGUAUAUCAAUUUGAGAUUUUGCUCUAUGUAUGUCAUAGUUGUACCAUUUUUAUGGUUUCUUGUGGUAUUAAUUCACUUAAAUGGAGAGUAUAUUUAUCAUAGAUGUACCGGUUUAGGAUUUUUGGCAGUCAAACAAAUUAGUUUGGGGUAAAUUUGUCACAAGUAUACCUGUUGGGGUUUUUUGUGGUCAUUCAGGGUAAAUUUAUCAUAGAAAUACCGGUUUUGGGUUAUUUGUGAUCAAAAAAUUAGUUUAAGGCAAUUUUGUCAUAAGUGUACUAGUUUAAGAUUUCCAUAAUAUUAACCUAUUAAUUUAAUCUCAUUUUAAUUUAUAUAGUCGAAUUUAAUUCUAUCUUAUAAUAUAAAUUCAAAAAAUUAUUAAAUAUUUUAGGUAUUUUGAAUUUGAGGUAUAUUAGUAUAGUUUGCUAUUUAAUAAAAUUUUAUUAGAGAAGAUGUAAAGGGAAAAAAGAAAUAAAAAAAAUAAAUGAAUUAAAAAAGAGAGGGAAAAUAAAAUAAAAUAGGCAAGAGUAUUGUGAUAGAUUUUGACCAUCUCCGUUUGUGAAUUUUUAAAGGCAUUUAUACUAAUAUGCUAUUUAAAGCAAACAAUAUACAUGAUAUGAUAUAAAUAUAUCCAACUUUAUUAUUGUAAUUACCAAAUAUUAAAUAGGGCAUAGUAAAAUCCUUAGAUUUCAUACCAUAUUCUAUCCAAUUAUAUCCUAGUCAGAAAUCCAGACGACCAAUAGAUAAUGAGUGCUUGUUGAGAGAGGAGUUCUAAUAUUGUUGAACAUGCAAAAUGGACAAAAGUAGCAUUAAAGCUUUAAGAUAACUCCAGGACAAUAACUCUAAUUCUUUGUACUGAUGUAGUUAAUGUAAACAAUAGAUAGAGAUAUGUUAGGGGAAAUGUGCCAUAAGAGUCCCAACAUUAUCAGUGGUGCCGGUUAGGAAUUCACAUUGAUUGAGAUGAACAUCAGAGUGUUAUUCUAAGCCAUUCUCAGUGUGGAUCUGAACUCAGGAUUCCUUAUUAUACCUCCUUUGCUCUUUAGUUGCGAAUCAAUGAAAAGUAGACGCUUUUCUGUUUAAGUUUUCUUCUUUCCUGCGCUAGUCUCAAUUCUGUAACUUCCACUAUGGAAAGAAACUCUCAAAUUUGGCGCUUUUUUAAGGUUUCUGGUAGCUCCACCUGAUAUAUAGAACUAAUAAAGUGUCAUGAUGUCAAUCGGACGCUCCUUUAGCAAUCCGUGGUCAUACGAAGUCAGUUUCUAUUUAAAUCACAUUUUUUACGUCCUUUUCAAAUUCUUAAAGAUUUUAUGCAAGUCUUUUUGCAUGUUGGUGCGACCUGUAGUUUUUAAGUUUCUUUAGAUAUGAAGAGCAUUUAAAAUUUAUUCCGUCAAAUUAACUGAAUUUUGAUUUUCAUGAUAACAGUAAUUUUCAAUCUACGCAAAAAAAUUUCAUAGCCAGUCAAUUAAAGAGAUGCUCCCUCCAACGUCUAUUUUAGUUCUCUUGUUUCACUACAGGUGAGAUCGAACAUUCUACAUGCAAAGCGGGCCAUUCUAAGCCGGAUUUUCAUGGUCAUACAAUUUCAAAGCCUCUCACAUCUCCUGAAUUGGCCAGCGAUGUCAUACCAUACCAAUAGCUCUACAUAACUAUGCGCUUUUCCCAAAAAAAUCCACAGAGACUUCCUCGCAUCUCCAUGAUCUGUAUUUCCAGAGUCUUUAUGCUAAUCUGCUGUCACUAGAUUCAUGUAUAAGAAACAGAUUCCGCAAAAUAACGACGUUGCCUAGGAGGGAGCUUGAGGAGUCCACCAAUUUCCUACACCGCAGUAUGACAAAGUGAACAACAUUUAAUACUCAUGCAAAUAAAUAUGAAGCAAAGCAGACCCAAAUAAAAAUUCAUUCAACCCCUAGAACACCAGAGCACAUAAGUUAACAAAUCUAUUUCAAUAUGAUUGAAUCAUUGAUUAAUUUAAAGAAUAGCGACUAAGCUGUGCAACAAUAGGUCACCGAUCAAAGUUUAUGAGUGCAAAGAGUGUCAUUGAAUAAUGAAAGCAAAUUACUACUUAGAAACGAGACGAGCAUGUCCAGUCUGCGAAUGAUUGCUUACCCUUUCUGAACAAAAAAAUGCAGGAAAAGAGGACGAAGGAGACAUGAAGCUUUCUGAGGCUAAUACCAAACAUUUUUAAGCUAAUGAAUUCAGUGUAAUAACAAUGGUCCGAUCCUGCACCCCACAUACAAAUAAUGAAAAAGCAGAGUAAAAGGAAAAACUUUGGUUGAAGGAACAUGCUAGGGAUGUUACACAGUUCAUGAGCAAACUUUCAUUUCACACACCACAAAUGAUUCUUGCAUCCAAUAGAUCCAAAAAGUGAUGAGUGAUCUAACAAGGCCAGAUUCGGUAAAGCUUCCUGUUAAUCCGAUACUCAAACGAUCGAAUAUCGAAAACGAACACAAAAAAUAUGCCCAGGAAACAUGUAACACUGAUCGAAAGAUAUAUCACGGAUACGGACUUACCUUGUUUACCACAUAUUAAGUACCGUUGCAGUCUUAGGGGAAUCCUUUGAAACCUUGGAGUUCUAUUCGUCAAGAGGGAGGAUACUACUUCAAAGGGGAGAAAAAAUAGCAAUGCCUAUUUUCUCUAAUACGCUACAGGUAACCUUAUCCCCUUUUAUUUUAUUUUUUUAUUUUUUAUUUAUAGGCCCUUCACAUACGGGGCGGGUUUUGGCCCAACAUGGGCGAACGGGCUUAACUUGGUCCAUCAAAUAAACAACCUAUCACUUCCUCUAGAUGGAAUGGCGACGUCUUCGCAGGGCUUGGGAGUGUUGGGCACUGACUCCUACUGCAGCUCCUCUUGGAACGAUAGGUACUAACAUAUCGCUAGCCAACGUAGAGUUCAUCUUUGCAGUAGAAUUUAUAACGUGUUCAAUUGGCUGCAAAAUCGAAUGUCAUAAACUCUACGCCUGAGACCAUAGAAAGCAGCGUUGACAUCAACUCCAAUGAAACCAGCCUCUGUGAUUGUAGUAUCAACAACCCUCUCAAGUCCACACUUCUGCCGAAAAAAUGAACUUUUAGACACAUUGAAAGACUCUAGGAUCUAUAGACAUUUCCUCAUCAAACGCAGCAUCCAGAGUCUCUCACAGUUCUUUUUCUCGCAGUAGCAUAACUAAAUAAGGGCACUUCUGCGGUACGACUCUGUUAUAGAUAAAGCCAAAUAUUUGUUUUUAGGGGCUUUUUUUGUCUUUUCUAUUAUAUUUCCUUUUAGGUUAAAAGUGGUACCUAUAUAUUAGCGAUGGCAAAACCCUAGCCGUCAAGACGCUGAAAAAGAAAAUAGAGAGGCAAGAAAAAGAGAGAAGAAAAAAGUGAGUUUUUUUUUCUUGAUGAGAGUUCUCAAUCUCUUUGUGCCCUGAUCUUAAGAGAAUAUCGUCGUUGUAUUCCAACUUUUUCCGAAGUCUAGUGGAUUCGUAGAGUGCCUCUACGCGGAGACGUAGCCCAGGUUUGGGUGAACUUCGAUAACAAAUUUUCUGGCGUGUUCAUUUGAUUCUGCCCUUUUAUUACUAUAUUUUGUCUGGUGAAUUGUUUGCGAGCGUUAUUUUUCUGGAAUUGACGUGUGAUUUCGUAACAACUGGUAUCAGAGCCUGGGUUGGCUAAUCGAAAACAUCGAGGGUUUUCGGUGACGUUCGAUUGAAAGCAAACAGGAUGGCAGAAGAUAAAAUCAGAAUCGAUAAGUUCAAUGGAGAGGAUUUCGGAUGGUGGAAACUACAAAUAGAGGAUUAUCUUUAUCAGAAAGAUCUCUAUGCACCACUUGAGGGUUGGAAACCCGAGAUGGCGGAAGUGGAUCCGACAACAGAAGCCGGAUGGAAAAUUCUUGAUUGAAAGGCGUUAGGUGCGAUUCGUCUAGGGUUGACGAAAAAGACAGGAUACCACAUCGCGAAAGCAAAAACUGCAAAAGAAGCCAUGGAUAUUCUAACGAAUAUUUUUGAGAAGCCGUCCACAUCAAAUCAGGUAUUUUUGCUGAAGAAACUAGUUAAUAUGAAGUUAUUUGAUAGAGGUUCUGUGGCAGAGCAUAUUAAUAGUUUCACGCAAGUCACGGGUCAAUUGGAAUCCGCAUGCAUAAAUUUAGAUAUGAAGCUUCAAGCUUUAUUAUUUUUAUGUUCUCUUCCAGAAAGCUACAAUAUCGUAGUGCAGGGAAUUUCGAGCACCAUGAAUGAUGAUUUAACUCUUGAUGAUACUGUGAGUAGUAUCAUGGAUGAAGAGAUGCGAAGGAAAGUCUCAGGUGGAGAUAAUUUUUCUGUAUCUACAUCUUCAACGGCACUUGCAGUGGAGAACCGUGGAAGAAGUAAAAGUAGAGGAAAUUUCAGCGGUCGUGGUAGAUCACAAUCAAGGGGUAAGAGACAGGUUGCAAAAGAUGAGUGUUGGUUUUGUCACAAAACCGGACACCGGAGGUUUCAGUGUGAAGCCUACAAAAAGAAGCAGCAAGAUGAGAAUCAAGGUGCUAAUGUAGUUAGCGAUAAAUCUUUGCUAGAUAACUUGUGUUUGUCUGCAGGGUUUGACUUGACAACAGAUAAAUGGUUUAUUGAUUCUGGCGCUUCUUUUCAUUGCACCUCACAAAGAGACAUAUUUGAUGAUUAUGCCAGUGGAAAUUUUGGACAAGUGGUUGUGGGAAACGGUCACAUGUGUCCAAUUGUUGGGAAAGGAACUGUGACUAUGAACAUCUCAGGUGGAGGACGUCUAGUUUGCGUGAAACUAGGCAUAUUCCGGAAUUAGAGAAAAAUCUGAUUUCAACUAGUAAACUUGACCAAGAAGGUUUGGUAAUAACCUUUGGCUGCAGAGAGUGGAAGAUAACCUCAGGGGUAAGAGUAGUAGCAAAGGAAAAGCGUACAUGUACACUUUACCUUCUCCAAGGAGACAAUAUUAGUGAUAUGGUUGCAACUACAAUGGCUACAGGUAAUUUAUCUACUCUUUGGCAUUAUCGUUUGGGACAUCUUGGCGAAAAAGGUGUAAAGCAAUUACACUCGAGAAAAUUACUCCCAGGUUUGCAAAAAGUUGAGUUAGAUUUUUGUGAGAGUUGCAUUUAUGGAAAACAGAAGGCUGUUAGUUUUCAAUUGAAUGGGCGACAAAAUAAAGGCCAGAAGUUAGAGUUGGUUCAUACUGAUGUAUGGGGACCUGCUCAGGAACUCUCUUAUGGUGGUAAGAGAUAUUUUGUCACAUUCAUUGAUGAUGCAACAAGAAAGACUUGGGUCUAUGCUCUUAAAGAAAAAUCAGAAGUAUUCGGGAUGUUCAAAAUGUGGAAGACCAUGGUAGAAAAAGAAACAGGUUAUCAGAUUAAAGCUUUGAAAUCUGAUAAUGGUGGUGAAUACACAAGUAAAGAAUUUGCAAAUUAUUUGAGCCGAGAAGGCAUACAUGGGCUAAAGACUGUUCCUAGAACUCCUCAAGAGAACGGUGUAGCUGAAAGAAUGAACAUGACUAUUCUAGAACGUGCGAGAUGCAUGAGACUACACGCGGGUCUCCCGCUACACUUAUGGGCUGCCACAGUUGAUGCAGUUGUUUAUCUUAUCAACAUAAGUCCAUCUAGUGCAUUGGAUAGAGAAAUACCACAAGAGUAGUGGUCAGGUAAGAAGAUUAAUUAUUCACAUCUAAAGGUGUUUGGUUGUAUUGCAUAUGCUUUGAUUGACAUAGAGGAUAGAAAAAAGCUUGAUGCUAAGUCCCAGAAGUGCGUCUUUAUCGGAUACGGUGGCGACGAGUAUUGCUAUAGGCUUUGGGAUUAUAAGAAUAACAAAGUUAUCCGUAGUCGCAAUGUGGUAUUCCAUGAAGAAAAGAUGUACAAGGAUCGUCAGACAGAGACAGAGCAUGAGAAGGUAGUACAACCAGAAUAUGUUGAACUAGACACAAUGCCCGUGAAGAUGUUUCCAGUAGAUCAAAGUUCACCUGAAAGAGAGGUUCAAGAUGAGCCUAAUAUCAGUGAAGAGGUAGUUCAAGAAGAACGCAAUGAUUCGGAGCAAACGAAUGACCCUGAAGUACCUGUCUUGAGAAGGUCUACACGUGUGAGAAAGCCAAAGGUAAUUUUUGAUCCAUCAGCUAAUACUGUUCUAAGCCAUGUCUUAUAUACAGAUUCGGGGGAACCAGAGACUUACGAUGAGGCAAAGGUAGACACGUCUCACUUGCAAUGGGGGUGUGCUAUUAAAGACGAGAUGAGCUCGUUAUUUCAAAACAAAACUUGGGAGUUGACCAAGUUGCCCACAGGUAAAAAAGCUUUAUUAAACAAAUGGGUGUAUAGGGUUAAGAAUGAAUCAGAUGGUAGUAUUAGAUACAAGGCGAGACUUGUAGUCAAGGGCUUUUCUAAAAAAGAAGGGAUCGACUACUCCAAGAUAUUUUCACCUGUAGUGAAAAUGACAUCAAUUAGAGUUCUGCUAAGUAUAGUUGCAGUGGAGGAUCUUCAUCUUGAGCAGAUAGACGUAAAAACAACGUUUUUACAUGGUGACUAGAUGAAGAAUUAUACAUGGCACAACCUAAGGGUUUUGAAGUCAAAGGUAUGGAGCACAUGGUAUGUCGCUUGAAGAAAAGCUUGUAGGGCUUGAAACAAGCUCCGCAGCAAUGGUACCUAAAAUUUGAUGGUUUCAUGCAAGAAAAAGGAUUUGUACACUGUGAGUCUGAUCACUGUUUAUUUUCGCAAAUAUGAUGAUGGUGACAUUGUGUAUCUAUCUUUAUAUGUGGAUGACAUGCUUAUGGCUAGUUCCAAUAUGAAGAGAAUCGUAGAAGUGAAGAAGAUGUUAUCAUCACAAUUUGCUAUGAAAGACUUGGGAUUGGCCAAGAAUAUUUUAGGCAUGAAAAUCAUCAGGGACAGGAAAAAUAAGAAAUUAUGGUUGUUGCAGGAAGACUAUGUGAACAAGGUGUUAAAGAGAUUUAACAUGGACAAAGCAAAACCGGUUGCAACUCCUCUAGCGAGCCACUUCAAACUUUCCAAGGAUAUGUGUCCAAGCACUCAAGCUUUGAAAGAUGAGAUGGCGGUAGUUCCAUAUGCAUCAGCAGUAGGGAGUUUGAUGUAUGCCAUGGUGAGCACGAGACCAGACAUUGCACAAGCAGUGGGAGUUGUAUAUGCAGAACCUAAGUAGAGAGCAUUGGAAUGCAGUUAAAUGGAUAUUGAGAUAUCUAGCAAGUACUUCCAAUUACUCACUUUGUUAUGGUGGUACAUCUCUAGAGUUGCAAGGUUAUGUAGAUGCAGAUCAUUCGGGUGAUCGAGAUAGUGGUAAGAGUACCACUGGAUAUGUCUUUACAGUUGCAAGUACAUCAGUGAGUUGGGUAUCUCAACUACAAAAAGUAGUGGCUUUAUCAACAACAGAGGCAGAAUAUGUAGCGAUUACAGAAGCCUCCAAGGAAAUCAUGUGGUCACAAGAUUAUAUGGAGGAGUUACAUCGAAAACAGCCAGUCAGUACACUAUGGAGUGAUAGUCAAAAUGCAGUGCACUUAGCAAAGAAUGCAGCUUAUCACUCAAGGACUAGACAUAUCAAGAAGCGUUAUCACUUUAUCAGGUCAGCAUUGAAAGAUAAUGAAUUAAAGCUACACAAGAUUGAUGGCUCAAAGAAUCCAGCUGACAUAUUGACCAAGGUAGUAGACAGAGAGAAGCAUAUUUUCAGAACUACUACUAUUGGUAUUACUCCAUGUUGAUUGAUGAGGAGUAUCGCAGAGGCACAAGUUUUUCAACUACUAUUUUUUGAAGAAGAUGGAUACAAAGUUGCUUGGUGCUUUGGUAUAUUUGUCUUCAAGUGGGAGAUUGUUAUAGAUAAAGCCAAAUAUUUGUUUUUAGGGGCUUUUUUUUUUUGUCUUUUCUAUUAGAUUUCCUUUUAGGUUAAAAGUGGUACCUAUAUAUUAGCGAUGACAAAACCCUAGCUGUCAAGACGCUGAAAAAGAAAAUAGAGAGGCAAGAAAAAGAGAGAAGAAAAAAGUGAGUUUUUUCUUGAUGAGAGUUCUCAAUCUCUUUGUGCCCUGAUCUUAAGAGAAGAUCGUCGUUGUAUUCCAACUUUUUCCGAAGUCUAGUGGAUUCGUAGAGUGCCUCUGCGCGGAGAAGUAGCCCAGGUUUGGGUGAACUUCGAUAACAAAUUUUCUGGCGUGUUCAUCUGAUUCUGCUAUUUUAUUACUAUAUUAUGUCUGGUGAAUUGUUUGCGAGCGUUAUUUUUCUGGAAUCGACGUGCGAUUUCGUAACAGACUCUUCUUCAGCCUUUCUAUAACUUCGUCAUUCCAUUGAACACCUUCCUCGCAAACUCAAUUCCCUCCUCCACAGCACAACCGAUGGCAAUUGAAUUUCUGAAGACAGCGAGAGAAUUGGGAGAAAAAACAAGAUCGAAAUAGAAGUCAAUAGAAAAUUUUUGAAUGAAUCGAAAUUCAUCCUAGAGUUCAGCACGAGAUGAUGGAUUUCGUCGUCACUUCAGUGUCACGAGGAACCGUCUCUAGAGAUCUCUUGAAGCAACGAUCGUCGGAGAUUUCAAUCGACAGCUUCACUCCUUCAUGGUUUCGUAGAGAGAGAAAGAGAUCCUUCUGUGAACUUUAGACACCUUGUUCUUUUCUCCUAUCUCUUUUCUUUUAUUUUUAUUUUUGUUAUUUCUUUUUUUUAUAUAUUUCUUUAAUUUUUAAUUUAUAAAUAACAAAAGUACAAUUUUAUUAUUUUCUCCCAUCUCUUUUCUUUUAUUUGUAUUUUUGUCUUUUAUUUUUUAUUUUACUAAUCUUUGAUUUGCCCGAUAAAACUAAUGCUACAGUAAAAAAGUUGAAGCCAUGCUCCAAUUUCGGAAGGGCAUAACUCUAUAAUUUGUCCAUAAGUGAAAUCCAUUCAAUUAGCACAUUCCGACUGUGCCAGUCCAACGAUGCAUGCUCCAUGGUCGAAGCAUUGGGCAUCACCAUAAGAACCAUGGUUGUAGUGGUCUAAUCCUCAUGCCCCGGUGUUGGAUUCAAAAUAUCUUUUGGUUCUGCCCAAUCUAGGCAAUUUGGAUUCCAAUUGAAGCUAGGAUUGCCCAUAUCUGUCCGAUUCGUAAUACAGAAAUAACAUCUCAAUUUCCUUCUCUCUGGGCCACUAUCUUUUUUCCCUUUCCCGCAGGUUGAGGUCUUGACAUUUCUGGUCACUCUUCUCUCACCCUCGUCAAGUCAUCUAGUCCCCACCAAGCCACCAUUACGCUAUCGUCGAGCCCCCACUAUGCUCGCUUGGUCAAUCUCUCUCUCUCACUCUCACUCCACUACCCUCGGCCAAAAAAAGAAAAAUGAAAAAACGCUUGCUCUCCUCUUUAUUGUGUCUUACUACAUGUUAUCAAAGUACAAAGCAAGCGACGCGACUCACACUUUUGCUCGUGUCAUGGUCUCUGUCAUGCUCCCCCAUCUCCAGCACUAGCUUGGUUCUUACUAGCCUGUUAUGAUGUUGUUGACACCUAAAUUUUAACUAUUUUUAUUUUUUUAUUAGGGUAACAAUGAUAUUUAACUCAUCUCUUAAAAAAGGUUGUUAAAAAAAAUAUUUUGUGGAGGAAUGAGAUUUUGAAGGAUUUUCGGAUAACGAAGUCAUAUCAAAAGUUGAGUGAAUUGUCUUUAAAAAAUCUUCAUAAAGAAUUUGGGAUUAUUUUCUUGUUGAGCACAUCUCUCCGUUUCUUCGAAUGAUCCUUAGCGAUUAGGUCAAUAUAUGCAAAUCUUCGUAGGUUGAACAAACCAGGGUUUUCUCUGUAUAAAUAGGGGGGCUUUUUCGUUUUCUCUUGGUCAAAAAAAGAAGAAAAGUCAAAGGAAAAGAGAAAUUCUUUGAGGCUUUCUUCUGCUGGCUUCGAAAGUGAAAAGGAGGGUGCAGAAAGUACAGAGAGAAGAGACAGGUGAGUGACGGAGAGGGAGAGAGAGCCAGAAAAGAAAAAAAGAAAAACAAAAGGAAAGGGAAAAGCAGAGCAGAAAACGGGGGACUGUUAAUCGUCUUCUUCAUGUAGCCGCUUCCCCCCCCCUCCCCCCGCCUUCCGCCUGCAACCCUUGCGCCGUCGCCGCGCCACCGCACCCUUGUGCUGUCAUCGCUGCGCCGCCUGCGUCCGGUAGCCAGCCUCGGAUGCUCCGCCACCGCUCCUCGCCCCGGAAGACGCCGCGCCCGUAACGCCGCCUCUGCUCUGGUUCUGCUCGCAAAACCGCUGACCACCGCCUCGAUUGCAGCCCAUCGCCGACGUCAGCAGCUCCUGCGACCUGCCCCGAUUACGACUCCAGACGCCGCGUCCCGCCGACGUUUCGUCCUGCUCGCUCGUUGCUGCCCGAGCUGCCAGCAGUCGAAGCCCGCGCCGUCUCCCUCGCCCGCGAGCUUAUGUCGCUGGUCUGCCCAGAAGCCGUGAAGCCGCUGACCCCCGCCGCGCUCACACCGCCGAGCACCACCGUCGCUACCCCUGAUCCGAGUCUACUGCUGUCCUCGGUGCGCCAUCAGCUACUGCCCGAGCGAUCUCCUGUUUUGUUGCAGGUUUACCUUUGCCGAACCUUGUCGGAGCUCCCACAUCCGUGCCCAUCACUCUCACCGGAGCCCUAAAUUAGCCAUACCGUCAAGCUGAUCUGCUUUCUGUUGCAGCCCAUUGCGACCCGCAACGCCCAAGCCUGCCGCGCCCACACUGCCGAGCACCGACGCCGAUCCACCCAACGCUGGCCCUGCCCGUCCAGACCCGAGCUUCCCUAGCUCCGCUCCUGUGUUGCUGCCGUCGCCGGUUCACCUUGGCCGGAGCCUCCUUUGCCGAGCCGAUUAGUCGAUUCCCCUUGGAGAUACACAAGCGAUGCCUGGAAAAGAAAAACAAAAAAAAAAAAAAAAGGAAAGAAAAGGAAAUUAGGUAGUUUUAUUUUCUUUUUCUAUUUACUUUAUUUAUUUAUUUCUUUUAAGUUUAGUUGUUAUUGUGAAAAUUUAAAGUGAUCUUCAUUUCAUGAAUUCAAUAGGCAUUAUCCGCAGGGUCUUCCCCAUAAUUAUUGUAAUUAUUAAUUUGAUCCGUAAGAUAUCGGAUCAUUUUUUUAAUUAUAUUAAUUUUUGGGGUUUGUCGAUAGUAUUUUAAGUGUUGAAUCAAUAUAAUUAUUAAUUUGAUCUGUAAGAAUUCGGAUCAGAUUUUUAAUUAUUUUGAACUCUUUGUCAUGAUAAUUAGGGUUAUGAUAAUCGUUAAUUUGACCUGUGAGACAACAGGUUAUUUUUUCGAUUAUUUUAAUCCUUUAUUUGAUUAAAUAUCUUGAUUGUUUAGAUUUAGUUGAUAAUUGUUUUUUUUUUUUGUGAAACCACUAAAAAAUCUAAAAAAUAUUUGAAUUAGGAUUCAGUUUGUUUUAGAAUAUUUCUCGUUAUCUUGCAUAUCUAGAAUAUGGAUUUUAUUCCGAAUUUAGAAAAAUAUAAAAUAAAAUAAAAAAACAAAAAAAGUGCAUCCAUUUAGGUUGUUAGUUUUAUCAUUAUUUGAAUUGCAUGUGAAAUUUUAAUUUUGAAAUUAAUAUAAAAACACAAAAAAAUCAUCAUGCAUAUAUCAUGUUGAAUUAGGGCAUUCUUUGCACGUCAUUGCAUAUUAGAUAAAUUGCAUGUUAGAUUAAGAUAAUAUCUUAGUUUAAAUUAGGAUUUAAUGUGACUUGAUCCUUAGUUUAAAUUAGAAUUUUAAUCUAGCUAGAUCAUUUUUGCAUUUUUAAAUAGAAAUAUCAAAUGCACGUCAUUUAGUUUUUAUUAAUUAGAAUUUCCUCGUCAUUAGACUAAGUCAUUUAAUAAAUGUCGCAUGACAUAUAACCCGCAUACUAAAUUGUAUGUUGCGUGUCAUUUUAGUUAAAAUAAUUUUGUAUGUCAUUGCAUUGCAUUACCUGUCAUUAAAAUUAGGUCAUUUGAUUAAUUUACAUUGCAUAUUUAAUUGAUGCAUUUCUUUAUUUUCAAAUUUCAUGAAAAAUAUAAAAGAAUUAGAAUGAAUUCAUUUCAUGCUUUUAGGAUAGAUUGCAUGCUUAUUUAGGACAUACAAUUUUGGUCAUGUUAUCAUAUUAUUUCAUGUUAGAAUAGUGAUAUGCAUCGCAUAAGUCGUGAUUUUCAUUAAAUAAAGUGAAAAAAAAAUUGAAAUUGCGUGUUAAUUAGAAAUCAUAUCUAGGGUUGCUGAUGUGAAUUCUGAUUUAACAAUGCAGAUGAUUUUGUUGCUUCUAAGUAUGAUUUUGUUGCUUCUAAGUAUGUUUUGCAAUAUUUAAUUGCUUUCUUGAGUGUUAAAUUGGUGGUAUGCGCACAUGUAUGAUCACCUCACAUGUUAGGAAGUUAAAUUAAAAUCAAUUCAAUUGCCAAACAUUUUUGAAAAAUGAAAUAAAAAGGUACCGAAAUGGCACUAGGAUAGUCUAGUGUAACCAAGUCCCAAAACUCAUAAAUCUCUAGUUCGUAGGAGUAAAAGUAAAUCUCAUGUUACUUUACUUGGGUUUCUAAUCGACCCACCAAAAAUAGAUUAGUGGCGACUCCUGAUUGAAAAUCAUUUGCAUGUUAAGAAUUCAAACCUAAGUCGCAAAUUGGUAUGGGCUUGGGAGAGCCCGAGCUAAGCUUAAAGACUUAAUAAUCCAUUAACUUAGUUUUAGGUGGUGAACCGAAAAAAUUAGGUCGCGACGGCUUGGCAACUCCGCUGGGGACUUGUGUUAAAACACUUAGUGGACUUAGGCCAAUUUUUCUUUUUAAAAAUAUUUUUUGUUUGGCAGCGAGGAUCUCAGGUAUGUCCCUAACAUUUCUAAGGUGUUAAAUGUUCUUGCAUAUUGGAGGUAUAAGGGGAGUAGUCUUUGCUAACCCUUGUCUUGCAGGGAGGUGUUGAGAUUAAUGAUUUAUUUUUCCUGAUUAGAAGUGUUGUUUGCAUUUAAACUGUUGUGCAUGCUUUAUUGCUUUAGCACCACACUAUUUGCACACAAAACCUGUGGUCGGACCUAGGCUGCGAUAGGACUUCUAGGAUGGUGUUGAGAAGGAUACUUCCUCUAAAGCGAGAUUGCUAUGUAGAGGUUGACAUUCUCUUCCCCGAAAUUUCUUUCAUGGUGUCGAAUGUGUUUGUCCAUAUCCGCGAGACUGCGUGGUUAUUAGGUAUUCCAUUCGACUGAGCCGGAGUUAGGGGGACCUGACACGUUAAUACGAGACUGCAAUGGUCAAAUCAUCCUUUUAGCUCCACCUUGUUAAGCCAUCUAGACAGAAAUCGAGCCUCACUUUUCAUACAUGUGUCUAUGCGGUUGUCAUCCAUUUCCAGUAAAAGUAAGUUGUUUAAAUUCUUUGCAAUUUAUUUACUUUAUUGUAAUUUUGUCGGUCCAUGGGGGAUUAGGUUUCGUCGUCAGUCUUGUUUUAUAUGCGAUGGGGAAAACUGACAUACAAUUCAUUUCUACUCCAAAAAAAAAAAGCUCAAGAAGUGGUUGGAUCAGUUGGAUCAAGAUGGCCAGAGAUAUGUGAAGGCCAGGAUCGUUCAACUUCUCCCACUGUUAGAGAUCAACGUCCACUCUGGUGUGAUUCAGGCACUUCCUCACUUCUGGUGUCCACAAACUUCCACCUUCAUAUUUGGUGAGUUUGAAUUAACUCCAACACUUGAAGAAUAUAGUGUCGCCAUUGGAAUGCCCUUGGAAAAGGAACUUGUUAGACCGCCUAUCGGUAUAGAUUCUAUUUCUGAAUUAUCACAGUUUUUAAAAAUUAAAGCCGAAAAAGUGAGGAAGGUUGUUAAAGCCAAUUGCUAUACAUGCCCAUUUUCAUUUUUGGAAUGCUGUUUUUCAAACCAACCAAUGACUUUAAAAGCUAAGAUUUCAUGUAGCAUUUUUUGGACUAUCGUUUUCUAUCGAAAAAUGCAUUNNNNNNNNNNNNNNNNNNNNNNNNNNNNNNNNNNNNNNNNNNNNNNNNNNNNNNNNNNNNNNNNNNNNNNNNNNNNNNNNNNNNNNNNNNNNNNNNNNNNNNNNNNNNNNNNNNNNNNNNNNNNNNNNNNNNNNNNNNNNNNNNNNNNNNNNNNNNNNNNNNNNNNNNNNNNNNNNNNNNNNNNNNNNNNNNNNNNNNNNNNNNNNNNNNNNNNNNNNNNNNNNNNNNNNNNNNNNNNNNNNNNNNNNNNNNNNNNNNNNNNNNNNNNNNNNNNNNNNNNNNNNNNNNNNNNNNNNNNNNNNNNNNNNNNNNNUAUGGCAUACUAAAUGGUUUCAAGUUGAGGAGGCUCGUUUCUCACACAAGCAUGAUGAGCCAAUUACGUUGUUGGGCUUUUCUAGUGCAACUUCUUACUAUCCUAUAGGGUGGCUCGUCAGUACAAAGCUCUUCAAGAAAUUCCUCUGCCACUCAAAACAGAGUUAUUCCAAGUUCGUUUUAUUCGAGCAAACUAUGACUACUUCAAGGAGAUCCGGAUGAUCAUUGUUGCAUGGAAUGAAUGCCACCUACAGAAGAUUUUGGUGCCCAAGAGACUAAAAGGCGAGAAGGAGAUUCACCAUCCGUCGACAUUCUACAUCCAACAACAUUGGAUUUCUGCCGCCCUACGUCCAGUGGUCCCUGAUGUGACUAAGAAGCCAACCCAAUGAGCACAAAUUGAGCAUCUUAAGCGGAAAGUGGAAAUGAUUGAAGCGGAAAAUAAGAAGUUUCGCAAGGCGUUGAAAUCCCGAAAGCAUAUAAAAUGAGACGUCUUGAAUUUUGAUUCUUAGUUCAAUGUUUAGGGACUUUGAUUUCUAGCUCAAUGUUUUCAAUUUUUAGAUUAAAUGUUUAGGGACUUUGGAUUUCAAUUCUUAGUUCAUUGUUAGGAAACUUGGUUCAAAUUUCAAAUAAAAUCAGGUGAUUAGACCAUUGUCAUGAGCCAUUUUUCCUAUCUUGUCAUUGGUUCUUACAUUACUUUUAUCCGAUUAGGUGAUAAUGGAUCCUCCACGUUCGCCCAUCAUUACACGAUCGAGAGCAAAAAUGGCCGACCAAGCCGAAAUGCGAGAUUGUAUGUCUGUCGUAGAAGACCAACUCAAACAGUUGCUCACCUCUAUGCAACUUAUGACAACUCAAAUGCAAUCUCUCCAAGUGAAUCAAACCCUUGCAUCCGCUCUCCCCGAGAUUGUAGUCCCAAAGCAAAUGAACAAGACUCAAAUUGAUGAUGACGACACGCCUGAACUGGAGGAUGACCCACUGUUUGUCACUACCAAAAAGGUUAAGCCCGAUAAUAUCCCUAAGGUGGAGCAGGAUGAACGCUUCACCAAACUUGAAGAGAAACUGAAAUAAUUGCAAGAGUCGCGAAGUUCACUUCCAUUUGACUUGUCAGUUUAUGAGAAAGUCAAGAUGCCGAAAAAUUUUAAGAUGUCGGAGUUCGAGAAAUACGACAGUAUUUCAUGCCCAAAGGCUCAUUUGCAGAGGUACCACGUACGCAUGGCCUAGUAUGUCAAGAAUGANNNNNNNNNNNNNNNNNNNNNNNNNNNNNNNNNNNNNNNNNNNNNNNNNNNNNNNNNNNNNNNNNNNNNNNNNNNNNNNNNNNNNNNNNNNNNNNNNNNNNNNNNNNNNNNNNNNNNNNNNNNNNNNNNNNNNNNNNNNNNNNNNNNNNNNNNNNNNNNNNNNNNNNNNNNNNNNNNNNNNNNNNNNNNNNNNNNNNNNNNNNNNNNNNNNNNNNNNNNNNNNNNNNNNNNNNNNNNNNNNNNNNNNNNNNNNNNNNNNNNNNNNNNNNNNNNNNNNNNNNNNNNNNNNNNNNNNNNNNNNNNNNNNNNNNNNNNNNNNNNNNNNNNNNNNNNNNNNNNNNNNNNNNNNNNNNNNNNNNNNNNNNNNNNNNNNNNNNNNNNNNNNNNNNNNNNNNNNNNNNNNNNNNNNNNNNNNNNNNNNNNNNNNNNNNNNNNNNNNNNNNNNNNNNNNNNNNNNNNNNNNNNNNNNNNNNNNNNNNNNNNNNNNNNNNNNNNNNNNNNNNNNNAAAUGACCAAGACAACACAACUACUGCGUCAUCAUUUGCCCAAGCAAUAUAGAAGCAUUUCUCUCUCCUGGGUCUCCAUCCCAAGUGCUGACAAUCUCCGAAAGAAAGCUUUGCUUACUAGUGAACCAAAACGUCCCAACCGCGAAAACAUUCACGGUUAUGACCCGACAAAGAAGUGUGACUACAUAACGGUGAAUUUGGGCAUUUAACUGACGAAUGUUUCACCCUCAAGCAUAAGAUCCAAAAUCUCUUGGACACAAAGGCCUUCUCAUUUCAAACUGCUCGGCCAAACGUCUAGAAGAAUCCGCUACCGGAGCAUGAGGGUACAGUGAAUGCUAUCCUAGAACCUAAAGUUAGACGGAUCAAGAACUCGAAGGUGCGUGUGGCAGAUGCCUACAAUGGACUGGUGAGAGCUGGAUAUUAUUCAGAUCAAGAAGAUGUUCCCCCAUCAUUGAUGAAAGAAAGAGUUGCUAGAAUGGUGGAUGAUGGUAUCAUUAUGUAUGCUGACCAUAACUGCAUAGUUUUCACUAUUUCUCAUAUCAUUAUCAAUUAGGAGGAAGAGCAGGCUGCUCUCGAUGAUAGUAAGGAAGAAGUAGAUCCGUCACUCGCAGAUAUGCCCCCGCUAGAAGAUGCAACUAAUGAGGAGAUUGUGAUCGAGAUGCCUCAACCAUAUGAGUAUGUCAACAAUAAGGCAGUGCCUUGGUCCUAUGAUUUAGAUGUUGACCUCGUUACAAGGUCUGGUUGAACUUAUACUCAAGUUAGUGCUCAACCUGCAAAGCCUAUCACUGACGAAGAGGCUAAGGAAUUUCUGACUGUGAUUAAAGCAAGUGAGUAUAAUAUCGUCGAUCAGUGACGAAAUAUGCCUGCUCAGAUCUCUUUGCUCGAGCUCUUCCAAACCUCCUCUGUGCAUCAAAAGUCAUUGAUGAAAGGUGCUAAGUGAAAUUCGUGUACCCGAAAACAGUUGAGGCAGAUAAGCUGGAGGAUNNNNNNNNNNNNNNNNNNNNNNNNNNNNNNNNNNNNNNNNNNNNNNNNNNNNNNNNNNNNNNNNNNNNNNNNNNNNNNNNNNNNNNNNNNNNNNNNNNNNNNNNNNNNNNNNNNNNNNNNNNNNNNNNNNNNNNNNNNNNNNNNNNNNNNNNNNNNNNNNNNNNNNNNNNNNNNNNNNNNNNNNNNNNNNNNNNNNNNNNNNNNNNNNNNNNNNNNNNNNNNNNNNNNNNNNNNNNNNNNNNNNNNNNNNNNNNNNNNNNNNNNNNNNNNNNNNNNNNNNNNNNNNNNNNNNNNNNNNNNNNNNNNNNNNNNNNNNNNNNNNNNNNNNNNNNNNNNNNNNNNNNNNNNNNNNNNNNNNNNNNNNNNNNNNNNNNNNNNNNNNNNNNNNNNNNNNNNNNNNNNNNNNNNNNNNNNNNNNNNNNNNNNNNNNNNNNNNNNNNNNNNNNNNNNNNNNNNNNNNNNNNNNNNNNNNNNNNNNNNNNNNNNNNNNNNNNNNNNNNNNNNNNNNNNNNNNNNNNNNNNNNNNNNNNNNNNNNNNNNNNNNNNNNNNNNNNNNNNNNNNNNNNNNNNNNNNNNNNNNNNNNNNNNNNNNNNNNNNNNNNNNNNNNNNNNNNNNNNNNNNNNNNNNNNNNNNNNNNNNNNNNNNNNNNNNNNNNNNNNNNNNNNNNNNNNNNNNNNNAAAGCCCUAUUAAAGCCCUAUGAAGCCUAGAGUCUCGAUUGCUGGGUUAGGGUACGAGGUGGAGGAAGUUCCGGAAGACAAAGACAGGGAAGGCGUAACCCGCCACCUGAGCAAGGGCGAGAGAGGCAAAAUUUACCACCUCCAAACAUUCAUGAGACGUUCCCUGGUCCUCCAAUUAUGAUGCAAGAUGAAGCUGAAGUCAUGGAUACUCUAGGACAACCAAGUGGGAAAUUCGACUAUAUGGUGAAGUAUUCGGCUCCUGCCAGCUUUUACUUUGACGCCCGCAAUAUAGUUCCAAGUGGAUGGGAUGGCAUGGAUGAUCCGACGCCUUCAAAGAUAGAAAACUCUGAUGACACCUUGGAAGGAAUUUCAAGUUUGUUCGAUGACCUCUCCAUUGGAGCCAUUGAUGGAGAACCUCUGGAAGAAACAGACCCUCGCCCACAAGAGUAACCCAUUUAUCACUUUUGCACAUUCCCAUGCGUGGGAAUUUUUAUUGCUUUCUAGGAAUUGUUUUUGAUUUCUUCUUUUUCACUUUCUUCUUAGGACUUGAAUUGCAUUUUCCAUUCAAUAAAUUGUAAUUUAUUGAUGAAUUUCAAUGAAAUUACAAGUUUUAUUUGAGGGCAUGAUGAGGUACACCAAACCAGCCUAGUGAUGAUAUCCAACCGAUAGAACAAAAUCAAAAUCCAAGGAGAACUCUGAGGCCUGGGCUUCAUCAUGUUUCUUCAUGUCAAAAACAUGAUUUUGCAAAAGAAUGUCAAAAAAAAUUCACAAAAAAAUAAAAUAUGAUUAACCCUGUCUGUCUUUUUUAUCCUUCUAUUUCCUGUUUCAGGGACGAUCAUAUAACAUGCAAAGGUGUGGAAAUGGUCCAAUCCAAUGCAACAAGUGAUGAUAAUGAUGAUCCUGAAGAUUCAAUCGAAGAUUCCAUUGAGGUGCAGCAAAGCUGGGAACAACAUGAAAAAGCCAAGACUCUCACAUCCGAGCAUACCGUCACUAUUAAUUUAAGUGACAUUGAAGAAGCCAAUGAGGUGAAAAUAGAGGCGAAUCUCCCCAAAGACGAGGCUAAGCGCCUAAUUCAGUUACUGAAGGAAUAUAAGGACAUCUUCGCAUGGACCUACGCCGACAUGCCUGGGUUAGACCCAUCAAUCGUGGAGCAUUAUUUGCCUACUAACUCGGACGUGCCUCCUAAGAAGCAAAGGCUGCGAAUAACUAAGCCUGAGCUCUCGAAGAAGAUAAAAGAAGAAGUGAUGAAGCUUUUAAAAGUCGGAUUUAUUGAAGUCUCGCAAUACCCUGAAUGGGUAGCAAACAUCAUGCCGGUGAUGGAGAACGAUGGUCGAGUUUGAGUUUGUGUCGAUUAUCGGGAUUUGAACAAGGCUAGCCCAAAAGAUGACUUCCCGCUACCUCACAUAGAUGUCCUUGUUAAUAGUAUUGCCAGAUUUGAACUAUUCUCAUUUAUGGAUGGUUUUUCUAGGUACAAUCAGAUAAUGAUGAAGGAGGAAGACACGGAGAAAACUGCAUUUAUCACCCCGUGGGGGACCUUUCAUUACAAGGUUAUGCCAUUCGGGCUCAAGAACGCAGGGGCAACUUACCAACGAGCCAUGGUAUCAUUAUUCCAUGAUAUGAUGCAUCAGGAGAUCGAGGUCUAUGUUGAUGAUAUGAUCGCAAAGACUCGACCUAGGAAAAGCCACAUCGAAACCUUGAAAAAGUUGUUCGAUCGACUCCGUGAGUUCAAGCUUCGUCUAAACCCCACUAAGUGCGUGUUUGGAGCAACAUCUGGUAAAUUACUUGGAUUCAUUGUAAACAGUAAAGGGAUUAAGAUCGACCCAGCUAAAGCUAAAGCCAUAUGUGAGUUGCAACCUCCAUCAACGGUGAAAGAAGUCCGAAGUCUUUUGGGCAGAUUGAAUUACAUUGCUCGAUUCAUUUCCCAACUUUCUGAAAUCGGCAAGCCAUUCUUCAAGCUCUUAAAGAAGAAUGCACGAGUCAACUGGGAUGAUGAGUGCCGAGAAGCAUUCGACAAGUUGAAACAGUAUUUGAUGAAUCCACCAGUUCUUGUCCCGCCAUCGCCAGGGCAUCCUUUGAUUCUCUACCUCACCAUUCAUAGUGAGUCAUUGGGUGCGAUGUUGGCACAGGGAAGUCCCGUCGACAAAAAAGAACGAGCCAUUUAUUACCUAAGUAAAAAAUUCACCAUGUCAGAGCUGAAAUUUUCUGAUGUGGAAAAGACUUGUGCUGCACUAGUGUGGGCGUUGCAUAGAUUGAGAUAGUACACACUGCAUUACCAGACAUUCCUUGUAACUGAGAACGAUCCUAUCAAGUACCUACUUGAUCGGCCAGCUUUGGUGGGUAGGUUGGUUAAAUGGCAAAUUUUGAUAUCAGAAUUUGAUGUGCAAUAUAUGCCACAGAAGUCGGUUAAGGGUCGAGUGAUCGCCGAUUUAUUGGCUGAGAAUCCGGAAGCCUCAAAUAGUGAUGAUCAUUCCCUAGAUGACCGUAUCUUGACUGUAAAUGAAGACUCAUGGACAAUGUUCUUUGAUGGAGCUGUGAACUUGUCUGAUUCUAGCAUUGGGGCAGUUUUGAUAUCCCCAGACAGACAUCAUCACCCAGUAGCUACGAAAUUGAUAUUCCCAUGCACUAACAAUACAGCCGAGUAUGAAUCUUGCAUCCUCGGGCUUCAAGCUGCAAUCGAGAUGGGUAUAGCCAAAUUAAAAGUGUUCGGGGAUUCCGCGUUAAUCAUACUGCAGACCGUAGGUGAAUAGAAGACUAAGGAUGCUAAAUUGCUCCCAUAUCACAAGUACCUAGAAGAUUUGAUCAAGGAAUUCGAUGAAGUUUCAUUUGAAUACUUACCGAGGUCUCACAAUCAAUUUGCAGAUGCACUCGCAACUUUAUCAUCCAUGUUGCAAGUCACUGACUGAUUAGAAGUCGAGCCAUUGAAGAUAGAGGUUUUGCCAAGGCCGUCUUAUUAUAUGGUAGUGACUGAAGAAUCUAACAAAAAACCAUGGUAUUACGAUAUCAUGAACUACAUCCAAAAAUAAGGAUUCCCCGAGGAAAGUACUCCAGUUGAUAGGAAGUACAUUAUGAAGAUGGCCUCAAAGUUCUUUGUCAGUGGUGAAAAUUUGUACAAGAGAACUUAUGAUUCAGUUUUGUUGCGGUGUGUGGGUGAAGCUGAAGCCACUCAAAUUAUGCAGGAGGUUCACGAAGGAGUGUGUGGCCCCUAUAUGAAUGGACACAUGAUGGCUAAGAAGAUCAUGAGAUUAGGCUAUUAUUGGCUCAUGCUAGAAGGUGACUAUAUUCAGCAUGUCUGGAGUUGCCAUCGUUGCCAAAUUCAUGGUGACAUGAUAAAUGUUCCUCCAACAGAGCUACACCAGUUUUCUGAGCCAUGGCCCUUCUUAAUGUGGGAGAUUGAUCUGAUCGGCCUGAUAAAUCCUAAGGCUUCAAAUGGAUAUCGUUUCAUUUUGGUGGCGAUAGAUUAUUUUUCCAAAUGGAUAGAAGCUAUGUCAUUUGCAAGUGUCACUGCUUGCAAUGUUGCGAAAUUCAUCAAACGUGACAUAAUUGCUCGUUGUGGUGUCCCUGAAACGAUUAUCACUGGCAAUGGAACAAAUUUGAACAACAAGCUUGUUGAUGAGUUGUUCAGCGAGUUCAAGAUCAAGCAUUUGAAUUCAUCCCCUUAUCGCCCUCAAAUGAAUGGGGCUGUUGAAGCGGCCAAUAAGAAUAUUAAGAAGAUCUUGGCUAAGACAACCGAGAAUUAUCGAGACUGGCAUGACAGAUUACCCUUCGCACUGAUAGCGUAUCGGACAUCGAUUCGUACUUCUACCAGGGCAACUCCUUUUGCUCUGGUAUACGGCAUGGAGGCAGUUUUGCCUGUGGAAGUGGAGAUUCCUUCCCUGAGAGUAUUAUCCCAAGUAGAAUUAUCUGAGGCAGAAUGGUCGCAACAAAGACUUGAACAGUUAAACUUGAUCGAUGAGAAAAGACUGAAGGCUCUCUGCCAUGGCCAAACAUAUCAACAGAGAGUAGCCAAAUCUUUCAAUCGAAAAGUGCGGCCGAGACAUUUCAAGGUAAAUGAUCUUGUUCUAAGGAAACUGUUGCCAAUUUUUCCAGAUCCUGGGGGGAAGUUUGCUCCAAACUACAGUGGCCCAUAUGUGGUAAAUAAGGUACUUCAUGGCGGUGCUUUAAUCUUGGCAUAAAUGGAUGGUCUGUGUUUUUCACUCCAGUUAAUUCAGAUGCUGUCAAGAAGUAUUACCCAUGAUAGAAUUUGCCAUGUUAGGUUUUGAAUUACAAACAUUUUAUGAUGAAUAAAUUGCCUCCUUGAAUUGCAAAUUCAAACUUGUUGCAAAUAUUGCAUGUUUUCCUUGAUGAAUAAUGUGAGAUAAAUUGAAUGUGUCAAAUGGGAUACUUUGGAAUGACGAAAGGCAAACCCUAUUCCAUACACUGACCCCUAGUGAGUUGUGUGAAAAAUUCCAUGCCUACGAGAAAAAGGAUGAUCUCGCAAAGGGUACGUCAACCAAGGUGAUGAGAGGCAGUUUUUUCUACUACCCGAAACACUACAGGUAAAUCCAUUGUUCAGCCCUUUGAGCCCACACACAUAAAGAGCUUUUUAAAUUAUUCCUGUCAAGAAUCGUCCCAUAUUGGGACAAGAUUUGAAAUAAAUGAUAGGAAUUUUCUUACUCACACUUGCAUCAAUAUUCGAGUAUUGCUUUUACAGUGUGACUUGUACGAUAAUUUAAAGUGCCUUAGGACGACGAAGAACAGUUCUUUCUCUAUCCUAUACACUUUAUCCAUUGCAUAGCCCCCUUGAGCCUAUGAAUUAAUUUCACAUUAAACCCAGUUGGUGAUCAUCCCCCACACUGGGGCAAGGCAAGAAAAAUUAAACCACUCAAGUAGCAUGAUUUACAAUGCUAAUAAAAAUGGAGACUUUGUCCAAAAAAAAAAAGAGUGCAAAAGUGGGGCAUGAAAAAGCAGUGUGCCUGGUAAAAGCAAUGACAAUGCCCAAAGAAAAAUCAAACACUUGAUGAAUGAGUCGUAAAAAAAAAGAAAAAACUCAAAUGUUGAGAUGUUGCAAUUAGUGGAGUUGUGAAGUGAAGAAAAUCUUCGACGAUGGAGAGGAAAAUUGCUGGAAAUGUCAAGAUGAUCACCAACUUUGACCCCAUAAACACUUUUUGAGCCAAAUGAUCCUUUCAUUUCCCAACCCAUGAACCCAACCUACGUUACGUCCCUUACAAAGUCUCUUCAGAUUAUAGCACUUGAAUUAACGUAAAAGUUCAUAUGUUUGGAAGCAUCACUUGAAGAAGUGUGAGUAAGAUAAUUUCUUCUUCAUUUCUCAUGUUUCUUGGCUUGUAAACCCCAAGAUGAUUGUGAAAUAUCAUUCAUUUUUUAAUAGCCUUGGCUCAAAGAGUCUCAUUUGCUAAGCCGUUGACCAAGCCAGCGUUGCAGUCCCUGUUAAAGACCUCUUAGAUUGGUAAAUUUCGUACCACUUGCGAGAUUGCUCAAACCCUUGUUUGGCAUGAUAACGGAAAGAUAGAGUGAUUGACAAAAAUCAUGUAUCAAAAGUCAGGAUAAAAUAGCUCAUUUUAAUGAGGAUGAGUGAAAAGUCCUUUCAGAUCGAGAGAUCCCCCAUUUGACACAUCCAUGACACUCAUGUGUUCAGAUUGGAACAUUUUUUUGAAAUAUUUCCCAAUGGAAAUUAGGUGAUGCAGGCUUGAUAUAAAUCAUAGUGCAUGAACCUCCCUUAAAUUAAUGCAUGUUUGUCAUCACAAAUGUAUAUUGCUUUUCCUAUGACCAUGUUUUGCAGAAAACAUUUCCCCUAGGAACAGAGAUGUUACCAGGUAAGUAUAUCUCUAUCUAUACCUUAAAUACUUGUUGUUGUACAGGUAUUUUCCCUUUUGAGUACACUGACACUCGAUGGAGUUGUCCCCAAAGAUUUUUCCCUAGAUUGCAAUGUUAGGCGACCGUAGAAUGGUACGAGUCCUCGACAACACCUAUUCCCUAUUUAGGCGACCGUAGAAUGGUACGGGUCCUAGAAAGUGAAUCCCCGUUUAGGCGACCGUAGAAUGAUACGGGUCCUAAAUAAAACCUAUUUCCCUAUUCAGGCGACCGUAGAAUGGUACGGGUCCUGGAAUGUAAAUCCCCGUUUAGGCGACCGUAGAAUGGUACGGGUCCUAGAAGGUAAAUCCCCGUUUAGGCGACCGUAGAAUGGUAUGGGUCCUAGACACAAUCAAACACUGUCAUACUGGGUGACCGUAGAAUGGUACGGGUCCUAGGAAAGCAGUCUCUUUGCAAAGUCAUGUUACUAUUCUAGGCGACCGUAGAAUGGUACGGGUCUUGGACAUGUAACACAAACUAUCUUGAAUCACUCUACCCUCCUUGAAGGUAAGAUAUUCUAGAUAAGUCUUUUUUUUACCAUUUUAUACUCUUUAAGGAACCCGAGUGAGAGUUAGGUACUUACAGAGUAAAUGGGGAUUUAUCAUGUACCUCAAGAUGCUUUACCACACUGACCGGUAACUAAUUACAGGUACGUCUUUUCCUUUCAGAUCAUGCAUUUGCAUUAACAUUUCCAUGAAUCAUUACAUUACAUGGGGUUCAUUUUCCGAAAAAAAAAAAUCAUUUAGUGCAUGUGCAUAGUCAAAAUUUAUGUCUCAAUUUGUCUUUGAAGGCAACCUCUUCGAGCUCACCUUCAAAGAUGGGCAGCUGUUGAUACCUAAAUUUUAACUUUUUUUUAUUUUUUUAUUAGGGUAACAAAGAUAUUUAACUUAUCUCUUAAAAAAGGUUGUUAAAAAAAUAUUUUGUGGAGGAAUGAGAUUUUGAAGGAUUUUCGGAUAACGAAGUCAUAUCAAAAGUUGAGUAAAUUGUCUUUAAAAAAUCUUCAUAAAGAAUUUGGGAUUAUUUUCUUGUUGAGCACAUCUCUCCGUUUCUUCGAAUGAUCCUUAGCGAUUAGGUCAAUAUAUGCAAAUCUUCGUAGGUUGAACAAACCGAGGUUUUCCUCUAUAUAAAUAGGGGGGCUUUUUCGUUUUCUCUUGGUCAAAAAAAGAAGAAAAGUCAAAGGAAAAGAGAAAUUUUUUGAGGCUUUCUUCUGCUGGCUUCAAAAGUGAAAAGGAGGGUGCAGAAAGUACAGAGAGAAGAGACAGGUGAGAGUGACGGAGAGGGAGAGCGACCCGGAAAAGAAAAAAAGAAAAACAAAAGGAAAGGGAAAAGCGGAGCAGAAAACGGGGGACUGUUAAUUGUCUUCUUCGUGCAGCCACUUCCCCCCCCCCCCGCCUUCCGCCUGCAACCCUUGCGCCGUCGCCGCAGCUCCACACCCUUGUGAUGUCAUCGCUGCGCCGCCUGCGUCCGGUAGCCAGCCUCGAAUGCUCCGCCACCGCUCCUCGCCCCGGAAGACGCCGCGCCCGUAACGCCGCCUCUGCUCUGGUUCUGCCCGCAAAGCCGCUGACCACCGCCUCGCUUGCAGCCCGUCACUGACGCCAGCAGCUCCUGCGACCUGCCCCGAUUGUGACUCAAGACGCCGCGUCCCGCCGACGUUUCCUCCUGCUCGCUCGUUGUUGCUCGGGUUGCCAGCAGUCGAAGCUCGCGCCGUCUCCCUCGCCCACGAGCUCAUGUCACUGGUCUGCCCAGGAGCCGUGAAGCCGCUGACCCCUGCUGCGCUCGCACCGCCAAGCACCACCGUCGCUACCCCUGAUCCGAGUCUACUGUUGUCCUCAGUGCGCCAUCAGCUACUGCCCGAGCGAUCUCCUGUUUUGUUGCAGGUUUACCUUCGCCGGACCUCGUCGAAGCUCCGACGACCGUGCCCAUCACUCUCACCGGAGCCCCAAAUUAGCCGUACCGUGGAGCCGAUCUACUUUUUGUUGCAGCCCAUUGCGACCCGCGACGCCUAAGCCUGCCGCGCCCACACCGCCGAGCACCGACGCCGAUCCACCCAACGCCGGCCCUGCCCGUCCUGACCCGAGCUUCCCUAGCUCCACUCCUGUGUUGCUGCCGUCGCCGGUUCACCUUGGCCGGAGCCUCCUUUGCGGAGCCGAUUCGUCGAUUCCCCUUGGAGAUACAUGAGCGGUGCCGGGACAAGAAAAACAAAAAAAAAAAAGAAAAAAGAAAGAAAAGGAAAUUAGGUAGUUUUAUUUUCUUUUUCUAUUUACUUUAUUUCAUUUAUUUCUUUUAAGUUUAGUUGUUAUUGUGAAAAUUUGAAGUGAUCUUCAUUUCAUGAAUUAUGUAGGCAUUAUCUGUAGAGUCUUCCCCAUAAUUAUUGUAAUUAUUAAUUUGAUCCAUAAGAUAUCGGAUCAUUUUUUUUAAUUAUAUUAAUUUUUGGGGUUUGUCGAUAGUAUUUUAAGUGUUGAAUCAAUAUAAUUAUUAAUUUGAUCCGUAAGAAUUCGGAUCAGAUUUUUAAUUAUUUUGAACUCUUUGUCGUGAUAAUUAGGGUUAUGAUAAUCGUUAAUUUGACCUGUGAGACAACAGGUUAUUUUUUCGAUUAUUUUAAUCCUUUAUUUGAUUGAAUAUCUUGAUUGUUUAGAUUUAGUUGAUAAUUGUUUGUUUUUUUUUAAACCACUAAAAAAUCUAAAAAAUAUUUGAAUUAAGAUUCAGUUUGUUUUAGAAUAUUUCUCGUUAUCUUGCAUAUCUAGAAUAUGGAUUUUAUUCCGAAUUUAGAAAAACUAUAAAAACAAAAAACAAAAAACAAAAAAAAAGUGCAUCCAUUUAGGUUGUUAGUUUUAUCAUUAUUUGAAUUGCAUGUGAAAUUUUAAUUUCGAAAUUAAUAUAAAAACACAAAAAAAUCAUCAUGCAUAUAUCAUGUUGAAUUAGGGCAUUAUUUGCACGUCAUUGCAUAUUAGAUAAAUUGCAUGUUAGAUUAAGAUAAUAUCUUAGUUUAAAUAGGAUUAAUGUGACUUGAUCCUUAGUUUAAAUUAGAAUUUUAAUCUAGCUAGAUGAUUUUUGCAUUUUUAAAUAGAAAUAUCAAAUGCACGUCAUUUAGUUUUUAUUAGGUUAAUUUAAUUAGAACUUCAUCGUCAUUAGACUAAGUCAUUUAAUAAAUGUCGCAUGACAUAUAACUUGCAUACUAAAUUGUAUGUUGCGUGUCAUUUUAGUUAAAAUAAUUUUGUAUGUCAUUGCAUUGCAUUACCUGUCAUUAAAAUUAGGUCAUUUGAUUAUUUUACAUUGCAUAUUUAAUUGUUGCAUUUCUUUAAUUUCAAAUUUCAUGAAAAAUAUAAAAGAAUUAGAAUGAAUUCAUUUCAUGCUUUAGGAUAGAUUGCAUGCUUAUUUAGGACAUACAAUUUUGGUCAUGUUAUCAUAUUAUUUCAUGUUAGAAUAGUGAUAUGCAUUGCAUAAGUCAUGAUUUUCAUUGAAAUUACGUGUUAAUUAGAAAUCAUAUCUAGAGUUGCUGAUGUGAAUUCUGAUUUAACAAUGCAGAUGCUUUCGUUGCUUCUAAGUAUGUUUUGCAAUAUUUAAUUGCUUUCUUGAGUGUUAAAUUGGUGGUAUGCGCACAUGUAUGAUCACCUCACAUGUUAGGAAGUUAAAUUAAAAUCAAUUCAAUUGCCAAACAUUUUUGAAAAAUGAAAUAAAAAGGUACCGAAAGGGCACUAGGAUAGUCUGGUGUAACCAAGUCUUCGAACUCAUAAAUCUCUGGUUCAUAGGAGUAAAGUAAAUCUCUUGUUACUUUACUUGGGUUUCUAAUCGACCCACCAAAAAUAGAUUAGUGGCAACUCCUGAUUGAAAAUCAUUUGCAUGUUAAGAAUUCAAACCUAAGUUGCGAAUUGGUAUGGGCUUGGGAGAGCCUGAGCUAAGUUUAAAGACUUAGUAAUCCAUUAACUUAGUUUUAGGUGGUGAACCCGAAAAAAUUAGGUCGCAACAGAUGUCUUAAGGUUUUUGGUUUUAGGACAUAGUAUUUGAAAUUUCGAUGGAAAGUAACAAGAAAAAAUUAAAAGAAAAACACUUCUUUUUUUAAAAAAAAAAAUUCGGGCUGUGCCCAAUCCUAUUGGGUCUGGGCCAAAUGGGGUGACUUCGGUCCUAGCUAGGUCAAAUCCCAAGCCACAUUUUUGGACGGGCCAAAAAAGGGGCAAAAGUCUGCCCCACUCACAUAUUAACUCAUUCAUAAAAGGUAUGAUAACUGCAUAUGAAUUUGGAUACACUACACUUGCAAAUCUAAAUAAUCGAUACAUAGCUUGGAAAAGGAUCUAAUAUAGUUAGCCAUGUCGGCUACAUUAAAUGUUUUGUAAGCUCGUCCAAGGAGAAUUGACAUAGUAAUAUGGAUGGUAUAUCUUUUGAUCGUGUGAUAUCAAUCGUAUAUGUUUGGCAGAGCAAAUAUAUAUGCAAUUCUUGAGCCCACACGACUUUAUCUUCCAUAAAUGAAAAGACAGAAUUAAAAUAAUUUAGAUGGAAUGCUUUUAUUUGAAAUUAAAAUAAGUGCACUAGAAACUUUAAAAUUUUUUUAAUAAAAGUGUGACCAAAUUUUAAAAUUUAUUGAAUAAUUACAAUUGAGUAAUUUAGUUAGUUUCCCCUGUUAUGACUGACCGAACGACCAAACAAGUGCUCUUUUAAAUAUUCCCAGGAAAUGUUGUGUCAAUGUAACCCCUAGUGAAAAAAAAAUAAAUGUAACCCCUAGUGGGCCCCAUAUCAGCAAAAUAGCCCCAAUAAAAUUCCGCUUUUACCCAAGUGCCGCAUUGUUCGUCGUGCCUCUCUUCAACAGCCGAUUGAUGGUGCGCAUCACACCGUUGGCACUUAUCGAAUUCUUCCAAUCUACCUGUUGGACAGAAUCAAUUAUGAAGAUUUCGAGCUAUUUAAAGAACAUGACGAUAGCCCACCAAUCCUGCUCGCUCAUACAAUCAGGAUCUAGGUUUCCAUAAGUAGAACCUUCCAAGUAUACUUCGCUAAUCAACGGAUCCAAGAUCCCUAAAUCAAUCUUGAUCUGAAUAAUGGAUUCCGACAUGUUGUAUCCAGAUAAGAGAUCUUCUUUAGUCGACAUAAUCAAAUCUUUAACGAAAUACUCUGUUUCAGAUAAGCCUUCUUCGACGGUCUAGAAACUGUCAAUGAGGAUAGACUUUGAGUCUUGAGUCUGGCAGUCCGAAGGUCUUCAGACUUUGAUGGAAGAGUCUAUAAGUUUUCAGGCUAGAUUGAUGGAAACAUUUUGUCAACUUCAAAACACUCAAGGAAGUUUUCUCUAACAAUCUCCCCAUUUUUGAUGGUGACAAAACUUUCCUGCAGAUUUGGAUAACUUUGACCUGCAAAACAUUACUCAAGCAAACAUGGAUAUCUCGCAAAAGAUAAAUGGCUUAGUAAAGAUAACAUUAAAAUCUGCAUCCACAAAAAGUAGGUUAGUUCUAUAAAUGAGCAAAGCCAUAAGAUAUCAAUGGUGCUUAAGACAAACAUUUAAACAAUCAAAUCCAAACCCAGUCCAAAUCAAAACAGCCAAACACAAAAGUCAAGUCAAUCAAACAUAAUCGUCACAAAAGUCAAGAGUUCAGAGCUCAGAGUUCAAAGUCAAAUAUGCACCACAUCUCUCCCCCUUUUUGUCAUCAUUAAAAAAGUAGAGAUGAAAAGAGAAUGGAAUUAAGAUUGCUUGGGAACACGAACAAGUUGGAAAUCUCCCAUUGACUGGACAAUCCCUUCCAUCUUUUUCAAAUCCUCCUUCAAUUGCGCCACAUCUUCACCCUUAGCAUUUGCUUGAACUUGAAGAGCAAGGGCAUUGAUUUGAUCAUACAAAGAAACUGAAGAGGCUUGUCCUGCAUUCUGCAAUUUCUAAAUUUCGUAUCCUAGAGUAUAAAUUUGGUCGCGCAUCUCCAAGAGAACAUCAAGCACUCUACGAAAGUCCGCUGAAUUAUCAGUCUGAAUACUGGCUUUUGCACGAUCAGACGGUGUAUUGGCAGAUGAUGGCAAAUCAGCAUGGUCACGCAGAUUGGGCGAUGAAAUAUCAUGUCCCUCCUCAGGAAAUUGAGAGGCAUAGAUGUCCUAUGGAUCUGCUGGAGAACGAUUUACUCAUUCACUGGUGGUAGGAAAUGAGGACGUACCCCUUUUCUCAAGAUCUCCCCCUAUUUCAAUGCCUUCAGGUGGAGAAAAAUGUUCCUCAUGCUCUGCUUCUGCUUGUUCUCCUCUGCCCUCUUCUUCUUCUUCCUCAAUUCUUUCCUCCUCUGAUUCUUUCUCCAAUUCUUCUCUCUCUCUCUAGUCCUCUGUUCUGUCUCAUCCUUGUCUUGUUCCUAUCUCUCCGUUAUCUCUAGAACAGAACGACUCAAGUUCUUCAAUGCCAUCGCAAAAAUGGUGAUAUCAUCCUCAUCCUCUUCAUCCUCAAUGAUGAGUGCUUUUCUUUUCUUGGAUGGAGCAAUCGUGGGCUCAUUACCUUUUCGCUUUGCAGCCAAAGAGACUGGAUGAGUCUUGACAGGGGUUUUCACCUUGAAUUGCUCCAAAGCCUUGUUGAGUUCCUUCAGACGCAUUUUAGAGACCAUUCUCAGUCCCACCACCAUUUGAUCGCAUGUUCGAACACAAAGAAUUCGGGAAGGCUGAAUGUUCAAAUGUCUGAAUAACUUGGUCACAAGUGCUGAGUAUGGAAGUUGACCCUUAUCCUUCAUCAUUAUUCUGUACAUGUGAGACAUAAUAGUGUGUGGAAGAGAGAACUUUUUGCCAGCAUUGAUGGCAUACAUCAACUUUGCCUCCGAGUUUGAAACGUCGGUUUUUGAAGUUGAUUUUGGUCUGAGGUAGUUAAUCACUAUCUUGUGAAGCAAAAUGUUGGACUCAUUCAUUUGAAUAAGAAAUCUUUCCUUCCGUUGUUCUAUCCUGAACAAGCUCUAUCGUUGCACGAGCAAUAGACACACUAAUAGGUUGAUAUCUCCCUCUUUCAACCCCAAUCAUAUCAGCCAAUGUAUUCAUGUCAACCACAUAGUCCUGAUCUCAAACACUGAAAGAGAAUUUAUUCGCAUCCAAGAAAUUGAGAUUCGAAUAGAAGUAAGUAGCAAGUUCAGCAUGAGCCUCUGUCGUUUCAGAACAAAACUGUUCGAGUUGAAAAAAAUUGAAUUUUUCUCGUAGAUUGACAUUCAGAGAGUCGAGAAAAUCAAAGUCCACAAUUCUAGGGUUUAUCACACCACGCUUUAGCAACUUAGAGUACAGUUGCUUGUGUUCCUCCCAUCGAAAUAAGUCUAUCUUUUUGCUUUAGAUUUUUGCCGCAACACUCAUUCUAGGUUUAAACUGACUGUACAUCCUAUUAUCAUCAUUCUCAUAAGGUUGACUCAGCCCUCCAACACGUGGAUCGCUUGGGAUAUUUGCCAAUGCUUCUUCCGCCAACCCCGCAGGGGCAAUUCCCAAUCGUUUCAUUGUGCGUAAAAAGAAAGUUUCAUUUCUAUACCCUUUGUCUUUCAGAAAUUCAUCAAUAUAGUUCAACGGAGUACCACUCCUCUUCAAAGCACAGUAAAGCUUGUAAGUAAAAGCGGGCUUAUGAGUUCUUAUAGGUUAUGCAUCUUCGAUGAUUUCUUUCUCUUCUCGAUGUGCAACAUCCUGAGGUCUAGAUGGAGGAGAUGGACUUUGCUGAGAAUGUUGUGGGCUUUGUUGUUGUCUAGGAGAUUCUUCUUCCUCGGUGAGAUCAAAGUGCGUAAGCCCCUCACGCAUUUGCUGUGGUCCCCUAUUCGCAAUCCUCAAAGACUUUCUUUGAGACGACAUCUUUCACAGUCUUUGAGAGAUUCCAAGCUUGUUUCUCAAGAAAGAUGAAAACUUUUCAAGGAUUAAACAAGAGAAGAAGACAGAAAUGGAAGAUCUAUGCUCUCUUAGGGUUUUUGGGUUUUUGUGUGUAAAACGAAGAAGAACCGACAGUAUAUAAGGCAGUUGAAGCGAAGCAUACGGAACGUCGUAAAAAGGAAAUAUAAAAAAUGCCUUUUAAAAAUAACUGCAUUUUCAAAAAUUAGAUAACUAUCGUUUAAAAAUAACUUCUUUUUCGAAAAGGAAGGAUUGCAAUAAUCACGAAAAUUGGGAAAUAACAUCAAUCAAUUUCGGAUAGAAGAUCAUACCUUUUCAAGAUUUGAUCCGAGAGAUAAAGUUUCUAAAAUAGAAGAACUAACAGUCGUAAAUCUUGAUUGUCUGAGUCUGAGUGUCUUUAGACUUUCAGUCCUGAGUCUGAACUUUCUCAGACUUUAAGAUAUUGAGUUUGGAACGAAUAACUUCAAAUUGAUUUUUCUCCAAAGGCUUUGUAAAUAUAUCCGCCAAUUGAUUCUUUGAAUCAAUAAACUGAAUUGAAACUUCUCUAUUUUGAACAUGAUCUCUAAUGAAAUGAUGUCGAAUCUCUAUAUGUUUUGCUCUUGAGUGAAGAAUCGGAUUCUUGGUGAGAUCGAUUGCACUGGUGUUGUCACAUUUAAUCUCAGUGUAUGAAUCUUCAAUUCCAAAGUCUCUUAGUUGUUGUUUUAUCCACAGAAUUUGUGAACAACAACUUCCAAGAGCUACAUACUCUGCUUCUGCCGUAGAAAGAGCUACUGUACUUUGCUUCCUUGAAAACCAAGAUAUUGUCCUGCUUCCAAGUAGUUGACAGGUGCUCAAGGUGCUCUUUCUAUCAACUUUGCAUCCGGCUAGGUCUACGUCUAAGCAUCCAAGAAGAGUGAAGUCUCCUUCUUUCGGUACUAGAGACCCAAAUUUGAAGUUGAGGCAAUGUAUUUGAUAACACGCUUUGCAGCACUUAAAUGAGACUCUUUAGGUUCUAAUUGAAAUUUGGCACAAAUACAAACACUAAACAAAAUGUUAGGUCUAGAAGUAGUUAGAUAAAGAAGUGAACCAAUGAUACUCCUGUAUAGCUUCUGGUCAACUUUCUUUCCUUUUUCAUCUUUGUCCAGUUUCAAAGAACUUGACAUUAGUAUAUUAGUCUUUUUGCAAUUUUCUAGUCCAAACUUUUUGACAAGUUCUUUAACAUAUUUUUCUUGAUGAAUAAAGAUUCCCUCCUUCAGUUGUUUCACUUGAAGCCCGAGAAAGAAGGUUAGUUCACCCAUCAUGCUCAUUUCAAACUCAUCCUACAUAGAUUUAGAGAAUUUUUUACACAGAUUUUCAUUAGAAGAUUCAAAAAUAAUAUCAUCAACAUAAAUUUGAACAAGUAAAAAGCUUUUGCUUUCUCUUUUAAUAAACAAUGUAGUAUCUACUUUACCUUUGACAAAGCCAUUUUGAAUUAAAAACUUACUUAGUCUGUCGUACCAAGCUCAAUGUGCUUGCUUUAAACCAUAUAGAGCUUUUUUCAGUCUGAAUACAGAGUCUGGUUUCCUUGGGUCUUCAAAACUGGGUGGUUGUUCCACAUAGACUUCCUCUUGGAUAAAUCCAUUUAGGAAAGUACUUUUGAUGUCCAUUUGGAAUAACCUGAAAUUCUUAUGACAAGCAAACAUAAGUAAUAAUCUAAUUGCUUCUAACCUUGCUACUGGUGCGUAAGUCUCAUCAUAGUCUAUCCCUUCUUCUUGCGUAUAUCCCUUGGCCACGAGUCUUGCUUUGUUUCUUACGACUUUUCCUUUCUCAUUCAUCUUGUUCAUGAAAACCCAUUUAACUCAAAUGAUGGAUUUACCUUUCGGUUUAGGAGUCAAUUCCCAGACAUCAUUGAUGCUGAAUUGCCUGAGUUCUUCUUGCAUAGCUUCAGUCCAUCUUUCAUCAGUUAAAACUUCUUCUAUGCUUUUGGGUUUUAUUUCAGAAAUAAGAGCCACAGCACUAGACUCUUCACGCCUUUUGGAUCUUGUGCGAAUUCCUUCAUUAAUAUCACCAAAAAUAAGAUAUUUGGGAUGACUAGACUUAUGCUUCUAAUUGCUGGUUGAUUUGUCAGAUUGUUGAUCUUUUUCCUCAUUUGAAUCUUCAUUGAUCAUUUGUUGCUUGUCUUCUGAAGUUUGAGCUACUUCUGGAGAUUUAGACUUUGUAGAGUCUGGAGCAAGUUUAGAUUCUUCAAGAUUAGUGUGAAUCGAUUGAUUUUGCAUAAAGUCUUGAAAUUUGACAUUCAUUGAUUCCUCCACAGAUUGAGUCUUUUUGUUGUAAACUCUGUAAGCUUUGCUUGUGAUAGAAUAUCCAAGGAAAAUACUUUCAUCUGAUUUUUCUUUAAACUUACUAACUCGAUCAUUUGCAUUUUUCAAUAUAAAACAUUUACAUCCAAAUACAUGAAAAUAUGAAAUAUUGGACUUUUUUCCUUUGAAUAACUCAUAGGGAGUUUUCUUCAGAAUAGGCUUUAAAAAGACUCUAUUAAUAAUAUAACACGCUGUAAAAACUACUUCAGCCCAAAAACUAGAAGAGAUGUUACUUUCAAUUAAAAGAGUUCUAGCCAUUUCCUGAGUGACCUAUGCUUUCUUUUCACGACUCCAUUUUGCUUUGGAGUAUAUGGUGAAGAGAACACAUGCUGAAGACCAAAUUCAUCACAUAAUUUUGUAAAGUCUUGAUUUUCAAAUUCACCUUCAUGGUCUGUCCAUAUACUUGAAAUAACAUACCCUUUCUCAUUUUAGACCUUUUUAGCAAACUUUAUAAAAUAAGAGAAUGUUUCAGACUUACUUGCCAGGAAAUAUACCCAAGUGAAUCGUGAAAAAUCAUCCACAAUUACUAAACAGUAUUUCUUAUCUCCAAUGCUCUGAGUUCUGGUAGGUCUGAAGAGAUCCAUAAGCAAGAGCUGUAGUACACGAUUAGUGGAUACUUGAUUUAUUGGUUUGAAUGAGUUUCUUACCUGUUUUCCCAACACGCAGGGUGUGCAUAGAUCAGACUUUUGAUAUGUCAGAUUGGGUAGUCCACGAACAAGCUUCUUUGCUGAGAUUUUGGCUAUUUACUUCAUGUUGAUGUGUCUAAGUUUUCUGUGCCAUAAGUUUGUUUUUUCUUGAAUUGAGAUUAGAUAUUGAGUUUCAUCUAGUUUGAUAUCCAAGAGGUAGAUAUUCACAUGUCUUCGACCUGUGAAAGACUGAGAGAAGUCUUUAUUGGUUCCUGAACAUAUUCCUUCUUGAAAGUUGAUUUUGAAAUCGGUGUCGCAUAGCUAACUGAUACUCAAUAAAUUGUAGUUGAGUCCUUCCACUAAGGAAACAUUACUGAUCGUGAGGCUUCCAAUCUUUACAGUUCCGUAUCCCACAAUUCUUCUUUUGCCGUUUCCUCCAAAAGAAACUUUUCCAUCAUUGACUUGUACAAGCUUUAUGAAGCAAUUUGAAUCUCCUGUCAUAUGUCUUGAGCAUCCACUAUCUAGGUACCAUUUAACAUUUUUCUUAAUAGUGACCUGCAUUUAGAAAGGAGACUUAAGCUUUCUUUGGUACCCAUAUUUUCUUGGGUCCAUUGGUGUUAGUGUAAUAUAUGGUCUUUGCCCAAACCUUCUUAAUAGGUUUCCAAACCAUAGGACAUUCUUUCUCAAAAUGAUCUGAGCUAUUACACUUAAAACAUUUAAGAGCACUGCGACCUACUAGUUUUACAAAAACUUUUUGGAAAUUAUUUUUGUAAGAAUCUCUUGUAGAUCUUUGCUUAAUUCUUUCCUUUACUUUAGGAAAAUCAAUUAGAAGAAUGGUUUCAACAAUCGUUCCUAAACCUGAUUUGUUGAAGUAAGGUCUUUGUGCUGAAAGAAUUUUUUAAAGUUUCUCUGAUCCUAUAGAAAAUCUUUUAGAAAUACUUGAGAUAUCAUUUUUCAAGAAUUCAUUUUCUUUUGAAAGAUUGUCUGCAUUUUCUUUCAAAGUAGUAACACUUUUAUCUAAACUUUUCACCUUUUCUUUACAAACAUUUUCCUAUUGUUUAAGUGCAUAAUUUUCUCUUUUAAGUUCGGAAAUCUUUUUGAGAGAAGUUUUGAGAUUAAGACACAAUUCAUCAAUGUAUCUAGAGACUUUAGUAGGGAUUUUCAAAUUACUUAUCUCGAUUUCACUAUCUGAAUCUAUGUCUGUCUCGGAGUCUAAAUCUGAGUCUGAUUGUGCCAUGAGAUAAAUAUUGGCAUAAUCAUCAUCACUUUCCUCACAUUUUGUAUUACUCCAAGUUUCUGCUUUAAGUGCCUUUCGAUAUUUCUCAGCUUUUCCUUUCUUUUUCCUCAGAAGAGGACAAUUGGGUCUAAUGUGUUCCUUUUUCUUACAUUCAAAGCAGACUACAUCUUUAUUGGAUUCAUCAUCCUCAACUGACUUAAUCUGUUGCUUUUGAAAACUUUGUUUCUUUGGAUUGAAUAUUUUCCCCUUUCUGUUUAGUUUUCCGAAUAUUCUUGUCAUGAAAGCAAGCUCUUCAUCAUCCAUAUCGUCUUCAGAACCCGUGACAUCAGAAUCAUCAUUAGAUUUUAAUGCAAUGGAUUUCUUACCUUUAGGAUUUUCAUCUUCGUUGAUUUGCUCCACUUCAUAAGAUUGAAGAGUCACAACCAAUUCGUCAAUAGAGAGUGACAUGAUUUUUUGUAUCUCUCUUAUUGCGGUCUUUAUGUGAUUCCAAUCCUUGGACAGUCCACGCAGUAGCUUAUUUACCUUUAUGGGUCCAGAAAUUGGUUGACCCUGAUAUUCAAGACCAUUCACAAUUUCUGUAAAAUGGCUAAACAUAUCGGUGAUAGAUUCUCCUGAUUUCAUUUUGAAUGCUUCAUAUUGAUCGAGUAGAAUGUUGAUUCUGGUUUCUUUCACUCGAUCAGUUCCUUCAUAGGUGAUGUGUAAUCUAUCUCAGACUUCUUUAGCUGUUUCACAAGAAGAUAUUCUAUUAUAUUCAGUAGGAGAUAAUGCACAAUAUAAAGAAUAAAUUGCUUUCGCAUCAAGAGCUUGUCUCUUGGUUAUCUCUUUUUGAGUCAUUUCAUUAGACUCAACGGCUUCUUUUCCUCUUUGUGAGACUGGUGCAGCUUUAGGAAUGAUUCCUUUGUCUACCACAUCCCAUUUCAGAGGAUCCUUUGAUCUUAGAAAUGCCUUCAUCUUGUUUUUCCAUAUGUUGUAUUUCUUUCCAUCAAAAUAAGGCGGUUUGGUAUUACUUUGCCCUUCAACCAGUCCUGGAGCAACAUACUAGCCAUGGAUCUUUAACUCUGAAGUAAAACACUUCAACUUAAGUGAGUACACAGGCUCUGAUACCAAUUGUGAAAGCUAGUAUGAGCACCUUGAGGGGGGUGAAUAUGUGUAAAAACAAAUUUCCGAGAUAAGUGUGCAACACUAAUCAAUAAUAGAUGAUGAAAAUGAAGUUAGGCUCUUGCAGACAAAAUGAAUUACGAUCAAAGUAAAAUAGCGUAGGGAAGAGAAUAUGAACACAUGGUUUAUAGUGGUUUGGCUUAAUCCAAGCCUACAUCCACUCUUCCGCACUGACAGCCCACCGGCUGGAUUUCACUAUGAAACAAAAGAGUUGUUACAGUAAAGCUCUUCCUUGAUUCCACAGUGUAGAGACUCUGCUACACUUCCUCAAGAUCUCUCAAAGAUAUAGACUCUCUUUUGCAUACAAUAUUUCGCUUAAUAAUUUAAUUGAUUAAGAACAAGGAGUUUCAGACUUUGGAAUUCUUUUAUCGCGCACACACUCGAACAACUGGAAUGUCUUCCUUAUAUACUCAUUCAUGUCAUCACACCCGUUGGCACUUAUCAAAGGAAUUCUUCCAAUCUAACAGUUGGACAGAAUCAAUUAGGAAGAUUUCGAGCUAUUUAAGGAAUAUGACGAUAGCUCACCAAUCCUGCUCGCCCAUACAAUUAGGAUCUAGGUUUCCAUAAGUAGAACCUUCCAAGUAUACUUCGCCAAUCAACGGAUCCAAGAUCCCUGAAUCAAUCUUGAUUUGAAUAAUGGAUUUCGACAUGCUGUAUCUAGCCAAGAGAUCUUCUUUAGUCAUCAGAAUCAAAUUCUUAACGAAAUACUUUGUUUCGAAUAAGCCUUCUUCGACGGUGUAGAAACUGUCAAUGAUGAUAGACUUUUAGUCUUGAGUCUGGCAGUCUGGAGGUCUUUAGACUUUGAUGGAAGAGUCUGCAAGUCUUCAGAGUAGACUGAUGGAAACGUUUUGUCAACUUCAAAACACUUAAGCAAGUUUUCUCCAACAAAAAGUAAUUGUUGAGACAUCUUAAGAAUUAGAAUCUAAGUCAUCUUGUAUGGAGAAAUUUGAUAACGUGAUUCGAUGUUGUAGAAGUAGAUUAUAAAUGUUAAUCACACAAGGAGACUAGUUGAUAUGGACAAGCAAAUUGCAAAGAAUGUUGUUGCCUCCAUUACUAAAGGGAAAGACCUGAAAGAUAAGGAGGUGCCUUGUUAUGAUUAUGAAGUUUCGUUGUAGAUCUAGUGACUAAUAAUUUUAAUAUCAAAUGGGAGAUAAUGUUGUAUUUUGUUAUACCAAUCAACUAUUUGAAAAGGGGCGAAAAAGCUUACUUUACUUUGUCAUAUUGAGCCAAUAGUCUGAUAAAGCAUUAAUUUAGCUGUGCUUGAAAGAAUUGAAAAGCUUAAAUUUAAAUUUUCGAUUCCAUCCAUGUUCGAGUCAUCGAAAUCGUUGCUUUUUCCCCAAAACUUACGGUCUGCAUGGCUUAAAUGCAUGCAUGUUAUAUAUUUAGACAUGGAAGGCAUCUUUUGGCCGUGUACCCUAUUGUAUAUUAGGUGCGUAUAUUUUGACAUUUGACUUCAGAUUGCACAUUGAGAUUGAUGACUUUCAUUGUAUGGUUUAUUGUUGAUUAAAACUCCUUAAGGUAGCAACCGCUGCCUUAAAUUCACACCGUGUGUGAUUUGAUUCUCUCAUUAGUGUAUGCUAAUGUUUUGGUCUUUCUUCACCAUAUGUUGGUUUUUCAACAAUGUAAAUGGGAAUACUGUUCUUGUUUCAUUCAUCAGGCUACAUAUUCAGGAAAACAAGCAAAUUGCGACUCUCGGUAUUCAGACAGGUCAUGGAUGGUGAGGCUUGGGAGCUGUGGAUGUGACCAGGGGGCAUUUCUUCUGUUGGUUGGCCCACAUUUGCAAGAGAAAAUCAUCCGCAUGCAGGAAAAUGUUUGUGUGUUUGAGCUCAUUGAUUGGGAGGAUGUUGUGUUUAGAGUCUAUGAUUCCAUUAGUGCUGGUAAAGACUUGAUUACAUUAAUCGAAAUGAACUCUCGAAGUGUCACUUUGGCUCAUCCAAAAAUAAAUCACUUUUUCAUCAUUUUAUCUCCUUUGUUUAGUCUCGGUGAAUCAAUGAAGUGUACUUCUUCCAUUCCCAUUGCGUUUGUGAGGUUCGCAAUAAUCCAGAUGCACACUCAUUAAUGCCGCAUCCCAAAUCUAAAUAAACCGAAAAGGAUGUGCUUCAAUAUCAGAAAGAAAAUUAAAACCUGAAACGCUCAUCAUUAGAAUUUAGAGGUGUGACUUGUUGGUUUCUAAGUUAUGCUUAUUUGUACAACAUCAUGUAUUUUUUCUUGUUACAUUUUCCUAAUAAGCUUUUGUAUAUUGAUGGGUUACAUUACUAUUUAGGAUAUGCUAAGUGUAGUUAAUUAGUUAUGUCACGUGAAGAACAUGUACUCAUUAGUAACAUUAUAACAGGUAUUGAUUUGCAUAUUGUUGUAACUCGAUACAUAAUAGAGCAGUACCUAUGAGAACUCUUCUUUUACUUCUGUGCAGGUCGGACCAAACAGUCCGAAUAUCAAUUGCGCCCCUCUGAGCAGGCUUUGCAUGGCCUUACAUUUCCGCGGCUUCCCACUGCUCUUGAAAAAACUAGGGAAUUUGAAUUAGAGUAUCCAUUUUUGAAAUUGGUGAUGGGCCAACUUUUAUGAAGGACAGAACCACGGUAAGGGCCCUAUGUCUUUCAUAAUUGGCAUAUCUCAACCAUGACGCCAUCUACAUCUUGUCCUAUAGUCCACUGUUUUCCCAAAAUGUUUUGGUCUUUCAUAGGAAUCAUGUGAGAUGUUAUUCUCUGAGGUGUCCAUGGCUAUAUGUGUAAAAUCAGGAAAGUUUUGACUUUAAAAUUUCUUUUCUUUUCUUUUCUUUUUUAAUUUAUGGAUUCAUAAGGUUACCAAUUCCAAAAUAAAAGAUUUUAUUUUUUCAAUAAUCAGGGGUAAAGAAAAUUACUAUUAUUCAUAGACUAAGAGGAUAUUGUGGAGACAAUCAAUGUUGGCAACUCUUGAAGCAUUACCAUGAGAGUUCAAAAAUUGUGUACACUAUUGUAGAGUCUAUGAGCAUUGUAUUGUCACAUUUUAACUUCAAAUUGCAAGUUGGGAUUGAAGACUUCUAUUAGCCAAUUAAGAUUGUAAUUGAAUUUCCUGAAACUAGUAAAUACUAUAUUUACAUUUUGUUUGCCUUUUCUAUUUAUUGUUUGUUUGUAUCAAUCUUUUCCUCAUAAUACGAUAUUGGCAAAGUGUUCCUUGUGAAUUCAUAAAGAGGUACAUCCAGGAGAACCAGCAAAUUACGACUCUUAGGUAUUUGAACAAAUAAUGGCUGGUGCAGUUCGUAACCCAUCAACACCAUUAUCCAGCAAACACAUCUGUGGUUGGCCCACUUUUAUGAGAGAAGCUUAUCUGGAUGAAGGGGAUGUCUGCAUGUUUGAGCACAUUGAUAUGGACGAUUUUAUGGUCUUAGUUUCCGUCUCCAAUUAUGCUAGUGAGGACCUCAUUUAGGUCGAUCGAGAUGAAGAUUAGAAGCGUCACUUAAGGCUGUAUAUUAAUGAAGCAAUUCAUGCCUCCUUUAUUUAGUUGCGACAAAUCAAUUGAAAGUGCACUACUUUUGGCUUUGCUUCUCUUUCUUGACCUACUUACAGUCUUAUCAGAGUUCUCUUAAUACUUUUGUGCAGGUCAGAACAGACAAGUCUGAAUGCCCAGUGAGCCCCCCUGAGCAGUUUUUUUCGUGAUUCCAAGUGCCUGAGGCCUCUCACUGCCCUUGAGAAAGCUAGAGAAUUUAAAUUAGAGUAUCCCCUUUUCCAGACAGUGAUGUGGCCAUCUUUUCCUAAGAAAGAAGUGGCGGUAAGUCCUAGAUUUCCAUUCAAAAUCGGCAUAUCUCAAUUAUGAAUGCCACCUAUUCUAUAUAUGCGCCCCACUCUGCAAAUUUUUCCCAUGUUAAUAUGCUUUUUAUAGAAACACAUGAUAUGUUAUCUUUCUUGAAGCGUUCGUGGUUAUAUGUUUAAAACGGGCAUCUUAACAACUGAGUAAAGGGACUAGGGAAAAGCAAUAAGUCAGGCAGCAAUCGGCAAAUAACCUAGUGACAGGUGUGUGUGGAGACAAGGUCAAAGGGUUGACAAAGGCAAUAACAACCAUAAGUUAGGAAUUUAAUGAUUUCUAUUUUAAGUAUAAAUUCCUCCCAAAGAUGACUACUUAGUACUUUCUCUGGCUGCCUAGGCUUGGGAAGAAGAGGCGACACGAAAUGUCCAGCUUAAGUCAUAACAACUGCAACAGGCCUAGGCUUGGGAUGAUUGAGCUCUCUGCAACAACAUGGCACCACUAGUCAGAUAUUGCUCCCUAGCAAUGACUGGUUUUGUGAGAGCUACUAUGAUCGGAAAUGGAGGGACGGUAGUGCAGCCCUUGACCUCAAAAAUUAGUUCCACCACCUCGGUGGUAUGAAAAGAAGAAAAGAAGUAUCACUUUUUUUGUUUUUUGUUUUUUUGUUUUUUUCCAGGAAAAAGAAGAUCACUCACUUAUUGUGUAUAUAUGCCCAUCUAGCACACUAGGUGCAGCUUUUCAUGUUUGUUUCAAUGCAUAUCGCAAUGCAAGAUUAGUGACUCGGAUAUUGACCAGAUUCAUGCAUGUCUCUAUUGAUUACACGUACUUGGUGUAGUGUCUAAGAGCACAGGAUUGUGGGGCUUUGAUUUCAGAUUGGAAAUUGUGAUUAAAGACCAUCUCACCAAGCCUUUUAGACUGCUAAUAUGGACUCUGUAAACUAACAAUUACUAGCAUAGACUUACUUCUUGUUUGCCUUUUCACUUUAGUGUACGCUUACAUUCCUAUGUCUUAUCAUAUAUCGGCUGGUCAAAUAUCUUCAUGGGCAGAGCGUUACUCAUGAAUUCAUGAAGACAUGCAGCCAAGAAAACCAGCAAAUUGCUACUCUUAUGUGUUUGGAUACAUUGUGGCUGGUGACCAUCAUGACCUAUCGACGCUAUGGUUUGGCGAACUUCUCUGUUGGUUGGUCCAAGUUUGUGAGGAAAACUUAGUCUUGAAUGAAGGGGAUGCUGCAUGUUUGAGCUCCUUAAUAGGGAUGAUGUUUAGGUUGAAAUGGGAUGAACAUUGGAAGUGUCACUUUAGGCCAUAUGCUAGUUAAAAGCGAUUUAUGCCUCUUUUCUGUUGUGAUGAACCAGAUGAAAGUGCACUUUUAUUUGUAACUGUGCUCUUUUUUGAGCUACUUACGAUCUUAUAAUUUCUAGGCCCGGCCACUCCCAUACAUCCGAUGUUAGUCCUACACACAUUUUCUACUUUGGGUAUCUCUUGAGCUCGUUACGCUUUUAUCAUUGCCUUUUUGGAAAGGAUCUCUUGUUCAGCACUCGGUCCACUUCCAAGUUAUCGAACCUAGUUUUGUAUUACAAAAGAAUGUCAAAAGUGACGUGUUUUAGUUCUAGAAGGGAUGUGGAAAUUUAUGCAUCAUUCCGUCACUCAUGGUCACCCAAUAGCUUUUAAAUAUGGGAGAGACACUAUACUCAUGUAAUUAUAUUUGAUAAAAAAAAAAACUUAUCUAGAUACAUUAUCCCUCAAGCGGUGAUGAAAUUUAAAACCCUGAGAGUGAAUUCCACCUACAUCUGGCCUAUAGUCCACUGUUUUCCCAAAUUGUUUUGCUUAUUCAUUGGAAUCACAUGAGAUGUUAUUUUCCUUCAAUGGCUAUAUGUGUAAAAUUUUGAUUUGGAAAUUUCAUUUUUUUUUAAAUUUGGAUUCAUAAGAUUACCAAUUCUAAAAUAAAAGAUUGCAUUAUUUAUUUUUUUAUACUAAUCAGGUGUAAAAAAGAUCACUAUUAUUCACAAACUAAGAGGAUGUGGUGGUGAAGAUCAGUGUUAGCAACUCCGGAAGUGUUACCAUGAGAGUUCAAAAAUAGUAUACACCAUUGUAGAGUCUAUGAGCACUGUACUAUGACAUUUUGAAUUUGAGUUGCGGGUUGUGGUUGCAAACUUUUAUUAGGCAGUUAAGACUGUUAAUUGAAACUCUUGAAACUAGUAAAUAUAAAUAAUUUACGUUUUGUUUGCAAGAUUCUUAUACGCUCUUGCCCAUUCAUUACUUGUCAACUUUUGUGGACUUGAUAUAGCAAGACCCUUUUUUUUUUCUCUUUCUUGAAUCAACAAUGGGGAGAAAAAAACAUAACGAACCCUUUUGCGAACUUGACACAGCACAACCCCUUUUUUCUCUUUCUUGAAUCAACAAUAGGGAGGAAAAAACGUAUUGAACCCUUUUCCGAAAAGAUGAACUUGCAGUCUCAUCCAAAUAUGAAGGAAUAGAUCAAUCAUUAGUGAAUUCGUAUUGCUCACAUCUAAUUCUACAGUAAAAAAGCUAAAGCUGUCCACUGACACUGAGCGUGCACAACUCUUUAAUUUGACCAUAAGCGAAAUCCAUGCAAGCAGCACAAUCCAAUUGUGCUAGCCCGAUGGCACAAGCUCCAUGACCGAAGCAUUUGGUGUCGCCAUAAUAAGCACUGAUGUAGUAGUUGAAUCCCUCGGUUGCGGUGCGGGACCUCAGAUCAGUCAAGACUUGAUCCAAAGCUCAUAAGUAAUCGUCGGUGUACUGCACGUCGUUGCAUAUCUUGUAGAUAACCAUCACGUCCAGGUCACUUCUCACAAGACUCGAACCCCAUAGAAGCCUCAUGAACAUAAGUGCAUGUGAUGUGGACAUGGUCAUCCUAGCCCUCUUUCCUCCCUUUGGUUCUCUUUUGUUUAAUACAAAGAAACAGACAAUUGAGUUAGGCUUUAAAAAAGGUUCGUCUCCACAGUGCAAUCCGUCAUUUAUGCUUUGUUUUUAGGCCAAGUCAAUCCCAAUUUUAGUCAUUUAUGAUGUCACAUGGAUGUAUUCUUGAUAACUUCCCCAGCCGUUUCUAUGAAUUGUUCGCCCAUUAGUAUACUGCAUGGUUGCCAUCCUUGCAAACCCUAAUCUUAUAAUUUUUUAUGAAAAUUUUCCCUCUCUUACCAUGCAUAAAAAAUUUAACAUUAGGAUCCUCUAAGUUUAUGAAAUAAAUUCACAUUAUGAUAAAUGACCAACUUCACUUUUUUUGUCCUUUUUAUUCUCCUACUCUGCACACAUGCAUCUGCCUCACAUACAAGUCUUGAAUAUAUUUAUAUCUGUAACAUUGUGAACUUUAGGUCAUGUAAUUAAUGGAGUUCAUGAUAGUUAUAAAACCCGAAUUACAUUAUACUUUUGCUGCUGCUAAUACUACCAUGUGAGUGUAUUAAAAAAAGGAAAAAGAAAAGGAAGCCUGAAAACCCGGAUCGAAUCACCCAAACUGGCCCAAUAAUUUUCGGCUCAAAUAGUCUCAAGCCUGCCGAUUUGGCCUCAACAUAUCCUUGAGUUUGGAACCCGAAUGAUUGCCAAAUCAGCCGUCAAUUGAGGGCUCAACUACUCUCGUUCUCCAGUCUCUCAUGCUGGCCGAGAUCCAGCCAUCGCUAAGCUGCCAUCACCGCCUGCCGUCGAGCCCCACUUAUGUGGCUAUCGAGCCCCACUACUCACCGUAUGCCCUCCGUCCAAUAUGUCUUACUCGCUCCCUCAGCCCCCUUACGCUUGCUCACUUCUUGGUCACUUCUUGGUCUCCUUUUUGCUCCCUCGCUCUCUACCGGUAGAAAAGAGGUUCUGACCAGCCUGUUUUGAUGUCUUAAGGUUUUUGAUUUUCGUACAUUCUAUUUGAAUUUUUUAUUAAAAUUUUUCAAAUGAUAGAUAGUCCCUGUUAAAAAGAUGCAAUUACGCUUUUUAUUAUUUUUGUUUCACAAUCUAUUAGUUACAUUUAGAUAGCGGAGAGUAGUGGAGAAUGGCUGUUGAUGACAAUUUUCACUUUUAAGUACUAAACGGCGAAAGUUGCCCCGAAUUUGUCUAAAAUCUAUUAUCAUCACAAUUUGAUUUUAAGGUAAUUUAGACCGAGAGAUCAACAGAGGAAUCUCUACCCUUAAAGAAUUCACAAAUUUGGUAAUGUCAUUUUACAAAUUCUAUUCUCUAAUAUCCUUAUGUUCAAAUGAAAAUUUAUGUAGGAUAGCCAACUAGUGCUAGUGCAAGAUAUGAUCCCUCAUCGAGCUAAUCGAGUCACGAAACAUGUUACCUAGACCGAGUGCAUACUCUAUUGCUCUCACAGAAAGCAUAUAUGAAGGCCUACUAAGAGUGAAACUAAGUCAAAUUAUUCAUGAGUUAGUUCGAGCUAGGGUUGAUGAUUAUAUGAGAACUAAUAUCUAGUUGAGUCCUAACUAUAGCUACUCCAUAAUCUUGUCAAAUUGAAGCUCUAGCUCGCUAAUACUUUUGUAAAUUUAAUUUAAAAAAUCUAAUUGUUAUAAAAUUAGCCAUAGACAUAUCAUCUGCACACACAUGUAUAUAGCCUAUGGACUUCUCAUUUGAAUCAAGCUCCUAUAUGAAAUUAAUUCUUGGCCGAGCUCUAAUCUAGUUUUAAACACUGGCUACGAAGUUGAGACAAUCUUUUGUUUGGCACUAUAGCAGAUUGAUUAGACUCGACUCCUAAGCCCCAACCAUGUUGACACCUAAUUCGAUUAAUGAGAGUCAAAGUGUCCAUUAAAGCGGUUAAGAAUUUUGAUGUGCAAAACUUGAGUGCAACGUUAUCGUUGAGAAAUCUCAUUACUCAAGAUAUAGUUGGAUCUUCAUCAUGCAAUUUUUAACCCCCCCUAUAAUUUUCAAUCCAUAUAUUAACUGAUAGCUCAAAUGAUGAAAGUAAGCGAACACUAAUAAAUGUAAGAAAUCUUCAAGAGUCGCCUUUCCUAAGUCCUAGCUAUAAAUCUAGUAGGGACGUAGCUUGGCUUAAAAAAUCCUUGCUGUAACUUUUCUCUGACAAAAUGACACUCCAGUUCUAGAGAAAAUUCUAAAUAAGGAAUCAAAGUGUUCUCAUUUUCUCAAAUAAAGGCAAGGAAUGGCCUUUAUUCAAUAAAGGCCUGCAAUGGCCAUGAUUAUUUCAAAUAAGGACUUAAAGUUACCAUGGUUGUUUGAGAUAAGGGCUCAACCUCGUCGGUUAUUGGUUGGCUAAAUAUUUGACCAGUUAGGGGCAUUUUCAUCCAAUUACAAUUUUAAUUUUAAAUUAUUUUUUAUUCUUUUCUUCUUCUUUUCUCCACUCUUUUUUUCCCCCUUUCUAAAGAGAGUUAGCAGUUGCAAACAAAUACUCAGCAACCCUCGCCAGCCAUGGGUAAGGGUCGGCAUGAACUUGGCCACCUUCGUUGGCCGUUGUUAAGGGCCCAUGAGGGCCUACAAGCCCUCGCUAGAUUAGGCGAGAAUCAACCUCGCCUAGGGCUGACAAGGGUUCGGUGACCCUUGCCAGACACAAGCGAGGGCCAACCUCACUAAUGACUACAAGGGCAACCCGCCCUAAGGUGAAGGUAGCUUGUCCAAACAAGAACGUCCCUUGCUAGCCGCUAAGGAGGUCACCCUCACCCAAAUCUAGUGAGGUGACUCUUUCGAGGCUGGCCUCACUCGCAGCAGCCUCCCUAGGGUAGGGGUCGCCUCGCGUUACAUUGAUGAGCACAACCUUCUCCCAGCCCUUUCCGACAUCGCUUGCGGGUGGUCAACCACCAAUAAAUAAGAAAGAAAAGCCAAAAAAAAUAAAGGAAAAAAUAAAUAAAUGAGUAAAAUGCCCUUGACCAACCAAAAAGUCAAGCCACUUUUUGAAGUAGACAUAGUUAGGGCCUUCUUUAAAAUCAAAUCUACUUCAAGUUCUCAUUUGAGAAAAUGAUAGCACUUCAGGCCUUUAUUUAAAACAAGAUCUACUUCAAAUCCUUAUUUGAGAAAAUGAAGACACUUCAAGUCAUUAUUUGAAAAUUUCCCCCAAUUCUAUAUAUAUGGUGUGUUUAUUGAAAAUUGGGUUUUUACUGCAAUUUUUGGCACAAUAUACCUUUAAUUUUGAAUAACUAUUUGACAAUAAAAAAAUUCCUUGUUGAUAAGAAAUUUUAAAUACCAAAUAUCCUCCUUUCCAUUUUUUCAUAAAUUAACUCGGGGCAUACAUAGAGAAAUCCUCAAUAAUUUCAAGUUUUAAGAUUAAAUAAAUCAUUGAGUCUCUGUCAUGUCAUUCAUCUUCCAACAAGUACUCCCUAUAGGAAGUUUCACUUUUGUUUCUUGCAACUUAAAUUCUUAAAAAAUAUAUAUUUUUUCAAUUUUUGAGGUCUAUUAAUGAAAAAUUUGCCUAAUUUCAUUUUCGGUCAUCAAUAUAACAUCAAUAAAUAUCAUGAUAAAUGAAUUUCCUCUCCUUGAAGUAAAUAGGGAAUAAUAUAUAAAAAAAGUCAACAAUUGUUAACAUCCGAGAAAUUAAAAGGGGAAGAAGAACAACAACAAGAAGAAGAUCCGUUAGGUUUUCCAGUUCUUGCGUUUCGAGCAUUCGGUCACUCUGGGAGCGCAUGGAAACAUUUCUGCUCUUUUUUUGUUCCUGGGAACAGAAAGAAAAAAAAGUGUUUCUGUUCCGGAGAACAGUUUUUGAACAAAAGAACGCGUUUAGUAAGUGUAAAAAAAAACUGUUCUUGAAAUAAAAAAAAGAACAGAAACACGUUUGGUAACUGCAGUCAAUUUUUGUUCUUAGAAUAGAAAAAGAACAUAAACAUGUUUGGUAAACGACAAAAAUGUUGAACUAACUUGUGUAAAACAGAUCAUACGUUGCAUUUUGAGCUACAAGAAAUACAUAGUAAUGCUACAUAUAGAAUGCAACCAUGAAAUUCAGCCAACAUAAGGCAGCAUUACCCUUAGUUAUUACCUUCUUACGAUGCCACACAACCACGCUGCGGCCCGACUUCGGCUGGUUCUCCCCCUUGGUGGUGAAAUCGUCGUUGAACGCCCUCGCCACGUGCUUCACCAGCCUGUCCAUACCACAUCACCAUGAGCAACAAAACAACAAUCGAAGGAAACCCCAAUCCAAUCGAUGAACUGAAAUUCCCCCCUUCCAAAACUGAAUCAAGCAACAACACAACAUCACUUGAAGAUCCUGCGGAAUCGAAGGAUCCACCUGGCUGCUGCUCGAGCGAGUUGGCUGCUGCUCGAGCAGCAGUUGGAGCUGUUGCGCGAGCAGCAGCUCCAGCAGCUCCAGUCGAGCUGCAGCUCUAGUGGAACUGCAGCUCCAGCAGCUCCAGUCGAGCUGCAGCUCCAACUCGAGCAGCAGCUCGCUGGAGCUGCUGCUCGAGCAGCUCUAGUCGAGCUGCAGCUCCAGCAGCAGCUCCAGCUCGAGCAGAGCAGCAGCAGCUCCAGCUCGAGCAGCUGCUCGAGCGAGCUGCUGGCAGAGCUGGCAGAGCUGCUCUGCCGCUCGAGCUGCUAGCAGAGCUGCUCUGCCAGCUCGAGCUUGCAGAGAGCUCGCUCGAGCUGCUGGCAGAGCUGCUCUGCCAGCUCGAGCUUGCAGAGAGCUCGCUCGAGCUGCUGCUCGAGCUGGCAGAGAGCUCGCUCGAAGCAGCUCGAGCGAGCAGGCGUCCCAGAUCUGCCGCAGAUCUGGGCGAGCACACUCGCUUGAGGCUCGAGCGAGCAGCCGUCCCAGAUCUGCCGCAGAUCUGGGCGAGCAACGCUCGCUUGAGGCUCGAGUGAGCCAUCCCAGAUCUGCCUCGCCGAAGCCCAUCGUCGACCGGAGAAGGAGGAGAACCAGAAAACCUACCUGGAUUCGGAGCUUCAGCCGGUGGAGUCGCCGGAGUGAGUCGCCGGAGAGACGAGGCCGAGUGGGAGUCGCCGGAGAGAAGGGAGACACGCCGGAAAGUUGCCGGAGACAGCCGGUGCGUCGGCGUCGUUCUUCGCCGGAGCGUUGGCCGAGUGAGGAGUCGCCGGAGAAGGAGGACGAACGAAGGAGAGCACGAACGAACGAAGUGUUCCCGUUUCGUUUUUUUGUUCUUUUCAUUUUUGUUCCUUUCGAGCGUCCAAGAAGUGUUUCUCAAGGCCAAACAACAAUUUGUUGUUUCUUUUUUUUGUUUCUAUUUUGUUCCGAGAACCAAAAAACAAAAAAAGAACAGAAACCCAACUAAACGCGUUUCUAUUCUUUUUUUUUGUUCCCGGAAACAAAAUCCGUACAAAAGUGUUCCAGAAACACUUCUUUGGAGCGUUUCCAUGCACGCCCUCUCUAUUUCUUCUUCUUCUUCUUCUUCUUCUUCUUCUUCUUCUUCUCUCUCUCUCUCUCUCUCUCUCUCUCUCUCUCCAACCCUCGAGCCGAGCUACACCGCCGUAUUGCGGCCUCCGACCGCCGCCGCCGCCAGGCCACCUUGGUGUUCGGCAGCAGUGCCGCCCCUCUCUCCGCCUCGUCCGAAACACCCUCCCCGAAACCCUUAGGUCCCUCGCUUCGGUUCUCCAGGAUUGCUCGAAGAUGGACGAGGACCAGGAGACGGAGAGGUUCGGGAUGGACAACGAUUACGACGACGGGCAGUGGAUCCACGGGGAGUUCUACUACCGUCGGCGGAGGGAGAAGCGCGCCCAGACCAAGGACGACGUGCUCUACGGCGUCUUCAUGUCGGGGGACUCCGAUUUGGACUACAACGACUCCUCCAAGAGGAAGUGGAGGAAGAAUAGGGACCUCCUAGGUAAGGCCGACCUGUCGAAGCCCGUGAAUUUCGUGUCCACCGGCACGGUCAUGCCGAACAGAGAGAUUGACGAGAACACGGAGAGAGAGAAUGAGGAUGAAGAAUCCGCUGUCGUGGAUGAGGAUAGGCCGGGCUUGGGGGUCUUGAGAAGAACCAACAAGGGAUUGUGACAUUCAUUGAAGCAAAGUUGCGUCCUAGGGAUAUGGGUGUGGGUUUCAACGACUUACGAGGAAACUCUUGCAAAGGCACCUGUUGCCUUGUUGGGGCCAGAGGAAUAGAAGCCAUCACCUGACGUGCCCGGUAAGGAGAAGCUUUGGUCUAAGCAAGCGAAGAAGGCAACGCUGAAAAAACAAAGUGAAGUAUAUUACGGCAGAAGAGCUGUUGGCGAAAGAAGCAGGAACAGGGCGUUGAAGUUGUGCAAAAGGUACUCAGACAUGCGCGGACCUCAGGUUAGGGUGUUAGCAAACUUGGAGAAUCUGAACACGGAAGAGAAGGCGAGUGAGAGUGAUGUUCAUAUGCCUGAGGUCCAGCACGAUAUAAGGUCGAUUGUGGACGUGGCUAAGUUGGAUAUUCAGAAGAUCGAUGUGGACCUGAGGAAGGAGAAGGAGACAGCUCUGAGCUUGCAAGAGGAAAAAGAGAAGCUGCAAGCUAAGGCAGAACUCCAGAAGAAACAAUUGAAUAAUCUAGCAACUGAGUUGUGCACAUGGAACAACGGAAGCACAAUCACAAUAGAGUCUGAUUCUGUUAGUUUGUACCCCACCUGAUGAUGCCAAAUUGCGCUGAGCUAUCAGCAUGCGAUUGGGGAGGGGUGACCCAUAGCGCCGGAGGUGUGCAAGAACAUAGCUACAUCCGAGGGAUCAUUGACGACUUUGGACAUCAAGUCGAGGCUCGGCUCUAUGUCGGUCAAAGAGAGAGUGAUUUUGGUAUCGGCAGAGUGAAGCAUGGCGGUUAGGUGGGGGAUGUUAAUCUUGGAAGCAGCGGAUUGAGCCCGUCGGUUUCCUUCUUGCGGUGUCAGUAGGAGCUUCGGUUCCGAGUCGGAAAGGUAGAACUUAAACUCCUUAGCUGCUUAGAUGGGGUUGGGCGGAGCUGCAGUGGCUCGGCAAUGGAUUACCGCCAGAAACAAGAUCACAAACUGCAAAACGAACACAUAUUUUCCAAUCAGCAAACUAUCAUACUAGUCCCUGCGGAUUGGAGAUACACACACAUGCAGAAUAUGCAGACAACUAGUUUGUCGACGUUUGAUUCCAUUAAAACCAUCCAUCUCCUUUAGAUAAGCUUUGACUCUUUUUUUUUUUUUUUACGAUGAAUCGAUGCUUGUACGUCCCAGAAAACAACCCUUGGACACGACAGAAAAUGCUCUUAAUGCUUUUCCCAAUUCAAUUUGUUCCUGUUCAAUUUGCACCACGCGCUCACAGAAAUUUCAUGCCUCAGAUGCAAUUUUUUUCAGUAGAAAUCGAUGCCAAUUCCUUUCUCUGUUCUCGAAGUACUGUAAAACUCCCAAGAAACCAUCUUCCUCUUUCUUUUCCAAGCUAUUUCCCAGUCGAUGUUUUGCAAGACAUCGAUCUCAUCAUUAGAAAUUCAUCGUCACCGCAAUCUUCCAGAUAUUGCAUUCUCGAAUUUAAACAGCAUCAUCCGUACUUGCGAACAGACCGAGAUGACACAGACGUACCUCGAUGUUGUUGAGGAAAGUGAGUGCGACGGUGUCGGUGCGAGGCAGUGAUGAGCGCGGUGGCAUGGUUGACAAGCUCCUGCAGCUGCAUGUGUGUCAGGUCGAGCUCCUCGCAGGCGGAGACGGCUCUCUUGUUGGGGAAAUCCGACAUUGCCUUCUUCAAUAGGUCCGUGAGCAUAAGUUCUCCCAUUGCUAACCACAGGGAACGAAUCAACGGCAAUUGGCUUCAGCUGAAACCAAUCCUCGAUCGAACUGAAGAGGGGCACCACAAUCGCUUAGCGAGACAAGAAUGAAGGAUCGACAAGAACAGGAAUUCGCACGUAUGCAUAUGAGAUGGAAAUGAGACCAGAGGGAGGGAGGGAAGGAAGUUGAUGCAAUCGAGGUGGCUCCGCGGCCAGUGCGAGCUCGGUUAAGGUGGCGACGGAGACUUAACGGAUCAAAGGCUGUAACUAGUCUCACUAAUGUCUUCGCAAGAAAAUGUUUCAAUAAACUAAGAUAGCCAUGUAAUCAAUACAUUUGUCCAUUCAGUGGACGACAAGUGGCACUAUGGGGGCCCGCUCUAUCAGCAAGUCUGCAAGUCCAUUCUGCACGACAAAACAAAUGUCGUCCAAGUUUGAGAUAAAAAAUGAAAACCGCAGCAUCAGAAAAGGUCAUAACCAAAGGAUUAAAAUCCAUUCCAAGUUUGGGACAAUGGCGAUUCUUGCACAGAUUGUAUAAAUGCAAAGAUCAAUGGCGAUUCUGACAGUCCAUUCUUUGCACGCACACACGCAGAUCUCCUGCUCCUUCACAACAGAAUACACAUUCAAAACUCGAUUAUGUUCAUACAGAACACCUUUAACUCAAACCAGAGGAAUCAGCAAGCCACGAGACAGCAAUUUUCAUGUCAUACGCCGAGCAUACGAGGCGAGAAUACUAACACUAUUUGACAAAUGAGCAUCCUAUUCUGACAAAGUCGGCCAUAAUAAGUAUUCAAAAAGUUGAGAACAAAUCGAAUUUAUGUAAUAUGAUUUUGCGGUUCGAGAAUUGAAUCGAAUUUACAUACUGAUCUAGUUCGAGCAUUUUAUCAAACAAGUAAUGUGCAUUUUAACCAAUGAGCUCAUACGCCAAUACACAGCAAGGAUUUACUUUCAGAUCAUCACGAAAAUAACAGCACAAGUCCGAGUUGUUAAAUAAAGCUUCAAUCUCAACUGAUUUACUCACAGACAUUAGCUAAAGCUAACCGGCUCUGUUUCGUUUAUGAGCAGCAGAAACAGAGUGCGUGGGAUUUACCUUGAUGAGAGUGAGUUUUUCACUUCGGUCCGUGAUCAGAUCGGAGAAAAGUUACUGGAGCUCUCCACGUUUGGGCGGCGUGACCAGAAAACAGAGCAGAAGGAGAGGAGGCCUUGCGGCAACGGAACCGGCAAUGGUGGAGCCGCUACAGCGGCGUUUCGAGCGUGUCGAAAGGACAAUGGAAAAGGAGAACCGAUGAAGGAUCCUCUAGAAUUCCGAAGAGAGAUGGUUUCUUCGUGAGCUUCAGUGUGUGCGUUCUAUCGUGUCAUCUCUGAGCCUGUGGUGGCCGUCGAUGGUGGUGCGACGGUGGCUGUGGUGAUUGUAGAUGGCGGACGGUGGUCUGGGCUGCGCCUUCUGGAUAAGGUCUGGGCUAGACGAAUUAAACCAGGCCCAACAAACCGGACCAGCUCCUUUCGAUUAUGAUUUUUUUUUUCUUUCAUUUCUUUCUUCGUUUGUUAUUUAUUUUUAAUAUUAUUUUUACUUUUUAUUUAUUUAUAUUUACCCAAAUGCAUGUUCGAAUUGUUGGCAAAAAUUCAUGAGUCGAUAGGAGCAAUAUUCCAUCAUUUGGCCUAUGAACAACUUCACACCAAACUCAAUUACAAUUCAUUGUUUGUGCAAUAUUGCGACAUUAUUCCCUUAAAGAUUAGUCCUUGUACUUAACUCUUCCAUCCAUGAGUUGAAUUUGAGCGCCGAUAGCAUGGCUGCACUUGUACUUGAGUUGAUUUCUUGUAGAAUCGAUGCACACAGUACAGUUUGCAUCUUGAAGCGCACUUCGCACGUUCCGUGCACGCAACACAUCGCGAUAGAAUCAUCAUACUCCUGUAGUAGUUGUACCCAUGACUCGCCAUCUUAGUUAAUCAUCAUAUGGGUGAUGCGUGUACUUUUAAGAUUGCCACUUUAUCUGUGUUCUUAGCACGUAUCUCAGUAUUGAUUUGUGCAAGUGCGUGGCACAUAUUCCGUCCAUGGUCUCCUCUGUUGAAUACUCUUGGCCAAGAGAUUACAAUGUCCUCUUUUGACUAACAUCCUCGUCUGUGCUUUGUCGUAUACGGUUUGUUAGGCAUUUAUACAGGUUCGAUACUUUUUGUGAUCAAGAACAGUACAUUCCAUCCUAUAACAUCAAUGAUCUUGUGGGAUUGUGACGAACAUCACAUCAGGUCCAUUUUCACAUUCUUGUUCUAUCGCCCUUCGCCCGCCACUUGUAUCCGGCAAACUCAAUAAGAUAGCUCCACCACCCGUCAUUUCUCCGGCCUGCCAGAAUUUCUUCCAAUUUCCGUGUCUUGUUGCGCGCGAAUCAGUUGAAGUCGGAAGACGGUUUCGUAAAAAUCUCCCUUCUCAAUCUUCAUCGUCGUCUUCUUCUUCAGCUAGGGCUUUGUUUUCAAAUUCGUCCCAUGUUCGAGGUUGUCUUAUGUUUUAUUUUAUUUUUGUUAUGUUUUUCCACUCGCGCCAGUGACUUCAGAUCAUGGUAGGCUGCCUUAGAGUGUCAAAAGGAAAAGUUCCGAAACUAGCUGAAAAGGACGAGGAUUGAGAGUGUAUAUAUGGGUCUUUCUUUAUCAAACUGGCUGUUUGAAAAUGCGGAUGAGCAGACCACUCCUUGUGGCUUCAUCAAGAAACAUCUUCAUGACAGCAAAGUAGUUGCCACUCUUCAGGCAUUUAGACAGAUCGCGGCCGGAGAAGUUAAGGAGCUAUGUGCACGUGGCAAUAAUAUCACGUCAAGUGUAGAUGUCUGCAUGUUUUGAGCUCGUCGAUGGAGAUGAUAUCGUGUUCAAAGUCUCAAUUUUCGGCCCUGUGGGUGCGUACCCGAAUUUAUUUGGGCAAAUCAACUGAAUCUUGAUAUGCAUGGCCAAGCAAUUUUCAAUCUACGCUACAACUUUUCAUAGUUAGUCAAUUUAAGAAACUUUCACGCCAAUGUCUUCUAAAUUCCUCAUCGUUUAAUUGGGAGAAAAGGUUAAUCAACCGAAGCUUGAUCCCUAUCUCUACCAGUUUUGGAUCUAAGUGCAACUUGGUCUCCUUGUCAUGCAAUCCCCAUCGCUAUUGACCUCCAAGAACCACAUCUGUCACUAGACAUUGGACGAUGCAGGAACGUUAUUGGAGGGGCUUAUGACAUCUCAAAGUCAGAAAAUCGGAUGGGAGAGAGAGAUUUCAAGAUAAAUAUCCUUGUCUGAAUGAUCAUCACAUUAUGCAGUUACUCAAAGUGUUAUUUUUUAGAGUGGAUCAGAUGGUUAAACCAUUAAACGGUAAUACGGACAUCCAACCAAUCAAGUUUUAAAAAAGACUGAAAUUGGAGAAAAGGAAGGUAGUUUUAAUAAAUAAAGAGGCAAAGGUUUCGGAAAAUAGCAAAAAGUGGAUAAAGUAGCUGAAGAAGGUCCUACAAACGCUCUCUGCCCGAUCGAAUGCCAUUGCUCACCCGCUAGCAAGUGGACCAACUCUUCAUAGCUACAAAGGCUACGCGCUUGCACCCUCUCUCUUGGAAAAGUGGGCUCUUGUGAGCACCACAUGCACCUGAGUCCCCAACUAGCCAGGUUGGAAGAGGAAAAUUAAACACAAACGUUUUGAAAAAGCCUUUUUCUUAAAAAUAAUUGAUUAUAUCUCAAAUAAUCAGUCAAAAAAAUGUUUUAUUACAAAUAACAAUUUAAUCAUUUUCAUUUAUUCAAUUUUGCAAGUGAUAAAAGCGAUUGUUUAUAGAGAAAUAUUUUUCAAAACAUAAAUUUUUCACAAAACAAAUGAAUCAGUUUUCAUUAUUUUUAUUUAUUUAUUGCCAUCAAGUUCGUCUCACCAUUGACUAAUAAGUCAUAAUCUUACUUGACUCUAUCCUCUGAAACUUGAAAAAAAUACAAUAUUAAUACCCCAAAACUCCGGCAACUUUUUAAAAGCCCACUAACGAUAAUGUUACGAAAGAAAUUGGUAUAGCCUUUUCAUUUCCAGUAUGUUUCAUCUACAAAAUUGCAACACCGAAAUCUAAUUCCCGAAGUAAAUUGAGAGAUUCAUGCGGUCGCAUUGAUGACAAGCAUGCAGUGUAUCCGAUCCUUUGUAGUUCUUGAACUGCAACAAUUUGGUAUAGUAGAAUGAGGAAUAUUGUCUCUCUAAUAAACAUGAAGAAAAGCAAACCCAAAUAAUAAUUCAUUCAAGCCCUAGAGCACCAGAGCACGUAAUUAACAAAUUGAAUUCAACACAACUGACUAAUUACCCUUGUUGCCAAACGGAAUAACAAUUUAGAGGAUAGUGGUUAAGCUAUACAACAAUAGGUCACCCAUCAAAUUUUAUGAGGGCAAAGAGUGUCAUUGAAUAGCAAAAGCAAUUGCUAAUUUACUAUUUCGUAACGAGACGAGCAUGUCCAUAAUCUGCCAAUGAUUGCUUACCCUUUCAGACAAAAUAAGGUAGGAAAAACGACGAGGGAGGCAUGAAGCUUUCUGAGGCUAAUACAUUAGCCUCAAAAAGCUUCACGCAAAUUAUCCACCCCUUGACGACAACGCAUACAAAUAAUGCAACACACUGCAUGUAAAAAUAAGCUGACUGCAAAUCUGAAAAAAGCAGUGGAUUAGGACGAACUUGGUAGGAGGGACAUAUCGGAUACGUUAGACAGUUCAUGAGAACCUCUCAUUUCGCACGCCAAGGAUGAUUCUCACGUCCGAUAGAUCCUGAGGGUGAUGAGCGAUCUAAUGAGGCAAGAUCCAGUAAAGCUUCCUCUCGGUGGGAUGGCGACGUCUUCACAGGGGUUGGGAGUGUUGGGCACUAAAUCUUGCUACAGCUCUUCUUGAAACUAUAGGGACUGAUAUAUCGCCACAGCCGACACGCAGCAUAGCAAAAUUAAAUGUCGUAAAAUCCAUGACAAGCCUGAGGCCAUAGAAAGCAGCGUUGACUUCAACUCCAGCGAAACCAGCCUCUGUGAUUGCAGAAUCAACAACCCUCUCAGGUCCAUACUUCUAAAAAGAAAAGAAGCUUUAGACACAUUGAAAGACUCUAGGAUAUGCAAACAUUUCCUCAUCAAACGCAGCAUUCAUGGCCUCUCUCACAAUCAUCUCUUUCCCAUAGUAUCAUAACUACGUAACGGCAUUUCUGCAGCACAACUCUUCCGUGGCCUUUCUCUUGACAACAUAGCAUCCGAGCCUCCGGCAUUGGCUUUUCGUAUUAGAAUCGAUAACAUCAUGCGCUCUUGAACUCUCUCUCUCUCUCUCUCUCUCUCUCUCUCUCUCUCUCUCUCUCUCUCUCGGACGGGUAUCCUUGGAAACAAAGUCCAGCUUCGUCAUUCCAUCGAACACCUUCCUUGCAAACUCGAUUCCCUCCUCCACAGCACAACCAACGGCAAUUGAAUUUCAGAAGACAGCGAGAGAAUUGGGAGAAAAAACAAGAUCGAAACAGAAAUCAACAGACAAAUCUGGAACGAAUCGAAAUUCAUUCUAGAGUUCAACGGGAGACGACGAAUUUCGUCAUCGCUUCAAUGUCACGAGGAACCGGCUGUCUCUGAAGAUCUCUCGAAGCAGCGAUCGUAAGAGAUUCCAGUUGACAGGCUCACUCCCUCAUGGUUUCGUAGAGAGAGAAAGAGAGAGAUUCUUCUCUGAAUUUUGGACAACUUGUUCUUUUCUCCUCUCUCUCCUUUCUUUUAUUUGCACUUUUGUUAUUUCUUUUUAUUUUGUUUUGUGUCUUUGAUUUGUAUUUUAUAAUAACAAAAGUACAAAUAAAAUUCAGCUUCUUCAAUGAAGGAACUGAAUUUUAAUAUUUUAUCCCCUCUUUUCUUUUAUUUGUAUUUUUGUUUUUUGUUUUUUAUUUUAUACAUCUUUAAUUUGCCGAUAAAACUAAUGAUACAGUCAAAAAGUUGAAGCUAUACUCCGAUACUGGAUGGGCAUCACUCUUUAAUUUGGCCAUAAGUGAAAUCCAUGCAAGUAGCACGUUCCAUCCAAGUACGCUAAUCCAACGAUGCAUGCUCCCUGGCCAAAGCAUUGGGCAUCACCAUAAGAACCACCGGCAUAGUGGUCUAAUCAUCGGGUCUCAAUGUCAGAUUUUCAAAAUAUCGUUCAGUUGCGCUCAAUUUAGGAAAUUUGGAUUUUAGUUAGAGCUGAGAUGGUCAUUAUUCGCUUCAUUUGUAAUUUAGAAAUAAUGUCUUAUUUUCCUUCUCACCAAGUCUCUUUCAUCUUUCAUUUUCCCCGAUCUCUCGUUCUCUCUUAUCUCAUGAUCAUCGAGUCGUCCAGUCCCCCACCAACCCGCCACCGCGCCACCUUCGAGCCCUGAGCCCUGCUACUCACCGUAUGCUCGAGAAAAUAUUGGGUACGUGAGACGCUCCAGCCUGUCAAACAAGAAGGCGUUCGGAGCGCGACACGUAUCCUCCCGUGGGACCCAUCAUCUUUAAAUAUUGGACGAGCAGGGCCACCAGAAACCUUUCCCUCCCGGUCAAAUUUGAAAAAUUCGGGGCGCUCUCUCUCUCUCUCUCCUCCCAAGAAAAUAUUAGCUGGGCCCCACGACAGAUCCUUCUCUCUUACAAUUAAUUUGAACGGAAGCGUUGGACUCUCUCUCUCUCCAUUUUUUCUUUCGACUCUCGCCCGGUUGCUCUGCCCUCCGCUUCUUCUCCGAUCGGACACGGAGCCGCCGGCCGACGAAUCACGCCACCGCCGCUGCUUCCGCAUCCGCCUCGUCGGCCGCCACUGCAUCUGAGCUAGAGCUAGUAUUUUCUCGUUCGUUCUGCCCCUUCGUCGCGCUGCUCCUCCGGCGAACGACGGAGCCCGCCGUCCGACGAACCACACCGCCGCACUUCCGCAUCCGCCUCUUCCGCCACCUCCGCAUCUGCAUUCUCCUCCGUCUUCAAUGGCGACCGGGCUCUUCCUCUCCCAGUCGCCGUCGAAGAAUCCGUACUCGAAAUCAACGUCCGGGCUGAUGCAGGGGAUGCGAGGGAGACGGAAGCGGGACCUCUUGGAUGCUCCGGGUCGAUGCAUCUUGACGUGGAAGACCAGGGUCUUGUCGAACGAGAGCUCGCGCUCCCCUUAGCGGAUAGGCAUCGAGCUGCGGUAGCCGCAACCGCCACCGAUGCCCUUGACAAAUCCAGCCACGGCGAGACGGAACUUGAUCACGAGGAGCCGCCUGAACGCCCCGCCUCUCCUCGGCCACAGCAGCGCAAGGCGGACCACGUCCCAAGCUCUGCGAGUGACGCCGGAGUCCCCGCUUGCCAUUUCCGAAUGCAGAACGUGUUACAGAGAUGGUGAGGACGGCGAAUCGCAAGCGAGCGGAAGCCCAACGCCGGAGUCCCCGCUUGCCAUUUCCGAAUGCAGAACGUGUUACAGAGACGGUGAGGACAGCGAAUCGCAAGCGAGCGGAAGCCCAACGCCGGAGUCCCCGCUUGCCUUUCCUGCUUUACCCAUCUCUCUCUGUUGGUCGGAGCGAGCUUGAGAUGCAUAACAAUGGAAGCUGCCGACAAGGCCACGGAGAAAGCAUUGGCCGAUUCCCUCUCGCGGGAAGUGAACCCUAUCUUUCUCUUUGUUUUUCUUUCUUUUUUCUUGUUGAACAAACGUGCGAAGCUCUCUGCAAAAGCAGUUGUCAUCACUGAAUUUCAAAUAGGCCUGCUAUGCAUGUAAAUGAAUUGCUUAAAUCCAUUGACCCAUUUGUGAUCAUUCAGUGAAUCAGGCUUUGGCUGGCGUUAGAGAUUAUAACUCCCUCAUUGCUUCCUUGUUUCUGCUCAAUUUUAAGAUCAAGGUUAUGUGGGUGAACGGUUCUUGCUCUGUUCCAGAGAAUACUUGCCUUGAUACCAGAAGUUGCUGCUUAUUAUGAUAUCAAAGAUUCUUGGAUUGUGUUUUGCUAUAAUGAUUUACAAUAUACUUCUAUUUGGCCAGAAAAUAUCGAUUUGAUUAUUGUAUCUUGGUAGACUGAAGCUGCUUUUCUUAGAUUGAUGUGCGAACUCCGAGCAAUAGGAAAAUACCGACUAGCACGGUUCAAACAAAUGAUGGUGUUGCCCACGGCAAUGUUCAUUGCUUGUGCAUAAUGGUGCCUUCAUUCUUUUAGGUCGAUAAUGCCGUGAGAAUAACUGAACAAGCCCCGCAAGCUCAUCACUGGAGACGACAAAAUGGCAAACAAUGCCAUAAUAGAUAAAACAAAAACAAAGCAUAUUGAAAGGGCAACCAUAUAUGCCAAAUUCUAAAAGGUUGGUAAGUUAGACUAACAAUGUUGGUAAAUUAUAAGAGAAGCCGGUAAGUUCAGAGCGAGCAAAUGAACAUCAAGCUAGAAAAGUUUUUAGAAAAGUCAAGUUGGUAAGUUAGACAAACAAUGUUGGCAAAUUAUAAACGGGUUCAACAAGUGACAAAAGUUUUUAAAAAAUAUACCAACACGGAAGAGCAUUCUAUACUUUGUGUACCAUAAAGCUAGAAAUCAGCAAAAAGUAAACGAACAGCAUCAACAAAAUUGCAAUAUUAUUAUUGAUGAUUGUUUCAGAAAACAACACAUUUCUUCGAACUUAGGGACUUAGCUACACGCUUUCUCUUCCAGAUCCAAAGGACUUAACAAUUCCUAGUUUUAUUUUUUCAUCGAGAUCCCCAUGAUCGAGUUCAGACCUCGGUUACAGACGAAUAAAGAAGAAUGCAGAGAGCCAAACAGUGCUCCAUGAAACAGAAGGAAGUCUAGGUCGACGAUUUCCCGUCUCUCGGGGGCUUGUCUGCAUACCUCCACGAGUAACAAGAGAACCCUUCUUGAAUGCUGCCACCGACGACCUCCUCGAUCGGCAUAGCAUCCGCUAUCUCUCUCACAUCAUCCUCUACAAGAUGGAGUUCACUUCCCGCGAGAGGGAAUCGGCCAAUGCUUUCUCCGUGGCCUUGUCGGCAGCUUCCAUUGCUAUGCAUCUCAAGCUCGCUCCGACCAACAGAGAGAGAUGGGUAAAGCAGGAAAGGCAAGCGGGGACUCCGGCGUUGGGCUUCCGCUUGCUUGCGAUUCGCCGUCCUCACCGUCUCUGUAACACGUUCUGCAUUCGGAAAUGGCAAGCGGGGACUCCGGCGUCACCCGCAGAGCUUGGGACGUGGUCCGCCUUGCGCUGCUGUGGCCGAGGAGAGGCGGGGCGUUCAAGCGGCUCCUCGCGGUCAAGUUCCGUCUCGCCGUGGCUGGAUUCGUCAAGAGCAUCGGUGGCGGUUGCGGCUACCGCAGCUCGAUGCCUAUCCGCUAAGGGGAGCGCGAGCUCUCGUUCGACAAGACCCUAGUCUUCCACGUCAAGAUGCAUCGACCCGGAGCAUCCAAGAGGUCCCGCUUCCGUCUCCCUCGCAUCCCCUGCAUCAGCCCGGACGUUGAUUUCGAGUACGGAUUCUUCGACGGCGACUGGGAGAGGAAGAGCCCGGUCGCCAUUGAAGACGGAGGAGAAUGCAGAUGCGGAGGUGGUGGAAGAGGCGGAUGCGGAAGUGCGGCGGCGUGGUUCGUCGGACGGCGGGCUCCGUCGUUCGCCGGAGGAGCAGCGCGACGAAGGGGCAGAACAAACGAGAAAAUACUAGCUCUAGCUCAGAUGCAGUGGCGGCCGACGAGGCGGAUGCGGAAGCAGCGGCGGUGGCGUGAUUCGUCGGCCGGCGGCUCCGUGUCCGAUCGGAGAAGAAGCGGAGGGCAGAGCAACCGGGCGAGAGUCGAAAGAAAAAAUGGAGAGAGAGAGUCCAACGCUUCCGUUCAAAUUAAUUGUAAGAGAGAAGGAUCUGUCGUGGGGCCCAGCUAAUAUUUUCUUGGGAGGAGAGAGAGAGAGAGAGUGCCCCGAAUUUUUCAAAUUUGACCGGGAGGGAAAGGUUUCUGGUGGCCCUGCUCGUCCAAUAUUUAAAGAUGAUGGGUCCCACGGGAGGAUACGUGUCGCGCUCCGAACGCCUUCUUGUUUGACAGGCUGGAGCGUCUCACGUACCCAAUAUUUUCUCGAGCAUACUCUCUCUCUCUCUCUCAGUCUUUCUUCUCGUGUCUCGCCCACAUGUCAGCGAGUUACAAAGCGAGUGAUGGGACGGACUCGCUUUUUUGCUCGUGUCAGGGUCUCCCUCCCGCUCCCCCUCUCUCCAGCAAGUGGCAAAACAGGUUUUUACUAGCCUGUUCUGAUGUCUAGGGGUGAGCGGUUCCCAGUUCCUUACAGGUUUCAGGUUCCAAGCGGAACCUGGAACCUACCCUCGAGUACAGGUUCUUCAUUUUUUGGAACAUGAAACUUACCCGUCAGAACCAAGAACCUGGAACCUACCCUGUCACAGGUUCCGGGAUCGGUUCCAAGUUCCAAUAGGUUUUUUUUUUUUUUUUUCAUUUUUAGUUUAAGAAAAAUGGAAAUGAAUGCAGCAAUAAUAAACAAACUUGUCAUUCAUCUAAGAUAGGACAAUAAAAGGAGGAAAAUAACAGAUGAUGAAAGUGCUUUGAUGGAAGCAAGUUCAUCAGAUUUGAUUGAACAACGCAUAAACAAAUUUCAUGAAUUUAGAUGCCCAUAACCUCAAGCUAUAGACUAACUGACCAAGCAACGGAAGCAGUAUUAGUAGAAUGGACAAGAGAGCUUCAACAGCCUGAUUUCUAUUCAAUGAAAAAAUGUCACUAUCCAACAAAGUACAUACAGAUGCGCCUCUUGCUGAGAAUCAUCAGUUCCCCAUAUAUAUUCCACAAACUGACUUCCCUACUUUUCAAAAAGGAAGAACAAAGCAACAAUAAUUCAGGAAGCCGAUUGGGCGUAUGAACCCUCAUCAAGCACCCUUUACGUUGAUAUUACAAUGGAGAUUGGGUAAACUUGAAUGUUAGCUCUACAAUUGGAAGAAACGGUGUACAGCAGAAUGAAUUCAAAAUAAAAAAGUUAAUUACCUCUGGCAUAUCAUUAGGACAGCCAAACUUAUGACAUCCGUCCACAUACCCUGCAAAGAGGCCGGUAUCAUUCGUCUCUCAGCUUUGAAGUCAGAAACUGGAUAUUCAAGAAACUAUCAACGCUCUUUUCCUGGAUUUGAUGAACCGGCAUGUAUGGAUAUGCCCUCUCCCGGCUUUAGCUCUACUUGACAUAUAGCACACAUGAACAGCCUAAACAUGUUGCAUAGGGGGUAUUUUGUAUCUAGUCUGCAUUUUACAAGCAUUUCUCAGUCAAAGAAACAUUGAUACGUCAUGCAAUCACAGUUAGGCAUACAAGAGUGGUCCACCAAAUUACUGUAAAAAAAGAUCCAUUGUUGUGACUGAAAGUGGAGGUUAAGAUGUAGACCUUUAUGAGAGCAUUGCGGAUCCGUCCUCAUAUAACUCCUCCACUACAUCUGGCUCAAUAUAUUCUUGAUCAAUCUGAGAAGAUGAUUCGGAUGACUUUUUACGAAACAUUGACUUGAAUACUCCUUUUCCUGGCUUCUUUGGUGGUGGCAAAGAAGCCAUUGGUUUAUCUUGCGGUAAUAUAUCAAUAACAAUGCAUGUUGUAUCAUCUCGAAGUCUUUUUUCAUGUAAAGCUUCCUGUAAUAAAAGAGGCCGUGAGUUUACAUCUAAUAUAAAGUACAUCAAGCUACGUCAUGUACCAGAUACAAUUUCACCACACAAUAUUUACCACAAACAAAUUAAAUGUUAUCCUAUUAAGUAGGGUUAGCCAUAUGAAUUCUUCCAAUGCCAUUGCACUUUGUGUCAAGACUUCCAUAAGAUCUAAGUGGUCCACAUCUUUUCUUAUAAUCUCCUUCCUACGUCUUCCCUCUUCCCAUUUAACUAGAGUCUUCAUCUCAUACCCACAUCUCCUCACUGGAGCAUCUGAAGGCUUCCCGUUUCAAACAUAUAAGCCUUGUCUAGGUUGUCUCUUCCUCUCCUCCUGAGCAUGAACAAGAGAAUGCAAACUACUCUUGUAGCAGGCGUGCCACAUAUUCCAUGUCUUUCAGUGAACAUCUCUUUCCACCAAUGUUGGUAGGUACUUAAGGUUAAAGCUGCAUUCACGAGGGAAGAAAUAUUCAAGAAUGUUUUGCUCUCCUUUAAACAGCUUAUGAGAAAUGAACCUAUUAGGGAUAGAACAUUGCAUAAAGGGGACUAUAUCAACCAAAAUCAAACAUUUAAAGCACAAUUCAUUACAGCAAAUAAGUAAUCAUCACUCCCAAACCAGGGUCCAUAAACCCCGAUGGAAUUACUCCUGUAUUGAGCUUACUAAAAGAGCACACCUCAACGGCAUAAGGACUAAAGACUUUCAGAAUUAUAAGAAAACAUCAUAUAUAUUGGCCAUCAGGUUAAAGAAACAAAAGAGACAGCAAAAUGGGGGCUUCUUCUCUGCACUUAUCCAGUAAAGUGCAACCAAGUAAGCACGUCACUGAAAGACAUUUUGUUUUCACAUGUUCUACUCAGAUUUCCAAAACAUCAAGCCCAACUAACUAAAAAACAACAACGAGUGUUAGACGAGCACCACGAAAAACAUAAGACUCUAAGCAAUGUUUCUAUUUCGAAGAUUAAAAGAAAAGACAAGGCAGAGCUGCGGCAUCGUGGGCUUUGGGGGCACGGCUUCGGGCGCGACUUCAAGUCACGGCGAAGGCAGAGCAGCGACGUCGCGGGCUGCAGGCGAGGUGCGGCAAAGGCAGCAGCGGGCCGAGCAGGAGCGACGUCGGGGCACGGCAGAGCAGCGGCGUCGCGGGCUACAGGCGAGGCGCAGCGAAGGCAGCAGCGGGCGGAGCAGGAGCGACGUCGGUGCGGGCUGCAGGCGAGGCGCGGCAGGGAUGCUAUUUGGUGGCGUCGAGCAGAGGGCGAAGAGAGAACAGACUCGUGGGUGAAGCAGCAGCCAGCAAGAGGAAGGAAGAAGAAGAAGAAGAAGAAGAAGAAGAAGAAGAAUGGGGGGUUUCGGCCGAGAGAGGAGGACAGAGGAGAGAGAGAAGAAAAGAAAAAAGUAGGGGUAGGGGGGCAGGAAGUGACGUGUGAGAAGGAAAAAGAAGAGAAAAGAAAGAGAGAGAAAAAAAAAAGAAAGGGGAAGGAGGGAAAAUCGAGGGGGAAAUCACGUGGGGGAAGGGGAGAAGGGGAGGUUUUGGGUUUUUUUUUUUUGAAUUUGACCGGUUCCGGUUCUUGUUCCAGGAACCGGAACCGGAACCGAGAACCGCCGGUUCCCAAGAAAAAGGAACUGGGAACCGGAACCGGCCACUUUAGAACCGGGAACCGAACCGGACCCUCCCGGUGCGGUUCCGGUUCCCGGUUCUACCCGGAACCACGCUCACCCCUACUGAUGUCUUCAAGGUUUUUGAAUUUAGGAUGUGUUAUUUGAAUUUCUCAUAGAGAGUUAAAGCAAAAACUAAAAUAAAAUAAACACAUUUUUUUUUUAAUUUCGGGCCGUGCCAAACCCUUGGAUCUGGGCCAUAUGGUAUGGCUUCAGUCCGGGCUAGGUCCUCAGUCACACGUUUUUGGAUUGACCCCCAAAAUAAAAGAAAGGUUUCGCUCCGGUCCUUUGGCCACAAGGCCUUUAUUGGCUUCCACAGCUAAUAGGCUAUGUAGCACGGACAUUCUCCGGAAGCCUUCGUGUCGUAUUCGACACUCCGACACAUAUCCGACACGCUCCGACACGUCCCGACACGCUCCGACACGCGAGUCCAGAAUUCCGACACGUGAUUCCGACACGCACGGGGUCAAUUUUAAAAAAUUUCUAAUACUUGAGAGAUCAAAAUAUAAAUAUACACUUUUGUAAUAAAAGAAGUAAUAAAAUUACUAUAAAUAUACACACAUGGGGUCAAUUUUUUUUUUCAGUUUUUUUUAGAAUUGUUUUAUUUUUUUUAAAGUCUUUUACUAUGAAAGAAGUAAUAAAAAAAUGCCAUAUAUGAUAAAUAAAUAAAUUUAAAAAAAUAUUAUUUCAGAAUUUUUCUUUAAACAAUGUUUUUUUCCUUUAAGUUUUGUGUAUUAUUGUAACAAAUUAAAAUAAUGAAUGAUAUUAUUUAAUAUUUUUCGUGUAAAUUAAUUCUAGGCUAUUAUUAUUAUUAUUAUUAUUAUUAUUAUUAUUAUUUAUGUAUUUAUAUAUAAAAAUAUAUUUAAUAUAUAACGUGUCGGAACGUGUCGAAAUUCUCUAUUUUUAAGAAAUGACGUGUCGGCGUGUCGUGUCGUGUCGUGUCGCGUGUCGCGUGUCCGUAUCGGUGCUAUAUAGCUAAUAGGUGGUCCAGCGAAUGACUGCGGAGCCGUUGGAGAUGAUAAGGGAUGCUAUUCUUCCAUAUCAGCUAACCUCACAAGUUUUCGGAGAACGGUUUGGUUUCGCCUCUUCUCUGUGUUUUUCCCCUUUCUGGGGUUCCUUUUUUCUCUCCCCUUUCUCUCAGCAUUGUGUAAUAUCAGCUCAUGCGAGCGAGCCAAUUGUGAGAAUUGCUUGUAAUUUUCUUGUUUUUUGUUUCUUUUCUUGGCAAAUGGAGCAACACCUAAAACUCCAAUCGCAUUUCAUUAAAUUGGGUAUCAUUAAUCCGGCCAAACCUACAACUUGAGGUGAGUUGUUUUCUUUCAUGACAAAGGCAGGAACACUAGCAUCUUACUAGUCGAAAGUUAAAAAGACUUUUAUCAAGAUACGAUAGUUGGAGCUAUAUAAUUCGUGAUAAAAUAUCGUGCUCUUCUAUUUCCUAUCGAUCGAGUGACAUGCAAAGACUAACAUAAUUUCUAAAAUAAAGGGUUUAUUGUUAUUAGCCCGUGAGAAGACCCAGGAAAAGGGCGAAACAAGAAUUGAAAACUUGUCAAAGAGGACAAAGGAAGAGCAAAUUCUUAUCUGGAUGUGGGGAAUCAUGACCAAAGGGGUUCUCAUCGUUGUCGUUAAUCGUUGGAGCCCCGCACUUGAUUAACGGCUCGAUCUCGGGUGCACGAAUCCGGAUCCAAGGCGAAAAGAGGGAAAGGGCCCCGUCCUGAGGAUGAUCGGGCGCGGGAGGAGGGAGGGAACACGGUAAAAGCGGUGGGGUGGCGGGGCAGGGGAGUGCACCGGCAGACUACUCCUGUUCAAUUUCGAUUGGGUUUGUGAGGUUAAUAAUAAUUCAGACGCACACUCAUUAAUGCCACAUUCCAAGCCUAAAUGAACUGAAAAGGACGUGCUUCUGGAUGUCCUUAUCCUUUCUCGUUAUGUUGUUCUUCAUUUUGAAUUUGAAAUUAAGGGUCAUGACCUAGUUAAAAUUAUGGGUUUUAUUUUUCCCACGGGGAACACCAAAGAGGUUCAUGAGAAAAUAUAAUGAGAAAUCUUCCAAUGGCCUGUGGAAUUGGAAAAAUGUGAUGAGAUGGUUUGGUUAUCAAACGGUUGGGAUGAAUUCGUAGAGCAUUACUCUAUCUGUGUGGGACAAUUUUUGGUCUUCAAAUCUGAAGUGGACUCCAUUUUCCAUGUAAUCAUAUUUGAUAAAAGCAAGUCCAAGAUAGAAUAUCCACCAAUAAAUGCCAAUGGGAGGAACCGACCCUCAGCAGUUGGGCAUUUGUCUGGUUGAAAGUGGAAGAUGCCGACGAUUUCCGUGAUGUUUCGGUCAAGCUUGAAGUCUAGGGGGAUGAAUUGCAUUCACCCAAGUGUCCUCGGCUUUGUAAGGCAAUGGAAUCUGAUCGGGUUUGUGAAGUUCAUGACGGUUCCUAUGCACACUCAUCAGCACAGAGUUUGCGAAGAGACGGAAGUUCGAACUCCUUAUCAUGAGAUUUUCAAGGUAUGAAUCUUAAUCUACGAGCUGGUUCUCCAUAUGAUUGUGUUCUCGUGUUUGAUUCCAAUUCCGUAUUCCGUAUAGGAACUCUCCAUGUGAUUUGGCUAAGAGAGGGAGCGUUAAAGCUAAUUCAACCUUGUAGGGCCCAUUUGGUUCACCUUUUGAGAAAUGCAUUUGCCAAAAUGCAAAUACCUUUAGGUGAAUAAGGUUUUCCGAAAUGCAAAUAUCGUUUGGUAAAAUUUGCAUUGAGAUACAGCUUUUGCCAAAAUAUCGUUUGGUAAAAUUUGCAUCUAUAAAUGACUUUUAUUAAAUUAAAAAAAACAUUUGUAUUUUUUUUUUGAAGUCCAGUCACCGGACCGCCGGAUCUGGCGGCUGAACCGCUGAAUCUAGUGACUGAAUGGCCGGAUCUGGCAGUGCGACCCUAGGCAACGCUCAGGCGCCUGAGGUCGCGCGACCCAGGCAACGGUCGCCUAAGGUGGCGCGACCUCGCCGGCGGUCGCCUAGGUCACGCGACCUCAGGUGACCGUCACCGAGAUUGAGCGGCCUUGGCGAUCGCCGCCUGAGGUCACGCGACCUCAGGCGGCUGCUUGGGUCGCAUGACCCAGGCGUCACCUGAGGCCCAGCUACAGUCGCCGGGGUCGGGCGACCCUUAGGUGGUACUCGCCAGAGCCUUGUCGACACACGCAACUCGAGUCGCCGACCUCCAGUCAGCUUCUUCCGAUGGUGUGCGGUGGUUUUGGAGAAGAUGAACAGUACCGGACUUGCAUUCCGGAGAUGCAACUUCCGAAAAGUACCUCCAGAGCUGCAUUGGGCUAAAGGCCCUUAAAGCCACUUAGAGAUGCAAUUGCAUCUCGCCAAAGUUAUUCAAAAAAACGAACCAAACACCUUUGCAUUUGGCCAAAGGACUUUCCAAAUGCCCAACCAAAUAGGGCCGUAGUGCUUAUCUAUCUCUAGCUUUCCCAUGUGUGCAUAUGUAUGUUUUAGGGGAUCUCAUAAAUGUCAAGCCAAUGGAAACAGGCCGAAUGAGUCAUAUCGGAUUUGAUUGUGCUGAAAUUGACAUUGGUGUGCAUAUAGGCCUCGAAAGCUAGACCAUUAGAAAGACCUAGAUCCAUCAAAUUGGGGUUGAUGUAUCAGGAGAUAUGAAUUUCACAUAAUAAGAAUAGCAUAUGCCUAAGCUUUCUUCAUGUUCUAAUUUGUGACUGUUGCAGAUAAACUGAAACAACUGGGCUUGCGCAGAGUUGUCAAAUCAUAUAGCAAAAUUAAACCCGACCACAUUGCGGUGAGGUGAAUAUAUCUAAAGAAAAGCAAUGUGGUAUGAUCCUCAUGACAAUGACAACACUUGAAUUUAAAUCACAGAGUCGCUAGACUAUAUUAGCUCUAGAUUGAUUGUGCAUCGGGUCAUUAAUUUCUGUUUUUAUCCUUGACAUGCUUUGAAAAGGAUCCUCGUACUGUCUUGGUGAGAAAUCGUUGGUUGUCUUCUUCUUUCUGAUGACAAAACUGCGGAACGUGCACUUGAGUAAAGAGUUCCCGAUCCAUUCCCAAAGAUGCACUUCAAGAAAAGCCUGUAGACUGUGGCUCUUAUAUAUCAGGACAAAUCGUGGCCGGUGAAGCGCAUUAGCCACGAACAUUAUGGAAAGUCAUCUAUUGGUUGGGCUACUUUCUCGAGAGAAACUUCUCUGAAGGAGUGAGGCUUGUGCAUGUUUGAGUUCUAUUAGAAGGGGCAACGUCGUGUUCAGAGUAUACAUCUUCAAGACCACUAGCCAGAGGUAGCUGAAAAAUCCUAUGCAAUAGGACACGGCAAAGGAAGCAUCACUUUAGCUCAGAAUUGCUUGGCUAAAAUCUGCUUCAAAUUUGACAAAUCAGAAAAAAGCAUGAGUUUUAUUCUAAUGAAUGGAAAGAUACCUUUAAUCGAUCCUAGUGUUACAGUCGCCAUGUGGGGAUGAGUCAUGAGUCAUGAGACGGAGGAAGCUAAUUGCUUCUAGUACAAGUCACACAACCUCAUUUCCUUACUCCUCCCAUAGUAGAUUUCCGUUGUCAUCCAACCACUCUUUAUACUUCAAAACACAAAAGGAAAUUUAUAUUCAUUUAAGCAAACAGAGAGAAUAAAAGGAUGUAAAAGCCAUCCUUCGAGUCUAUAUUAAUCAAAAUAUUUAGUGCUCUCUGGUGGUUUUUUUUUUUUUUUUUGAUCGGUCCUACUCUAACACUCACUCUCAAACUUUUGCCCUUACCUCCUUGCAGGGCGUGGGAGUCAAAACCCACUCCUGAAAUGAAAUCGUCCUCACCCCAAUCCCCCUUGAGAAGGUGGGGAUUUGAACUCCCAACCUCCCCCUUCCAAGUUGGAAUGGUGGCCAUUGGGGCGAACCCCCAAUGGUUCUCUCUGGUGGUUAAUACAUAGAUUUUGAUUAUAAUCGGACAUAUACUGAGCACAACUGAAGAAGAGUUCUAUAAGCCAGCAAUGACCUAAAAAAUAGUUCCACAAGAGGGCUCAACCUCCUCGACUUAUUAAAUGAAUCACAAGGCAAGGAAAAGAGAACUUGGGCAAUUAAUGGCAUUAAACGCAAUUAAUGCGAAUUAUGCAGAAAUUAUUAGAAUUAUAGUGAGCUGGGGCUUAGAUGGUGUUCCUUACUCUUGUCAAUUGACGAUGAUAAAGAAAAGUAAAUAACUUGUGUGAAAGUUACCGAAUCAUUUAAAAAUUUAGUGUCUUUAAAACUUACAAAAUUUAUUAAUCAGAUAAAAAAAAUUUACAAAAAAAUUUUACAAAUUAUCUAUGGUUACAAAUUACUUUCAAUCUGCAAAAUGUUACUUACAAAUUUGAAAAACUCUUUUAUGCAUGUGACACUCCAAAUUUCAUAUGGAUUAGAAGAGGGAUAAUUGACCAAUAGAUAAGUGUGAAUGCAAACCACCACCACUAGAUAUUCACCUCCCGAAAAACUUAUUUAGGGGCUUAGAUCAUAACAAAUCGGAUUGUUAAUAUUAGAAAAUUCCAUGCCUAACUUAUAGCUCGAACUUGCACAUUAAUUAAAGAUAUUUAACUUUUUCUAGCCGAGAGAAUGGACAAAUCUAGGCGAGCAAUUCUCUACUUGGUAUUUGGCUCAAAUAAAAGUUGUACUCUACAAUGCUAACCUAAGAAAAGUAUAUAAUUCUCUCAAAUUAAGAUAGGUAAUUUCGCACAAAAAUUGUUAAGCGUGAUUGUGGUUGGUGGAGGAGAAACACCUAUGUAGAUAAACCAAGAAAGCAAAUCUUCAUAAUACAAAAGUAAUUUAUACUAGCCAUUUAGCUUAAUUCUCCAAAAAAGCAUCAACUUUAACUGGAGUAUCAAUUUAGGCCUGACCCUUUUUUUUGUAAGGGAAAAGACCAUCAAAAAUCCCAAACUUUGCCUAAAGUGACAAAUUUACCCCAAACUUUUUUUUUUACGUGAAAAACCCCAAACUUUUCAAAUUGUGGCACAUUUACCCCAUCAAGGACAUUUUUGUCUUAUUUUUUAGGUUUUUCCUUUUUCUUUUUUUCUUCUUCUUCCCUUCGUUGGCCAUGGCGGAGGGAAGCUGGAGUCCGGCAAGGGCUGCCCUCGCCGGCGUUGGGCGAGGGUUGCCCUUGCCUAGGCUGGCUAGGGCCACCCUCGCCGGCGUCGGGUGAGGGCAGCCCUCAGCUGGGCUGGCCCAAUGCCAGUGAGGGCCUCCCUCGCCUGACGCUGGUGAGGGCACCCCUCACUCGAUGCAAGCGAGGGCCACCCUCGCCCGGCGCCGGUGAGGGCCGCCCUAACCAGCCCAGGAGGGGCGACCCUCACCCGACGUCGACAAGGGCAGCCCUCGUCGCACGCCAGCUUCCUUCCACCAACUCCGCUAUGGCCGACAAAGGGAAGAGAGAAGAAAAAAAAUUAAAAAUAAAAGACCAAAAUACCCUUUAGUUUAGGGUAAAUGUGUCAUGGUUGACAAAGUUCGGGGUUUUUCAUUUCACAAAAAAAAAAAUUUGGGUAAAUCUGUCACAGUUGGCAAAGUUCGGAAUUUUUCACGUCACAAAAAAAAAAGUUUGGGGUAAAUCUGGCACUUUAAACAAAGUUUAGGCUACAUUUAGUCGUUUGGAUAAGAUAAGAUAUGAAAUCCUGGGAUUUUUUUAUAUCCUGUCAAUUGUUUGGUGAAUCGCAGAAUUAAAAUCGGAUAUAUUCACAUUAUAUUAUAUACAUUUUUUAAAUAUAAAUGGCAUAUCAUUAUAAAUGAAACUAAAUAUUCAUAAACGAAGAUGGUGAAAAUCUCACGCAACACUAUUCCUUAAUUUAUUUUUAUUUUAUUUUUCCUCUUGUUUUAUAUUAUUUUCUUUAUUAUUUCUUUUUUCCCCUUUCAUCAUUCUUUAAUAAAAUUUUAUCAAGUAGUAAACUAUACUAACAUACAUAAAAUACAAAAAUACAUAAAAUAUAUAAUAAAUAUAAAUAUUUAAUUUAUAGAUUGAAUGUUUAUUAUAAGAUAGAAUUAAAGUUGAAUAUAUAAAUUAAAAUAAGAUUAAUUAAAAUAAAUUUCUAUUUUUUAUUUUUAAUUUCUUAAAUUAUAAUUCAAAUAUUAUUUAUAUUGAAAUAUAAUUUCAAUUUUGUUAAUUUAAUAAGUUUGAUAUUCGAGAAAAAUAACUUUCGUACUAUAGACAUUAGAAAUCCUAUCCACCUUUAUCCCAUCUCCCCCAUGGGAUAAUUUUCCUACAUAUAUUCCCCUUAUAUCUGACUUUAUCUUGUUUUGAGUGAGCACCAAGCGCAGGAUAUGAUAAAUCAUAUCUUAUCCUGAAUUUUAUCCUGUCUACCAAAUGCAGCCUUAAAGUUUUUCGUGAUUUUUCCCUUUUUGUAAUAAAAAAUCAUCAACUUCCAUGCCCAAAUCUAACCCCGCUUAACUUUCCGUCAACUAAUGGUGUUAAAUGUUUGAUGCGUCAAUUUCAAGUCAUUAUCUUUUCCCAAGUCAGAAUUUAUAUAUAUGAUGUCUUUCUUUUUCUUUUCUUUUUUUCUUUUGUCCUUUUUCUUUCUUCUUCUUCCUCUCACUGGACGACAGCCUGACCACCGUGAGUCAGCCGCACGAUCCAAUCAACGGCCCAGCCCUCCGUCCACCACCACCUCACCGCCGUCCUAGCCCUCUAUCCACCACCACCUCGCCACCUUCCACAACCCCAGCCGUCCAUCCUCGCUUCCGCCCUCGACCUCCGCUAAGAUUUUUGUUUUCCCCAACCUCUCGCCAUAUAUCUCCACCACUAGCGCCUCUACUCUUGGCCAAUGACCCCCUGGCUUCCGAUGUCCAGUAGCCCGGCCGCGGCUCGUCCUCGCCGUCGUCGAGCUCGAGUUCGGCCGGUGCUCUCGAGCCUCAAAUUUUGGGUCCAAGCUCAAGCGAGCCUUAGAUUCCAGAUAUGGGGAUCAGCUUGACCUCAGAUUUGUGUUGAUUAAGGUUGAGUAGGGUCGACGGUAGCCACAACUAGAUUUUUGGAGGUCAAUAUCCGUCCGUCCAUGGCUUUUCAAUCCGAGUCUGUGCAUGUUUCUUGACUCAAAAUGGGUGAAUCGGCAGAAAGUUCAGAUUUCUUUUGUUCAGAAUAAGAUCACGACCAGUUUUAUUUAAAAUAUAAGCAAAUAUAAAAUAAAAUAAAAUGCAAUGACAAAAGAGAAGCAUGGUGUAGUUUGUCACUUUUUUUUUUUUUGGGUAAGAGGUAAGAAUGUGUAGUUAGUCACUUUGGGCGCGUUUGGUAACGUUUCUGUUCAAAAAUUUAUUCCAAGGAACAUAAAUAGAAAAAACUAUUUUUGCUCCGGGAAACAAUUUUUGAAUAGAAGAAGGCGUUUGGUAAACUUGUUGCGGGAAUAAAAAAUGAACAGAAACACGUUCGGUAAAUUUGUGUUCUUUUUUUGUUUCUUUUAAUUUUUUAAUAUUUUUAUUUUAUUUUUUUUCUUUUUUCUUUUUUUCUUCUUUUGGCCGGUCGCCGACCUCAGCCAUGGCCGACGACCGAUCGACGAGGGCUGGCAGCCUCGCCCAGCCACGGCGAGGCUCACCGGCCCCCGGCGAGGGCCUCACCGGGCUCGCCUUGGCUGGGUGAGCUCGGGCUCGCCCAGAUCCGGCGAGCGCAAGCUCGCCCAGCCUUGCCCCGCUCCGACGAGGCUCGUCGUCACCUUGGCGGGGCGAGCUCGGGCUCGCCCAGAUCUAGCAAGCCCGAGCUCGCCCAGCCACCAGUGAGGCUCGGCCUCGCCGGGCCACCGCCAAGCCGGUAAGCCUCACCGGUGCGGGGCAAGGCUGGGCGAGCUCGGGCUCACCGGAUCUGGGCAAGCCCGAACCUCGCUAGGAGCUGGUGAUGCUCGGCCUCGCCGGGGGCUGGUGACGCUCUGGUGAGGUCACCGGCCCUCGACGGUGUCGCCGGCCUUGGCCGAGGCCUGCGAACGGGCAAAGAAAAAAGAAAAAGAAAAGAAGAAAAAGAGAGGAGAGAGAAAAAUUUGUUCUUAAAAAUUAUUCCAAAAACAAGAAAAGCGUUUUUCUUGUUUCUUUUUUUUGUUCCAAAUGUGUUCCUAGGAACAAAAAAGUAGAUUUGGAACAAAAACGCAAACAAAUACGUUUCUGUUCUUUUUUUGUUCCCUGGAACAAAAAAACAGAAAAUUUGUUCAUAAACAAAAAUAAAGAGCAUUAACAAACAAGGCCUUUGUCUUCAAGAAACUGAAAAUUAAAUUGGAAAUGGGCUAUGGAAUACAGAUUUAGCUCAUUCCACUGAAGAGUACAAAGAAAUGUGUGCAGACGGAGUAGAAGGCCGCCGAGAUAGGAGGUCUGGAUGCCGGGGUUCCAUCUGCGGUUGCCGCCGACAAAUGUGGUCGGUGGCAGCGGCGGAGGCCGGAGACACUACGGCGGCCACAAGGAGGAAGUGGAGGAUGACAGGGUGGGAUGAUGGUGGCCAUGGACGGAUAACCUUUAGGUAGCGAAAGGAAGAAGGAAGAUUAAAAAAAGAAUAAAAAAAGGAAAAGCUAUAUAUAAUUCUGAUUUGAGAAAAAAAAAUGAGUGGAAUUGACAAUUGAGACGUUUAAGGAUGCUCUUCGGACGGACAAAAAGUUAACAGAGGUCAGAUUUGGAUAUGAAGUCAAAGUUGGUGACUGUUUAUGAGAUACUAAAGAAAAAAAUAUUUGGGGCCAGAAUUGAGAUUUGAACUAAUUGGUGCUAUUUUGAGGAUUUAAUCCCUUGCUAUUUAGAAUAUUUGUUUUCGACUAUGUUUUAAAAAUGGUAGUGUCUAUAACAUGAUAACAACAUGAACAGUAAUAAGCAAGAGGAUGGAUUAGGGCAUGGCUAUUUCCGUAGCAGAAAAUGCUGCAGGCAGUCUUUCUAUUUGAAGAGAUGAUUCUGCCCCCACGGACGAGGACACUAACACCUACAAAACACGAACGGGGCGAGGGGGUUUCUAUUGGUGGGUUCCAUCAACAUUAAAUUUAUCUAUGUGAUGUAGAUGUUUCCGUAAUGGGUUCUCCAUUCUUUUCUUUUUCUUGAGUUUAAGCUUCCAUCAAUUAUCUGAAAAUGGAGGAGCUGGACUCAGAAAAACUUAUGAACUACUACCAAAUAAAAAAUUAUUGGAUGAUGAUUAAUAAUGUUUCAUUAUUUCAAUUUCAAAGAGUUUUGAUGGCUUAAAUCUUAUUUAUCAUAAAUUCUGUUUCUUUGCAAUCAAGAUUAUCUGUGAAGAACGAUGGAUUCAUGAGUUUGUGAUUAUGAAGGGUAUUUGCCUGCAAAAUUUCUUUCCUUGAAUCAAAAGGAGGGUUUAUCUGAUCCCUUCGUGCAUAGAGAAAGGUAGAUUCGUGCCCUCAAAUCUAGCGAGGCAUAUUUUUGCUUAUCAUUUUUGUAAAUCCAAUGAGAUUUUGUUAUAUAUGUGGGGUUGCAGGGGAGGUGAUUGAUUAUAUGCAUGAUCAAGUGACACAGAUCAUUGUUUACUUAUUUAUCCAUAAAAUCUCACACACACAAAUCGUUUAUCAACCAACAUGCAUGGCGGACUAGAUCAGGCUUUCUGUUGCAAAAUCAUUUCCUAAUUCUCUCCACUUGACUUUAGACCUAGCAGGAGGGCUUGAGAGAAUGUGAGUGAGUAUUCACGCUUAUAAUCAAGUUUACUUAACACGAAUCCAUUGGCUUGAUGGGAUUAUUUGUAUAAGUUUAGUUACUGUAUGGAGAUGCUCGAGUUAUAUAUUAGAGAAGUAUCUGCAUCGUCUACGUGAAAAAAUUUUGAGGCUCAUUCCGUCAUAGCACUAAAUAUCUAAGUCCAUAUGAAAACAGAAAUCUGCUAUAGAAAAAGAUAUCUGCCUCUUUCUACUAGGCUUAAACUCGUGUCCGGUUUCAUACAUCGGUCCAAAGCCCAAGCACCAAAUCGGUCCGUAGGGUCUAGCCCUCAACAUAAGCUAAGGUGAGCUCGUUCCUAAAACAUCCUAUCUUCUAGGCAUUAUUUGACGAUGUUAAGCCCAAAGGAGCAAUUAAUCCAAAAGGAAGACUUUCCCUGCUUGAGGAGCAAAGCUUCCCGCAUCUCGUAUGCUCUGAAUUUGAUUAUGCUUAUCAUUGUUUGUUGGGUGUAAAAUUUUCUUUUCAGAAAUUAUACUUUCCGACACAAAUUAUGCACCAACUUCACAUACAAAAUCAAUUGGAGAAUACAUAUCUACAAAAUUAUACAAUAACUGCUUUUUUCUAAGAUUGAUACACAACACUCUAAUAGCUAAAAAGGACUUCUCCUUGUUUCAAGAAUUAGAUUUGCAACGUUCUCUAGAAAAAAAAACACAUAAAUAAUGUGGCCACUUAGGCUUUACCUGAGCUAAUAUUAUGCACUACUAACUAAAUAGAUUACUCAAAUGAAAAUAUUCUUACAUGUAGUAAUUCCAAAAAAUCUUGACUAGACCUCAGAAUUUAAAUUAGGGGCAUGUAAAUCGCCAAAUAUGAUGAGUGUUAUAGGAUCAACGGCUGUGAUUCAUGUGAUGAGUCCGUGUAAGAAUUUGUCAUUCCAAGCGGGGAGGACAGACACUCCUGCGAUCUUACAUGGGGAUCCUAGAAAAGGAUCCUAGAAAAGGAAAAAGCGACGCGAGUGCAUUUUCAAAAAGAGAGAGAGGCUAAGGAUAACUAAGGAUGAAAGUAAAGCAGUGGGGACCAUAACUAUUUGGCAUUGCCUCAAAAAGGUCAAGAGAUCCAUCAAUUAUAUUGGGUUUGGUGGAUUAUGAGUUGAUUUAGUGCUUUGAAGCAGUGUGAAUUGGAUUCCAAAUAGAGAGCAAAAGAGGUGGAAAAAAAACAUGCUUUGGCUCAAUUGAACACCGACAACUCAUUACGUUACUCAUCACUUCCAGAACUAUGCCUAUGUAUACUAUUUUGCUUUUCCUUAAAGUGUUAGACACGACAUGACCGCUUCAAUGUCCACAUUAGAACUAGUCAUCUUCUUCACAAUUAGGAUAUCCAUUAAAAAUGACCAUGAACCUCCUUUAAAGAUUCACCCACAUAAAGUCCCAAUCCCUUUAUCAACUCAAAUUAAUUUUUUGAAAUUCCUUACCGUGGAGACUACGGGAGUCCGGAGCAAAAGUAAUGACAAUGGACGUCGGCAUCAACUUUUUCUAGUGGAAAAUAAAGCAUGUUUUUUUUUUUUUUUUUGGUAUAGUAUUGCCAAAUGCAUAAGGUAGGUUCAUCAAAUGUAUGGCACUUGGUCAAUUAGCUAUCCCAAGGUGGAUGUCUCCGUCGCUAAGAUUUGCAAAGCCUCAUUGAUAAUGACUCAAACGGGCAUAGCUAAGAUAGUGAACAGUAAAAAAUUAUUUAGUUACCUAUGAACUUUUUAGAUGGUUGUACAAUUCCUUAUUAAAAUUAGAGAGUAAAUGUGACUUCUAUCGGUAAGGUAAGGUUUUAAAGAUUUUGGCAUUUUCACUUAAAUAAGUAUGAAAGCAGAGUACGAAGAUCAUGUUUCAUCUUUCAAUUGAAAAUUAAAACUGUCCAAGCACUGGAAAUCUGACCUUCAACAAGUCAGAGUACCACGGCUGGAAACAAAACUUAAUCCAGAAAUCGCGCAUCAUGGGGACCUCCAAAAGAAGGAAAAAAAGCACGGUAGAAACAAUUGGUGAAAGCGAAUGGUGAACCGACCGAACAACCUCUACAUAUGCAUAUAUUUCCAAAGAAUAACCCCGCAUGAAACAAGGUUCAUUUUCCCAGCUAGAACUAGGGAUGGCAAACAAAUAGAGAAGAUUGUGGAGCAGAUAAGAAAGCUCACAAUGGUUUUUCUUUAUGUGAGGAUUGUAGAAUCGAUAUUUCAUGGGAUUUUAAAUAGACGUGUCUACACGUGCAUACCCCUAAAUUACCAAAAAAAAAAAUGCUUACUUUAGGAAAAUGCUAACUAUAUUUGGUAACUUUUUUUAUAUACACUUAUUCCUCAGAAACUAGUAGCUAUUAUGCAAAAGUUCCAUAUGACCUUAAUUUCAAAGAGAAUGUCCCACAUGACUUUAAUUAGUCAUAACCUUUUUCUUUUGUUAAUUAUUAGUCAUAAUUUUUUCAUAUAGUCAUAAUAAAUAUAAGGAUUUAGGAAUAACAUGACAUUAUAAUUUAACAAUUAUGCUUGGCAAACAAAGUUAAACAACUUCAAUUUUUACUUAUGAAGUAAGCUUUUUCUUUGUUCUCACUUAUAGGGAUGAUUAUGAGGGGCUCUCUUUCAACAAAUCUGUGAAAAAUUGAAGGACGAUACAUGAAAAGUCAAAACUUAUUUUCUACUAAUGCUUAACAUUAGCUGGGUAGAAGGCUCCAAGUUGGCUCGAGUCAUAUAUGUCAAUAAAUAGAAUCUCACCAAAAGUUGCCAUCCAAUAUAUAAAUCAAUAACACGGCCAAUUUAUGUUUUCGAUUUGCAUACCAUUUCAAAAGUAAAACCUCAAUUUUUUCCCAUUCAAUUAGCUUGAUUAUAAUGUUACUUCUCUAUUUUAAUAUGAUUUCAUGCCAACACGAAGAGAGGGCUUAGGAAUAGUACCUAAUCCUUUUUUGCGCUCAAAUCUCUUUGCCUUCUUUGUCCCUAAUCAUUCUUGCUUUGUUUCACUCUUCCGUUAUUCUCUCUGUCUCUUUGUUUUUUUUUUUCCUGGGUUUUCUCAACUAAAAAAGAAAAUCAAAGAAAAAUGUAAAAUCGAUGAUACUGUCGAGAAAAAUGGGAAUCGUCACAUUAAAUUCAUCUCAAGAAGUAAAAUUAUUGAUAUAAAGGUAUAAUUCGUGGUUGAAGAACAAGAGCAAAAAAACAUUAGAAAAAUCUCAUUUAUAUCAUCAAAUGAUAUUUUUUUUGAUAAUGUUCUACUUGGACUAUGAGUGCAUCAACCUCGAACAAUCCACGUCUCUGCUGGCUCCAUCAAUUUGUCUUCUUGACUCCUUUGAAGUCAUGAUGUUGUUUUUUCUUGGAUUGCUACAAAAUUUAACAGUUAAUACUUUUGACAUUUCACACAUAAUCAAUGAUGAUAUGGACAUCCAUCUUCAAUCUUCCAUUGCUGCUUUGUUGCACCGAAAGGUGAAAUUCCCAAGACUAAAAGAGAUAGAUUCCUCUGGUGGGCCUUCCUUUCCACCGAAACCCUUGAAAAAUAGUCAGGAGGAUCUUCUAAAGUCGUUGUGAUGAUUUGGUGUAUACAUGCAUAUUCACACACAUUGGGCGAGGCUAUUCACGCUCCCAAUUUAGCUUAAAAUCACAUCCUUUUAAGUAAACUCAAUUAUUAAUAGACCUGCCUUUUAUUUAAAAAUAAACAAAUCUGCCUUUUCCAAUUCCUCUCUCAUCUAUUGUCUAGUCUAUUUUCUUAUUUACUAUAGACAGUUGAUAAGAGUUUCCGAUAUCAAUCUUGUCAUGUACUCCUUUGAUUUCAAAGUUUUGUUCAUGUAAAAAUUUACCUAAAAAACGUCUUCAACCUAUGAAUCAUGAAAAAAAGAAGAAAAGAGAGGCUGAUUUAUUUAAAAGAUUGGAGCAUAAGCAUGUUCCGAAAUAUCAAAUUACACUCAUGCUUUCAUCGAGCUUUAGCUAUAAUUUUUCCAAUUUAUUAUGACCAAGUCUUCAGUUCUUUGAUCUGUCAUGUUCGAACUUUCAUUAUUUUGUAGAAGAGAAUAUUUCAACAAGUUAAUUUGGUAUAUUUUAUUUACGAGCUUAUAAGUCAAUGAAUAAUUAAUCCUCUUUAUUCAAAUGGUUAUAGACAAGGGUUUUGAGACAUUUAAAGUUAAUUUUCUUAUUGAUAAUUGGUUUUUCUGAAUUUAUCAUGCUAGUAAAUUUGGGAGAUCAUUGAGUGAGAGUUUCAUUUUGAGCAAUCUAAAUUUUUUUCACACUGCAUCUCUAGAGUUAUUUCAAAGUGGUGAAGUGGCCGUUUGAUAUGAAGAGAUUCAUGGAAAGGUCCCAAGCUUAAUUCAUUAGUAGCAUGUUUUCAAAUUGAAAAGCUUGCUCGUAUUUUUAGUUUGUUUUUGAGUUUUCAUUUUGUUUGCUUUAUUCCUUAUACCUAUAGCUAGGACUUGAGAUUAUAUUACGUACCCCAUGAAUAGUUCAAGAGCAUAAAUUUUGACAGGUUUAAGAUUGAUGUCUUUCAGAUUUUGCACCAUAUUAUAUAUAGUUAAGGUUGCUGAUUAUAAUUCUCGAAACUAACAAACUAUCAAGUGUUGUGAAACACACACACACACACACACACACACACACACACACACACACACACACACACACACACACACAUAUAUAUAUAUAUAUAUAUAUAUUGUGUUCUCUCAUUCUGUGUACUUAUAUUAUGGUCUUUCAUAUCCGUACAUUGCUUGCUCAAAUAUGCAUGUAGGCAAACAAUUCUCUUUACAUUCUUCAAGGAAUAUAUUGAGGGAAUAAUCAAAUCACAACUCUUAGACAUUUAGACAAAUUGUGCAUAGUGAAGCCGAGGAUCCAUCACAUCUUGUUGAAAAAUGAUGACUAAAUUACAUUUACCCUGUUCCUUGCCAAGACCGAAUUGCAAUCACAAGAAUUUGGUGGUGUUACUUGUAGUUUGAUAAGCCAUGUUUUUGCUCACAUUGUGUUGUUUUUAAUUGGUAGUUAAAUCACGUCUUUUACAAAUGACAAGUAAUUGAAAUUAUGAGUUCCUACGAAUGAUAAGCAUUAACAUGACGAAUGAUUUGAUGAUAGCAUUCGAGGCUCUUAGUUUAUACUUUUGUUUUCUAUGACAAUUUGAUUAAAAUUAUUAUUUUAAAGAAAGCAGCCAUGGAUUCUUACUGGAAUCCCAAUCCCCAUGAUUGAACCAUGCAGUCAAAAAUGGGGUCCAUAUGUCAUUAGAAGAAAGCUAUGCACGUUGCUCAUGCUUGCCUGUGGUCAUUCACUCGUGAAAGGGUUAAUAGUAAGAGAGUGGCUAAAACAGCCAAGAAUAUGCAAUAAUUUGACUAGACAUAAAAUAAUGGGAUGUCCUAUCUCCCCUUGAGUCUAUCUUAGUAUUAAUAUUACAAAAGCAUUGAUUAUUCAUCAAUGGCUUGUUAUAAGGAGCAUCAAACUCCCAAAACUUUUUUUACAAAUCUCAGUUAAUUUUUUUUUUGUUGAAAUUAUAACAUUCAAAUAAUUGAAAAAAAAGUUAUGACACUCAAGUUUAUGUUUUUUAGAAGCCAUGAUACUCAAAUAAUUGAAAAAAAAAUGUGAACACUUUACAAAAGUCAUGACACUUGCAGUGUUUUUUUGCUAUUCUUUUUAGGAUUUUCAUCCUAUCAUUUUCUCAAUCUUUCUUUCUCAAAAGAAAAACAUCAACGGAUGCUGCCAUCAAGAAAAAUGCGAAAAAUCACAGUAAACUCAUAUCAAGAAGUAAUUGUUGAUAAAAGGGUCUAAGUUAUGGUUAAAAGAGCAAGGACAAAAGACAUUAGAAAAAUUCCAACCGUAUCAUCAUAUGGCAAUUUUUUACAACGUUCUACUUGGACUAUGAGUGCAUCAACCACCGACAAUCUACUUCUCUAGUGGCUCCAUCAAUUAAUCUUUUGACUCCUUUCUAAAGGGGAAGUAAUGAUGGGUUUUUCUUGGAAUGCUACAAAAUUUAAUAGUAAAUACUUUUUGGCCUUUGAUGCAUAAUCAAUGAUAAUAUUGAUAUGCAUCUCCUAUCUCCGGCUGACAAUUGCUUCCUUGCACCGAAAGGUGAAAUUGUCAAGACUAAAACAGCAAGAUUCCUCUGGUUGACAAAUAGUUGUUGGGAUGAUUGGUGUGCACACACACAUUUGGUGGAGGUAAUUAUGCACCCAUUUUACACGUGAUACUUUGUUAGGGUCAAAUUUGUCUCUAUGUAAUAUUUCCUUAAGAGAACCCAAGGACAAAAUGCUAAAAUAGCCAACCUCUUAUAUUUCCCCUUAUUUCACUUUUUUAGCUUGCCAUCACCUUUCUUUUGUCUCCUUAAUGUUUCCGUUUUCACAUGUAGUAUCUCUCUGUUGGAAAGGGCUUUGAAUUUGAUUAUGCUUGUCAUUGUGUAUGUUGGGUGUAAAUUUUCUUUUUUGAGAAAUUAUACUUUGAUACAAAAUUAUUCACUAAUUCACGUACAAAAUCAACAUGAGAGUCAAUAUCUAUAUAAUUAUGCAAUAACAGUCUCUUCUCUAUGCCCUGCCUCUAAGGUUGACACAUAGCAUUCUAAAUAGCCAGAAAAGACUUCUCCUUAUUUUAAGAACUGGAUUCACAACAUUCUCCAUUAAAAAAAUGUGCCCACUUAGACUCCACCUAGGCUAAUAUUUUGCACUACUGGCUAGAUAGAUUAUUCAUAUAUCAUGAUGUACUUAUAGGCACUAAUUCCUUAUUAGCUACGUGAAAUCUACUCAAUCUAAUUACAAGGAGAAUGUCUCUCAUGACUUUAACUUGUUUCUAUUUAGUCAAAAUGUUUUCAAACGGUCAUAAUUCAUAUAUGGGAUUAGGGGUACAUUGACAUUUCCAACACAACAAUUUUUUUUAUGGGCAAGUCUGUCAUGUGAAACUAAUAAAGAGAAUUUCAGCCAGCUUAAUAUUCAAAACAGAUCGGAGACCAAUAUUAUGCCUAUCUAUCAUAUGAUACUAUUAUUUUAACGUUAUACUUACUUAGCAUCUCUAUCUUGCACUUAUUGAAUAUUACUAUAUUAUAAUUUUAUGUUAACCUUGUCAUUUUCUUAAGAAAUGGUUCAGAAUAGAAAAUACAAUACUCUUUACUAUAAAAAUUAUGCUUACAUAGCCCCAGAAUUGGCGCAAUUGGUUGGGUCAUUAGGGAUUUCCAACUUAGGAACUAGAGAUCGCCAGUUCGAAUCCCACAAACUAUAUGCAAACUGCUUUGGGUUAUAGUCACCUACAUAGACCAAAGAUCUAAGUUUAAUUGGUUCAUGGAAUUGGCACGAUAUUUCAUGAGCUUCUAGGUAAAUGGCUCUCCACACUCCUACCCCGAUAUUACACAAGUGCGCGCACGCGCGCACAUACACACACACUCACUUUAGGAGAAUGCUAACUUUACAUGGUAUUACACUUACUUUAGGAGAAUGCUAAUUUUAGAUGGGAUUUUUUUAUAUGCACUUAUUCCUCAUAAACUAGGUAGUCAUUAUGCAUUAGAUCUUUGUCAACUUAAUUGCAAAGAGAACAUUCCCAUGACUUUGAGGAAUAUUACCCAUCGAUCUUAAACAUAUUGUACGAAUACCAAUUUAGUUCUAAACUUUUCGAUUUUGCCAAUUUAGUUAUAAACAUUUGUGCAAAAUUCCAAUAUAGUCCUUUUGGCCAAUUUUCGACGUUGAAAUGGUCAUGUGUUAUUUAGAAUGGUCAGCGAUGACUGGAUUGCCACAUCAAUAAUUUCAGGCAAAAAUUCAUCAAAAGGGUUUUAUUGAAAUUUUCCCUAAAGGUGUAAAACUAAAUUGUCAAAAAAUUGAAAUGAUUAAAACUGAAUUAGCAUCUGUAUAAUAGAUCUUAGGACUAAUUAAAUAAUUUUUCCCAUGACUUUAAUUAGUCAUAAUAUUUUCUUUGUUAUAAAUUAGUCAUAACCUUUUUAAAUAGUCAAUACAAAUAUAAGGUUUAUGAGGUAAUUUGAUAUUCUAAUCUAACAAUUAUGGCUGAGUUUGAGAAAAGGAGCGAGGAAGUUAAGCAGCCACCUGGUGUUCCGGUUGAGCAAGCCAGCGAAGAAGACGCGUGAGUUUACUUUUUGCUUUUGUCUGAGUAUACGAGUAGUUAAAGAAAAUCAAUGUCGGAAUGCACUCAUUCGAGGAGCUAUGCGUAAUGACUCAGCAAGUUGCAUAUGAGGGAAACGCCUUCAUAGUUAGUGGAAUAUCCCCUUUCAACGAGAUUCACGUGGCACUCGGCAUAACAUUUUGUUGUUGUCCCAUAUGAUUGUCAUGAAAUAGGAAUACGCAAGAGUGAUUUUGAAAAAAUUCCAUGAGUUCCAUGGUCACUUUGGUCGACUUCUAGUUCUAUUUGCUUACACUUAUAUAUAAAAAAAAUUCUGCAUUUUGCUCUCCCUCGAGAAAAUUAAAAAUGGAAAAAAAAAAUAGGUUUCAUAAAUUAUGAAAAACCAUGUAAUAGCUCUACUUGUCAAUAAAUGUAUAUUUUUGAAAAUUCUAAAUUUCAAUAUUUGAUAACUACAAUAUUUGAAAAAUAAAUGUGAAAAGGAAAAGCUCUGGACAGAACCAAGCAUUUGGGAAGAAAUAAAAAAAAAAAGAAAAGAGGGUCUUUUUGGGGGGGGGGGGGGAGGGGAGACUUCAAUAUGAAUGAGAGCUCAUGGAGCAAAGUUAGUCCUUGCUGGCAAUGAUUUUGCAUGUUAAUUUUGUUAUGUAAAGAGUAACAGUGGUCACUAUGAUUUUGCCUAUUAAUAUUAUCAUCUAAAGAGUAGUAGUGUUCGAGAUAGUAAAUUAGUUUAAAAUGUUAAGAGGAUAGCAAAAAUUUAAUUUCCUUAGAAGUUCUAACCUAACAAUUACAGCUGCAGUUAAAUAUAACCUAGCAAUCAUAAUUGGCUUUAUAUUCUAACAAUUAGCCUAACUAUCAUGUUAAUUCGAAAUUUUUAACGUGAUUUCACAGACCAGCACAAUGAGCGGGGGUAAGAUUAUAUUACCUAACCAAUGUUUGUCCAUCAGACGUGGAGGAAAAACUAGAUGCCCAAAUUAUGUUUGUCUAAAGCGGUGAAGGAAAGGAUGUAUAUCUAAUCAAUGUAUGUCCAUUAGCAUCGGGGGAAGGGGUGGUGAUUUCGAAAUUGGUGUUGGUGACCUGCUCCAUGUAUUAAUAUAUUAUUUAUUAGACUACCAUCAUUGUCUUGAUUGACGCGACCGACAUCUUUUUUAAAUUUUUUUACUUUUGGCCAGUGGAGGCUCUAAGGACUUGGAGCCCUUUGCUCCCAACUUGUAGAGAGUGCAUGACAACCAAUAAUUUCUAUUUUAUAAAUAAUUUUUUUUAUUCCAAAUCUGUUUUUGGAAUAAAAAUUUGUUUGAUAAAUUUAUUUCGUUUUGAAUUUUUCUACUUCUCUAUUUCUGAAACAGAAAUGAGAAAUAAAAAAUUUUCUCAUCAUUCGUCAACUGGUCCUUCAUCCAAUGUUGCCGACCACUGUCCAUCGAUCGCCCGUCGCCCGCCGGCCCCAGUCGCCACCGGUCGCCAUCGCCCGCCGGCCCCAGUCGCCACCGGUCACCGGCCGCCAGCCGACCGCCAUCCACCGGUCCGCCAUUGUCGGAAAGGAAAAAUUUUUGUGUCGUUAUCAAACGAAUUUUUAUUUUUAGAGUAUAAAUUUUGUAUCGUUAUCAAACGGUUAUUUUUGUUUAGAAACUCUUAUAAAAAUAAGAAUAAAAAAAUCUAUUUCUGUUCUAAAAACUAUUUCUGAAAUAGAAAAAUUGUCAUGCGCGCUCUUAGCUUCCGAAGGAAUUGAGUGAGGUUUAGUUAAAGUCUUAACUGAGAUUAGAUUACCGAGCUCCAUAGUACAUACCCAUCCCAUCUUUCUUCUCGUGAUUUGGGCCUUUGUUAAAGGCGAAGAGACAUGUUAAGGUCCCAUCUAGUAGUACAUUUUAGUUUUUUGGUAAAACGUACAUCUCAAUCGUUGUUGAUCAAAUAUUCCAGCAAAAAGUUACCAUGUCUCUUUCUCCAUUGAUUGCUCUUUGACGCUCCCCUUCCUUCAUCUUUUAUCGCACUCAAGUUUCUUCGCCUUUCCGUCUUUCAUCAUUCUUGCUCUGUUUCACUUUUUCUUCUCCUUGCUACAGCCAUACUUCGUCCUCUUUUUCUUAAGUAUGUACGACCCUUUUUCAUCGUUCUCUCUCUCCCUCUCUAUGUCUCUCUGCUUUUCCUUUUGAGGGGUUUCUAUCCAAACGUUUUCUAGCUCUUUCUUUUUCGAAAUAAAAAUCAAAGAAAAUGUCAGAUCGAUACUGUUGUUGAGAAAAAUAGAAAAUUAUUAAACUCAUAUUAAUUAAUAAUUGUUGAUACAAGUGUUCUGAAUACGUAGCAAAAGUUACCAGCCAAUGUGGUGGCUGCGUUGGCUCAAGCUCCCUCCCUCUCACGAAAGGAAAGGAGUUCGAAUCCCAGCAUGAUCACUAAUGGUCUUAAGUAUGGUAUCGUGGUUGUGGUUUCUGUGCUAGUAUCACUUCGGAUUUACCUCGCUGACUGUUGAUUGUACGUGAGUUCUUGGGUCACCAAAAAAAAAAAAAAAAAACGUAGUAAAAGUUCAAUCCCUUUAACUGGAGAGGUCAUCAAGAGAAAGUUUAAGUUUGAGCCCAUUACAUAUUCAGUUGACCCAUCUCUAUUAAAAAUAAUGAGCUAAAAAGUUAUUAAUCAACUAUAAUAAUAUUAACUGCUUAAUACAAAAUUAAUUAUCUAUUGUGAAACUUUUCUAACCCAACUCACAUAUUCAUCUUAACAUUCACCUCUCGCGUGUUGGCUUAGUAUUAUGUCUGCUUCCCCUUGAUUCAAGUAUCGUUCUCCAUUAACAUGACUCAAUUAGAAUCUUCACUUAGGUGCGUGUGCUAACUAAAAUAACAACAACGCCCAUCUUCAUCCCUAGUCUCUUUCUCCAAAUUGAAUCAUGAAGGUUACCAUUAGAACCACAUUGCUACACAAAAAUGCCCACCUCCAUUCCAAGUUUCUUUUGCUAGAUCGAACUAUGAAGGUUGCCCAAAAACUGCGUUAAUCAUGAGAUUCCUUUCCUGAGAUAUUCUCCAAACAUUAGUAUACAUUGGAAUUGGCCAUUAGCUAUCAAUCAUUGGCUCUGGCAUCAUUUCUUAGGAGUGUCUUGCAGAAAUUUGAUACCUUUAACCAAAGAGAUCGCCAAAGAAAAGCACAUGUUUGAGCUAGCCAAUAUGUUUUAUUGAAGCCAAAUUCACUCAAAAACUAGGAUAUAUUAAUUGCUCUAUACCAUACUAAUUCUCCGGUAUAAGACUUUCUAACAUAACUUACAUAUAUAUCUCAAUAAGAAGGAUCUAAGUAAUGGUUAAAAGAGUGAGAACGGAGAGAUAUUAGAUGAACCUCAACCACAUCAUCAUAUGGCAAUUUUUGAUAAUGUUCCACACGGAGUCUGAAUGUGUCUGCCUUAAAUAAUUCACUUCUGUAGUGGUUCCAUCAAUUUGUCAUUUGACUCCUUUUUUGAGUGGAAGUCAUGAUGGGGUUUUUUGGGAUGUUACAAAAUUUAACAGUAAAUGCUUUUAGCCUCUAGCGCAUGAUCAAUGUCGAUACUGAUAUGCAACUCCAAUUUUCCAACGGGAAUAUUUUCAUCAAGUGACUAGUGUGGGAUGUUAACAAAGAAGAGUUCCGCUAUUGCGUAACCGCACUGUCCCUUCCAAUAGCGACGGCGCAAAUGGGACCACGAAUUCUAUUAUGCUUGUAAUGCGCAACCGGAUUACAACUUUAAAAUGGGAAAUCUUUACGAAAAUCCUUAAAAUAACUUUUAUCCCUUUCUGAAUGAAAUGUCAAUCAAAAUGCCCUCCCUCCAAAUUGAGCACCAAGUAAAGUCAUCACUCAUUUCUUUUCGUUUCUCUUGAAAUCAUAAAACAUUCAAUAUACAUACUAGUGUGCAACUAACUUAUAACCGCACACAAUCUCGUCAUAACUAUGAAUAUACAUACGUAUGUAUGUAUGCAAGCACACAUGAAAUUUUAAUUACCUCUUAUUUAGUUAGAUAUACAUCUUGAUCACAAAAAACUUUUUUUUUCUUUUUUUUAAACUUUAUUAACAAAGAAAAAGCUUCACCACGCAUUGUUGCAACUGUUUCUUCCUACUUCCUUAUUAAUUGAAGAAUUAUUGUGUACAGCGGACUUAAAUAACAAUGGCUCUAUACUUGGUUACCGCGAAAUACUAUACAGCCUAUUAACAUAUCGUAAAAUAAAUAAAAAAAUCACCUUUAACCUCUUUCAGUUAAUUAAUCUAGUAAAAAAAAAUGGGGGAUAUCCAAUCAUUGCAAAAUAACGUAAUAUAAGGUGUUGACUUGCAUAUUGAUUUUUUUUUCUUUUUUGAGAAACCCCUUUUCAGAUAAGUGAAGUUCAUAUUAAAGGUAAAGUGAUUGAUGAAAAUAAUGCCAAUACCAAAACGAGACCAAAAAUAUGAUAAGAGAAGAAGGACUUUUAACACCAAAAGAAAUGGAAGUUGGGUUGUAUCGAAUAAGUAUGUAGCUUUUUUCUUUUUUUCACUAAGCAGAGAGGAGAAUCAAAAUACCUAUCAUGGGCAGGGGUGUGGAGUUUAACUCUUAUGAGGAGGCUUAUGAAUUUUAUAACAAUUAUGAGAAAGAAGUAAGAUUUUGUAGUAGAGUUUCAAAAUUGUAGAAAAGGAAGAGAGUAGAGAGGAAAAGUGAGGCAUAGUUUUUUGGGGCUAGCUCCAAAAAAAUAAAGCACCAACUUUAGUUUGAGGGACAAAUCUAACUGAAUUUUUUUUUUUGUCUUGUAAAAAAGCACAUAUUUUAGGUUAAGGGACAAAUCCAGUCUAAAUUGUUUUUUUGUCUUGUAAAAAAAUGUCAAUUUUAGGUCAAGUGACAAUUCUAGCCCCAAGUUUUUUUUUUCUCAUAAAAAAUUACAAACUUUCACCAUUAUUCAACUUUCUAUUUGAAGUUAACCUUGUUUCAAGAAAAAAGGUUCUAGCCGUGAGCUUGGCGGAUCUUGUUCAUGGGGUCUCUCAAUGGGCGGUGGUUUAUAGCUUCAUUUUAAGACAAAAUGACAAAGUCUAGCCAGACUAAUUCAAUUUAGAGCUUUUUGACUUGCUAGUGAAGUGUAGGAGAUGAUGAACAAUUUACCGUUAUUCUCCAAGCUGUGGCUCAAACAAGAAGAUAAUGAAUAGUGUUUUAAAUCCAGCCAGCGAGUGCACGUGGAUUUAUCGCUAAAAACAAUCAAUGGAUCUAAAUUAAAGGGGGCUAAAUUUAGGAUUUAAGUGAAAAUUGGUGAUUUUUUUUAGACAAAAAAAGUUAGGAUUAUAAUUGUCACUCAUCCCAAAGUUAGUGUUUUUUUAUGUGAUAAAAAGAAGAAGCUUGAGCCAAAUUUGUCACUCGACUUAAAAUUAGUGCUUUUUUACAAGACAAAAAAUAGUUUGGGUUAGAUUUGUCCCUUAACCUAAAGUUUGUGCUUAUUUUUGGAAUUAGCCCCAGUUUUUUGCUGCAUUUGUCAAAGGCUAAAAAAAAAUAAAAAUGGGUCAGUUAAGUCGAUUCAUUUGAAAAGGUUAGAAUUCAAUAUUUUUUUUAAUUACUCAAGCACAAAGAAUGAGAAGCCCCAAAAAUGUACAAAAAUAUCUUUAUUAUUCUAAAAACAACGGUUCUGGUGUUUUUCUUUUCUAUUUUAGAAAUAUAAGUCAUAUUUAUAAUAAAAUUAAUAAUCUCUUUUUAGUGAUAAUUUUCGUACUUGUGAUUCUUAUAUUGUAGCAUUCAAUUUCCUUCAAGUCAUUUUUCCCUUGCUUUCGAAAGGAUGGAAAUUCAAGAAAUUAAUUGGUGUUUAGUUGAGGCCUUAAUCAAGGUUAGGUUAUAGACAAGAAAAUAGAACAUGCACUCUAUUUUUAGCUAAAUUUCCAUAUUGGUUAUGUCCAUAUUUUUAACCCACCAAUCAAAGAAUUAGUAAGGAUGGAAUAAACUCUGACUUAAUAUAAACUCGCAUACAUUAAGGAAGCCAUUGCUCUCAAUUAACAAAGAAAUCCAAUGAGAUGUAAAUACUGAAUCAUUCCAAAGCAUGAGAAGAAAAUGUAACCUUAUCACUGCUGCGUCAAAUAAAUUUGUCCUUGUCUCUUUCCACUUUUCCCUACCUAUAACAAUUGAAACGAGUAAUCUAAUAUCCGCCAACCUUUGUAUCACUUAUAUUAUGUUUGUGUAUAUGGGGCAGCGCACUAUCAUUAAGAUAAAGGAAAUGUGUGAUUGGCUCUAUUUAAAAUCAAUUAAAUGGGAUUCCUAUCCACGUCAAUAGUAUGCGAAUCAAUCACCAAAAGAAGACCGACCAAAAAAAAAAAUCACCAAAAGAAGCAAAUCCAGACCAUGUAACUAGAGACAAUUUUUUUUUUUUUAAGAACCUCUGCGGAAUGCAAAAUACACUUGUACUUUACAAGAAAAAAAAGUAUGCUUACUUAACAUCACCAUCUUGCAAUUAUUAGACACCAAUAAUAUUAUAAUUUUAUGUUAACACAGUCAUUUUCAAAAUGAUAUAGAAUGCAAAAUACACUCAUUCUUUAGAAUAAAAAAAAAACAUGCUCACUAAAUCCCAGGAGUGACAUAGCUGAUUGGGAUGCUAGGGGAUUUCCAACUCAGGAAUAGGAGGUUGCUUGUUAGGAUCCCACAAACUGCUUUAGGUUGGAGCCAACUACACAAGCCAAAGCCCUGAGCUUAACCAAUUCAUAAAGCCUACAGGAUAUUUCAUAGAAUUAUGGGUAGAGAGGUCUCCAUACCUAUGCCCCCAUAUCAUAAGUAAAAUUAUAUGCUUACAUUAAGAGUAUCCCAAAUUUAUAUGGUACUCUUUUUAUAUGCACUUAUUUCUCAUAAACUAGGUAGUUAUUAUGCAAAAGGUCCUGAUCAUAUUAAUUACAAAUAGAACUUCCCUCAUGACUUUAAUUAGUCAUAACAUUUUUUUUUUGUUAAAAAAGUAGUCGUAAUAGUUAUAAAUAUAUGGACUUAGGCCUAAUUUGAAAUUCUAAUCUACCAAUUAUGUUGGUAAAAAAGGAAACAACUUCAAUUUUUUUCUUUAAAACUGAGUUCUUUUUCCCUUAAACGGAUGAUUCAAGGGGCUUUAUGUCAACAAAUACGUGAAAAUUUUGAAUACUACAUAAAGACUCAAGAAUUAUUUUCAUCCAAUGGGCAAUAUCAAUUAGAUAUGAGGGUCUAAAUUAGCCCAAGUCUAUUUUGUCAAUAAGUAGAAAACUUACAAAAAAUUGCAAUUCAACUUAUAAGUGAAUAUCAAUAAUAUAAUAAUUUUACGUUAAAAUUGUCAUUUCUUAAAAAUGAUAGAUAAUACAAAAUAUACUUAAUCUUUACAAUAAAAAUUUAUGCCUGCUUAACCCUGGGAUUGGUUUAGCUAGUUGGGACGUUAUGGGAUUUUCAGCUCGAGAACUGAAGAUCCAUUAGAACCCCACAAAUUGCGAGCAAACUACUCUAAGUUACAGUCUCUUACACAGGUCAAAAGCCUAAGCUUAACCGAUUCAAGGACUAUAGGAUAUUUUCUAGGCUUCUAAAUAGAUAGGUUUCUACGUCUAUGCACUUAGAUUAUUAAAAAGAAAAUGCUUACUUUGGGAGGAUGCUAAUUUUAUAGAAAUUUUUCAUGUGCACUUAUUCCUCAUAAACUAGGUAGUUUUUAUGAGAAAAGGUCGUUAUCAACUUAAUUACAAAGAAUAUGUCCCUCAUCAUUUUAAAUAGUUAUAACCUUUUUUUUGUUAGAAAUUAGUCAUGGUUGGCAAAACAAUUAAACAACUUCAAUUUUUUUCCUAUGAACUGAGGUUUUUUUUAUUUAUUAUAAAUUUAAGACAUGAUUUGAGGGGCUUUCUGUCGGCAAAUAUAUGAAAAUUUGAAAGAUAACACAUGAAAAAUCAUAUGUCACUAAGUAGAACAUUAUCAAAAAUUGAUCUUCAAUAUAUAAAUCAAUAACGCAGCCGGUGAAUCCAUUUUUGUGUUUAGCCGUGGAGGAAAGGAUGGUCCCUAUUGAAUGUCCAUGAGCGGCUGAGGAAAGGAUGGAGACAUAGACAGUGGUGUGGUGGCCGGUCAAUUAAUUAAAAAAAUCAUCCAUUUCUCUUUAUAUAAAUGUUUUUUUUUUAAAUAGUUCAGCAAUUUCUUUAUAUUGCUCGAUUGUUUCAUUCAUAGUUCAUUGCCUGAGUGACAAGAGGACUAUGCAAGAGUCUUGGCAGUUGGGUAUUCCUUCCCAGUGAAAAUUAAUUCAUAAAAUGACAAAUAAAUUCUUAUUAAUUAUUGAUAAGACGAGUGAUGACUCUUGCAGCUUCUCAUAUCUCUUUAAAAAUAAUCUUAUAAAUGAAUCAAAUGUCUGAGGAUUAGUCGACAUCCAAUAUCAUCAAUCAUGUUAGAAACUAUCAUCGAUAAAUUGUAUUAUACAUUUGGCUGAACAAAAUCGUGUUCUAUAAUUAAAAUACUAUUUUUGUACAAUCUUUGUUGGAACAUUUAUGGUACAGCAAAUUAUAUAAAAACUGCCGAUUAGUAAGGAUUUACACAUUGAAUGAUAUAUUUCCCUCUACUUUUUUGUAUGGUUGCCAGUAUAGAAAGUAAAGUUUAUGUAAGUAUCUCAGUUGGCUAAAUUCUCAUCAUGAAAGCACAAGGUCAUCAUAAUGUUUCGUGUGUUACUUGACUUUCACUGUUAUAAUGACUAAAAUGCUUAGUAGCCUGCAACAACUAAUUUCAUAUAUGUAUAUAUGUAGGCUAACCUCUUGCUGUGGAAGGUUAUAAAAGUGAAAAAAAAUUAGGGUUAUAAAUUAUCAAAAGCCACAUAACUUUAUUAGUCAAUAAUUGUAUAUUUUUGAAUAUUUUAGGACCGAUUUGUGAUAAUUGCAAUAUUUGAAAAAUAAAUAUUAAAUGUAAAAUACUCCAAACAGACCCAAGCAUUUGAAAGAAAGGGGGGAAACUUCAAUAGGAACAAGAGAGACGCAAAAUAAUGUUAGCGGUGACUUGGGAUCGUUCCCCAUAUUAAUUUUAUCUCGUAAAGAGUAGCAAUACUCAAGAAAAUAAAUUGGUUUAAAAUGUUAAAAAAGAAGGCAAAAGUUUAAUUUACUUAGAAGUUUUGAUUUACAAUUCCAAUUCAAGUUACGUCUAAGGUAACAAUUACAAUUGACAUUAUAAUUUAACAAUUUGCUUAAUUACAAUGUUACUUAUGUAUUUUAAAUAUGAUUUCAUUGAUUCGCACAAGGAGUGACUUUAGGACUAGUACUUGAUCAAUGUUUGUCCAUUAAUGGUGGAGCUAAAGGAUGCGGAAACUUACCCAUUGGUGAUGAUGAUUGGUCAAAGUUAAGAAACAAGAAACCCAUUUCUAUUACCAUAUUCAACUUUUAAUUAAAAGUAUUGGGGGACACUGAAAGGAGAUAUCACCCAUGAUAGUAGUAAUAAUUUAUUUGCUUAUUUUGCUAGACUCACAAUGGGUUGAAAAUGAGUCUGGUGCAGACCCACGUAGGCUCACGUGGAAUUGGUGAUACUUUUUUCAUAUCAUUUCAACUGGCUUAAAAAUUUCAAGUGUCGCACCAAAAUUUUGAUAAUGGGUUUCAGAUACAUACUGCCACCUCUGGAUGAAACUACAUGUCACGUGGGUUUUGAUCCAUCCUCGUCCUUUUGUUCUCUUUAUUAAUUACAUUUGCUAUAGCGAAGAAUGACAAACUACAUAAAGUACCUAUUAUACAUGAGCGAUGAUUUAAAUCCAAUCAUUUUAAUAAUUGCGUUUUGAUCGAAGGUGUUAUAUACGAUUCGGAUUCUAAUCGUCACUCCAUGUUGAUUCACAAAAGUGCCCACAUACAAAUAUUGAUGAAAAUAUUAAUAUUAUGAACAAGAUUAAGGGAUAAUAUUAGGAAAAAUCUUAAACUGAUACACAUGCGACAAAUUUACUUCACAUUAAUUUUUUUUAUCACAAAAAACCCCCAAACUGAUACAAUUAUGAUAAAUUUAUUCUAAACUAAUUUUUUAACAAUGAAAAAUCUCAAACUAGUACACAUGUGAUAAAUUUACUCAAAACUAAUUUUUUUACCGUCAAAAACCAUAAAUUGAUACAUUUCUGACAAAUAUACCCCCGUUAAAUUAUAUAUAUAUAUUUUUGGUAAAGGGUAAGAACCCCGUUAAAUUAUAUUAAUACCAAAAAAAAAAAAUUACAAAACCGAUACACUAUGACAAAUAGAGAGUAAAAUCUCAAAUUGGUACACUCGUCAAUUACCACAUGUCAUCUAAAUCAGCAAUCUAAUUGAAAAUUUUAACGAAAACUAACAGAUAGUAAAUUUCUCAUAAAUUUAUUAGUUUAGAGUAUUUUAUAGUCAAAAAAUUAGUUUUUUGUAAAUUUAUUAUAAGUGUACCAAUUUAAGAUUUUUUGUAGUAAAAAAAAUUAGUUUGUGAUUAAUUUAUCAUGUAUACCGGAUUAAAGAUGAUAUUUGUCAAGUGCAUGGUUGGUGCGGCCUCUCCUUAUCAAGUGGGCGCCACCUAUUUUGCUAUUUGUUGCUCUUUCUUAAUUACAUUUUGUUAUAUCAAUCUGACAGGGUAUAAAGUAUUCAUAUAAUUUUAGUCAAAUCAUUUUGUUACUUUAGAAGUUGGUAAUCAUUCGUAUUUUAUUUUUUUAAUCCACUUCGAUGAGCGUGCAAUUCAAAUAAUGCAAAGAAAUCAAUUUACUCCACAAUUGUGACGUGACGGACAACUACCGUAAUUAAGUUAUAUAUUGAUGUUUAGUUAUGGCCUCAACUAAGAUUAGAUUUUUCUAAGAUCUAAAGUCUGUUGUCCACGUGACUAGUGGAUCAUGCAUAGUCUUGCGAGUUGGGUUUUCCUUCCCAGUAAAAAACUACUUCACAAAAUGAUAUAUGAACUCAUAUUUAUUAUUGAUAUAACAAGGAAUGACUCUUGCGGCUUCUCAUGUAUUUUUAAAUAUCAAUUUUAUAAAAUGAACCAUGUAUCCCUGGGUCAGUCUACAUCCAAUAUCAUCAAUCAUGUUAGAAUUAUCAUCCACAGAUUGUAUCGUUGUUUAACUCAUAAAUGGAUUCCAACCUGAGUAUUGAACUAUCUUCAACCAAAAGAUAUAUCUUUUAUUUUUAUGAAAGGGGUUCAGUGGCGAUUUUAAACAUGAGUUGCAAUUGGCAUGAUAAUGAAGAUGAACAACGAAUUUAAAGGUAAAAGGUGAUAGUAAAUGUUGGAAAUUAACAUGACAUUAAAACUUAUAAAAGUACAUCAAAAAAUAUUAGUAAUCAUGAUGAUCCUUGCAAUAAUUAUAUGUUGCCAUUUUAUACUCCGCCAAUCAUAAUCGCUUAUUAAGACUUAACCAUACUAGAUGCAGUUGUAACUACAUUCCCGAGAUUUUAGGACUCCUAUCUGCACAUCAUCCUAUCCACAAGCUGUUACAACUCUUUAAGUGUCACUAGGUUAACCGUUGCUUGGUGCCCUUAUCUUUAGUCGACAUUUUCACCAUCUCCUUUCUUCUUAGUUGAUAAUUGUCGACCAAUCAUCGUGGUACAUCGACAAUGGUAUCUCUCAAUCGUCUAUAAUUACUGUCCAUUGUCAUUGAUAUGCGCUUCUAUUGUCCUUAACUUACCAAAAACCAUAUCAAUUGUUACAAACUCUAUACCCACUUAUAUCAACAUUACGUCGUUCACAAAAAACUUUAUCAUUUUUUGGUGUAAACAAUUAUACAUAUGGCUAAAGAAAAUCUAAUUAAGCGACUAUCAUGUGAUUUAAAUACAAUCUUUAUUCUAACAAUUAUGGUACAACAUAUUACAUAAAAUGUACAACCAAUCAUAUGGGAUUUACACAUUGAAUGAUAUGUUCCUGGCUACUUAUUUGUGUGGUUGCCAAUUUAGAAAGUUAACUUUACAUGAGUAUAUCCAUUGGCUAAAUUCUCAAAGUGAAAGCACAAGGUGAUGGACUCAAUUUUGUAUUGCAUGCUACUCAACUUUCACUACUAUAAUGACUAAAAUGCUUAGUAUCCUACAACAACUAAGUUCAUUUACAUAUUUACAUAAGCCAAACUCUCGUCAUGGAAGGUUAUAGACCUGUCAUGCAUCGCAUGUUGUGAUGCAACUUGACUUAUGCACCAUAUUUAUAGUGUCAUUAAUAAUUAUGCAUUUAGUCAUAUUUACUUAUGAUAAAUACAUACCUGCGUAAUAUAACCCUCUAAAAAUUUAUAAUUUUCAUUCUAUAGAAAAUUUGUAACAAGGGAUAGUUUUUUCUCUUAUUGAUUUGCUAUCAGUUGUUUCUUUUAAUUUUUAAUAUUUAUUGCAAAGCAUGUACUGUAAUUUCGUUUUUAUGAUGAUAGAUAAUUUUUUGAAUUCUCUAAUAUCAUAUAUUUGUCAAACAUAGACAAUCAUGGAAUAAAAGAUGUUUCUACAUUAAGCAUCUUAUUUAUCACAUACAUGAUAAAUAUUUAUAUUGUCGAUUUGUUAUAUAUAUUGGCUAUCCCAUCACGUAAUUUUUCUAAAAGUUUGUCAAUGAUAUACCUGAAGAAGGGUGCCCAACGUCGAACGAGCGAUCAAAAAAGAUUCCGAAGCAUCUUCAUAGCACGACCCAGCAAUCAUGUUCUUUGGGGGUCCUCAGGGUAUAAAGCCGAUUUCCUUCCUUUUGGUCCGUCUGUAAAAGGCAACCAUACAUUUAUUUAAUUAUAAAAUUCGAAAGUUAUUGUACACUUAGUUAUAUCUUACUUUUGAAAUAUCUAAAGUCAUGUAGUGAAUCCUAUAUAUAUAAAGUGGGUAUCCAUGCAUUAUUGAACUCCUUUGAGAGCUUGUCAAAAUUUGUAAAUCAAAAUAUUAAUGGGGAUAUGUUAAAGUGGUCUUCAAAACCAAUUUGCUAAAGUGCAAAAUAGAUUGAUAUUCAAAUAAACAACAUAUGUUUAGGAAUUUGGGAUUUGUUAAAGUGACUAUCGAUAUCAAAUUAUUGAAUAAAGCUUACACGUGAUUGUGCUGGCUCAACCCUUAAGAGAGUUUUACCAUAUAUGUAUAUAUAUUGCUUUCCUAGGUAAAUCAAUUUAUUAAAAUGACUCAAUUUGUCUACCAUUUAAAUACAAUGAGGAAAAAAAAUUAAUUUAUCCAGGUCAAUCACAUGUUUUGAACAUUAUGAGUCUCACCUAUGACCGAAAUAAUUUAUAGUGAGAUUUGGUAAGUCCAAGCAAGAACUUGCAUGGUAAAAGAUUUACCAUCCUUUAGGAAAGAGAUAUUAUCAGGUAGAGAGUAUCAUUGUACUGCAUAUUAGUCGGAAAAAAAGUUGUUUUCCGGGGCAUUUUUCCUGACAUUAAAAGCUUACCGAAUUACCAUCGGACAGUCCUCCCAAAAAAAAAAAAACCAUUAGGACUUAUUCUGAGAAAGAAUAUAGAUGCCGUUUUCAUGUAUUUUCUGAAGUACUCUGGAAUUUCCGGGGGACCACUUGUGCUUCUCUGCCUUGGCCAUAUGGUCCACAUUAAAAAUUGAGUUGAUGGCAGACUGUAAAGUCACGUGGGUGUGGCCAGUCCUUGUCCAUUCAUUUUCUUUAUUCAUUACCUUUUAUUAUAUCAGUGCUGACACGCUGUUUAAGUCGACUCAUUUGUUUACUGCUACUUGAACAGCUGAUGAUCAUCUCUUUCUUUCUCGGUUCAUCGCUAUUCGACGCUCCCCUUCCUUCGUCCUUCUUUCGCGCUCGAAUCUCUUCGCCUCGUUCUUCUCUUGCUCUGUUUCACUCUUUCUUCUCCUCAGCACAAUCAUUCUUCCUAUUCCUCCUCUUCUUCAGUAUCUUCUCCUUCUUUUCAUCAUUCUCUCUCUGUGUCUCUCUUUCUUUCUUGGAAAAAAAAAAAUCAAAGAAAAAAUGUCGGUCGAUUCUGUCGUUGCUAUUGCGUAUGAUGUCUUCAAGAGCUAUGUAGUUGAUCCCGUCAAGCGUCGAUUCAGAUACGUGAUCUCCUCCAAGAGCUUCGCCGACGAUCUUCGGGAGGAAGUCCGGAGCCUGGAGAAGGAGGCUCAGAGGGUCCGUAUUUUGGCAGAAGUGGCCCGAAACAACCUUCGGAAUUUCUAUGAUUACUUUGCAGAGUGGCAGCAAAGUGCUGACAAGGCCUUGCAGGAGGCGGGAGACCUGUUGGGCGACAUGGGUGAGGCGAGGAAGACUUGCUGCUACGGGACUCUUCCCGACGCCAAAUGUCGCUAUCAGUUCAGCAGGAAGGCCGAGGGCAAGAUCGAGGUCAUUAAGCGACUCGCUCGAAAAUGCAGAGAAUUCAAGGAAUUGAACGACAUCUCCUUCAGCGAUCCUGCUCCGGGAAAUGUCACUGCUUUGAAUCCAUCCAGGAGAGAAGGCAAAGAUGUCGUCCAGUCGACCACCGCAACGGCCUCCGCUUCUCCUGUCUCAACGUCAAAUGAGCUUAGUAAGGAUUGCGUCUUCGAAUCCAGAACUGCGAUCAUAGGGGACAUAAUGGGCGCUCUUGCCGAUAACAGCAAUAGUGUGGUCGGGGUUUACGGGAUGGGUGGGGUCGGCAAGUCCACCCUUUUGGACGAUGUGGUAAGCAGAAUAAGAGAAGAGAAGCGGUUCGAUCUGGUCGCCAAGGCCGACGUGUCACAAAAUCCUGACAUCAAGAGAAUUCAAGGUGUGAUUGCCCAUGUGUUGGGCCUGGACAUGAAGGAUUAUGAGUAUGAGAGCUUGCGAGCGGAUCGUCUGCGCGAGAGGUUGGGAAAUGAGGAAAAGAAGGUCCUCAUAAUACUGGACAACCUAUGGAAAGGGCUUGACUUGAAAUCUGUUGGAAUUCCUUGCGGGCAUGACAACAAAGUCAUGGGAUGCAAGUUGUUAUUGACGUCGAGAGACCGAAAUGUUUUGCAAAGGGAAAUGGGCUGUGACAAGGACUUCUUUCUUGAUAGGCUGGAGGAGAAAGAGGCAAAAAUAUUGUUUGAGAGGAUGGUGGGAGAUAAAGUUCAUGAUGAUGAGUUCAGAUCCAUGGUGAAUGAAGCACUCCGCAAAUGUGCAGGUUUGCCUUUGUUAAUUGUCACAAUGGCGAAACAUUUGAAAUACGGUCGUUUGCCUGAAUGGAGGAAUGCUUUAAAUCAAAUUGAGCGGUGUUCAAACAAAGGGUUAAGUGCAGUGAUCAAUACGAUGUUGCAAUUAAGUUAUGAUCAUUUAGAAAGCGAGGAAAUGAAAAAUUUGUUACAACUCUGUGUUGCUUGUGGCGUCUCUAAUCCCUCCGUUGAAGACUUGGUGAGGUAUGGCUAUGGUUUAGGGAUAUUUCAAAAAGAUAUCAGCAUAAAAGAAGCUAGAGAUGAAGUGAGUACACUCAUCCACACUCUUCAAGCCUCCUCCCUUCUGUUGGACAAUGGAGAUGACAAUGCUUUCAAGAUACAUGACUUGGUUCGUGACUUUGUUGCUCAGUUCAUUUUAAAAGAUCGCCCUCUUCUCAUGUUGAAAGAUAAAGAUGUGUCGGCAACACAAUUGCAGAAUGAGAGGCUCAAAAGUUGUUCAGCGAUAUGCUUUCCCUAUAUUGAUAUGAAGGAGCUUCCCAAAGAAUUAGAUUGUCCCGAAUUGCGCAUCUUUUUGCUUUUUAACAACAAUAUAUCUCUUGAAGUUCCAGAUUCGUAUUUCAACUCUAUGAAGAAACUUGUGGUUCUAAAUCUAACUGGCGUACGUCUCACUCGUUCAUCGACGCCAUUUCAGUUCUUGGAGAACUUAUGUACUCUGUGUCUUCAAUUUUGUUCACUAGAGGAUGUGACCAUUCUGGGCAAGCUAAAAAGGUUACAAGUUCUUAGUUGUGCAAAUUCCAACUUUCAACAAUUGCCGGAAGAAAUUGGGCAACUAACAGAGUUGAGGAUGUUGGAUUUGAACCAUUGUCCACAUCUUCAGAUAAUUGAACCAGGUGUUCUUGGAAGAUUGAUCAAAUUGGAGGAGUUGUAUAUGGAGAAUAGCUUUAAUAAAUGGAAUUUCGUGGAGCAAACUCAACGAACUAAUGCCAGUCUGAUUGAGUUGAAUCACUUGAAGAAUCUUUGCACUCUACAUGUCUCCAUUCCCGAUCCGAGUGUGCUCCCAGAGGACCUAGAUGUCAAGAAAUUAACCAAGUACAAAAUCCGAAUAGGUAAUGUAACACACUGGAGCAAGGACCAAGGAUUGAGGAUUUUGUACCUCAAGUUGGAUCCAAUAAGUGAUGUUCUUCGAAAAGGAUGUAUACAAAGUCUUCUAAGCAAAACAGACGAUCUGUUUUUGGCCGAGUUGAACGGAAGCAAGCAAAAUAUUUGCGCAUUAUCUCAAGAAGGCUUUCCAAAAUUAAAGCAUCUACAGGUCAAGGAUAGUCUUUCCAUCCAUCACAUCCUCCAAUGGCGUUCCCUUAGUGCUUUUGAGAUGUUGGAGUCAUUACUUCUCAUAAAGCUUAUCAACUUGACGAAGAUAUGGCCCAACCAUAUCUCCUCCGCCAAGUCCUUCAGUAAAUUAAAAGUAAUUCGAGUCCAAAGUUGUGACAAGAUGGAAGUUUUGUUUCCUCUUUCAUUACUGAGAGGACUUACAAAUCUGGAAGAGAUUGAAGUUGUCUCUUGCAAGUUAUUGCGUGGGAUUGUAGAUGCUGAUGAUUGUGGCAAAGUGGAAUUGCAAAAUUUGCAUGUAAUAAAAUUGCACCACUUACCAAAUAUCAAGAAUUUUUUCACUGCCGGGACAGUUCCUUCAAAUAGCACAUCAGAGGACCAAGUUGGCACUCAAAUUGCAUUCUUCAAUGGGCAACAGGUAACUCUCUGUCAAAAGAGUAUAAUAUUUAUUCUUUUUCCUACCUUUGCUAAUUAGAUGCAACACAUAUUAUGUUGCUUAAUAAUUUUGUUAUUUUUAGUUCAUAUUUUUUCCUAAUAAUCUUAUCCAUUCAUGCCUUCUCUGCAAUUCUCUUUAUUGCAUAGAAAUCCAACUAAUUGUAUGAAAUCCAUGUACAUUUAAUUUGUGAUAGGCUUUGAGUUAUUUUCAAUUUAAAUGCUGCAAGUAUAUCUAUAUUAAUACGGUUUCAUAAAGCAAAAUUGAAGGGAAUUUCGUCACUAAAGUAAUACCACAAGUAAUUUUAAAUAUUUUGAAAUAGAUUCUAUUGAAUUUACUUAUCAUAAGAUAGCUGACUCUCCAAAAAAGCGAUACGAAAAAUGCGAAGGAGGACCGGGUUUUUUAAAUAAAAGCAACUAUAAUAAUCUAAUUGAUGCAUUAUAAGAGUAUGGAGUUUUGUGCAUGUCCAUGCAUGCAUAUUGUAUACAUAGAUAUCUUUGUACGUAUUUUUGAUAUCACAAAAGCAAAUCCACAAUUUGUGUUUAAUAUCCUAUUAAAUUGGUUAUUUAUAGUGAUUUGUUAAAGGUAAAGAGAAGUUAGCAAAAUAAGGAUGAUCAAUUGCCCAAUUAAGAAAAGCACAUGGCUAUUUUACAUGGGGAAGAAUUGCUGCGAAUAGUACCUUUUAGUUGACUAGAUAAGAUUGCCCUUUUAUAGUGGCGCAAUAUUGCUGAAGUUGAUCAUGAGGCCUUAGACACACAAUAGAUUAGCUUUCCCGUUCAUAAAGUCUUGGAAAUUUAAGUUGUAGGUCCCACGUGUUGGUGUGUGACUUAUCUUCUUCCCCUGCUUUGAGCUAUCAUGGAGAGAGCGCUCUCAAAGAUAAUGGAACUACAUUGGAGAAAUUUUACAAAGAGCCUUUAUGGCUUUGCUUUUUUCUUUUUACAUCGUAAUCUUGUAUAAUAGAUCCUUUUGGUAUCAUCUCUACACCAAAUUUAAAGAAGAUGAUAAAUUAUUCAAGUUCAACAAGGGGGAGCAAUUGUAGAAUUGAUAAAGUAGCUCAUCACAACAACAACAAUUAAUGGCAUUCAAUUGAAAUUGAGGGCGAAUAUUUGUAGUAUAUUAAAUUCUAGACUAGCAAGUGGAAACGUAGUUAAUAGUUUAACUAGCUUUAUUGACAACAUUUUAUAGGAGAUCUUUUUGCUAUAAUAUCUACAUGAAGUUCAUAGAAAAUGACAAAUCAUGCAAGUUCAAAAAGGGCAGUAAUUACAGAUGAAAAAUUCCUUUGUUAUUUUUUUUUUAUCAAUGGAAAUGAUGUUACUAUGCUGUAGAUAUAUUUUAUGGUCCUAUCUCGACUUCUACGGAUAGAAUUUACUAUGAUGAAAGAGAAACAAUAAACUAAGGAUAAAUAAUUGCCCAAUUAAAGAGAGCUAACGGCUAUAUUUUAUUUGGGGAAAACUACUGUAAAUAAAAAGUUUUAUUUGACUAGACAAUAUUACUCUUUCACAGUGGUGCGGGCCCAAGGCUCAUGCCAUACGUUAGUUUCCCUGUUUAUACUUAAUAGAGAGCGAUGGAGACCUAAUUGGUGGGUCCCACAAGGUUAUGAUGUCAGAGUGUGACUUCUUUCAACCCAUGCUUUGAGCUCCCACGGCGAGAGCUUGCUUUAAAAAAUAAUGGAGCUAUUACCCUUUGCCUUUUUUUUUUUUUUUUUUUUUUUUGCUGUAGUUUUUGGGGCUUUUAUCUUUCUAGGAUUCUAAUUCUCAUAAAAGAGUUACUCUUGCCUUAGUACUUCUUUUUAUUUUUAUUUUUUGUGUAAAACCGACAUAUGCAAAGAUCUAUGGGGUUAUAAUGAAAUUGCUUCUUAAACCUAUAAUAAAUCUCCUCCGAUAUUAUAAAGCACUGGCAGCCUCCACAAGUAGUAAUCUAGGGUUAGCUUGUCGGGGAUGAGAAUAGUCUAAUGAACGAAAUACAAAAAAGUUAAAAAGCUGUUGUAUGGGUUGGAGCCAGGCUGACGGCGAGAUAAAUGGGAGACUGUGAGCAACUUGGCAGAAGAUGGAUUCUCUAGAGUCAUAUAGCAAUGAACUUUUGGGGGAAAAAGAACAAAAAGAAAAUAAAGCUUUCCAUCAUCAUUAGGGACAGCUGGAUCCCUCACCUCUAAUGUUAUGGUUUCUGACAUGUUGACUGUGGAUUUAGACUCACCGCAAGGAAAUUAUGACAACAAGUAUGAUUAAUUAAGAUAGGCUACAUAUGCCUCUGAAUUUAAAGGGACACUCGAGAUGAUUUAUGAAGGAUAGGGAAAAAGAAGUCCAGUACUCAGUUAUUGUAAUAUCACAACUGCUGAAAUGUCCAAUUUCAGGUUAUUUUGUGGGGAAAUUAGUCCCAUUUUGCCUGAUAAAUUCGGAGAAAUUGAAGACAUCUAAGAAGGAAAAGAAAAAGAAAUGCCCGUCUUGUAGGAUUAUAAAUGAAUGGCAGAAAAAAAGAGUUCUCCUGACCUAAAUGAAUGAGGAAUGAUGUCAUGUUCGGCUAUCAACUCUCUAUGCCCAUAAGUCUUUUUCAUAUGCCACCGUUUGCCCAAUGUUUAUUUUUUGAGUUAGGCUCCUAACAAGAUGAUAUAUAGAUAUAGAAGGCUCAAUCUCGCCGGGACUCAUGGGACAUGAGUUGUAUACAUCUCCAUCUAAUCGAUAUAAUUUGACAAUUAGAUAAAUACUUCUUGUAUCAACAGAUUUGCAUUAGUAAUCAGAACGAGUGCUAAUUUUUUAUCAUUGCGAUUCCUGAUUUUGCUAGUAAAAUGCAAACAAAAUCUAAUCGUGACAGGAUCCUUGUUAUAUCGUAAAUAAAAGGUAAAGUUGAUUAGUUGUCUUUUGAGGUUGUAAAUUAGCUUUUGUUUAUCAUAGAUUUCCGUACAUGCAAAACUAUCCUAAAGGUUGUACAUUAUCUUUUUUGUAAAUUUCUUUCGCCAAUUGAAUUAAUAUACUAUAAAUAAUUGCCCUCAAUUUCAAUUGAAUGCCAUUAAUUGUAUUGUGAUGAGUUAAUGGCAUUCAAUUGAAAUUGAGGGCAAUUAUUUAUAGUAUAUUAAAUUCUAGACCAAUAGGCAGAAAUGUAGUUAAUUGUUUAACUAGCUUUAGCAAUAACAUUUAAUAGGAGAUCCUUUUGGUAUAAUCUUUACAAUAACCUUAAAGAAGAUAAAAAAUCAUUCAAGUUAAAAAAGGGGAGCAAUUACAUGUGAAAAAUGCUUUAUUAUUUGUUAUUAUCAAUGAAAGUGAUGUUAUGCCGUCAUAGAUAAAUUAUAUGGCCUUUAUCUGCACUUCUACGAGACUAAUCCCAUAUGCAACAUCAGUCAUUGAAUUUAAAACAAAAAACUUUCCACUUGUUAAAUUGAUCAUUGAUAGUAAGUUACUAACAUGAAAGAGAAUUAGUAAACUAAGGAUAAACAAUGCUCCUAAUUAGGGAAAGCUCACGGCUGUAUUUUAUAUGGGGGAAAACUGCUGCAAGUAGAGGGUUUUAUUUGGCUAGACAAGAUUGCUCUUUUACAGUGGCGCGAGCCCAAGGCUCAUGUUAUACGUUAGUUUCUCCGUUAAUAAAGAGCGGUAAUAAAGAGCGGUGGAGAUAUGAGUAGUGGGUCGCACGAGUUUGUGAUAUCAGAGUGUGACUUUUCUUCAACCCAUGUCCUGAGCUCCUGUGGAGAGAACUGGCUUUCAAAUAAUAAUGGAACUAGAUGGGGAAGCCUUUGUGGCUUUGCUUUUUCUUUUUCUUUUUUUCUUGUUUUUGGUAGUCUUUGGGGCUUUUAACUUUCUAGGAUUCUAAAUCUUUAUGAAAGAGUUACUCCUGCUUUAGUACUUCUUAAUAUUUUUAUUUUUUCUAUAAAACCUACAUAUGCUAAGAUCUAUGGGUUUAUAAAAUGCUUCUUAAACCUAUAAUAAAUCUCCUCCGACAUUAUAAAGCAGUGGCAGCCUAUAAAAGUAGUAGUCUAAGGUUGGUUUGUCAGAGAUGACAAUAGUCUAAUGAACGAAACACAAAAAAGUUCAAAAAAACUUGUUGUAUGGGUGGGAGCGAGGGCGAUGGCAAUAUAAAUUGGAGAUUGCGAGCAACUUGGCAGAUGAAGGAUUUUCUAGAGUUAUAUAGCAAUUGGACAUUUGGGGGAAAAAAAGAAGAAGAAAAAAAAAAUAAAGCUUUCCAUUGUCAUCAGGGACAGCCGGAUCCCUUCACCUCAAAUGUUAUGGUUUCAGACAUUUUGACUGUGGAUUUGGACUCACCUUAAGGAAAUUAUGGCAACAAGGAUAAUUAAUUAGGAUAGGUUACAUAUGCCUCUGAAUUUAAAGGGACAAUUGAGAUCAUUUAUGAAAAAUAAGGAAAAAGAAGUCCAGUACUCAGUUAUUGCAAUAUCACAACUGCUGACAUGUCCAAUUUCAGGUUAUUUUGCGGGGAAAUUAAUCGCGUUUUGCCUAAUAAAUUUGAAGAAAUUGAAGACAUCUAAGAAGGAAAAGACAAAGAAAUGCCCGUCUUGUAGGAUUAUAUCAAGAAGCAGACAAUUUUAGUGUGCGAUAAGUCCUCUAGACCUUAUGACCCAAAAAAAAAAAAGUCCUCCUGACCUAGAUGGAUGAGGAAUUAUGUCAUGUUCGGCUAUCAACUCUCUCUGGCCAUAAGUCUUUUUCAUAUACCAUCAUUUGCCCAAGGUUUAUUUUUAAGUUGGGCUCGUAACAAGAUGAUAUAUAGAUAUAGAAGGCCCAAUCUCGCCUUGACUAAUGCAACAUGAGCUGUAUAUAUCUCCAUCUAAUCGAUAUAAUUUGCCAAUUAGAUAGAUAUUUCAUGCAUUAAUUGAUUGUCAUUUUUAAACGGAACAAGUGCUAAUUCUUGAUGGUUGCAAUUCCUGAUAUUGCUAGUAAAAUGCAAACAAAAUCUAAUCGUAGUAGCAUCCCUUGUUAUAUUGUAAAUAAAAGAUAAAGUUCAUUUGUUCUCUUUUGGGGUCGUAAAAUUCUUUUUUGGAUUGGAAAUUAGCCUUCGUUUGUUAUAGAUUUCCGUACAUGCAAAAAUUAUACUAAAGGUUGUACAUAUCUUGCUUGUGAAUUUCCUUUGACAACCAUUUAUAAUACUUGUUAUACUGUGUAAAUUUCCGACUGUCCUUUAUAUGUGUAAAUGCUAAUGUUGAUGGGUUUGUUCGUUAGAUUUCAAUCCCAUCCUUGGAGUCCUUGACAAUGGGAGGACUUCCCAAUAUAAAAGAAAUAUGGAGUGAUCAAUCUCUAUUGGGGCUAAGCAAUCUUCGAUCUCUUAAGGUGGUGCAGUGCAAAUCUAUGUCAAAGGUUAUUAGCUUUGAGUCGCUGGUAAAACUACACGAAUUAAACAAUUUAAGCAUAUCAAAUUGCCAUUCGGUGCAAGAAAUUUUCGAUCUUGACAGACCAAGCACAAGUGGAGAUGUUGAGACUCUGUCUGAGUUGACCACCUUUGAUUUAAGGGGACUAGGGAGCUUGAGACGCAUAUGGAACAAGAAUCCUUGUGGAAUAGUGAGUUUCCAUAAUUUAAAGAAGUUGGAGGUGCAUGACUGUCCCAACCUUAGGUUUAUGUUUUUCCCAACCAUGGUUAAAUCUCUCGAACUCUUGAGAGAUCUAACAGUAAAACGUUGCAAGAAAAUGGAGGCAAUCAUUAUGGAGGAAGAAGGGUCGGGAUUGGAAACAUCAAAAACUCUGGCAUUCCCGAUGUUGACCAACUUAAACUUACAACGUUUGGAAAGUUUGAUGUGCUUCUCUUGUGGAAAGUGUAAGAUUGAUUUAUUUUGUUCUCCUCACUAAAGAUCUUCUUGUACAUAGAUUCAUCCUUGCAAUGCAAAUGGUGACAUUCUUUUCAUCCAAUGAAAAACCGACGACAGAUUCACGAGAAGCUCGAAGUCAGGACUGCAUCAAAUCAAGCUCCAAUGCACUCUUCGGUCGACAGGUACAUGAUUAACGUUAUGUCAAAAUAUCAAAUAUUACAGAAGUAUCAAAUAUGCAUGAGACAAAGCAUAGCGAAAAUAUUUUAAAAGAAAAUGAGUAGCAUGCAAGCAUUAAGUGUUCAGAGUUGCCAACAUGUAUGAGUUGCAAUGUCUUACCUUUAAUUUCUCUGGAAAUAGUUUUCAUAAAGAUGGUUGAACAUCUCUUAUGUUACCUGCACAAAGCAUGAAUGGUAGUACAAUUGCCAAGCAGGAUCCUUAAAAGCUUUCUAAUAUUCACAAGAAACUUAGAACACUCAUGAGCCUCACAUGUACAGCCUAGACAUUGCACGCACGUACAUUGAAAAAGAUUGAAAAAACAAUUGAGAGGAAAGUGAGCAGUGAGGUUCAAGAGGCUGGAGACGAAGGGCCUUUGAGACGCUCACUUUACUUCAUAUGCACUCACAAGAUCUCUCUCUGUCUUCUUUUUCUUAGUCGAAUGAAGCUUUAUUCUCUCUUCAUUGUACCAGCAAAAGGAACUUGAGCUCUCCGCCGCCAAACUGAGCAAGGCCUCUGGGGUCCAGGGCUUCAGAAAUCACCCCUUUUUAGUUUUUACAUGAAUUGCAAGACCAUUCUUGUUAAAGAAAUAAAUUACAUUCCGCAAAUCAGCCAUUUCAGCUUAGCUAUUUGACUUGUCGAGUGAAUAUUGGAAGAACAUUUGAGUGGAAAAUGAAAUAGAGUAAUUUAUGGGCGGAUCCGCUUUGACUAAACUAAAAGUAAUAUAGGACGUUUACCCAAAAUGUUGUUUAUGCCGCCGAAGAGGCUUCGAAAAUGGGCCCUCCCCCAAGAUUAACAUGUCGACUUUCUUAAAUAAUUUUAAUUUUCUAUAGACAGGAAAAUCUUCAAUUAUUUGACUCGAGUUUUUGUAUAAUCUGUCGUUGGUAUCUAACUAUUGGAUCCUCUAGCAUGGAUAAAAGAUCACUGAAUUUUAAAAGGAAAAUUAAAUCGAUUAAGUAUAAUGAGUUCUUUCAAGUGGGGAAUGGUGUAAGUAAGAUUUGUUCAUUUGACCCAAACAAUUCCUUUUUCAAUUCCUUUUUCAAUUCCUUUUUCUUAGCCUCACUUUAUAAUUGCUUUAGAGUAAUAUAAUAUUGAUUUGAGGCAUUCAGUAUUAGAUAAAAUCACACCUCCUACUGUAUUCCACCUUUCGAUGGAUGAUUGGUUGGCUCUUUAAAAUCAAUCUCUCCAUCAUUUUCUUUCUAAUUGCUAAUAUUCUUCCUCAAGCGAUCCUUAGCUGCAUUUUUCUUUUACCACAUCAAUUUAGUGACUUACAAGUUCUAACGUUAAUGACCCUUUUAACGUGAUUCUUGUUUCUUUAAAUAGAAUUUUCCUCCUCUCUAAGUGAUUUAACUAUUGCUACGUAUACUAGCUAAUUCAUUAUAUUAGGGAAGUAAUUAAAUUGAAGAGAGGAAGAGAUUUUAUCUAACUUUGGGAUCUGCGGGAGACGUGAUUGUAUGAUUAUUAUAUGAGCAUAUCCAAAUUACUAUUUUGUCCAUUGUCAAUAGAAUUUGGCUAGACCAGAAUUCUUAAUUUUUUUUUUUAAUUUUUCUCCGGUAAUUCCAAUGGCCUUCUCAUCCUAGAGUCAUCAAUAUUAGUACGGAGAUUUUUUUACUAACUUUUUUUUUAUCCUUUUUGUCCUUUUGUGCAACUUAAGAUAGAAUCAUCGAUUCUGUGAAUUCAUAAUUUAUAACUUGCUACUCAUCCAUAUUUACAUCUUGAAAAUUUAUGAAUUUGUAAUUUAAUUGAAUCACCAAUUUCAUGAGCAAAUACCUGCAGGUUGCUUUUCCUAGCUUGGAGACCUUACAUAUCAAUGACAUGGAUAACAUUGAGAUGAUAUGGGACAAUCAAGCUAUUGCAGAUUCUUUCCCCAAGCUAAAAUCACUUUUUGUGGAUAAAUGCAAUAAGUUUGUGACUGUUGUUCCUUCUUACAUUCUAGGACGACUCUUAUGCCUGGAAAGUUUAAUGGUAAAAGCAUGUGCUUCACUUGAAGUUGUUUUCCAACUUCAACCACCGAAUCCUCUAGAUGGACAUCAUGUUGCUCUUUUGUUAAAAAAGUUAAAGCUAUCAAAUUUACCAAUGCUAAAGUGUAUAUGGGAUAAGGAAAUACACCGUCAAGUUAAAUUUCAAUGUCUACGUUCUAUCAACGUUUCUGAAUGCAAGAGCCUCACCUCCCUAUUUCCAGCCUUAGUGGCUAGAGAUCUAAUCCAACUUGAGGAGUUGGAGAUCUAUGAGUGUGGCAUUGUGGAACUCAUUGAGAAGGAAGAAGGACCAGGUCCUAGGUUUGAUUUCCCCAAGCUAACCUCCCUUAAGCUUGAGCUUCUUAUAGAGUUGAAGUGCAUCUACACCAAAAGACAUGCUUUACAUUGGCCGGCAUUGAAGACCUUGGAGGUCCUUGGCUGUAACAAAGUGGAGAUACUUGUUUCACAACCUAACAAUGAGAUGCCACUUCAUAAGAACCCUCUCUUCUUCAUAGAAAAGGUACGAUGCUAGAUUAUUUGUUUUGCUUCAAUGGUGAAUAUUUGAACUAAUGAUUAAGCCAAGCAUCUCAUACAAGUAGCUUUUACAUACGAAAAUAUAAACUAUACAACUCUCCGUGAAUCCAUAGAAAUAUUACAACAUUGAAACAUCAUGUGUUCUUCAAGUAUUGAGUGAACAUUCUUGUCAAUGUCUGGCAUAACAAAUGCAUACUCGUUGAUCUCCUUAAAAAAAAAGAGAGGCUAAUUCCAAUUUUUUAGCUCUCUCUUAAGUGCCACAAAGAUCGGAAACACGUGGUAUGUGGUGUGAUCUUACCAUGGCACAAGUGUGUUGUCUAAUUUGAACCCUAUAAAAAGUGCUGAUCUUAUGCUAACAAUUAAAAAAGGGGACACUAUUGUUGACGUUCAAAACUGAAAUUAAUGCAAUUGUGACUGUAAUUGAUGCAAAAGUUAUUUUCACAGGGGAUAUAUCUUUAGAAAUGUGAAUUUAAGGAGUUAAUCAAGUUCAAAUAUGGAUACAAGUCAAAUAUAAAAUAUUAGCGAUAAUGUUUGUUUCCUGAAGGCACGUAUCUUUCCAUUGAAUCACAUGAGACUCAACAAUUUAAAAUGUAGUUAUUGUGCUCAAUAUGCAAGAUUUAUAUCAUAAUACAUGAAUACUCUUUUAGCUAAGCUGGCUUUAGGUUCUGAUUUGACUAUUUUCUCAGGGUGCAUUCCCUAGCCUCCAAGAGUUAAAAUUGGAUUUAUCCAAACGGAUGGAGAUAUGGCAUAGGCAUUUUCAUGAUGGAGAAUUCUUCAACAAGCUUAGAUUUCUUGAGCUCCGUCAUCUCUCCCAGGAGUCUUCAAUAUCCACAUCGUGUUUUGUUGAGAGUUUACCCAACUUGAAAGAGCUAGUUGUAUGUGAAUCUUAUCUAGAAGACCCAAGUAGCAUUAAAGAAGCCAUAGAAGGCAGAAGUCAUGAGCUAAAAGUGAUAUUACCAUUUUCAAGAUAUAUUCGACAUCUGAAAACUCUAGAUGUGUCACUUUGUGAUGGGUUAUCAAAUAUGUUCACAUGGACAAUAGCUGAAAAUUUGGUGGCACUCACCAAAUUGAAGAUAAGUAAUUGUAGAAUAUUGACAGAAGUCAUUAGUGAUGACGAAGGUGGGGAGGGGCAUGUAGUGGCUUUCAAUCAAUUGAAGUAUAUGGAGCUUGACAGGUUGGCUAGGUUGAGAUGUUUCAGCUCAGGUGGAUACACUUUGAUGUUCCCUCUCUUGGAAGAUAUCAUUGUGAAUAGAUGUCCCAAGAUGAAGUUCUUCUUCGAGGGACCAAUGGAGGCGCCAAAGCUGGAUAGAGUAGGAACAAUUUUGAAUGAAAGGUAUAGAGCAACAAAGUACCAAUAUUUUUGGAAGGGAAACCUCAACACGACCAUCCAAAAUAUGUUCCAAGAAAUGGUAUGCUUUAGUUACUAAAUUCUGUGCAAUUUGAUUUUUUUUUCAAUCACCAAUGAAGUACUUGUUUUUUUUCUUUUUUUUUGCUAACUAGAAUUUUACGUUUAAUGAUGCAUUUUCUAAUAGGCUACAUUUGCUGGGACUAAGUUUAUGAGGUUGUCUGAGUUCCCGGAGCUGAUUGGAAAAUGGCAGAGUGAACUCAAUCCCAUCACGUCAUCUUGGCAAUUAGAAUCAUUAGUGGUGGAUAAAUGUUCAUCAUUUAUUAACGCUAUUCCAUCCAGUUUGAUGCUUGUUUUAGAGAGAACGACAAGCUUGCAAGUGCGUGAUUGCGAGCCUUUGCAAGAAAUAUUCGAUCUUGAAGGGCUUGAGGCUGUGGAUUACACUCAGGUGUUGCCUCAAUUGGAGGAUCUGCACUUGGUCAAUCUACCAAAGUUAAGGCAACUGUGGAAUAGAGAUCUCCAAGGAACGACAUGCUUCAAUUGUCUACAGUAUCUUAGCCUUUAUAAAUGCAACAACUUGAGACAUGCUUUUGUUCCAUCAAUGGCUCGGUGCCUUCCCAAUCUAUGGGAGAUGGAAAUAAAGGAGUGUGAUCAAAUGGAAGGAGUGAUCGUAGACGAAGAUGGGCAGGGAAGCACGUUGGAGGAGAUUACAUUCCCAUAUCUUAUGUCGAUAUAUUUGGAAUACUUGCCUAAUUUGAGUAGUUUCCUCUCAUGGAAGAAUCAUAUGCUAGAAUGCCCUACUUUAUCAACGCUGAGCAUUGCCCAUUGCCCGAAGAUGAGAAGUCUAACUUGGCAAUCUUCGGUGGAGAUUAGCAAUGGCACCCCUUCGCUUUUCACUUCACAAGUCAGUCUCUCAAACAAAUGCAUUUAUGGCAUUUCAUUUGAAUAUAUUCAUUCGCGUAUAAUUGGACAAUGCAUGGUAUGCAAACAAAAGUGCUAGAUAUAAUUGUUUGUAAUAUCAAUCAUCAAUGCUUUGCUCAAAUUUGACUGGGACUCUGUUUCAUACCUAAACAAAGAUAACCAAAAUAUUUGCCUUCCCACAAUAAUCCAUGAUCACAUCCAUAAAGUAUUAAUGCAAAACAAUUCAGACAUUGAUAAUCAUGUGCAGUUUUAAAAUCAUUUAAUUAUACAUAUAUAUGUACAUAAUCUAUUAAUAUUUACUUAAAAGAUUAAAAUUUUUCUAAUCCUCAGCAAGUAUAACUAUUAAUUGUCCAUCUCCAUAUAUUUUUAGAAGUGUUAUUCUUGUGAGCUCAUAAAAUCAUAUUGUGUGCAGUACCUCAAAAUAUAUUACAUAGGAUUUUAAAAAUGUUAUGACAAUAGCCAUAUGAAAUCAUUUACUUUUUGUAAUUUCAACUAUAAAGAAUAUAACAGUAAACAUAGAAUAGCAUUUAAAAAUGGCAAAAAAAAAAAAAGAAGUAUUGCCCACUUCAUAUUUCUUGCAUGGAAGCAAACUGGCAUCAUUCUAUUAAACAUGAAGAAAAGAGGAAAAGAAAAUUUCAUAAUUAUAAAAGCUUAAUUCACAAAUUGCUUAGCUAUUACAACUCAUUGUACCAUAAUCAUCUUUCCAAUCAAUGAAAUUGGAGGAAUUAGAGAGAAUUUCUCCUUUAAUUGGAGUGCUUUAAACUUCGAUAAUGAUCAGUGCUGUCAACUUUUUAUAUCUUAAUAAUCACUAAUGCUUGAGCUGGGUCUUGAUAAUAAAAUAAAUAAAAAUAAAAAGGCCAAUAUGUCUGAAGUUUUUUUUUUUUUUUGUAAAUCAUAAUUGAAUCACUGUACUCCAACAACCUAUCAAAUUAUGUACCUAUAUUAUACAAUAAAUAUUAACUCUAGAUUAUCAUGUUGAGUGAUAAUUAGUGUGAUACUGCGUACAAUCUAUGUUUGGCUAGAGGAAAAUAUAGAUUGCUUUUUCCAAAAAAAGAAAUGGCAAUAAAAAGGAAAAAAAAAUAAAAGAGAGAAAAGGACAGCGGUUGCCGACAUUGCAAGUUUUAUUUCGUCACUAGAUGACAAAAUUUAGUCAAUGUCCUAGCUAAAAUAAAAAUUUAAAAAAUUAGAAUAAAUUAUCCAAUCAACAACACUACUGAAGAGAAAAUAUCAGGUGCAUUAAAUACACCAUGUAGGAUCCAUAUUAAAUCAUCUGCAAAUCGACAUGUGGUAAAGUCGGGCCCACCUAUCAGUUGAAUGAUCAAAAUAUUUGCUCCCCCUCCCUUCAAUAACGCCCUGUUAUUGGAAACCUCUCUUUCCUCUUUUCUGGUGUGGCUUUGCUCCCUCCUCUCUCUCUCUCUUUCCUUCCUCGGUGGCCUUGGCCUCCGUCUGUUGCAGUGCUGUUGCGAUGCGCUCACUAGACAAAGGAAGAAAUUAGACAAAGUCUAUUUGAUGAUUUCGCUUCUCCCCCUCUAAGAAAUGUUCGCUCUCAGUCAUUUCGUUUCACCUUUGAUCCUCCUCUUCGCGACGAGGGGAAAAAAGAAAGUGAACCAAAUCUACAGAGUCAAGUAAUAAUAACUCUUCUUCCUCCCCCUCCCCCUCAUCCUCUUACCUUCUGUUUUUUUGGGGCGAUUGAUUGGGCGGUCUGUCCAAUGGUUGAAUCGGAAGCUUCAGAAUCGCUUCUCUGAAGCUCGCCUCCUCUCUGUGUGCGUGCUUCCAUGGGUUCCGAGUGAUUGCGCGAACCGGAGCUUGUUGGUUAUGGUGGGUCGAAGUGGAUCUCCGAUACGGAAGCGAUUUCGGCAUCGAUUCGGUCGGGGCGUUGAUUCCCGGCGAAGAAAAAUUAAAAAAUCUUCUCUUCAGCCCUCUCUUCCUUCUCCUUCGUCCACAGCCGCCCGACCUCCGCCCCUCUUCCGCUGUCGCCAAUGGCGGAGUCACCGACGCCUUGAUUAGGCUGACCCCCGCUAUGUCCAAGCCGAGCAUGGUCGGCUUACCUCUGUUUUGUCCGUCUCAUAGUUCUACAGAUCUCGAAAUCUGGCUGUCCAUAGCGACGGAGUUGCAGAUCUGGAAGUCGACCACCGCCGCUCGCAGCCAUGGACGAGCCGCUGUCGCUAGAGACAUGGUUGCAGAUCUGGAAGUCUCGUCGCGAGCAACGACGGCUUAUGGACUGCCAUUAUCCCCUCCGUCGUCGCUCGCGAUUGGCUCGCGGUCGUUGCCCGUCCAAAUCUGGGCUGGAGUCGUGCCUUCAGAUCUAGUAUCGUCCAUGGACGCAAGCCUAGCUCGUCCAUGGCUCGCCAGGAGGCUCCUCCACAGAUCUGGCGACCGUAGCUUGUCCAUGGCCAUGAGUCUUGACGGCGAGUUUGAGAUCCCUUCGUCCAUGGACUGCGAGGUCAAACGGCGAAAGAGAAAACAGAGAAAUAGAUGUCAGGGAAGAGCGGCCAUGGACGAGAGGCGUCAUGAAUGGGUAGACCACAGAGACGAUGGAGAGGGUUGGACGAGAGGCAAUGGUCACCUUGGACGCGACGCCGGCAACUCCACCGGUGGUGAUGGCUGGGGGAUGCGGGAAGGUUGGGCUCAAUGUGGCUGGAGAUGGAGGAGAAAGCGUAGAUGGAGAAGGAAAGUGAGGUGGAUUGAGAUUUUUUAUGUUUAGUCAUCCGACCAAGAAGAAGCCAAAGUUUAGUCAAUGUCAUAGCGUCCAGUCAACACUUCCAUUUCGUCUCAUGAAGUUCUCCUCAUGUGAAGACUAAACGCAGUAAAUGACGACCUCCUCCAGCACUUUUUUUUUUUGGGUUGAAACUGAGGCACUUGAAAAUGCGCGAUAUCAUUUUUUUAUUACAGAUUCUAUACAAGUUUUGUUUUUUUUUUCCACGACAAACGAAAUCCUUUUUUUUUUUCCUUAUUCUAAUACUUUUGCGCAAUUCUUUCUAUGGUUUUAUACUAGUAGAAUAGAAUGUUUAAUUAUAACAAGUAUCUACACAUCUGGUUACUUUUUAAUUGUAAGAAUUAUCACUAAUUAUUUAUUGAUAAUGUCAUUUGCAUGGAUAAGUUGUUAUAUAAUACCUAGCCCCACAUUCUAAGAAUAUUUCAAAAAGUCAGUAUAACACUCAAUCAACGAUACUAAUAAAUUUGGGGAAGUAUGAAAAUAGUCACCUGAUCUUUUGGUAGUGACAAGUUGUGAUAGAAUUGUUUUCAUUUUAGUGUCAAAUAUGAGCUGUCAUAUAAUAAUUGAUUUCUCCCACAUUAUUAGAUAAUUUCAAAAACUCAUCAAAAUCCUCAAUUAAGAAUAUUGAUAGAUUUAAGGAAGUGUGGAAAGUCUUUUUCUUUUUUUUGUGACAAGUCGUAAUUGCAUUAAUUAUAUUUUAACCAAAUGAAAAAUAUCAAUACUUACUUUCCAAUGGACAAUUCAUCAAGGUCAUGAUGUAGCGAAAAAAAAAAAAAAAAAAAGCACUCUUGAGUUUCUCCAUACAAACAAAAUGUGAUCAGCGGGUGCACACCCACUUUUUGCCAAAGGGUGGACCACUCGUACACCACAAGAUUCUAUUUUUAUUAUUUCACCUCAAAUCUGAAUAAAUAUUAUUUCAAGGAUGUUAUUAAUGCUCCAAUGUAAAACUAGUAAAUUGUCCCAACGUGCUUUUGCUGAGAUCAUAACAUUAUGUUAUUUAUUCAAGUGUUAUGUUGCCCGUGCCUAUUAAGAAAUUAUUUUCUUUCAAUACAAAAAUUUUCCAUGCAUAAAAAAAAAAGAAAAGGUUGUGAACAAUUGAAGUUACUAUCUAUCCAUAUAUAUGCAGUUCGCCAUAUAAAUUUCAAGACUCUUCUCUUUGGUGAACUGUAUUAAUUAGAAGAUUCAUAAAUACCAUUCGCAAUUUAGUAUGAAUAAGUAGCAGUGCUCAUGGUAAAUAGAGGAAAUAAUGUUGAGCCAAGCAUCGGUUUCAUCCAUUCCUUCUUCAAUACAUACACUAUUUAAGUUCUCUGCACCCGCUAUUCAUAUCCUUAGUUGACUGGCUCAUCAUCACCAUGCCUGUGCUUUUUCUCUAAUUGUUAUGCAUGUUCACCUUGAAGCAAACAUAUCUAAAACAUAACUGAUCUUUGCCGACGAAACUAACGUAACGGAAAUUUUCAGUCUGUAUUAAUGAAUCUAAAUGUUGCUCUUUUCAAUAUUUCUAUCGAACUGCCUAGCAAGCUCCCUAAACUUUUUGCCAAUCUUCGUGCUUAUUCAUUACAAAAAAAAUACAACUUGUCACUCCUCCAUGGCAUCAACAUUGUUUUGUGAGAUUCAUAUUAUGUUCUUCUUCGUCUUUGUCCUCAUUUAAUUGCGUAGAGAAACAGUUGAGUGAGCUAUCAUUGAUGUUUAGUCAAUGGCUCCAUUCAUGCAUCAGCAUAUAGGAGGGCUCUCUUCUCUCUCUCUCUCUCUCUCUCUACGCGAGCUACUAUAAAAAAAAAUGAGGACUUAGGAGGGGAGGAUUAGGAUGAAGUUGAAAGGUAGAAAACUGGAAUUCGGGAGACCUACUUAGCAACCAUUUGAACGAGCCCAAGUUCCACGUGCAUCGGGCCCAUCCGCCUAAUUCCUGAACUUUUAAGUUAUCGCUAUGAUUGUGUUUUUUUUGGUAAGGGUUAUCGCUAUGAUUGUUGAGUAAUCAAGAAAAGUCAACAUUGGCUCAUCACUCUAAAAUCUACGUACCCUUAAUCAUCAAUUAAGCCACUCAAAAAGUCGAUGCUCAACAUACUAUUGAUUUAUAAAAGCAUUAUAAUUCCAUGCUUGUUGCAAUGCAAUACCCUUGGCCUUAGUCAUCAGUCAACUUGUAUAAAAGCAUCAAUCAACCCCUCCCUGUUUAUAUCACUAACAAGAUCUUGACUUCUCAUGAUUUGUGAGAACGAGGGAAGUUUGGCAAUUCGUUCUUUAAGGUCAUAAUUCAAUGCAAUAACAUUCAUUGUGUCAUUCUUUUCUCAAUAUGGCAGGUACAAUUUCCUCAACUUAGGUGGAUGCAUCUCUCCCACAUGGACGAUUUAAGCAAAAUAUGGACUGACGGUCCUCAAGAAACUCUGACUUUUGAUUGUUUAAGGGAAGUGAAGGUUCGGAAUUGUAAGAGCCUUGAAGCUUUGUUUCCGUAUUGGGUGGCUACAAGUUUAACCCACCUUAAAAAACUUCAAGUGGAGUCUUGUGAGAUCGAGGAAAUUGUUGCUAAUGGGGGUGACACUCCACACUCCAAUACUACUGAAGAUCUUUUCCCAGAACUAACCUCUUUGGUGUUACAUGACAUGCCACGACUCAAGAGUUUCU
This 253843-nucleotide long non-coding RNA is filed under the name Eucalyptus grandis. RNAcentral describes it as "long non-coding RNA (EGRA_LNC004093)". Lineage: Eukaryota; Viridiplantae; Streptophyta; Magnoliopsida; Myrtales; Myrtaceae. The record is from RNAcentral.